RNAcentral lists this long non-coding RNA (180606 nucleotides) under Citrus maxima (pomelo). Its description in RNAcentral is "long non-coding RNA (CMAX_LNC001173)". The stretch from base 101360 to 101463 matches the Rfam family "Plant small nucleolar RNA R71". Lineage: Eukaryota; Viridiplantae; Streptophyta; Magnoliopsida; Sapindales; Rutaceae. The record is from RNAcentral.
CUUUAGGUGAUUUCUUCUCCUGUUCUGUCUUUAUUUUCUCUCUAAUUGAAAGCAUUUCAAUCAAAUUCUGUACCAGGAAUACGAAAAAUUUACUAAUAUUUUAUUUCCAUCUGUUUGCAUUGAUAACUUGGCCGCAUAUGUACUAGUUAAAGAACAAACAGAAGCAGAGUUCAGGAAAAAGUUUCUUCGGCCACCAUAUUUGAAAAUGAAACCAUUUCCAGGAAGCAGUUGGCAGCAAAUUCAUACAAAGUAUAGACGAUGAUGAGCAAAAAGGUGAUUCGCAAUUACAUUUUUUUUAAAAUGAAAUUAUUUGUUAAGUUGGAGCUGAUAUUGUUAGAAGGCCAUUGAGCUAACCUAUGACACUGCUUGCCUAGAUUGCAGGAGGUCAAGACUCAAAAGAUGCACUGAAUUUUAAAAGGCAUGCAAUAAUUCUUAUGGCCAUUUGUCAAUGGUGGAAUGCUUUUAGCUUCUUUUCCUUUCGUGCAUUUUGGGGUUCUAUCAAGCGACAGCCGUAUGUAUGGAUGGAUAUAGCUGCUGCGUUGAUUUCUAAUGCGUUGUAUGAUGUUAUAGCAACUAUCUAUCUGGUGAAUUUUUCAAAAGAAUAAGACACAGGGAAAAAGAGAAAGCAAGUGGCCAAUCAAGUAUUCAUGUCCCAAAGAAAAGAAUGAUUCGACAAUAGCAUUAAGGGUUAAUUGGACACAAGAGAAGUGUUUUAACCACUUCAAGGAAUGUAAAUGUAAUUUUCUAUUCUAAAGAAAAAGUAAAUAAAUGCACUGUCAAUUAAUCUUUGGUCAACCAGCAACAUUCAUAAUUUCGUGUAAGUUUCAUUUCUGUUUGUUGGAAAUAGCAGUGUAUUUCUUAGAGUUUGUAAAAAAUGGAAAGAUUUUAAAAUAUAAAUUUCACAUCUGUUUAUUACUGUUGUUUGAUCUAUUUUCUUAUGUAGAAUUUUCGGAAUCUGUAGGACAUUAAUUUAAAAACUGCUCGUUCCGCUGGUUUCAUACAAUGUCAACUAGAAACAUCAUACUUUCGUGUAAGUUCAUUAUUGUUUCUUGAAAAUAUCAGAAUAUUUCUUAGAGUUUGUAUAAAAUGAAAAGAUUUUAAAAUAUAAAUUUAAUAUUUGUUUAUUACCGUUGUUUGGUCUAAUUUCCUCGGGACAAUUUUCAGAAUUUAUAGGACAUUAGUUUAUAAUUUUGAAAUUUUGUAACCUAAAUGUUUUUUUUUUUCGGUUACCAUUUUGUUUUCCUGCUUUAUCUACGUGUAUGUUGACUAAAACUAAUCUAUUUUGUUAAACCUUUACCACUCUUGACAUUGCACUAAAUAUGAGUUCCUGAUGCUUGCAUUUUAUUGAUGCUGAUGAUUCGUUGAAUAUUUUAUGUUUUUGAUUUUUAAGUAUUCCGGAUCGAAGUUUGUGUCUACGCGGAAAUUGUAAAGGCAGCAUAUAAAGUACUCGUCGUUCUUUAGAUUUUAUUGAGUACACUUUUGUCACAUUUAGCGUAUGCUAUACACUACUGAUUUGCGCAUUGACAUAUAUCUUAUUUUAUCAUUUUGAAUGAAUUGCACGGCGAGGCUUAUCAACUUUGGAUGAAUCCUCCAAUUGUCACAGUCCAAGACUGGCUGCAGUGAGUGAAAAUUUACCCAUAUAUAUGCUGGCUAUUUUUAUUGGCGACGAAUUCGUUGUAGUUGGUCCAUCUUGCUAUUCUCGGACAAUAUUAGAGAAAAUAAUCAUAUUAUUUCGCGUGAUGUGACCUUCCAUAACUUAUCAAUUGAAUUACUGUAAAAUUAUUGUGUAAGUUUAGGCCCAAUGGCACUUUAGUUCAUCACAUGAUAGCCUGGAUUUAAAAGGAAAACUAUAUUGCAUUGCUUCAAAAAAAAAAUUUAAUGUUUUUAAUAUGAAUAUUUUUAACUAUAUUCAGUUAAAAUAAUAUAUUCUUAAUAUUAAUAUUCAUAGAUGAAAUUCUUUUGCGGAUUUAAGAAUAAAAUAUCAAAUAGUUUUAUUUUUCUUUUGUUGUGUAACUUGGACCGAAAAAGAAAAUGAGCUUAACAUGACCCUCCUUCCGGCACUAUGCAUGUUUUUCUUAUAUUGAUGACAGUGCUCUUGGUGCUUCUCAUCUGCUUCUUGCUUUGGUUUCAAACAAGUCUUUCUCCGUCGAGACAUUUAUUGUAAUUUGAUUUGGAGACAUCUGUCGUUCAAAUAUAUUUCAUAUGCAAGCUGUUGAUAAUUCUGCUUGAGAAAGCCUACAAAGCAGCUGUGUGAUGUAAUAGAAGACUAUAUAUGCAAACGGUCAUCAGUUUCUCUUGAAUUCUUUCUUGAGUUUCUUUGAAUUAUUUGUGAAUGAGUUCUUAAUCGGCUGCUGCUCUUCAGGAAAAGGAAAGUGUUGCAAACUGGUGAAGCUGAUCGAUAAAAGCAAUGUACCAUCUUUGCUGCCAUGGAUCGAUGCCAGUGAGUUUUUUUAUUUGUCAAACUACUAAUGAGUUCUCCAUGCAUAUGUGUUUCUUCAACUUGAAGCGGCAUAUAAGACGAAAGAAGUGAUCUUUAAAGCAUUCUAUCGCAUUAUCCUUUCCUAUUAUAUAUAUCCAAUUGCUCCAAAUUAUUUGUAAAUUACUGAACACGAAUGCUGAUGAAUAAACUGAUGGCUCUAUGUAUGUAUGCACAUGCAUGGAGAAAUUUUAAGUCAGACAUUCUCAUAUAUAACUCGUGGUACCGAAUCAUUAAAUAAUCUUGAAAUCAAAGUAAUAAUUAAAUACAAAUAAAUUGCUCGAAUUGUACAUAUAUCUGAAUCAUGUAGUGAAGAAAAUACAACAACAACAACCAAUGGCUCAAAUUCCCCAUCAACUUCUAGUCUCAACACUUUUGAGUGUCAGAAGCAUUACUCUGCUACCAGUUAACAAACAUAUAAUUAGUAAUUAGCUAUUCACUUCCCUUUUAGGCCUACCACAUUUUCUACAAAGGAGCCAUAGAGUGAACUCAGCAGGAAACACUCAAUUUCAACCAAAAAAAAAAGAAGUGUGCAAUAGCUUAUCCUAUCCUAUUGCUACUAGAAAGAAAGUGAACAAUUAAUUUCAGUGAAUAAAUUAAAAAAAAAAUCACUUCUGCAGAUACUCAAGCUAAGAACACAUUAACCCAUUGAAGACUCCAAAUUGCAUCAAACAAAUUGUUGUUAAACAAGUAAAACAAAGAAAGAGAGUUAAGGAAGCUGAACUAGUAGUAGGGGAGCUGAAGAAAGACUGCCAGUGAAUGUAAGAGAAAAUAAAAUGCAAGAAAUGGUGAAGUGCAGCUUUUCAUGUCAACUUGAAAUUGAUUUUUCUGUUUUUUUUUUUUUUUUGGUAAUCUUUUGGAUUUUUCAAACAAAGAAAAUGAGGAGCAACCAGGGAGAUAAAAAGGGCGCCAAGGCAACUGUCCACUACUGAUGAUAUAACAACGAACCUUUGUUUUUUUCUUUUUUCUUUUUUAAAAAAAAAAGAGUAACAAAAUAUCAUUAGAGAAAUGAAAAUAUUAUCUAACAUCACCCUACUGAUGAUAUGAAAAUAUGUAUGUAUGUAUGUAUGUAUAUACGUAUGUAUGUAUGUACAUAUAUACAUACACCUAUGUAACAUUUACUUAUACAUUCUUUUGAGUUUAAAUCUUAAUACACAUUUUCAUGAAAUUUUUAUUUUAUUAAGUAUACAACUACAUACAACUACAUUAAUGUAUAUAUUUUUUUACAUAAGACAUGCCGUCCUAUUAUUAAUAAGUCAACAAUGUGUUGUAAAUAGUGUUCGUGUCUCAAAGUUGACUUUUCGUCUUUUAUUUUCAGACGCAGACGCUGUGUCAUUUUGUAAUCUUCCAAACAUAUACAGAGCAGAAUUGGUGUUAUCUGAUUUUGUGAUGCAAUAAGAUUUGCACUUCCUGUGCAUUCAAUGGAAUCAUUUCUUUGUAACUAAUUGGGUGGUGGAAUGGUGGUCAAAUCUCGAACGAAGACAGAUCUAUCAAACUCCAGAAACAGGGAAACCAUGCCACGCUAGUAGACAAUAUGCUAGUUUGAACAAACUUGUUUGAAUGGCAAAAACGACAUGACCUGCUGUAGUAUUAAUUCUUUCCCGAACCAACGGGUGAUUUGCUACGUUGGAUCAUGAAAAUUGAAAAAAACAAUUAACGAAAAUAAAAAUUCUUAAGGAAUUAGUUAGUUAAUUGAUUGAUCGAAUUUAAUCUAAAUUUGAAAAUGAUAAGAUAAAUUUAAAUUUAUUAUUAUUAUUAUUAUUAUUUUAAAGUGGGUGGGUUUAUACAAUUUGAGCGGUGGAAAUAUCACUGCUGAAUUAUUAAAUAUACAGUGUAAAAUUUUGACCUUUAAAAUAUUCCCUUUUUUUUUUAUUUAGCACUAUAAGUUUAAAAAUUUAACAUUUUACCUCAAUAAUUAAAUACUUUUAACUUUAAUCUUCAAAUAUUUACCCUACAACAUUUGGACCUAAAUUUUUAAUCCGACUCGGCCCCUGACCCAAGUGGGAAGAAGAUCAAGCUUAUAACUAUCACCAACGUAACAUCUUCUGGAAAAUAAUAAGAUUACUCACCUACAAUUAUGUGAUCAAACUAAUGGUAAGCAAAAUAGAACAGCGUUAUUUCAGUCCCCUUUCAGUUUCUUUAUCAUUUUUCUUUUCCUAUUUAUAAGCUUAAUUCGGUCCAAUAUCGGCUAAUUCACUUUGAUUUCACUUUUCUUUCUUUCGGUUCAAAAAAAUUGAAUCCAUUGGCUGUCAAUUCAAUUUUGUUGAAAACCAACUUUGCCUGAAUUUGAGUAAUAAUAGAGGGAAAAAAAAUGAGUACUUAGCAGAAGAGAUUUCUCAUUUUUUUCUCAUUCAAACUUCUAAAAUAAAGGGAAAAAAAAAACAAGAGUAAUUGUUAAUUAUCAAAAAUUUGUUUAUACUAUUCCACCAAGAAAAUUAUAAAAUUUUUUUUAAAAAAAUUGGAGAAGAAAUAUGAGGUGAAAUACGUGGAUGGCUUAGACUAAUAAUGUGAACAAAUUCCUCUCGGAAACAUGUCAUUGUUCAUCCGGACAACACGCGGUGAUGAGAUUCAAGAAUUAAAUGAUAGGAAUCAACUGUAACCUCAUAAACAAAUGGCCUUGGAGUUGUAAACACCAAGCUCGGCAGAUUAAUUAAACAAGAAUAUCCGAAUUUUUUUAUGAUAAUCUCUAGGAAACGAUCAGCUAUAAUGUACGAAAUUAAAAUAUUGCAUAUAUUUUUGAACUCAUGCAUUAAUUUCAAAAAUUAUAUCGUAUUAUAAUUUAUUCACAAAAGAAAGAAAAAUUCACUAAUCAAUUGAAAUCGUACUCUUAUUGAAAUGAAUUCCAGUAAUUGGAUAAAUAUAAGUAUUUCUUCCAGUGUAAUUUUUGUUUAAUAGAAAAUCUAUUUGAGAUUUUGUGAGAAGAAACUCAACAAUAAAGUGUGAUAGACUUUGUGGGUAUUAAGAGUUUGACAAGUAUUUGAAAUCUGAAGUUUACGAGCAAACAAACUGAAAUCCGAAGUUUACUGAAGUUUACUAUCAAGAGUUUCAAAACAGUGAAAAAGAUGAUAUAGUUGAUGACAAAAACCUGAGUUAUCCAUAGCGACAAGUAACAUACUGAAGUAAGCCGUUGGGAGCUGGCCUGUUCAUGGGCUAUUUUUCUCUGAUGAUCUGCAUUUUUCUUCCUUUUAAAGUGAACCUUGACUCGUAUCAAACCUGUCAAAAGAACAGUUCAUCAACUGAGCUGAGAUUUGCUUUCCUUUUUCAAAACCCACCUGAGAUAUUGUAAUUCCCAAAUUUCCCUCUCUCAGCUACACGAGCAAGCAGCCGCUUUUUCACUUCAUCGAAGAAGGUAAGCGAUAUAUCUAUUUCGUCCGAUUGAUUUCUUGUUUCCUUUUCAGUGUUCGGGUAAAUUAUUGGCAUGCCUGACUUUUUGACCAUUACAUGAUUCAUAAAUUUCUAUUAAUUUUGAUUUUGAGUUGACUGGUUACUUUUAUAGGUUUGCUUAUUUUGACUAGGUGACCAAUUUCUUGUAACUUAAUUUAUGACGUGAUGCAGGAAGCUGGGCAGAAUAUGAAAUGAGAAUCUUAUUAGUGGAAGGAUUGCCAGUAACAGAACCCAAAGAAAAUGAAACCAUUUCAAGGCAGCAGUUGGCAGUUGGGAGUGAAUGGAGGCCCCUGACAAAACUUCAGUAAACUUCAGAUUUCAGUUUGUUUGCUCGAAACUUGCAUGGUGACAAGGAUACUGGCAAGGAUAAUGAGAUAGUUUUUGUGUGAAUGAAAUUACGACCAUCCUCAGCCUCAGGUAAUUUCUUCUCCUGCUUAGUUGUUAUUUGUUACCUAAUUAAGAAGCAUAAAGUAUCUUGAAUCAUUUUCGUUGUCUGGAAUAUAUGGAACAGUUUUUAAAAUUUUGAUAUUAGUGUAAUGAUUGUAAUUUCUGUUUUCUGUCUGUCAUCGAAUGUAAGACAACUUUAUUAAGACUCUUGAACCGAGUCAUUUUUGACAAUUGAAGGACAAGUGCUGAAGAGUGGGAAUGCAAAAAGUUUUGUUGUUUUUAGCCUUGUUUUCUUUGAACCAGCGCCUGAUUCACAAGACUCCAUUAAUUUGGCUUUUGAUCAGCUGAUAGAUAAAUGUUCAAUUUCUUUGGUGAUAAAUGUAUAUGUGAAGCAGGCAGCAGGGCAUGACUGUGGAAAAGAGAAGAUUUUAGUGAAAGCCGAGACUCAGAUAAUUCUACGCGUUUUGGCUGAUUUAUAUAAUUCGUGAAAUUUUAUUUCCAUCUGUUACAAGAUCAAACUGCAAUUAGCAAUUUAACAUUCCCUUAAAACCACUAGCUACAUUUCAUCUUUGCACAAUUACACUUAAAAUUCCACUAAAAGAAACUCUUGAGUUGCUCGCAAGCUAUAUAUCAUUAUCCAUUGAAUUCUUACCACAUAUAUCUCACCUUUCAAUCAAUUGUUGAAAAAUUCAAAUUUGGAAUUCAAAUACAUGCAUUCAAAUUUGGCUAAUACAUCAUUUGACCAACUUGCAUACACAUGCAUGCAUUCAACUUUGGAGAGGCAAAUUUGAAGACAAAUUCCUAUGGUAGGUGCCUAAUUUUUGUUGACAAUUUUGUUGGGUAGGUGCCUAAUUUAUGUUGACAAUUUUGUUGGGGUUGGUGCAAUAGUGCACCCCAUUUUUCCUUAUAAAUAGAAGGCAAUUCCUCAUUUGUUAAUCAUCCCAAUUUUGAGAGAAGUAGAGAGCAAUUGCAAGUGAGUUCUUUAAGAGAAUUUGAGAGAGCUUCCACUUGAGUGUUCUAGUGAAUUGGGGUUGUGGGUUUUGUGAGUUUUUUCCACUUUUGUAAAUUUCCAUUAUUAGUAAAAUUAUCUUUCAGUCUUUACCCGUGGAUAUAGGCAUUACGCCGAACCACAUGAAUCAUUGUGUUAUAUUUUCUUUGUAUUUGUUUAACACCACAUUUAUAUUUCUUCAGAAGUUGCAGUAUUAGUAAUUGCUCAACCCACGUUUCCGCAACAUCAAUCACAUAAUAAUCAAUAUACCUAUUGUAAGAAUUCAACAAAUGGAGAACAUAAUAUACUAUAAAAGCAUCCAAAAUUUUUCCAUCUCAAAUUAUUACUAAGCUUCUUGAACAAGUUGAAGAUUGGGGGGAAAAAGUGCAAGAAGGAAAAGCAUUAUUCUACUAGCUUCUGGGUUUCUCAUUUGAACAGAAAGAUUAAAUAAAAUAUUUGUGUAUGGCUGUAGUACUACACGGUAUCUGCUAGAAAGCAAAACACCUUCUGCUGAUUGCACAUUGGAAUGGGAAUAAGUUGGUAAACAUAUAAGUUACAUAAAUUAUUUUGGAUAAUUCUGCUGGUGAAUUAAUUAUCUUAAAAUCACCCUUUUAUUUUUUAAAAAAUCUUAAGUUAUUUUUCAUAUAUGUUAAGAAGACAAACAAACUUUCAUCAACUCUCCUUUUUUAGCUUUUCCCUUCAAUUUGUUAGAAGGCCAAUGAGCUAACCUAUGACACUGCUUGCCUAGAUUGCAGGAGGUCAAGGCUCAAAAGAAGCACUGAAUUUUAGAAGGCAUGCAAUAGUUCUUGUGCCAUAUGUCAAUUCAUGCAAGUUUGAAUAAGUUUAUUGGUUUGAACGCUGUUAGCUUCUUUUCCUUUCGUGCAUUUUGGUAUGCUAUCAAGUGACAGCCGUAUGUAUGGUUUGCAUAUAGCUGCUGCUGGGAAAUGUGAGGAUUUCAUGGCUGGCCGUGUUAUUGUCUUAAAUUAGAUGUGAUAAGCUGUUGCUUGGAGAUUCUGUUGCCAAGACUUUGCUCACAUCAGAAGCUGUGGAACCUCAACCCGUCUCUAGAUAUCAAAUUUUUCAUUGUUUUAAAAUUCUCAGGAUUGAACUUGAGUAACUUUGUUCGGUUGUCUAUAUAAUCAUGUAUUGAGUAAACUCUCAGGAUACUGAGCAGGGAAAUGCCAUAACUCGGUUUGUUCUUCAAAAAAUUGUUUAAGAUUCUUGACAAAGCUGCAUGAAGUGAAUCUUGGGAGCUUUGAGGGUGAGAGAAAUUAGAGGGUGUAUAGGGAUUUGGGUUUAUUAGGAAGUUAUAUAUGUAUUUCGUCACUUAUCAUUAUCAUUUUUAUUUUCACAGAAAACCUUCUGAUGGUGCUAAAUUUUCAAACACCGGUCCGAUUCAAAACUUCAUAUUCCAAUUAUAUUCAUAAGACAAAUGGAACACUUUGAACGGCUUGUGUCCGAGCAUUGUAGUUUGAUUUACUUUGAUGAAAGUACCUUUUGACAUUGAGAUUCUUUCAUGAUUUAAAUUUUUUUUUUUAAACCAAAUUAUUAAACAAAAGUAACUAACAUAUAUUAUUUUAUUAGUGCUUUUUAAAUCAAAUAUACAUAGGAGAACUGUAAUUCUUAGCAAUCAAUUUUCCACUAAAUACACCUGCAACAAACUAUUAAUAACAAAGUGAUAGAAAAUACCUGAUUUUUCAUACUUUCUAAUUUCUUUUGGUCCUAAAAUAUGGGCAUUUGUGUAAUAAUAAGCCCAUGUGGAUCUCUAUGCCAUGAGUUUGAUAAAUAGCUAUCAAGGAUCACUUAUUAAGCAAAAAAUAUUUGGAGGACAAAAUUGUAAAACUAAAAGGGUGGAGCAAAUAUGGCUAUCUAGGAUUAAAUAGUAAGUCAACUAUAUUUAAAGGAUAAAAUAUUAAAACUUGAACUGUGAUAUUAAAAAUAUCUCAACUAUUAUAUUAUUAAACCAUAUGUUUUAAUAGUUUUUUUUUUUUAAGCUUCAAAAUGUUCAGGAUUUUAGAUUGAAACAUUUUCAUUUGAAAUUAUUUGGUGCAGUCACAAGUUAAGAAAGAAAAAGUUGUCCCAUUGGUCAUUUCACAAAAAUGAAAGCCCUGUAUAACAUGGACUUGAAUGGAAGCCCAAUUGUUUGUGUUUGAUUAAUUGAUUUCAAGCUUUAUCUGACCUUUGGACCUGGAUACUUUACCGCGGCCUCUAAGCGCUAUAAAUUUUUUUUUGGGAUAAACGGCGCUUCAAUGAGGCCAUUUCCAAUGCUUAACACCAUUUUGGUGUAACGCCAACAUUAAAAAUGUACAUUUUUCACACUAAAUUACUAUUUAAUCUCCAACCCAUUUGAUCUACCAUAAUUGUGCUGGGGCCACGUUAUGUUGAUCUCCCUCUCGUCACCAAUAGCUCCUCCGCUUGCUGCGAACUUGCUUGUUUGUUUUCCUUAUUUUUCUGCCUACUCUCCUCAUUUAAUACGGAGGCUACAACAUCAUCGAAAACUAAACUGUCCACUGGAUUGUUGUUUGUUAGGUUGAUGAUGAGUUGAUCAUACGAAUCUGGUAGACUUUGAAGUAGAAGCUCUGCACGUACAUUAUCCUCUAUAUUAUGACCCAACGUUGUGAGUUGUGAAAAUAGAGUCUUCAAGGUGUUGAUGUGGUCGGUCAUCAUUGUAGAUUCCGCCAUUCGAAGAGUAUAAAGUCUCCUCUUCAAGAAGAUUUUGUUGUGUAGUGACUUGGCCUUGUACAAUUUUGUAAGAGUAUCCUAUAUUUCCUUCGCUGUAUUUUUCUCUGCCACACUGGAUAAUACUCCAUCCGCAAGUGCCAAGUGUAGAUCAGAAAUAGCAUUGCCAUCUAUCUCAUUCCACUUGCCAUCAGUUAUCUCCACAAGUCUUUCUCCAAUUGCUGCCAAGCAAUUAUUUUUCCUCAAUACAACUUUCAUCUUCAUUUUCCACAACGAAAAAUUAUUUUCGUUAAACUUCUCAAUUCCAUACUUUGCCGUCAUUUUGUUGAUAAAUAUCGCACACAAGUUAGUGUACCACCUUGAAUAGUUGUGAGUAUGUGUGAGAAUGCACACCAGGAAAGUUCCCAGGAAAGACUGGAGGGGUUACACUAGUCCCACUUAAAACCCAGACUCCUUAAGCUCUUAUCGCCUUUGUGACAGAAUUUUCCUAGACAUGUACAAAACCACACAGUUACUUUUACUCACACCACUCUUUCCUGCUUUGCACCGUAAAAGUUCUUGGAUCGCUCCCACCGUUUCUCGUGAACAGUACCGUAUACGUGAACAAUGUCGUACACGUGAAUAGUAUCGUAUACGUGAAUAAUACCGUAUACGUGAAAUUGAAACCUCACAUCAUUUAUUCUUAUUAAUAAAUCUCAAGAUAAAUAAUCAUUAUUCAUACUCCAACUGAAUCCUUACAUAAAACAUAUGAAAUAAGGUCUCCAAAGAAAAGUCUCUAAUGCAAAAUAAGAAGUCUAGCCAAAUUUAAUCUUUAAAGCAACUCCAAAGAUCCACUAAGAAAAAUUCUCCGUCUAAGAACCCAAGCCAUAUCUCUAAUCAAUCUGCAAAAUAUUAGAGACGAGGGGUGAGCCGUCAACUCGGUAAGCAAAUCCAUGCACAAUAUUUGAAAACCUUUGUCAUAUACCUUUAAACACAUCUUCAUUGAGCAUAAGGGGUGGAUUCAUAUAAAAGCAUUAAAAACAUUAAAACAUUCAUAAAAACAUUAAAACAUAAAUAUUGGUAGCUCAUGCCUCGUAGUCAUCAUCAUUCAUCAUUCAUCAUUUAGGGUGUUAUACCCCGCAUAGUUCCUCAUUCAGGGUACUAUACCCCACAUUGUUCAUCACAUCCUUGUGCACAAGAUCAUCAUCAUACCAGCAAGCUGGUUAUAGCAUUUCAUAACAUCAUAACAUUAAUAUCAUAUACAUUACUACGGACUAUGAGCCAAAACAUUUUUGAAUCCACCAUACAUCCUUUCAUAAAUAGCAUUUAAAGUCUUCUAAAACAUUUAAGAACCUUUCUUUGAUCAUUUAACUCUUUUUGAAAAUUCUUUAAGAAAACAUUUUGUUUAAGAAAACUAAUUUCUUAAGAAAAAUUCAUUUUAAAAUACAUUUAUAUAAAUUCAUUUAAAAGUGUUUUUAUUUUACAAAAUUCAUUUAAAUAUUUUAGAAAUCAUUUUGUAAAAAUUUCCAUUUAAACAUAAUUUUUGUAACAUAAAUUGCAUUUAUUAUAAAGCACAUCAUGCAUGAAUCUACUUACCUCGAUCCGUAGCAAUCAAUACUUCAAGAACAACCAACGAGCUCACCCACAUCCUAUAAUCAUCAUAAAAAUAUUCUUAUCAAUAUCAUCUCUAACCUUAAAUAUAAUCCCGAUCAUCCUUAAAUCAUAGACACUAAUACUAGCUUAAUACUAAUACAUAUUCUAAACAUAUCCUAUACUUAUGAGUAUCCUACACAUGCUGAUUUUUAAUAACCUAUACACAUGUCGGAAAACCAUGAAAAUUUACAGAGGCACUGUGAACAUGAAUAGCAUUGCAUACAAUAUUUCACAAAAAUCAGCACAAGUCAAAAUCGAGUCAGAAUAUUGACCUUUCACCAAAGUAACAAAACUGUCCAGCACCGACCAAAACAGACCUUUUCCACUUAGAAAAUUCAUAAAAUAUUCUUUGGUACUUGAAAUAAUAUGCUUCUUUUUUUUUCUAAUUACAUAAGACACAUUCAAAAAGAAUAUAAUUAAAAUUCAUAAUUUUUGGACUUCUGAGACUAUUUUAAAACGUUUUAUUUCCGAGAACAUCUAACCCGUCCAGAAAAUUCCAGUUUUGAAAACAAAAUUUCAAAAAUUCGUAUCUUUUAUUUUACAUGCCCAAAAAUCGCGAUUCCAGUUUUUAAAGACAGAGGAAAGAUUGAAAUUUCAUUACAAAAUCCUACCAUGGCAUGUAAUAUUCAUAAACUAGCCCAACUGUUACACGUUUCAGCUUCUGAAAUUCUGGAAAACAGUUUCCAGAUUUGCAGCAGCCAUAUGUUACGAUUUUUAAUAAUUCAACCAUAAAGAAUAAAAUUACGAAAUUAAACAUGAAAGCAUAGGAGACAUAGAUCUGUUGGCACAAAAAUCAGCAUAAUUUUUAAGGACGUGUAACCUUAUAGAAAAAUUUCCAGAGUUGAGAACCGCUACUGAAAAUCGGAAUUUUCCAGCACCAGUAACCCAACUUCGAAAACCCAUAACAAUUUGCAUACUCAGACGAUUUCAACACAAAACCUAUCAAUGGAAAGCCUAGGAUGUCUAGUUCCAUGAUAUGUAAGAUAUUCACGUGAUUCUAAAUAAAGAAAACAAUUUCAAGCAAGGAAUAGAGACUGUUCAUAUCAUCACAACAUUACAAACACACAUAUAUUACCCAAAUCAUACUACAAGUAAUUAAAGGCAAACAAUUUCAUAAAAAUAAAUCAUAUAAGUCCAAGAAAUACUUAAUACCUUAAGGCAAACACUAAGAAAAGAAGUGAUGAUGCUUUCUUUUCCUUCUCCAACGACUUAUAUUUCUUUCUUUUCUUUCUAGGGUUUGUCCAAGCAAUCACUUUCAUCAAACGACAGCGUUGAAGGAAUUGUGCAAUUUUUAACGUUCUUUUCUAGACAGAAGUCACAGAGAGGGGAAAGGAGAGGAUUGGCCUUAGAUAUCUCACAAUUAUUAUUGAGAUAAAACGUUAUUGUAAAAGACGAUUAACAGAAUAAUAUUGAUUCUUUUGCAUUGUUAUAAUAAUAAUUUUUUCUUUUGACAGUUCUGCAGGACAAGUGAUCAGAGCUCAAUGAAUAUAGCCGUGGAGGCUGAACUUAGGUUGAUGUCAAAAGAGGUAAUUGACUUGGCCUGUUAAUAUAUAUAUAUAUAUAUAUAUCAUAUGAUGCAGGCCACAGCAGAGCAGGAUUAUGAAAAAGAGAAGCUUAUUACAGGUCAUUCAAGUUUACUUGCUUUUAUAUAAUAAGUGUUUUGGCCGAUUUAUCUAAUUCACAAAAUAUCAUUUCCGGUACAUAUCUCCAUCGGUAUCAAGAAGAGGCAGAACCCAAAGAAACGUUUCAUGCAUCUUCAUAUUUGUGCGAAUCCAUCCUUUCAUUGAGAAUAACCAUUUCCAGGCAGCAGUUGGCAAUCAAUUCGCACGUCGAUGCUAUUCAUAGAUAUUAAAGACAAUGAUGAACCAAAGGUGAUAAGUCAUAAAUGCAUAAUUACCAAACCUCCAUCCUUCUCUCAUUAUGAUGUGAUUUUAAAUGAAUUAUUGCUUGGUAAGUGGUAACAUUAUUUCCAAACCAUUGCAAGUCCUUUUUUUUUUUUUGGGGAGAAAUUUCAAUUGAAAGUGAUUCCUUGUCUAAUGUCACCAUCAAACAACAAAUUUAAAAGCCUACCUAUCAAAUACAUGAGGCAAUAAACGGAGAAAAAGUUGAAUUACAAGAACAAGUUGACGAUUCUUGUCAAUGGUUAAUGAUUCGUGAACUGAGAUAGCAUUCAAGAAUCCAAUUUCAAUACAACAACGUAAAAGAUAAACAGAUGAUGAAUUUUAUGAGAUAAAGAAGGAGAUCGUGUUUUAUCGUAUCUCUAUUUUCUUUCUUUUUAAAUUUAAAAUAAGCUUUUCAAUCGGUUUGUUAACCGGUUAUAAUAUUUUUUAAAAUAAUUAAAUAUUUUCAUUAUUAAAAAUAAUGUGUACCGUUGAUUACAUCUAACGGUACAUAUUUCUUACACUAUUAAUACCGUAAAAAAAAUCAUAGAAGGAACCUUAAAACAUUUUCAUUUAAAAUUAUUUGGUGUAGUCAAAAAGUAAUUAAGAAAGAAAUAAUUGUCCCUUUGGUCAUUUCACAAAAAUGAAAGCCCCAUAUAACAUGGACUUGAAUAAUGGAAGCCCAAUUGUUUGUGUUUGAUUUCAAGCUUUAUCGGACCUUUGGACCUGGAUACUUUACUGCGGCCUCUAAGCCCUAUAAAUUUUUUUUGGGAUAAAAGGCGCUUCAAUGAAAAAGCACUUUAAAACUUUGGAUUUUGCCAAAACUUCAAAGCGGUUGCGGUGUUAUGCUAACGGGUUUAAAGGUUCCGAUCCAAUGAGUUAGGGUGGAAUAUGAAUAUAUAAAUUCCAUAGCAUGUAAGGACUAGGAUUUGUUUGUUCAUAUCAAGAAAAAAAAUCUGAAAAUUUGAUGAUCAGAAGAUAAGAACACUUAAAACACGUUUAUUACAGAGAAACAAACGACAACAUGAUACUAGUAGUAGUUAUUCUUUUCAUCCGAUAUAUUACAUGGUAAUAUCACUACUCGUUCCACUGGUUUCAUAUACACCAUCGACCAGCAACAUGAUAAUUUUGUGUCUGUUCAUUUUGUUUGUAGGAAAGAGCAGUGUAUUUCUUAGAGCUUGAAAAUAAUAAAAAGAUUUUAAAAUAUAAAUUGCAUAUUUGUUUAUUGCUGUUGUUUGGUCUAAUUUCUAAUUUCUUAUAUAUUCACAUACGUUUUAUUUUGUCAUUUUGUAGAACAUUUUUACACGCCAUAUUAUCACGUCUCUUCUCUGUCUGAAUAAGAAGAAGGCAUAAUGCGACCCUCCAACAGCUUAAUCUAUGGAAUUAUCGUGUUUUGUAAGUUGAGGUCCAAUGGCGUUUUGGCACAUCAUAUGAUAGACCACUAUAUUGCGUUGCUUUACAAAAGAUUAAUAUUUUUAUUUAUCUAAUUCACCAAAUGUUUUUUUCCGGUACAUAUCUCCAUUGGUAUCAAGAAGAAGCAGAACCCAAAGAAACGUUUCUUGCAUCUUCAUAUUUGUGCGAAUUCAUCCUUUCAUUGAGAAUAACCAUUUCCAGGCGGCAGUUGGCAAUCAAUUCAUUCGCACGUCGAUGCUAUUCAUAGAUAUUAAAGACAAUGUUGAGCCAAAGGUGAUAAAUCAUAAAUGCAUAAUUACCAAACCUCCAUCCUUCUCUCAUUAUGAUUUGAUUUUAAAUGAAUUAUUGCUUGGUAACAUUAUUUCGGGAAACCUUUAGACAUUUACCUAAUGAAGUUAGUUAAUCGGGUGGGUUGGAAAAAAAAAAAAGUUGACGCAAGUCAAUGCACAAUGAUUAAUUAAAUCCGGAGUGACUAAAACAGAGCCACUACUUUUUCAAAAAUAUCUGCAUUCAUCACUUUCUCCAGCAACUAGUCAGCUACACACGAAUCAAUUUCUCUCCUCGUUUGUUGUCAUCCAAAAUUAUUCACCAAUACCAUGGCUGAUGCAAUCGUUUCCACUAUCUUGGAGCAGCUGAUUUCCUUCGCUGCUGAAGAGAUAAAACAACAGGUGAUCAAAGUUACACCCCUCAUAUUACAAAUGCUUCCAAUGAUUUUAAUUGGUUUUGUUUUUAUUGAAAACAUUAUCUAUUGUUGCUUUAUUUUAUUUAUCUGGUAAUUUUGUAUUUUGAAAUUUGAAUUGAAUUUAAUUAAAAGGUGAUGUAGUGACCACUCAUUUUUAUUUUAUUUCAUUUAUAUUCUCAAUAACUACCCAUAUUUUGGUAACUUAAUAUAACUCUCGUACAUAAGCAAUGAUCAAAACCCACAAUUUUAACUCUGUAUAAAUAUUCAACGUUGAGUCAUUAAUUCUCAACUCAGCACUGAAUCCCAUAGCUAUUACUUAGACUCUAUGAAAAAUUUCAUAGUUUUCUUACAUUCUUUGAGUUUGGUAAGUGAUUUCAUAUAAUUUCUUUUCAAGUUAAAUUUUAAUUUGGUUUCUGAUAUAGUCUCUUUGCCGAAUUGUCUCUUUUAUGAUUCUUGGAUUUUGGGCUUCAACUUUUUAGGAUUUGAUAGUCACAUUUUAUGCCGUGCUCAGAUUGAUUUUCAUGAUUUUUAGUAGCCGUUAAGUGACUUACAAUUUGACGAAAGUUUGAAAGGAAAUAUGUUUCAGGAUUAUGUUUUAAUUGACCUUUUAGUGGAAAUAGGAUGCUUAUAACUUAAUGUGGAUGGUUCGUAAAAUCAUGAAAUUUGGAUAGGAUUCACUAGAAAUAUGUACAAGACUCUCCAUAAAGUUUCAUAAUUUUUCAUUCGGUCUGGGGUGGUACAGGUGAAGCUUGUGGUUGGUGUUGACAAAGAAGUGAAAAGCCUUACCAGCCACCUUCAAGCCAUUCAAGCUGUUAGCGAUGAUGCAGAGGAAAAGCAAGUGAAGGACAAAGCUAUUAGACUUUGGCUGGGUAGGCUCAAGUACGCAUCCUACGACAUUGAAGAUGUGUUGGAUGAAUGGAUCACGGCAAGACAAAUUGCAAAUUAAGGGUGGCGCUGAUAAGAAAAAGAAGGUAUGUUUCUGCUUUCCCGCCUCUUGUUUUGGAUUCAAACAAGUCUUUCUACGUCAUGACAUUGCCAACAAGAUCAAAGAAGUCAGUGAAGAGCUACAUGAUAUUGCCACCCAAAAAGACAUGUUUAAAUUUGAGAGUAGCAGUAAAAGUAGUGAAAGACCAAGGCGUGUGCAGAGUACCUCCUUGAUUGAUGAGGAAGAGAUUUGUGGUAGAGUUGGUGAGAGGAAUGCACUCUUAAGCAUGCUAUUGUGUGAGAGCAGUGAGCAACAAAAAGGCCUUCAUAUCAUCUCAAUUGUUGGUAUGGGAGGCAUCGGGAAAACAACUCUUGCACAACUAGCAUGUAAUCAUGUUGAGGUAAAGAGAGAGUUUGACAAAAUUUUAUGGGUGUGUGUAUCAGAAACUUUUGACGAGUUUAGGAUUGCCAAAGCGAUGCUUGAAGCUUUGACUGGUUCAACUUCUAAUUUAGAUGCAUUGCAAUCUCUUCUUAUAAGUAUUGAUGAAUCUAUUGCGGGAAAGAGAUUUCUUCUUGUCUUAGAUGACGUGUGGGACGGAGAUUACAUUAAAUGGGAACCAUUCUACCGUUGCCUAAAGAAAGGUCUCCAUGGAAGUAAAAUUUUAAUUACGACACGUAAGGAGUCAAUUGUGAGCAUGAUGAGAUCCACAGAUAUUAUCUCUAUCAAGGAAUUGGCUGAAGAAGAAUGUUGGGCAUUGUUUAAGCGGUUAGCAUUUUUCGGUCGUUCCACUGAGGAGUGUGAAAAAUUGGAACAAAUUGGUCAAAGAAUUGCAAGAAAGUGUAAAGGUUUACCUCUUGCUGCAAAGACAAUGGGAAGUCUCAUGAGCUCUAAAAAAACUGAAGAAGAGUGGAAAAGAAUUUUAAAUAGUGAUUUAUGGAAGGUAGAAGAGAUCGAGAAAGGUGUUCUAACCCCUUUGUGGUUGAGUUAUAACGAUUUGCCAUCUAGAGUAAAAAGAUGUUUCUCGUAUUGUGCUGUCUUUCCAAAAGACUUCAAUAUAGAAAAAGACAAACUAAUUACUUUGUGGAUGGCUCAAGGUUAUCUUAGUGCAGAAGAAGAUGAGGAGAUGGAGACUAUAGGUGAAGAGUAUUUUAGCAUCUUAGCUUCUCGCUCUUUCUUUCAAGAGUUUAAGAAAAGUUAUGAUAAUCGGAUUAUAGAGUGUAAGAUGCAUGAUAUGGUACAUGAUUUUGCCCGAUUUGUAAGUCAAAAUGAAUGUUUUUCGAUGGCAAUUAAUGGUAGUGAAGAACCAAACGCCACAAACUCUCUUGAUGAGAAGGUCCGUCAUUUAAUGUUAAUCUUUAGUAAAGGGGCUUCAUUACCUGUUUCCACUCGUAGAGUUAAAAGAAUGCGUACCCUCUUAGUUAACGAUAGUGGAGCUGAAUCAUCUGAUCAUUCAUCAUUAAAUGCUGAGAUCGUAGAAGAAUUAUUUAGGGAAUCGACAAGUUUAAGGGCAUUAGAUUUUGGCGGAUCGUACGACACAAAAUUUUCUUUGACUCUGGAGAUUCCGAGAAACAUAGAAAAGCUGGUACAUUUAAGAUACCUUAAUUUGUCUUAUCAGGGAAUAAAGAAACUACCCGAGACAUUAUGCGAGUUGUAUAAUCUAGAAAAGUUAGAUAUUAGUUAUUGUUAUAAGCUAGAAGAAUUACCUGAAGGGAUUGGGAAGUUAAUAAACAUGAAGCAUUUACGAAAUAGAGGUACUAGUUCUUUAAGGUACAUGCCAGUAGGGAUUGGGAGAUUAACGGGUCUUAGGACCUUGGGUGAGUUCCACGUGAGUGCAGGAGGAGGUGUUGAUGGUAGGAAAGCAUGUAGGCUUGAAUCUCUUAAAAACUUGGAAUGCCUUCAAGUAUGUGGUAUACGUAGACUGGGUGAUGUAUCAGAUGUGGGCGAGGCUAAGCGAUUAGAACUUGACAAAAAGAAAUACCUCUCUUGUUUGAAACUUCGGUUUGAUAAGAAGGAGGAAGAAGAUGAGGAGGAAGAAGAAGGAGAAAGGAGGAAGAACGAGGACGAUCAACUUCUUCUUGAAGCCCUGCGACCACCUCUGGAUUUAAAGGAAUUAGAGAUACAGUACUACCGAGGCAACACUGUUUUCCCUAAUUGGAUGAUGUCAUUAACCAACUUAAAGAGUUUAGAUCUCUCUUUCUGCGAAAAUUGCGAGCAGCUGCCUCCUUUGGGAAAAUUGCCGUCCCUUGAAAAACUCAGCCUAUUGCACAUGCGGAGUGUGAAAAGAGUGGGUGAUGAAUGUUUGGGGAUAGAAAGUGAUCAUCAUGACUCAUCGCCAUCUUCAUCAGUUAUUAUUGAAUUCCCCAAAUUGAAAUCACUUUCAAUUCAGUUUCUGGGCGAAUUGGAGGAGUGGGAUUAUGGGAUUACAAGAACGGGAAACACCGUCAUCAACAUCAUGCCACGUCUUUCUUCCUUGGAAAUUGGUAGCACCAAAUUAAAGGCACUGCCCGACCACAUUCAUCAAACGACAACAUUGAAGGAAUUGCGCAUUUGGGGGUGUAGGCUUCUGGGAAAACGUUACCGCAAGGGGGAAGGAGAAGACUGGCCUAAGGUAUCUCACAUUCCCAACACAGAUAUUCGAUAAGAAGGAUUCGCGCAUUCGAGAUUUGGCGUUGACAAGUAAUUUCUUCUCUUACUCUGAUUUGCUUUUGUUGUUGUUUUUAAUCUAGUUAAGAAGCAUAAAUAGCAUUUUGAAUCAAGCUGUAUAUCAGAAAUCUGUAAUACAUAUUUUCUAUUAUUCCGAUUUUAAUUUGUGAUUUGGGUAACGUUACUGUAAAACAUUAUUAAUGCAAUAUGAAGGCUGUAAAACAUUAUUAACCUAUUACUGUAAAACAUUAUUACUGUAAAACAUUAUUAACCUAUGUUUAGCUGGCUUUGGAGUUGAGUAAUAACCUUUCGAGGUCGCGCCUAUAAAAUGGCUAAGCUCAAUUUGCCACAGAUUACAUGUAUUGCCAUCAUUGACAAUUUUCUGGAUAAGUGAUGAAGGGUGAGAAUGGUGCUAGAAUAUUGAAUAAAGCUGUCGUGACUGAACUUUGGUUGAUCUCAAAAGAGGUAUAUUAUUGGCAUGCCUAGCUAAUUUGACCACUUCCUGAUUCAUAAGCCUAUAUCAAUUUUGAUUUUGAGUUGAGUGAUUAAUUUUCAAGGUUUGCUUACUUAACCGGUGACCAAUUUCUUGUAACUAAAUGUAUCAUAUGAUGCAGGCAGCAGGGCAGGAUAUGAAAUGAGUAGUUUAUUAGUGGAUGGAUUGCCAGAAACAGAACCCAAAGAAAAUGAAAACAUUUCGAGGCAGCAGUUGGCAGCUGGCAAUGAAUGGAGGCCCUUGAAAAAAUUCCCAAGCCGUUGCACAGCAAUUACGAUCAUCCUCGGCCUCAGGUAAUUUCUUCUCCUGCAUUUUUGUUAUUUGCUAUCAAGUGACUAUUUUAAGUAUGAUUGCAUUAAGCUGCUGCUGGGAAAUUUGAGGUUUUGAUGGCUGCCCAUGCUAUUGUCAGAAGCUGCGGUUCUUUUCAUCAGCCUGAACCUGGACCUGCCGCUAUGGAUAACUCAGAUUUUUUUUUUUUUUUUAAUCAACUGUGUCAUCUUUUCCACUGUUUUGAAACUCUUAAGAUUAAACUUUAGUAAAGUUGUUUUAGUUAUCCAUGUAAUCAGGCUGAGGAUACUUAGCUGCCUAUUUAGGCAAAUGUCAGACUUUAGUUUGUUCGCUGGGAACUGGUGUGGUGACAGCGUCCUGGCAAAGGAUGAUGAGAUAGUUUUUUGAUUGAGUAAAUUUUGGGAGCUUGAGUGUAUUGGGAUUUGCAAUUACAAUCAUCCUCUGCCUCAGGUGAUUUCUUCUCCUGCCCUGUCGUUGUUUGUUCUCUAAUUCAAAAUUAUAAAAUAUUUCAUCAAAUUUUAUGCCAGGAAUAUGCAAAAGUUUCUAAUAUUUUAUUUCCAUCUGUUUGCCUUGAUAACUUUGCAGCAAAUGUACUAGUUAAAGAACAAAUCGAAACAGAGUUCAGUUAAAAGUUUCUUCUGCCGUCAUAUUUGAAAAAUGAACCCAUUUCCAGGAAGCAAUGGGCAGCAAAUUCAUAUAAAGCGUAGACAAUGAUGAGCAAACAGGUGAUUCACAAUUUCACUUUUUUUAAUGAAAUUAAUUGUUUGGUUGGAGCGGACAUUGUUAGAAGGCUAUUGAGCUAACCUAUGUCACUACUUGCCUAGAUUACAGGGGGUCAAAACUCAAAAGCGGCAUUGAAUUUUAAAAGGCAUCCAAUAAUUCUGGCUUUUGUUAUCAACUAUAUCAUCUUUUUCACUAUUUUGAAACUCUUAAGAUUAAACUUUAGUAAAGUUGUUUCAGCUAUUCAAAUGAAAAACUCAUUGAUUUGAGACUUCCUUCAUUAUUGUUUCUAAUUACAAUGCUAACGAUCCAGAUAAGAUAAUAUUUAAUCGGCGAAGGUGUCCCUUGGAAGUACAUCCUUCUUUUUCUUUUGUUAUAUAAAUUCUUGCAAUGAGCUUAGUGAAGCUGUUGUGCUAAUCAUGCCACUGCAUAAUUUGUUCUGCAAAUUCUCCAGAGGUUAAAAUCAAUAAAUUUUCUAUUAGCUCUAGUGCUUUGACUUAAAUGCUAUUCUAUAUUCUGAUUACAAUGUUUUAACCUUUAAAUUAACUACCCCUAGAUGUUGGAUUUUCUAGAACUUCAAAAUGAUUAAUGGAGAAAGAUCCCAUUAUCGUUAUUGCUAUAUGAAAUUGAUUUAUGCAUCCAAAGAUACAUUAUAUAUUUCUGUGUCUCUAUUUAUAGAUGACAUUUAAGCAUCCAUAAACCGUCAGACAGAGGAAGGGGGUUCAGUGCAAAGAUUCUGUUGACCUAGGGUUGACUGCAUAAUGUCACUUGUUCGCAAUCUAUUAUUUAUUUUAUAUUUUGAAGAAUUUAAUGGGUAAUCCUAACUGUUUGUUUUGGCAGGUAUGUGUUGUUAUCUCCUUCUAUCUUACAGUCGUACCUAAAUAGCAUAGUUUCAUCUGUGUUACCAUGUGAUGUACAUAAUUUCACAUUUGCCUCAGAUUAAGCUUAAUUUCCCACAGAAUAGAGCUGUCGCGACUGGACUUAGGUUGAUGUCCAAAGAGGUAAAUUAUUGGCAUGCCUAGAUAAUUUGGCCAUUUCCUAAUUCAUAAGUCUACAUUAAUUUUGAUUUUGAGUUGACUGAUUUCUUUUCAAGGUCUGCUUCCUUAACGGAGUGACCAAUGUUUUUCAACUAAAUUUAUCAUAUGAUGCAGGAAGCAGGGCAGGAUAUGAAAUGAGAAGCUCAUUGGUGGAAGUAUUGCCAGUAACAGAACCCAAAGAAAAUGAAACUAUUUCAAGGCAGCAGUUGGCAGUUGCAAGUGAAUGGAAGCCCUUGACAAAAUUCUCAAGCGGUUGCAAUGCAAUUACGAUCAUCCUCAGCCUCAGGUAAUUUCUUCUCCUGCUUUGUAUUUAUUUGUUAUCUAAUUAGGAAGCGUAAAGUAUCUUGAAUCAUUUUCUGUAUCUGGAAUAUAUGCAAGAGUUUCUAAAAUUUUGAUAUGAGUGUAAUGAUGGUAAUUUCUGAUUUCUGUCUGUCAUCAAAUGUUAGAAAACUUUCAUUGAGACCCUUGAACCGAGUCAUUUUUGACAAGUGAAGUGCUGAAGAGUGAAGAGUAAGAAUGGUGCUAGAUUGGGGAAUAAAGCAAAAGGAGGUAAAUUAUUGGCAGCUUCUUCAACCUUAUUUUCUUUGGACCAGUGCCUAAUUCACAAGUCUCCAUAAUUCGGCUUUUGACCAGUUGAUAGAUAAAAUUUUAAUUUCAUUGGUGCUAAUGUACCCGUGAGGCAGGCAGAGAAGGACUGUGGAAAAGAGAAGGUUUUUAGUGAAAGCUUAAACUCAGGUAAUUCUAAAAAUUAUAUGUUUUGGCUGAUUUAUCUAAAUCAGGAAAUUUUAUUUCCAUCUGUUACAAUAAAACAGAAACAGAACACAAAGAAAAAUAUUCUACUUCUUGUGGCAAUCUUGCCUUCAUUCAGACUAUGAAACCAUUUCCUUUCACCAAUUUCUUCCAAAAGUUUGAACACGUUUCAUGGUUGGACAUAGUUAGCUUCUUUUUCUUUUGGUGCAUUUAGGUGCUAUCAAGUGACAGCCAUAAGUAUGAUUGCAUUAUUAGGAAAUUUUAGGUUUUGAUGGCUCCCCAUGUUAUUGCCAAGAAAUUUUAAGUCCUCAUGUCAGAAGCUGCGUUUCUUUUCAUCAGCCUGAACCCGAACCUGUCACUAUGGAUAACUGAGGUUUUUGUCAUCAACUAUAUCAUCUUUUUCACUGUUUUGAAACUCUUAAGAUUAAACUUCAGUAAAGUUGUUUCAGUUAUCCAUGUAAUCAGGCUAAGGAUAUUUAGCAGCUUAUUUAGGCAACUGCCAGAAUUCAGUUUGUUCGCUCGAAACUUGUAUGGUGACAAGGAUACUGGCAAGGAUAGUGAGAUAAUUUUUUGUGUGAGUGAAUUUUGAAAGCUUGGGUGUUCUGGGAUUUGCAAUUGCAAUCAUCCUCUGCUUUAGGUGAUUUCUUCUCCUGUUCUGUCUUUAUUUUCUCUCUAAUUGAAAGCAUUUCAAUCAAAUUCUGUACCAGGAAUACGAAAAAUUUACUAAUAUUUUAUUUCCAUCUGUUUGCAUUGAUAACUUGGCCGCAUAUGUACUAGUUAAAGAACAAACAGAAGCAGAGUUCAGGAAAAAGUUUCUUCGGCCACCAUAUUUGAAAAUGAAACCAUUUCCAGGAAGCAGUUGGCAGCAAAUUCAUACAAAGUAUAGACAAUGAUGAGCAAAAAGGUGAUUUGCAAUUUCAUUUUUUUAAAAUGAAAUUAUUUGUUAAGUUGGAGCGGAUAUUGUUAGAAGGCCAGAAGGCCACUGAGCCAACCUAUGACACUGCUUGCCUAGAUUGCAGGAGGUCAAGACUCAAAAGAUGCACUGAAUUUUAAAAGGCAUGCAAUAAUUCUUAUGGCCAUUUGUCAAUGGUGGAAUGCUUUUAGCUUCUUUUCCUUUCGUGCAUUUUGGGGUUCUAUCAAGCGACAGCCGUAUGUAUGGAUGGAUAUAGCUGAAGGACAACAUUUGUCCAUGAGGUUCCUAAAAUCGCAACUUUUGUGCAGUAAAAUUAAAACGGACGGCGGAAGCUCUAGAAACCUCGGAUCGGCUUCAUUCAAAAACGAAAAUCAAGAGGAAAGAUUGAAGUUUAAUUACCUCACUUGCAGUUUCGAAAAAGACUUCGUGAGGUAGGAGAAAACGACUGAAAACAGCAAGCUACGAACAUUGUCCAGAAAAUACAGCUCUGCACGAACAGCUUCUGUUUUGCCACGAUCUGAGAUCCUUAAGCACCCCAAUUGUGAUGCCUCUAAUUAUUCCACACUUAGAAAUGUUCUAGGAGUUCAGAGGAUUUGGAAUCACGAAAUUUCGUUUAGAAAUGAGAGAGAUAAUGAUGAAACAUGAAUGCUAGUUCAUGAUGAUUCCCCUUCCACCAAAUAAAGCACCAUUAUGUCUAAUAAUGGCACCAAACAUUAUCAUGUGCUAGACCCACCCACUUAGCUAUAAUUUAUUGAAAGUGAUCUUAUCACUUAAAUAAAUUAUUUAAUCAAAUUAAUAAAUAGCUAAAUUAAUUAAUUUCGUAAUUAAUUAAUUAACCCCAUUUUGAUCAAAUCAAAUGGUUAAAUGUGGGCUCAUUUUGUGACAUGUUCUAAUGCUUUCUCUUAAUCCAUAUUAGAUCCAAUAAAAGCCCAAAAUUCUAAACCUAAAAAUGGUCUAGAAGUCCAUAAUCAUAUAUGAACCCGAACAUGUUCAAAAUGGUCAUUUUACGUGCUCGAUAUUACAUAAUGUUUAAUGGAGGAUUUACGAAAUUUAUUUUGUUCCUUAAACUAUUUAUGGAACAUCUAAAUUUCUAUCUUAAAUCAUAUUUAAGAUAUAUUUAUAUAUAUAUAUUCAUUCUCAAUGAAUUAUAAUAUAAAUAUUGAUUUUCCUAAAAAUAGAAAAUUUAACUUCUCAUUUUUUAGUAACUCCUUUUUCAUUUCUAUUUAGUGUGUGACUUUUUAGGUUCUUAGUUAUAAGGUAGUAGAACUAUUUUAAUGAUAACUCUUUAUUCAUUAAAUGAUGCUAAACUCUUUAGUCAUCAAUUAGAACUCUUCUAAUGACCUUAAGAUGCAUUGAUAAUACGCUUUACCAAUAUUGAUCUUAAGGUUUCUACAAAUCAUGAGUGACACCUAGCAGUAUAUCACAACCAUCCAAAUAACAAGAAUUGUUGGAUCUAUAGAACCUAUUCCAUUGUAUCUCUAUGUCUUGGUCUCUUCAUCAUCCAUGUCUAGAGAAAAGCACGGCUUAUGGUUUAUUAUGUUAAGCACUUAUGCUUUAUCUCAAAAAAAAUCUAAAUGAACUUGACAUGAAAAUAUAAUUUGAACUCCUUCAAAUAUAUUUCACCUUGGCCAAGGAUUUCUCAUGCCAAUUCAUAUUAUCUCAUAGGGACAUCCUUUUUGUAUAUUACAAAGUGAUGAAUUCCAUAUUGGCCAUGCACUAGUCUUCAUACAUAUCCAACCAUGACAGUUAUUGCUAGAUAUCUUCCGUGAUUAGGAAUCAAUCAUUAUGCAUUCACAUAUUAGAGAUGUCUAUGUAUAAGACAUCUGUUAUGCCUCAGGUCUAAAGACCAUUACUAAACAUAGUGUCUAAUACAAUGUAUAAUAAGCCAUUAACACUCAAGACCAUAUGGCUUACUAUAUUUGGUCAAGUUCAGUAAACUUGUUCUCUCAACAAGUACCUAUGUGUUUGACUUGACAUCUCAUGUCAAUGAUAUGAAACUCACCAUCCAUUUUAGUAUCACAUACCAUAAGGAGUCAUAACACAUACUAGUGUUUAUAGGAAUUUAUAAUGUCCAAUCAUAAAUCCACCACUAGGAACUAUUUUAGAAGUAUAGUACAAAGGAUACACGUUUCAUAUUCUCGACAAACUCGAGAAUGUGUUCCUUAACUAUUUUACAUCUUGGACUAUAUUCAUUAAAUUAAUUAAUGAAUAUUGAUAACUUUGCCAUUUUAUAAAUAUCAAAAUGCUAUUCAAAUACGAUAAUUCCCUAAACAAACAAACACCUGAUUGGCCUUUAGGGCAAAUUACUAACAAUAGCUGCUGCGUUGAUUUCUAAUGCGGUGGAGUAAUCGUCGUUAGAAUCUGAAUGAUAUGUCUAAGACGUUGCAUGCAUCAAGAAAAUUGCAGAUGAUUAAACCUUGCCAUCUAUGCGUUGUAUGAGGUUAUAGCAACUAUCUAUCUGGUCACCGUUUUAAAAGAAUAAGACAAAGGGAAAAAGAGAAAGAAAAGAAUGAUUCGACAAUGGCAUUAAAGUUCAACAUACCCCAAGAUCUUGUAAUAAUGCCAUUAAUCAUUCUCUAGCUAGGCUAGCCUUAGAGAAAAGUGAAACUGUUGCACAGGUAGAAUCAAACCCCUCAGAGAUAUGAUGAGUUCGUGAUGCUUGCAUUUUAUUGAUGCUGAUGAUUCGUUGAAUGUUUUAUGUUUUUGAUUUUUAAGUAUUCCGGAUCGAAGUUUGUGUCUACGCGGAAAUUGUAAAGGCAGCAUAUAAAGUACUCGUCGUUCUUUAGAUUUUAUUGAGUACACUUUUGUCACAUUUAGCGUAUGCUAUACACUACUGAUUUGCGCAUUGACAUAUAUCUUAUUUUAUCAUUUUGAAUGAAUUGCACGGCGAGGCUUAUCAACUUUGGAUGAAUCCUCCAAUUGUCACAGUCCAAGACUGGCUGCAGUGAGUGAAAAUUUACCCAUAUAUGUGCUGGCUAUUUUUAUUGGCGACGAAUUCGUUGUAGUUGGUCCAUCUUGCUAUUCUCGGACAAUAUUAGAGAAAAUAAUCAUAUUAUUUCGCGUGAUGUGACCUUCCAUAACUUAUCAAUUGAAUUACUGUAAAAUUAUUGUGUAAGUUUAGGCCCAAUGGCACUUUAGUUCAUCACAUGAUAGCCUGGAUUUAAAAGGAAAACUAUAUUGCAUUGCUUCAAAAAAAAAAUUUAAUGUUUUUAAUAUGAAUAUUUUUAACUAUAUUCAGUUAAAAUAAUAUAUUCUUAAUAUUAAUAUUCAUAGAUGAAAUUCUUUUGCGGAUUUAAGAAUAAAAUAUCAAAUAGUUUUAUUUUUCUUUUGUUGUGUAACUUGGACCGAAAAAGAAAAUGAGCUUAACAUGACCCUCCUUCCGGCACUAUGCAUGUUUUUCUUAUAUUGAUGACAGUGCUCUUGGUGCUUCUCAUCUGCUUCUUGCUUUGGUUUCAAACAAGUCUUUCUCCGUCGAGACAUUUAUUGUAAUUUGAUUUGGAGACAUCUGUCGUUCAAAUAUAUUUCAUAUGCAAGCUGUUGAUAAUUCUGCUUGAGAAAGCCUACAAAGCAGCUGUGUGAUGUAAUAGAAGACUAUAUAUGCAAACGGUCAUCAGUUUCUCUUGAAUUCUUUCUUGAGUUUCUUUGAAUUAUUUGUGAAUGAGUUCUUAAUCGGCUGCUGCUCUUCAGGAAAAGGAAAGUGUUGCAAACUGGUGAAGCUGAUCGAUAAAAGCAAUGUACCAUCUUUGCUGCCAUGGAUCGAUGCCAGUGAGUUUUUUUUAUUUGUCAAACUACUAAUGAGUUCUCCAUGCAUAUGUGUUUCUUCAACUUGAAGCGGCAUAUAAGACGAAAGAAGUGAUCUUUAAAGCAUUCUAUCGCAUUAUCCUUUCCUAUUAUAUAUAUCCAAUUGCUCCAAAUUAUUUGUAAAUUACUGAACACGAAUGCUGAUGAAUAAACUGAUCGCUCUAUGUAUGUAUGCACAUGCAUGGAGAAAUUUUAAGUCAGACAUUCUCAUAUAUAACUCUUGGUACCAAAUCAUCAAAUAAAUCUUGAAAUCAAAGUAAUAAUUAAAUACAAAUAAAUUGCUCGAAUUGUACAUAUAUCUGAAUCAUGUAGUGAAGAAAAUACAACAACAACAACCAAUGGCUCAAAUCCCCCAUCAACCUCUGGUCUCAACACUUUUGAGUGUCAGAAGCAUUACUCUGUUACCAGUUAACAAACAUAUAAUUAGUAAUUUGCCAUUCACUUCCCUUUUAGGCCUAACACAUUUUCUAUAAAGGAGCCACAGAGUGAACUCAGCAGGAAACACUCAAUUUCAACCUACGUAGGACCAGGAAUUUCAACCAAAAAAAAAGUGUGCAAUUGCUUAUCCUAUCCUAUUGCUACUAGAAAGAAAGUGAACAAUUAAUUUCAGUGAAUAAAUUAAAAAAAAAAAUUACUUCUGCAGAUACUCAAGCUAAGAACACAUUAACCCAUUAAAGACUCCAAAUUGCAUCAAACAAAUUGUUGUUAAACAAGUAAAACAAAGAAAGAGAGUUAAGGAAGCUGACCUAGUAGUAGGGGAGCUGAAGAAAGACUGCCAGUGAAUGUAAGAGAAAAUAAAAUGCAAGAAAUGGUGAAGUGCAGCUUUUCAUGUCAACUUGAAAUUGUUUCUUCUGUUUUUUUUUUUAAUCUUUUGGAUUUUUAAAACAAAGAAAAUGAGGAGCAACCAGGGAGAUAAAAAGGGCGCCAAGGCAACUGUGUGUUGGGUUUAGAGCCAAAAAAAAAAAGAAGAAUAAGACAUCGUGUUCUUGUGGAGACCAGACCUAUUACGUAACGUCCCCUUCAAUACCACUUGUUCCGUAUCUGGUUUUUUCUUCGUCUUUUACAUAUUUAUCCUGUGAUUUUACAAUAACUAAAUAAUCCCCCCAUAGUUUGCAAUUUUAUUCAUUUGAGCCCUACAGAUUUCAGUAAUAGGAAUUAUUAAGGGACGAGCGCAAAACAGAAACUCUGUCCACUACUGAUGAUAUAACAACGAACCUUUGUUUUUUUCUUUUUUUUAAAAAAAAAAAAGAGUAACAAAAUAUCAUUAGACAAAUGAAAAUAUUAUCUAACAUCACCUUACUGAUGAUAUGAAAAUAUGUAUGUAUGUAUGUAUGUAUAUACAUAUGUAUGUAUGUACAUAUAUGCAUACAUCUGUUACAUUUCAUCUUUGCACAAUUACACGUAAAAUUCCACUAAAAGAAACUCUUGAGUUGCUCGCAAGCUAUAUAUCAUUAUCCAUUGAAUUCUUACCACAUACAUCUCACCUUUCAAUCAAUCACAUAAUAAUCAAUAUACAUAUUGUAAGAAUUCAACAAAUGGAGAACAUAAUAUACUAUAAAAGCAUCCAAAAUUUUUCCAUCUCAAAUUAUUACUAAACUUCUUGAACAAGUUGAAGAUUGGGGGGAAAAAGUGCAAGAAGGAAAAGCAUUAUUCUACUAGCUUCUAGGUUUCUCAUUUGAACAGAAAAAUUAAAUAAGAUAUUUGUGUAUGGCUGUAGUACUACACGGUAUCUGCUAGAAAGCAAAAUACCUUCUGCUGAUUGCACAUUGGAAUGGGAAUAAGUUGGUAAAUAUAUAAGUUACAUAAAUUAUUUUGGAUAAUUCUGCUGGUGAAUUAAUUAUCUUAAAAUCACCCUUUUAUUUUUUAAAAAAUCUUAAGUUAUUUUUCAUAUAUCUUAAGAAGACAAACAAACUUUCAUCAACUCUCCUUUUUCAGCUUUUCCCUUCAAUAAUGUUAGAAAUUCUAACAUUUGAGUCCUGCUUGAUCUUAAUACUAUAUAUCACUCAUUUAUUAGAUGAUGAAUUUUUUAAAUUAUAAAGUUAUUUGACUACCAUCCAAUGAAUGAAUGUCACGUCAUUUAAAACUCAAAGAAAAGUAUUCUACUUCUUGCGGCAAUCAUGCCUUCAUUCAGACUAUGAACCAUUUCCUUUCACCAAAUUCUUCAUAAACAUUGAGUAAGUUUCAUGGUUGGACAUAGUUAGCUUCUGUUUCUUUUGGUGCGUUUAGGUGCUAUCAAGUGACGGCCGUAAGUAUGAUUGCAUUAUUGGGAAAUUUUACGAUUUGAUGGUUCCCCACGUUAUUGCCAAGAAAGUUCUCAUGUCGGAAGCAGCGGUUCUUUUCAUCAGCCUGAACCCGAACCUGUCGCUAUGGAUAACUCAGGUUUAACAUCAGCAGGAAACACUCAAUUUCAACAAAAAAAAAAAGUGUGCAAUAGCUUAUCCUAUCCUAUUGCUACUAGAAAGAAAGUGAACAAUUAAUUUCAGUGAAUAAAUUAAAAAAAAAAAUCACUUCUGCAGAUACUUAAGCUAAGAACACAUUAACCCAUUAAAGACUCCAAAUUGCAUCAAACAAAUUGUUGUUAAACAAGUAAAACAAAGAAAGAGAGUUAAGGAAGCUGACCUAGUAGUAGGGGAGCUGAAGAAAGACUGCCAGUGAAUGUAAGAGAAAAUAAAAUGCAAGAAAUGGUGAAGUGCAGCUUUUCGUGUCAACUUGAAAUUGAUUUUUCUGAAUUUUUUUAAGCUUUUGGAUUUUUCAAACAAAGAAAAUGAGAAGCAACCAGGGAGAUAAAAAGGGCGCCAAAGCAACUGUGUGUUGGGUUUAGAGCCAAAAAAAAAAAAAAGGAUUAAGACCUAUUACGUAACGUCCCCUUCAAUACCACUUGUUCCGUAUCUGGUUUUUUCUUCGUCUUUUACAUAUUUAUCCUGUGAUUUUACAAUAACUAAACAAUCCCCGUAUAGUUUGCAAUUUUAUUCAUUUGAGCCCUACAGAUUUCAGUAAUAGGAAUUAUUAAGGGACAAGAGCGCAAAACAGAAACUCUGUCCGCUACUGAUGAUAUAACAACGAACCUUUGUUUGUUUGUUUUUUUUUUAAAAAAAAAAGAGUAACAAAAUAUCAUUAGACAAAUGAAAAUAUUAUCUAACAUCACCCUACUGAUGAUAUAACAACGAACCUUUGUAGUUUCUGCCUGUUAAUAUGAAUUGAUCGGGAGUGUUUCCUCACUUAAAAAUUACGAAUUUACAAAAUAUGUACGUAAGUAUGUAUGUAUGUACGUACGUAUAUAUGUAUGUACAUAUAUGCAUACACCUAUGUAACAUUUACUUAUCCAUUCUUUUGAGUUUAAAUCUUAAUACACAUUUUCAUGAAAUUUUUAUUUUAUUAAGUAUACAACUACAUACAACUACAUUAAUGUAUAUAUUUUUUACAUAAGACAUGCCGUCCUAUUAUUCAUAAGUAAACAAUGUGUUGUAAAUAGUAUUCUGUGUUUUCUCAAAGUUGACUUUUCGUCUUUUAUUUUCAGACGCAGACGAUACGUCAUUUUGUAAUCUUCAAAACAUAUACACAGCAGAAUUGGUGUUAUCUGAUUUUGUGAUGCAAUAAGAUUUGCACUUCCUGUGCAUUCAAUGGAAUCAUUUCUUUGUAACUAAUUGGGUGGUGGAAUGGUGGUCAAAUCUCGAACGAAGACAGAUCUAUCAAACUCCAGAAACAGGGAAACCAUGCCACGCUAGUAGACAAUAUGCUAGUUUGAACAAACUUGUUUGAAUGGCAAAAACGACAUGACCUGCUGUAGUAUUAGUUCUUUCCCGAACCAACGGGUGAUUUGCUACGUUGGAUCAUGAAAAUUGAAAAAAAAAAUUAACCAAAAUAAAAAUUCUUAAGGAAUUAGUUAGUUAAUUGAUUGAUCGAAUUUAAUCUAAAUUUGAAAAUGAUAAGAUAAAUUUAAAUUUAUUAUUAUAAUUAUUAUUUUAAACUGGGGUGGGUUUAUACAAUUUGAGCGGUGGAAAUAUCACUACUGAAUUAUUAAAUAUACAGUGUAAAAUUUUGACCUUUAAAAUAUUCCUGUUUUUUUAUUUAGCAUCUAUAAGUUAAAAAAUUUAACAUUGUACCUCAAUAAUUAAAUACAUUUAACUUUAAUCUUCAAAUAGUUACCUACAACAUUUGGACCUAAAUUUUUAAUCCGAUUCGGCCCCUGAUCCAAGUGGGAAGAAGAUCAGGCUUAUACCUAUCACCAACGUAACAUCUUCUGGAAAAUAAUAAGAUUAUUCACCUGCAAUUAUGUGAUCAAACUAAUGGUAACCAAAAUAGAAUAGCGUUAUUUGAGUCCCCUUUCAGUUUCUUUAUCAUUUUUCUUUUCCUAUUUAUAAGCUUAAUUCGGUUCAAAAUCGGCUAAUUCACUUUAAUAAGUUUAUUGGUUUGAACGCUGUUUCCUUUCGUGCAUUUUGGUAUGCUAUCAAGUGACAGUCGUAUGUAUGGUUUGCAUAUAGCUGCUGCUGGGAAAUGUGAGGAUUUCAUGGCUGGCCGUGUUAUUGUCUUAAAUUAGAUGUGAUAAGCUGUUGCUUGGAGAUUCUGUCACCAAGACUUUGCUCACAUCAGAAGCUGUGGAACCUCAACCCUUCUCUAGAUAUCAUCUUUUUCAUUGUUUUAAAACUCUCAGGAUUAAACUUGAGUAAAUUUUUCGGUUGUCUAUAUAAUCAUGUAUUGAGUAAACUCUCAGGAUACUGAGCAGGCAAAUGCCAUAACUCGGUUUGUUCUUCAAAAACUUGUUUAAGAUUCUUGACAAAGCUGCAUGAAGUGAAUCUUGGGAGCUUUGAGGGUGAGAGAAAUUAGAGGGUGUAUAGGGAUUUGGGUUUAUUAGGAAGUUAUAUAUGUAUUUCGUCACUUAUCAUUAUCAUUUUUAUUUUCACAGAAAACCUUCUGAUGGUGCUAAAUUUUCAAACACCGGUCCGAUUCAAAACUUCAUAUUCCAAUUAUAUUCAUAAGACAAAUGGAACACUUUGAACGGCUAGUGUCCGAGCAUUGUAGUUUGAUUUAUUUUGAUGAAAGUACCUUUUGACAUUGAGAUUCUUUCAUGAUUUAAACAUUCUUUUUUAAACCAAAUUAUUAAAAAAAGUAACUAACAUAUAUUAUUUUAUUAGUGCUUUUUAAAUCAAAUGUACAUAGGAGAACUGUAAUUCUUAUCAAUCAAUUUUCCACUAAAUACACCUGCAACAAACUAUUAAUAACAAAGUGAUAGAAAAUACCUGAUUUUUCAUACCUUUUUAAUUUCUUUUGGUCCUAAAAUAUGGGCAUUUGUGUAAUAAUACGCCCAUGUGGAUCUCUAUGCCAUGAGUUUGAUAAAUAGCUAUCAAGGAUCACAUAUUAAGCUAAAAAUAUUUGGAGGACAAAAUUGUAAAACUAAAAGGGUGGAGCAAAUAUGGCUAUCUAGGAUUAAAUAGUAAGUCAACUAUAUUUAAAGGAUAAAAUAUUAAAACUUGAACUGUGAUAUUAAAAAUAUCUCAACUAUUGUAUUAUUAAACCAUAUGUUCUAAUAGUUUUUUUUUUAAGCUUCAAAAUGUUCAGAAUUUUAGAUUGAAACAUUUUCAUUUGAAAUUAUUUGGUGCAGUCACAAGUUAAGAAAGAAAAAGUUGUCCCAUUGGUCAUUUCACAAAAAUGAAAGCCCUGUAUAACAUGGACUUGAAUGGAAGCCCAAUUGUUUGUGUUUGAUUAAUUGAUUUCAAGCUUUAUCGAACCUUUGGAUCUGGAUAUUUUACUGGAGUAAUGAUACAGACACAAACUUUUGUACAAAUUUAUUUUGUACAAACUGAUGUGGCAUGAUAAGAUUGGUUGAAUUAAAUAUCACUUGCCCCACAUGAUUUGUUUUUAUUAAUUUAUAUUUUCAUUCAACCAAUGAAAUCAUGCCACGUCAGUUUGUAUAAAAUAAGUUUGUACAAGAGUUUGUGGCUGUAUCAUUACUCUAUUUUACUGCGGCCUCUAAGCGCUAUAAAUUUUUUUGGGGAUAAACAGCGCUUCAAUGAGGGCAUCUCCAGUGCUUAACACUAUUUUGGUGUAACACCAAUAUUAAAAAUAUAUAUUUUUCACACUAAAUUACUAUUUCAUCUCCAACCUAUUUACACCAAAUUUUAUACCAAAAAAAAUAUUUUUCUUUUUAUUCUUUUAAUUCUCAAGAAUUAAUUCAAUUAACACAAUAAAUUACUAUUAAUAUAGAUAAUUAAGUAAUAAGUAAUUUGAUCAAUUAACAAAAAAAAUAGAAAAUUAUUAAAUUUGCAUUUAAUUAACUAAAUUAGUACAUUAUGAAAAUUAAACAUUACAUUAAUAUAGAAAAAUACAAUAACAAUAAUAAUAAUUUUAUAUCUAAUAUUUUGAUGAUAUUGGAGGAUCUAAUAAUGAUCUUCCAGAUUAUUAAUUUUUUAUUUUUAACUUUGUAAUAUGUAAUAUAGUAAUUAAUGUUAUUGGCAUUUUAUUUUUAUUAUUAAUUUUUGUGUUGAAUAUUUUUUAUUUAAAAUAUUAGUAUAAUAUUCAAAAAUUAAAAAAAAUGAAAUAAAAAUAACAACAAAAAUAAUAAUAAUAAUAAUAACUUAAAAUAUUAUAUAAAAAAGGACAUAUAUGUAAAUAAGAAAAAGUAAUAAAGAUAUUUAGGACUCUUUUUUCCUAGCACCAAAUGAAUAGUGUUACACCAUAUUUGGUGCAAUACUAUUCAUAACACCAAUUUGCUGUUCGUUUUGAUGUUACAUUGGAGAAGCAUUUUACACAAAAAAUGGUGUAAAAGGUAGUUUGGUGUUAGUUUUGGUGUCACAUUGGAGAUGGCCUGGAAAAACACUUGAAAACUUUGGAUUUUUGGUUCGUCCAGUUACGGUGUUAUGCUAAUGGGGUUAAAAGUUCCGAUCCAAUGAGUUAGGAUGGAAUAUGAAUAUAUAAAUUCCAUAGCAUGUAAGGACUAGGAUUUGUUUGUUCAUAUCAAGAAAAAAAAGAUCCGAAAAUUUGAUGAUCAGAAGAUGAAGACACGUUUAUUACAGAGAAACAAACGACAACAUGAUACUAGUAGUAGUUAUUCUUUUCAUCCGAUAUAUUACAUGGUAAUAUCACUACUCGUUCCACUGGUUUCAUAUACACCAUCGAUCAGCAACAUGAUAAUUUUGUGUCAGUUCAUUUUGUUUGUAGGAAAGAGCAGUGUAUUUCUUAGAGCUUGAAAAUAAUAAAAAGAUUUUAAAAUAUAAAUUGCAUAUUUGUUUAUUACAGUUGUUUGGUCUAAUUUCUUAUGUAGAAUUGCUUGUCAUUCUUUGGACGUUAUUGAUUAUAUUUUUGUCAGACUUGGCGUAUAUAUUCACACAUACGUUUUAUUUUGUCAUUUUGUAGAACAUUUUUACACGCCAUAUUAUCACGACUCUUCUCUGUCUGAAUAAGAAGAAAGCAUAAUGCGACCCUCCAAUAGCUUAAUCUAUGGAAUUAUCGUGUUUUGUAAGUUGAGGUCCAAUGGCGUUUUGGCACAUCAUAUGAUAGCCCACUAUAUUGCGUUGCUUUACAAAAGAUUAAUAUUUUGAAAAUUAUUAGGUAAGUUUAGGCUCAGUGGCACUUUAACUCAUGAUAUGAUUGUCCAGGUUUUCGAGGACCACUAUAUUCUAUUGAUUUAAAAAAAAUUAAUAUUUUUUAAUAUUAAUAUUCUAAAUUAUAUUCAGUUCAAAUAUUAAAUAUUAAAUACAUUCUUAAUAUUAAUAUUCUUAGAUGAAAUUCUUUUGCUGACUUAAGAAUAAAAUAUUAAAUAAUUUUAUUUUUCUUUUAUUCUGUAACGUGGACCCAAUAAAAAAAGGAAAUGAAUUUAAUAAAACCUUCAUUCAAAAUCUUCAUUCCGCCACCAUGCAUGUUAAUUGUUUCCAAAUUCCAACCUCCGUACUCUCUUGAGGAGUUUCCCAUUCAUCAAUUAUUAUUUUUUAUAAUCCAUACCAUCCUGAUAUAAUUAAACACCAUUAAUAAUGUACCAACCUUUAAAUAGUAAUUAAUUUAUUUAUCUAAUUCACCAAAUGUUUUUUCCGGUACAUAUCUCCAUUGGUAUCAAGAAGAAGCAGAACCCAAAGAAAUGUUUCUUGCAUCUUCAUAUUUGUGCGAAUUCAUCCUUUCAUUGAGAAUAACCAUUUCCAGGCAGCAGUUGGCAAUCAAUUCAUGCGCACGUCGAUGCUAUUCAUAGAUACUAAAGACAAUGAUGAACCAAAGGUGAUAAAUCAUAAAUGCAUAAUUACCAAACCUCCAUCCUUCUCUCAUUAUGAUUUGAUUUUAAAUGAAUUAUUGCUUGGUAACAUUAUUUCCAACCAUUGCAAGACCCUUUUUUUUGGAGAAAUUUCAAUUGAAAGUGAAACCUUUAGACAUUUACCUAAUGAAGUUAGUUAAUCGGGAGGGUCGGAAAAAAAAAGUUGACGCAAGUCAAUACACAAUAAUCAAUUAAAUCCGGAGUGACUAAAACAGAGCCACUACUUUUUUAAAAAUAUCUGCAUUCAUCACUUUCUCCAGCAACUAGUCAGCUACACACGAAUCAAUUUCUCUCCUCGUUUGUCAUCCAAAAUUAUUCACCAAUACCAUGGCUGAUGCAAUCGUUUCCACUAUCUUGGAGCAGCUGAUUUCCUUCGCUGCUGAAGAGAUAAAACAACAGGUGAUCGAAGUUUCACCCCUCAUAUUACAAAUACUUCCAAUGAUUUUAAUUGGCUUUGUUUUUAUCAAAAACAUUAUAUAUUUUUGCUUUUUUUUUAUUUAUCUGAUAAUUUUAUAUUUUGAAAUUUGAAUUGAAUUUAAUUAAAAGGUGAUGUAGUAACCACUCAUUUUUAUUUUAUUUCAUUUCUAUUCUCGAUAACUAACCAUAUUUUGGUAACUUAAUAUGACUCUCGUACAUAAGAAAUGAUCAAAACCCACAAUUUUAACUAUGUAUAAAUAUUCAACGUUGAGCUAAGGUUUUGCAGAACAUUCAAGUUUAUCAAAUAGUCAUUAAUUUAAUGUUUUAGUAAAACCUCAACUCAUCACUGAAUCCCAUAGCUAUUACUUAGACUCUAUGAAAAAUUUCAUAGUUUUCUUACGUUCUUUCAGUUUGGUAAGUGAUUUCAUAUAAUUUCUGUUCAAUAUAAAUUUUAAUUUGGUUUCUUAUAUACUCUCUUUGCUGAAUUUGUAUCUUUUAUGAUUCUUAGAUUUUGGGCUCUAACAUUUUAGGAUUUGAUAGUCACAUUUUAUGCCAUGCUUAGAUUGAUUUUCAUGAUUUUUACUACCCAUUAAGUGACUUAGAAUUUGACAAAAGUUUGAAAGGAAAUCUGCUUCAGGAUUCUGUUUUAAUUGACCUUUUAGUGGAAAUAGGAUGCUUAUAACUUAAUGUGGAUGGUUCGUAAAAUCAUGAAAUUUGGAUAGAAUUAACUAGAAAUAUGUACAAGACUCUCCAUGAAGUCUCAUAAUUUUUCAUUCGGUCUGGGGUGGUACAGGUGAAACUUGUGGUUGGUGUUGAAAAAGAAGUGAAAAGCCUUACCAGCCAUCUUCAAGCCAUUCAAGUUGUGCUCGAUGAUGCAGAGGAAAAGCAAGUGAAGGAAAAAGCUGUUAGUCUUUGGCUGGGUAGGCUCAAGUAUGCAUCCUACGACAUUGAAGAUGUGUUGGAUGAGUGGAUCACAACAAGACGCAAAUUGCAAAUUGAGGGUGGCAUUGGUGAAAAUGCUCUUGUUGUUCCUCAUAAGAAAAAGAAGGUAUGUCUCUGCUUUCCCGGCUCUUGUUUUGGAUUCAAACAAGAAGAAUUUGGUUUCAAACAAGUCUUUCUCCGUCAUGACAUUGCCGACAAGAUCAAAGAAAUCAAUGAAGAGCUACAUGAUAUUGCCGCUCAAAAAGACAUGUUUGAUCUUGUUAAGAGUGGCAAUAAAAGUAGUGAAAGACCAAGGCGUGUACAGAGUACCUUCUUGAUUGAUGAGGAAGAGAUUUGUGGCAGAGUUGGUGAGAGGAAUGAACUCUUAAGCAAGCUGUUGUGUGAGAGUAGCGAGCAACAAAAAGGCCUUCAUAUCAUCUCAAUCGUUGGUAUGGGAGGCAUAGGGAAAACAACUCUUGCACAACUAGCUUGUAAUCAUGACGAGGUGAAGAGAAAGUUCGACAAAAUUCUGUGGGUGUGUGUAUCAGAAACUUUUGAGGAGUUUAGGGUUGCCAAAGCGAUCGUUGAAGUUUUGGAUGGUCGUGAAUCUCAUUUAGCUGAAUUCCAUUCUCUUCUUCAACAUAUUUAUGAAUCCAUUGCAGGGAAGAGCUUUCUUCUUGUCUUAGAUGACGUGUGGGAUGGAAAUUACUUGAAAUGGGAACCAUUCUACCGUUGUCUAAAGAAUGGUCUCCAUGGAAGUAAAAUUUUAGUUACCACACGUAAAGGGUCAGUCGCAUCCAUGAUGGGAUCCAUAGAUAUUAUCUCCGUUAAGGAGUUAGCUGAAGAGGAAUGUUGGUUGUUGUUUAACAAGAUAGCAUUUUUUGAUCGGUCCAUCGAGGAACGUGAAAAAUUAGAACAAAUUGGGCAAAGAAUUGCAGGCAAGUGCAAAGGUUUACCUCUUGCAGCAAAGACAAUAGGGAGUCUCAUGCGUUCUAAACAAACUGAAGAAGAGUGGAAAAGAAUUUUAAAUAGUGAUUUAUGGAAAGUAGAAGAGAUUGAGAAAGAUGUUUUGUCCUCUUUAUUGUUGAGUUAUAAUGAUUUGCCAUCUAGAGUAAAAAGAUGUUUUUCAUAUUGUGCUGUCUUUCCAAAAGACUACAAUAUAGAAAAAGACAAACUAAUCACGUUAUGGAUGGCUCAAGGUUAUCUUAGUGCAGAAGAAGAUGAAGAGAUGGAGACAGUAGGUGAAGAGUAUUUUGGCAUCUUAGCUUCUCGCUCAUUUUUUCAAGAGUUUAAGAAAAGUUAUGAUAAUCGAAUUAUAGAGUGUAAGAUGCAUGAUAUGGUACAUGAUUUUGCCCGAUUUGUAAGUCAAAAUGAAUGUUUUUCGAUGGCAAUUAAUGGUAGUGAAGAACCAAACGCCACAAACUCUCUUGAUGAGAAGGUCCGUCAUUUAAUGUUAAUCUUUAGUAUAGAGGCUUCAUUACCUGUUUCCACUUGUAGAGUUAAAAGAAUUCGUAGCCUCUUAAUUAACGAUAGUAGAUCUGAUCAUUCAUUAUUAAAUGGUGAGAUCCUAGAAGAAUUAUUUAGGGAAUUGACAAGUUUAAGGGCAUUAGAUUUUUGCAAAUCGUAUAACGCAAGUUGGUUUUCGACUCUGGAGAUUCCGAGAAACAUAGAAAAGCUGGUACAUUUAAGAUACCUUAAUUUGUCUUAUCAGGGAAUAAAGAAACUACCGGAGACAUUAUGCAAGUUGUAUAAUCUAGAAAAGUUAGAUAUUAGUUAUUGUUAUAAGCUAGAAGAAUUACCUGAAGGGAUUGGGAAGUUAAUAAACAUGAAGCAUUUACGAAAUAGAGGUACUAGUUCUUUAAGGUACAUGCCAGUAGGGAUUGGGAGAUUAACGGGUCUUAGGACCUUGGGUGAGUUCCACGUUAGUGCAGGAGGAGGUGUUGAUGGUAGGAAAGCAUGUAGGCUUGAAUCUCUUAAAAACUUGGAACACCUUCAAGUAUGUGGUAUAAGUAGACUGGGUGAUGUAUCAGAUGUGGGCGAGGCUAAGCGAUUAGAACUUGACAAAAAGAAAUACCUCUUCAGUUUGACCCUUGAGUUUGAUAAGACGGAAAGAGGAGGAGAAAGGAGGAAGAACGAGGACGAUCAACUUCUUCUUGAAGCCUUGCGACCACCCCUGGAUUUAAAGGAAUUAGAGAUACGGUACUACCGAGGCAACAUUGUUUUCCCCAGCUGGAUGGCGUCAUUAACCAACUUAAAGAGUUUACAUCUCCAUAGGUGCGAAAAUUGCGAGCAGCUGCCUCCUUUGGGAAAAUUGCCGUCCGUUGAAAAUCUCUACAUAUGGCGCAUGGAGAGUGUGAAGAGAGUGGGUGAUGAAUUUUUGGGGAUAGAAAGUGAUCAUCAUGACUCAUCGUCAUCUUCAUCAGUUACUAUUGCCUUCCCCAAAUUGAAAUCACUCACAAUUUAUUCGAUGCUGGAAUUGGAGGAGUGGGAUUAUGAGAUUACAAGAACAGGAAACACCGUCAUAAACAUCAUGCCACGUCUUUCUUCCUUGACAAUUGUUGAUUGCACCAAAUUAAAGGCACUGCCCGGCCACAUUCAUCAAACGACAACGUUGAAGGAAUUGAGCAUUUUUAUGUGUUGGCUUCUGAACAAACGUUACCGCAAGGGGAAAGGAGAAGACUGGCCUAAAAUAUCACACAUUCCCAACCUCCGUAUUGGGCUUUGACAAGUAAUUUCUUCUCUCACUCUGAUUUGCUUUGUUGUUGUUUUUAAUCUAAUUAAGAAGCGAAAAUAGCAUUUUGAAUCAAACUCUAUAUCAGAAAUCUGCAAUACUUACUUUCUAAUAUUCUGAUUUUCAUAUCCUAUGAAUAUACGAUUUUUAAUUUGUGAGAUGGGUAACGUUACUGUAAAAGAUUAUUAAUGCAAUAUGAGUAAUUCUUUUGCAGGACAAGUGACCUACAUUUAGUUUGGCUUUGGAGUUGAAUAAUAACCUUUCGUGGUCCCGACAACCAAAAAACAAAGCUUAAUUUGCCACAGAUUGAACGUAUUGCCAUUAUUGACAAUUUUCUGCACAAGCGUGACUGAACUUAGGUUGAUGUCAAAAGAGGUAAAUUAUUGGCAUGCCUGACUAUUUUGACCAUUACAUGAUUCAUAAGUUUACAUUAAUUUUGAUUUUGAGUUGAGUGAUUAGUUUUCUAGGUUUGCUUACUUUAACUGGGUGACCAAUUUCUUGUAACUAAAUGUAUGAUGUGAUGCAGGAAGCAGGGCAGGAUAUGAAAAGAGAAGCUUAUUAGAGGAAGGAUUGCCAGUAACAGAAUCCAAAGAAAAAGAAACCAUUUCGAGGCAGCUGUUGGCAGUUGGCAGUGAAUGGAGCCCCUUGAAAAAAUUCCCAGGCCGUUGCACUGCAAUUACGAUCAUCCUCGGCCUCAGGUAAUUUCUUCUCCUGCAUUUUUGUUAUUUGCUAUCAAGUGACUAUUUUAAGUAUGAUUGCAUUAAGCUGCUGCUGGGAAAUUUGAGGUUUUGAUGACUGCCCAUGCUAUUGUCAGAAGCUACGGUUCUUUUCAUCAGCCUGAACCUGGACCUGCCGCUAUGGAUAACUCAGAUUUUUUUUUUUUUAAUCAACUGCGUCAUCUUUUCCACUGUUUAGAAACUCUUAAGAUUAAACUUUAGUAAAGUUGUUUUAGUUAUCCAUGUAAUCAGGCUGAGGAUACUUAGCUGCCUAUUUAGGCAAAUGUCAGAAUUUAGUUUGUUCGCUGGGAACUGGUGUGGACUGGCAAAGGAUGAUGAGAUAGUUUUUUGAGUGAGUAAAUUUUGGGAGCUUGAGUGUAUUGGGAUUUGCAAUUACAAUCAUCGUCUGCCUCAGGUGAUUUCUUCUCCUGCUCUGUCAUUGUUUGUUCUCUAAUUCAAAAGCAUAAAAUAUUUCAAUCAAUUUUUAUGCCAGGAAUAUGCAAAAGUUUCUAAUAUUUUAUUUCCAUCUGUUACAAGAUCAAACUGAAGCAGAACUCAAGUAAAAGUAUGCUACUUCUUGCGGAAAUCUUGCCUUUGUUCAGAUUAUGAAACCAUUUCCAUGCAGCAAAUUCAUCCAAAAGUUUGAGUAAGUUUCAUGGUUGGACACUGUUGGCUUCUUUUUCUUCUGGGGUGCAUUUAGGUGCUAUCAAGUGACAGCUGUAAGUAUGAUUGCACUAAGCUGCCGCUGGGAAAUUUGAGGUUUUGAUGGCUACCCAUGUUAUUUUCAAGAAACUAUUGAUGUAAGAAGCUGUGGUUCUUUUCAUCAGCUUGAACCUGAAACUGUCGCUAUGGAUAACUCAGGUUUUUGUUAUCAACUAUAUCAUCUUUUUCACUAUUUUGAAACUCUUAAGAUUAAACUUUAGUAAAGUUGUUUCAGCUAUUCAAAUGAAAAACUCAUUGAUUUGAGACUUCCUUCAUUAUUGUUUCUAAUUACAAUGCUAACGAUCCAGAUAAAAUAAUAUUUAAUCGGCGAAGGUGUCCCUUGGAAGUACAUCCUUCUUUUUCUUUUAUUAUAUAAAUUCUUGCAAUGAGCUUAGUGAAGCUGUUGUGCUAAUCAUGCCACUGCAUAAUUUGGCCCCUAAUGUGGGUACUCUGUUACAUUGUUCUGCAAAUUCUCCAGAAGUUCAAAUCAAUAAAUUUUCUAUUAGCUCUAGUGCUUUGACCUAAAUGCUAUUCUAUAUUCUGAUUACAAUGUUUUAACCUUUAAAUUAACUACCCCUAGAUGUUGGAUUUUCUAGAACUUCAAAAUGAAUAAUGGAGAAAGAUCCCAUUAUCGUUAUUGCUAUAAGAAAUUGAUUUAUGCAUCCAAAGAUACAUUAUAUAUUUCUGUGUCUCUAUUUAUAGAUGACAUUUAAGCAUCCAUAAACCGUCAGACAGAGGAAGGGGGUUCAGUGCAAAGAUUAUGUUGACCUAGGGUUGACUGCAUAAUGUCACUUGUUCGCAAUCUAUUAUUUAUUUUAUAUUUUGAAGAAUUUAAUGGGUAAUCCUAAUUGUUUGUUUUGGCAGGUAUGUGUUGUUAUCUCCUUCUAUCUUACAGUCGUACCUAAAUAGCAUAGUUUCAUCUGUGUUACCAUGUGAUGUACAUAAUUUCACAUUUGCCUCAGAUUAAGCUUAAUUUCCCACAGAAUAGAGCUGUCGCGACUGGACUUAGAUUGAUGUCCAAAGAGGUAAAUUAUUGGCAUGCCUAGAUAAUUUGGCCAUUUCCUAAUUCAUAAGUCUACAUUAAUUUUGAUUUUGAGUUGACUGAUUUCUUUUCAAGGUCUGCUUCCUUAACGGAGUGACCAAUGUUUUUCAACUAAAUUUAUCAUAUGAUGCAGGAAGCAGGGCAGGAUAUGAAAUCAGGAAGCUCAUUGGUGGAAGUAUUGCCAGUAGCAGAACCCAAUGAAAAUGAAACUAUUUCAAGGCAGCAGUUGGCAGUUGCAAGUGAAUGGAGGCCCUUGACAAAAUUCUCAAGCGGUUGCAAUGCAAUUACGAUCAUCCUCAGCCUCAGGUAAUUUCUUCUCCUGCUCUGUUUUUAUUUGUUAUCUAAUUAAAAAGCAUAAAGUAUCUUGAAUCACUUUCUGUAUCUGGAACAUAUGCAGCAGUUUCUAAAAUCUUCAUAUGAGUGUAAUGAUGGUAAUUUCUGUUUUUUGUCUGUCAUUGAAUGUUAGACAACUUUCAGUGAGACUCUUGAACCGAGACAUUUUUGACAAAUGAAGGACAAUUGCUGAAGAGUGGGAAUGGUGCUAGAUUGGGGAAUAAAGACAAAGGAGGUAAAUUAUUUGCAGUUUAUUCAGCAUUAUUUGCUUUGGACCAGCGCCUGAUUCACAAGUCUCCAUAAUUUGGCUUUUGACCAGUUGUUAAUAAAUUUUUUUAUUCCAUUGGUGCUAAAUGUACACGUGAAGCAGGCAGAGCAGGACUGUGGAAAUGAGAAGGUUUUUAGUGAAAGCUUAAACUCAGGUAAUUCUAAAAAGUACAUGUUUUUGCUGAUUUAUCUAAAUCAGGAAAUUUUAUUUCCAUCUGUUACAAGAUAAAACAGAAACAGAACACAAAGAAAAAUAUUCUACUUCUUGUGGCAAUCUUGCCUUCAUUCAGACAAUGAAACCAUUUCCUUUCACCAAUUUCUUCCAAAAGUUUGAAUAAGUUUCAUGGUUGGACAUAGUUAGCUUCUUUUUCUUUUGGUGCAUUUAGGUCCUAUCAAGUGACAGCCAUAAGUAUGAUUGCAUUAUUGGGAAAUUUUAGGUUUUGAUGGCUCCCCACGUUAUUGCCAAGAAAGUCCUCAUGUCAAAAGCUGCGGUUCUUUUCAUCAGCCUGAACCCGAACCUGUCGUUAUGGAUAACUCAGGUUUUUGUCAUCAACUAUAUCAUCUUUUUUACUGUUUUGAAACUCUUAAGAUUAAACUUCAGUAAAGUUGUUUCAGUUAUCCAUGUAAUCAGGCCAAGGAUAUUUAGCAGCUUAUUUAGGCAACUGCCAGAAUUGAGUUUGUUUGCUCGAAACUUGUAUGGUGACAAGGAUACUGGCAAGGAUAGUGAGAUAGUUUUUUGUGUGAGUGAAAUUUGAAAGCUUGGGUGUUCUGGGAUUUGCAAUUGCAAUCAUCCUCUGAGUCAGGUGAUUUCUUCUCCUGCUCUGUCUUGAUUUUCUCUCUAAUUGAAAGCAUAAAGUAUUUCAAUCAAAUUCUGUACCAGGAGUACAUAAAAGUUACUAAUAUUUUAUUUCCAUCUGUUUGCAUUGAUAACUCGGCAUAUGUUCUAGUUAAAGAACAAACAGAAACAGAGUUCAGGAAAAAGUUUCUUCGGCCACCAUAUUUGAAAAUGAAACCAUUUCCAGGAAGCAGUUGGCAGCAAAUUCAUAUGGAGUGUAGACAAUGAUGAGCAAAAAGGUGAUUCGCAAUUUCUUUUUUUUUUUAAGUGAAAUUAUUUGUUAGAUUGAAGCUGAUAUUGUAAGAAGGCCAUUGAGCUAACCUAUGUCGCCACUUGCCUAGAUUGCAGGGGGUCAAGACUCAAAAGAAGCACUGAAAUUUAAAAAGCAUGGAAUAGUUCUUUUGCCAUGUGUCAAUUAAUGCAAGUUUGAAUAAGUUUAUUGGCUGAACGAUGUUAGCUUCUUUUCCUUUCGUGCACUUUGGUAUGCUAUCAAGUGACAGCCGUAUGUAUGGCUUGCAUAUAGCUGCUGCUGGGAAAAUUGACGAUUUCAUGGCUGGCCGUGUUAUUGUCUUAAAUUAGUUGUGAUAAGCUGUUGCUUGGAGAUUCUGUUGCCAAGACUUUGCUCACAUCAGAAGCUGUGGAAUCUGAACCCUUCGUUAUGUAUCAUCUUUUUCAUUGUUUUAAAACUCUCAGGAUUAAACUUGAGCGAAUUUGUUCGGUUGUCUAUAUAAUCAUGUAUUGAGUAAACUCUCAGGAUACUGAGGGUGAGAGAAAUUAGAGGGUGUAUAGGGAUUUGGAUUUGUUAGGAAGUUAUCAUUUUUAUUUUUAUUUUUAUUUUUUUCCCAGAAAAUCUUCUGGUGGUGCUAUAUUUUCAAACGACAGUCCGAUUCAAAACUUGAUAUUCCAAUUAUAUUCAUAAGCUUCUAUAGUUAUCUUCAAAAAGACAAAUGGAAGGCUUUGAACGGCUUGGGUCUGAGUAUUGUAGUUUGAUUUAUUUUGAUGAAAGUACCUUUUGACAUUGAGAUUCUUUCAUGAGUUAAACAUUCUUUUUAAAACCAACUUAUUAAAAAAAAAAGUAACUAACAUAUAUUAUUUUGUUAGUGCUUUUUAAAUCAAAUAUAAAAAAGAGAACUGUAAUUCUUAGCAACCAAUUUUUCACUGAGUACACCUACAACAAACUACUAAAAAAUAAAGUGAUAGAAAAUGCCUGAUUUUUCGUACUUUCUAAUUACUUUUGGUCUUCAAAUAUGGCGGUUUGUGUAAUAAUAAGCCCAUGUAUAUCUUUAUGCCAUUAGUUUGAUAAAUAGCUAUCAAGGAUAACUUAUUAAGCUAAAAAUAUUUGAAGGAUAAAAUGAUAAAACUAAAAGGGUGGAGUAAUAUAGUUAUUUAGGAUUAUAUAGUAAGUCAACUAUAUUCGAGGGAUAAAAUAUUAAAACUUGAAUAGUGAUAUUAAAAAUAUCUCGACUAUUAUACUGUUAAACCAUAUGCCGUAAUAAUAUUUUUUUAGAGCUUGAAAAUAAUAAAAAGAUUUUAAAAUAUAAAUUGCAUAUUUGUUUAUUACUGUUGUUUGGUCUAAUUUCUUAUGUAGAAUUGCUUGUUAUUCUUUGGACGUUAUUGAUUAUAUUUUUGUCAGACUUGGCGUAUAUAUUCACAUACGUUUUAUUUUGUCAUUUUGUAGAACAUUUUUACACGCCAUAUUAUCACGACUCUUCUGUGUCUGAAUAAGAAGAAAGCAUAAUGCGACCCUCCAAUAGCUUAAUCUAUGGAAUUAUCGUGUUUUGUAAGUUGAGGUCCAAUGGCGUUUUGGCACAUCAUAUGAUAGACCACUAUAUUGCGUUGCUUUACAAAAGAUUAAUAUUUUUAAAAUUUAUUAGGUAAGUUUAGGCUCAGUGGCCCUUUAACUCAUGAUAUGAUAGUCCAGGUUUUCCGUUUUCGGAUCGAGUUCACUUUAACUCUGGUCCCGUGUUAUUAAAAUACCAAUUUCGGAUCGAGUUCAGGCGCCAGAACAAUUUUCUAGAACCUGGCCCGAGUUUAUUUUUGGGCUUGGGCCGGACGACCAAGUCCGCCCUGAUUAAAAAUUUGAGACUUUUCGAGGUUCACAGGGAUUCUGGCAUCCCUAGUCGAAUCAACACCGAUGUGAUCUACACAACCAGUGUACAUACCAUUUGAUACUGAAUCACCAAAUACUUAGAUGUAAUCAGCAACAAUUACAUAUAUAUAUAUAUAUAUAUAUAUAUAUAUAUAUAUAUAUAUAUAUAUAACUAAUAUUAAAAAUUGUUACUUUAUUAUACUUUUCUUCAAUGUAUGCCAUCUUUUGGGCAGGCAUGGCAAUAAAUGAGCAAAAAUGAAGACAACACACACAUUACACACACACACACACACACACACAGAGUGUAAUUGAAGUAUCAAACUGGCAAGGACACAAAAUGAAUUUAAUAGUAUAUAUUAUCUCAUAAUGGCAAAUCUAAAAAACACAAACUUAUUUAACAGCUAGCAAAUUUAAAAAUCACGACAGCAUCAAAAAUUGCGCACACGAAUUUAAUUAAGAGGGACGUAAAAUGGAGUUGAUAUGAUCAGCAAUGUUUUGGGCAUCAGCAGCAGCUCCAUAGAGUCCUUUCCUUGACAAUCCAACGCAGUAUAAACCAUUCUUCCCUUUCCAAUGAUUUGGGUAACUUUGCUUUGGGAUUCCAUCAUCGUUCAGCAUAGAAUCAUCUCCCUACUCAACAACAACAACAACAACAACAAGAAGAAAAUAAAAAAUAAAAAAAAUCUAAGAUUGAUUUGUACUUUUUGUAACCAUUAACGCGAAAGAGUUACAUAUUAUUAUAGAAACAAUAAAAAAAUAAAAUGGUAAAAGGCGAUUUGUUUUGGGGGGGAGGCAAAGUGAGAAUCGUCGUCUUUCCAAUAUAUAUGUAUAUAAAUAUUAUAUUACCUUGAGCCAAACAUUUGUUGAUCUCUUGAAGCCAGUACAGAAAACAAUCGAGUCAAAGUGAUGGGAGUGUCCAUUCUCAAAUACCACCUGGUUGCCUCUAAUGCUCUCCAUUCCCGGCAAUACCUGUGCAGGAGGAAUUUUAAAUUAUAUCACAAGUAAUACAUCAAUCAACUAACUUAGUUAUAUACUACAUGUGUAAUUAAAAAAUUAAUAUAAUUACUGCUUACAUAUUAAUUUUUCAUAAUAUAUAUUUACCUGUGUGUGUAUAUAGGGAGAGAGAGGAUGGCCAGCCAGGUCAUUCAAAAAAUAAAUAUCUGAUCACCUUGUAAUUAAUUACCUGAAUCUGUCCAGACUUGAUUUUCUCACAGGUGCCGACAUCGAUAACCGGGUAUUUUCCAUAAGCAGCUUUCAUGAAAAAAGGACCCUCCCUGGGCUUGUAGAUCCCAUACUUGCUCAAAUCUCCAUAAACAAGCCUGCUAAGCAUCACCAUCAAUGUGUCGACCCCGCCGCAUGGAACAUACUUCAAUAAAACUAACCCCAAAUACACCAUCUCCCUCGACAGCACAUGAACCUGAUUAAUUAAUUAAUGGAGUGGAUAGAUAUAUAGAAAUUAAGUAAAAAAAAUAUGUGCAUGCCAAGUGAAAUAAUAAUGAAUUUACCCACCGGGCUACGGAUAACUAAAGAGGUUUUGGCGGCAUGGUUGGCUAGAUCCAGUGCAAUUUUCAUGCCAGAAUUUCCAGAGCCAACGACCAACACAUGCUUGCCGCCAUAAGGUUUUCCAUUUUUAUACUGAGUGGAAUGAAUAACUUCUCCAGUCCCGGUGGCACUACUGCAGAAAGAACUCAGUCCUCGAACAUCCGGCGUAAAAGGGUUGCUCGUUUCCCCACUUGCAACCACUAGAAACCUCCCGGAAUAAUAUUCCUCAAUCUCACGGCCGGGACUUAGUAAGUUGCUAGCCUUAACGUUCCACAUAUUGGUUGCCUCGUCGUAGCUCGCCGAUUCAACGGAUCUUUGGUACCGUAUUGACGGACCGAUGUUGAAAUGGGAAACGUAGUGAUCCAAGUAUUCAAUGAAUUGGGCUCUGGAGACAAACAUCGGAUAAGAAGAAGGGAAUGGCAGGUGAGGGAGCUGACAAAAUUGCUUUGCUAAGUGCAGACGUAGGCGAUCGUAGGAAUAUUUCUUCCAGAUGGACGCGUAACAAUUUUCUCUUUCGAGGAUUACGUAAGGGAUUGAUAGAAGGCUAAGGCAGGCCGCCGUCGCCAGGCCGGACGGUCCUGCCCCUACUAUUAUCACUUCUACUCCCGCCGCUUGCUCUUUCAUUUCUUCUUUUUCUUCUUCUUCAGGUUAAUUUUGAGUUAAGUUGAUUGUUAUUGCCCAUCUGGGGGUGCUUGUUCUAUUUAUAUACUGAAAUCUUUACGUUAUAUGUACGACUCCAAUCAAUUUUUAUUUUGAUACUAUUGAAGAAGACGUAUGUUACAAGACACUCGAUUCACGAACUCCACGUGGUCGGACUUUAGAGGGAAAAAUUGUGGUGUAAUUCUGGUACCGUAUCACAGUUGCACUCAAUCGUUGGAUUUUGAUAGACCCCACUCAUCUAAUAAAUCUAACGGUUGGAUGCAACUGUGGUACAGUACCACAGUUGCAACGUAGCCGGACCUUAGAGGAAAAAAUGGUGGUGUAAAUGUGUUACCGUACCACAGUUGCACCCAAUCGUUGGAUCUCGAUGGACCCUAUCCAUCUAAGUGGAUCCAACGGCUGAAUGCACCUGUGACACAAUACCACAGUUAUACCGUAGUCGGACCUAUAUAUAUAUAUAUAUAUAUAUAUAAAGUGGUUUCCGAAAUAUUUUAAAGUGCAAGAAAAGUUCAACAAAAUUUUAAAACAAUAGAAUUUAAGAAGUUUAAAACUUAAAACAAUUAAACUGCAUAAUUUAUGUUUUUUUUUCAAAUGUUUCUGCACUAUAAAAUUUUGAUUGAAACCUCUCUGUUUGUAUAUAUGUUCGCUGCCACCCCCACCGUUUUAAUUUUCUCAUUCUAUGUGAUAAAUCAAUAUUUUUAUACGUCCUUAGUGUUACGAGAAAAACUUUUUACGUAGGACCAAAUGAUUAGAGUACUACCAAUUUAACAGAUUGAUUGAGGUAAUAAUUAAUCAUGCACAAGUCUUUCUCCAAAGUUACCAUGCUGACUAUAAUAUCUUCUUAAGCGUGCAUUUUUUUUCUUCUCUUUAAUACAAAAAAAAAAAAGAAGUAUUACAUUUGCAUAUAAAGUAACAUUAUCUAGGUCAUGUUACUAUUAAGGAAAAUGCUAUUUGCAUAUGAAAAAUAAAGUAAGGAUACUUUUACACAAAGACAAAAUUAGUAAAAUGAAUAAGUUUGUUUAUAAUGAAAUGUUUCUUAUUUUUAAUGACCUUGUAUAAUUUUAUGUAUAAUAUUAUGUACAAAUAAUAUUACCUACCAAAUGGUUAUGCUACCUCGAAUGGACGCAAAAUUAUUGGAAUAUAUUAAAACCAUAAAUUGUAUAACUUUUUUUUUUUUGGUUUAUUUAAUUUUGGCUUAAGAGAGAAGAAACAGAUUAGCAUGCUUUAUUUGAUUGAAAAAGACAUUGAAAAUAGCAUUCUUUGUGUUUCCACAAAUGAAGUCAUCCUCCCAGAUUUCAGUUUAUUUGGAAAUUUGACAUCCACAUGUUCAUUUGGAAUUUCGACAUCCACAUUCAACAAUCCUUCAAAGGAAAUAAGUUGGAAGAUGAAUUUCCCUUUCUCAAUAACUACCAUACCUCAUCAAAAUUGAAGUCCCAACUCAUAAUAUAUGACGUACGGUCCAGAAAGACUCAACCAUAUACUUGUAUUCUUGAAUGGAUAAUUUUGCCAGCAUGUUUCCUUGUUUGUUGGGUCAAAAAUAAAAGAAAUUAGGGAAGAAGAAAAAAAGCAAAUUGAAUUUGUCAAUGGAAACGUAAAGAUUACUUGACGUUGCCAAUAAGGUAUUUGAUUGACAUCUCAACUCUGACGAACGGCACUCGAAAUUGUAAUGUGAAAACACAGAAAUGAAGGGCCAAAUUAAUUAAAAGUAAAGAGGCUUUUAUGAUGUGGUGCAAGGCUUUAUGAAAAAAAUAGUCAGGUGAUAUUCUGCUUAACUAUAUUAUUGUUAACGACAUGAUUGGAUUGGGUCUGCUUAACUAUAUAAUAUUCUGCUUAAGAAUUAAUGAAAUUAAUAAAAUAAUUAAAUAUUAUUAAUUUAAUCAGGUGAUAUUCGUUUUGGGUUUAUACAACCUCGAUCGAGUCGAUGCUUCUUGAAGUCGUCUUGAAUUGGGGGGAUCCAGGACGAACAAAUAUGAAGCAACAUGAAAGGCGAUAACGACUCUCACACACAAAAUCAGAUAGUAUAUAUAGGAGUAACGAAAUCUCUUUUCUAGAUAAAGUAAGAGAUAGGUUAAAUUGAAAAAUAAUAAUAAUAAUAAUAAUAGCACAGUGAGUGACUUCAUGAAUUUAUGAGAUAACCAUGUAAUGCAUCAGAACUUGAAAAAUAAAAAUCAUUAAAAAAAAUUAAAAAUCAAAGUUAUGCAUUUUUGUAAGGGUGUUUUAUGUGAUAAAUACACGUUUAGUCUCUAUAUUUUGGGUUAAGUACUCAUUUAGUCCUCAUAUUUUGAAAAACGUCUCCAAGAUUUGUUAUGCUUUUGUCCUUAUAUUUUUCGUCUCAACUUUUACAAAAACAUCCUUGCGGGGCAUUAAUAAAGGGGAGAAAAUAUUAAUUUGUCAAAUUAACCGCAAAAGUAAACAAAAAUUAAUGUAAAAAUUUCUUACUAUUAUUUUUAUUUUUAAAGUUAAUUUGAUAUUAGUUUGGUACUUGUAAAGAAAAUUAUUGUAAACUCCUACGCCCAUCGGAGAUCCUCCUUUCUUCUCAGAAUUAUACAAAAUAGUAUUAAAAUCUCCACCUAACAGCCAAGGACCCCGGACAGUCAAAGCUAUCUUUGCCAACUCAUUCCAAAGAUGUCUCCUGAUGCUUGGAUUAGGACUAGCAUAGAUUGCCGUCAUCCAAGUUAGCAGGUUAUUGUUCCUUGAAAUCUUGAGGUGAAUGAACUGAGUAUGAUUCCCCACUAUCUCAACUUCAAAUAAAUUUUUCCAAAGGAUCCAAAUGCCGCCCGAAAAACCCUCAGCUUCCACUCGGUGAGACUUGUCAAAACCACUAUUCUUGAUGAAGUUAUCCGCCUUGGAACCACUGAUGCGAGGCUCCAUUAACACCACCAUUACGGGCUUGUAAUUAUUAACCACAGCAGAGAAAGAACGACGAAAGGACGGUGAAGCAGCACCUUGAGCAUUCCAAAACAUAGUUGUAAUACACAUAACAAAAAAAUUUAAAAGGAGAGCCAGGGGAAAAACUAAGACAGCCCUAUGGCUUCAGCUUCAUCAUCCAUGAAGGUGUCAGGAACCCCUGAAUUAUCUUCAUCAGUUAAAGGCACACUCCUACCCGCAACAUCUGAAUCAAGCUCCCUAAAAGGUCCCCCCCGGAGAUUAAGACUAUUCAUGCCAUCCUCAUCGGGGGGCUCUUUAUCCAAAUUCUGGGCCAAAACUUCCUUAGGCAACUGUUCAUGGUGAGACCGAGAAUGAGGAAAUUGAAGCUGAGGGUUAGGGAAAGAAACUGCACUAUGGUUUAACGGGUUAAGGGUUACAUGAACAGGCAUCGGGGAAGCAGCCAUUGUGUUGGGAUGGGCAUGCAUGCCAUGCAUGGAGCUACAGGGAACAUCAGAGGUAGCACUUGGUUCAGAUGUGGUAAGACCCUUGAGAUGUGCGUGCAUGCCUUGCAUGGCUAGGGUAGGAUUAUGUGGUUGGAAAGGCUGGCCACGGCUAUGAUUAUUGGGGUUGAUAUUUUCAGCUAUGGAGUUGUUUGCCCGAACGGAAAUUUUCUUGGUAGGAUAUUUUCGUAUAAAGUGACUCACUUGUUUCUUUUUCAUGCUCCUGGAUUUUGGGGCUAAAGUGUUGGGAUUUUCUAAUGUUGGCUCUGGAAUUUCCUGAUGGAUUACCGAAGUGUUGUCCUGAUUUUGUGGUGCAAUUUCCUCAUUCAUCACUUUGCCUAAGACAUCAAACCGCGACUCAUGAACAUUUAGCCCCUGUUGAUCCUGAACCGAGACCUUAGGAGAAACCCUUUCUGAAACUCUACGGGGGCGAGGUUUACGGGUUACCACCAUCCACGAUCCAAACUUAGACGCAUUUCGGUUAGAACCCUCCUCCACUACAAUAUCCCGGUUUGCAGCAACAGGACAAGAAGUUGGCAGUUCAGCUUCCACAUGCGUGGUACCACCGUCAGGGCAAGCAUCUUGAUAAUGGCCAAACUUGCCACAGUAAAAACAAAUCAAGGGCAGAUUUUCAUACUCCACCUUUUGGAUUCUUCCCUCAAAAUUAAAUUGAGAAACCAGCGGCUUGUCAAGGUCUAGUUGAACCGCAAUGCGAGCAAAUUUUCCCCUUUGGGCUGCGGCAGUGAGAUAGUCUAUCUUAAUGACCGGGCCAACAAUUUGCCCUAACCGCCGUAUAAUAGUUUUAUGAUAAAAGUGAAUAUUCAUGCCAGACAAACGAAUCCAAGCCACAAUACGAUCAACUCUAUUCGUGAUAGCAUCAAACUCCGGCGUCCAUUGCUGAACAAAAAGAUAAUGCCCCAUGAUGGUCCACGGCCCCUCAGUAAGAGCAUAUUCCACAUCUCCCUCGUUCUGAAAACGGAUCAGGUAAUAGUCAUUAGCUAAGUCAAUGAUGGAGAAACCCAUUGUAGAACUCCAGAGUCUCUUCAAACGCUCGCUGAUAACUCUAUAUCCCAGGUUUCGUCCAAGAGUUUUAACGACAACUGAGUUUGCCCAAGGUUUUGCUAGUCGUUCGUGGACCCUCUGUGAGAAAGCAAUAUAGGGCAUAGAUUCGUCCUCCUUACAACAAACAUCCUCCUCUUCCAGUUCCCACUCGUCCCUCAUGCCAAAAACCAUAUUUGCAGAGCCCCCAUUCGCCUCCAUGGCGAUAUCACGGUAGGAUAAGGGCUUAGGGUUAUCUCCAUCAGCCCCUUCAGCCCUAAACUUUGUCUUUUUGGUGAAUCGGUCACUCGCCAGCGGCGGUGGAGAAGCUUUCGCGGAGCUCAUUAGGGCACGGAUUCUUUGUUUUGGACUCACUCAAAAUCUGGGCGUUUCACUACUCAUUCGGCUUACUUGGCUUUUUCGAAUGAUACCCCCAUGCAUGAUGACAGGCCUUGGCGGACGGUUUGGAGUUGGAAGGGUCCCCAAAGUGUGAGGAUCUUCUUAUGGCAAGCGUUUCACAAUCGUCUGAAAACAAAGGCCGAGUUAGUUCGUCGUCACAUCCCGGUAUCAACCUCCUGCGAUCGGUGUGAGGCUGCGACUGAGGAUGCUUUGCAUGUCUUGCGGGACUGUGCUUUGGUUAAGCGUUUUUGGCUCCUGAUUCUCCCAGAAAAUAAACGACAUCAAUUCUUCAAUUGGCGGCUCCAUGAUUGGCUUCGUAUGAAUCUGGGGAUCGUCGGAGGGCUAGGGAGUGUUUCUAAUUGGGCCAUCUUCUUUGGCAUUGCUCUCUGGAGACUUUGGUUUUGGAGGAACCAAUUCAUCUUUAAUCAAGUUUCUAUGGAUCCGAAUGUUGUUUUAAUGGAUGUUUUUCUGCGCACUGCGGAAAUGCAAAAGAUUCAUACUCAUCCGCUUACCUCAGGACAUACGAGGGUGAUGAGAUGGAUCUCUUGGAAACCUCCAGAUUGGCCUUGGUGCUCUUUGAACACUGAUGGUGCCCAUAACAGGGAGGGAAUUUCUACUGCUGGGGGAUUGAUUCGCGAUCACAUGGGUCGCUGGCUUAGUGGUUUUGGGAUGAUGAUUGGUUCCUGCUCUGUUACAGUAGCGGAGCUUUGGGGUUUGUAUCAAGGGUUGCAACUAGCUUGGAAUUCUGGUAUAAGAAAGCUUAAAGUGGAAAUAGAUAGUCGUUGUGUGCUGCAGUUGGUGACCAAGCCAACAUUGGAAAUCAAUCAUUAUGCUUCUCUGAUUCGAGCUAUCAAGGAUUAUUUAAAGAUGGAUUGGCAAGUUUCUGUCUCCCAUAUUUACAGAGAAGCUAACUUCGCAGCGGAUUAUAUGGCGAGCCUAGCUUUCUCCAUCCCUCUUGGUCUUACUAUUUACCAUACUCCCCCGUUGGGAGUUAGCCCUUUUUUGUUUAAGGAUGCUUAUGGGAUUGCCCAUUCUCGCUCGGUUGUUCUUUAGCUCUGCUUAGAGCCCUUUUUUACCAAAAAAAAAAAGAAAAUUAUUGUAAAAAUUGUUGUAAGAAUAUUUAGCAGUUAGAACUAAAUAGAAAUUUAAUUCAAAAUAUAAAAGGAUUAAAAAAAAAAUUCACCUAUAUUAUUUUUAGUGUUUUUGUAAUUCGAAGUAAAGCAUAUUUCAUGCUGUUAAAUCGGGUUGACGAUCCCAUCGGAAAGAAAAAGAAAAGAAAUAUGAGGUGGAUGAUGACUUGCAUUCUAAGUCAAAGGAAUAUGCUAAGUGCUAAGAUUUGGUUGUUCACUGGACGCGCUCAAAUUGGUACUCUUUUUUUUUUAUCAAUUCAACGAUUCAACCAACGGCAGCAUGCAUUGCAUGCACAGGUUCAGAUACCUGCAACUCACUCCGGCCCCCACCCGAAAAAGCCAAACCCUCAGCCCUCUUUGAGUCUUUUACUAGUCUAUGUCCGAAUGAUUGUGUGCAGACAAAGCAAUUUAUUUGGGUGUCAUCGAGGAAACGGCCAUGAAUGUGGGUUAAGAGAAAGUGGUUAAAAAAAAAAGGGGGGGGGGGGGGGGGGGGGGAAUUGGGAGAAAAUGUCAAAUCUCCAACCCUUUUUAUUAUAUCCCACUAAUUUUUUUCACAUCAAAAUCUUAACCAAAAAAAUUAAUUUUUAUUUUGUGGAUGGAAUGUUAACAUUAAGAGAGUAUACUGGAGGGGAUGGUAACAAAGAAUAAUAACGUAAAUUCUCAUUUGUAAGUAACGAUGUAUGUUAUUUUCGCUCUCUUUGUAAGUUCUCAUUUCUCAAAAGUACUGUAGAGCAUACUGUAAUAGAAUAACAACAUAGUCUGUAAGCUAAUUUGAAUUUUUUUUUCAACUUAAAUGUUAUAAUGGUAAUUAUAAUGGAAUAAAAUGUAAAUUAUGUUGUUGUUUUUAUGGUGCAUUUAUUUUUUAUUUUUGGAUCAAGGAAUUAGAAUCUCAAAUUGAAAUUAUUGAUAGUGUUUACUUGAUAAAGUGAAGGUGAAAAUAUAAGUGAAAGUGAUAGGCUUUGUUGGACCAAAAAUAAAAUAGGCCCAAUCAAGACCUAAAUAAAUUUAAUCCCAAUAAGACCCAUCUAAUAAAUUUACUCUCGAUUAAGUCCACAAAGCGUUGAACAAAUCACCUAUAAUAAUCCUCCUAAGUAAUAAAGCUUCAAAACCCAAAGGGUUCCAAGAUCCAAGACCAAAACUUAUUCUAGAGUCCUAAGAUCUAUCAUAAGACAAAUCACCUAGGAUAAUCCUCCUAAGUAACAAGACUUCAAAGCCUAAAAGGUCUCAAAGUCCAAGACUAAAAGAUUCUAAAGUCCUAGGAUCUUAUCUUAAGACAAACCACCCAAAAUAAUCAUCCUAGAUGACGAGGCUUCAAAGCUCAAAAGAUACUGAGAUCCUAGGCUUCUAUUCUAAGACAAACUAUUUAUGAUAAAUCUCCUACAUUCUAAGGUUCUCAUCAUCACAGAGUUUUAGUAAAAAUAACUUAAGGUUAAAACACUUCUUUCUUUAAUAUAUAGACAAACUUGCAUAUUCAUGUGUUAAUUAACAUGGCCACAAACAAACAAGUGUUGCCAGACGUGAUAAGAACAAUAACACUUGUCAUUAAAAUAACUAGGACUUAAGUCAAAUCAAUUUCGCCUAUAAAUAUGUCUUUUAUUCUCAGUAAAAGGUAAGAAAAAAUGGACUCAAACGGAAAAAUGAUAACUUUCACUUUCUAAUAUUUUUCUUUCUAAAUAUACAUUUCCAAAAGUCUGGUGACUAACUUGACCAUAGGACGGUUUAUGCCGGCAAAGCCGGCUUUCUGAUUCUUUUCUUGUGUUUGUAAAGUAUCACUAAAUAAGAACAUUCUCAUUAUCUAAAGAAGUGAACUCAGACAACGAUAUAUAAAGGCCUAUUAAGAUCAACCUAAAGGGUAAACUCACUAUCGUUAAAUCCAACAAAAAGUAACCCAAGUCCUAAGGGGGUCGUCCUCAGUUGGAAUUUCUACAUAAUAAGUUGGGACAAAAUUUGCACAAACAGGCUUCACACAAAUUUAAGAUUAGGAUUUGAAAGUUUGAUUCCCAAAGGGCUUAGGAUUUAGAUUCCAAUUCCUUUGACUGAUUAUUUUAUCCCCACCUAAAUUAUUUAACUUCAAUUUUAUCCUCCGUUAAAAAUAUUAUAUAUAUAUCUUUUUCACAAUUCCCAAAAAUCUGAACCACCAAAAUCACGUUGCCGGUCAUCACGUAGCAUCCGUUGGAAUUGUGCACUGAUUGUCAAUCUCGCACUACAGCAGACGUUCGUUGAUAGUUAGCCUUACAAACACUGUAUCUCUCCAUCAAAUGUGGAUUGAUAAUGAGAUUGUUGGUGGUGAUAAAUAUCGAUGGUGAGAUUGAUAAUGAUAAAGAAUAUUGAUGAUGCUGCAUCAUCAAAUCUGAUAAAGAAGCCAUAGUAGCUAGGGGAUCUUAUUCUUUAUCAUCGGGAAGUACUGAGGAUGAUGAUGAAGAAGAAAAUAAAUUAUAAUAAUACAUAAUAAUAAUAAUGAUGAUAAUAAUUAAAAGAUAUUUUAAUGACUUGUAACAUUUUAUUUCGAUCCUAUAAUAAAAUAAAUAUAUUAAUUAAAAUACAACAACUUAUUUUUAUUUUAAUUUAUGUAAUUCAAAUAAAUAACUUAUUUUUUAUUUUCAUUUCAUCUGAGUUCGAUUCGAACUUAUUUCUAAUUGCCUUUCAUUAUCGAAUGUUAAAUGCGCCUUAAAUUUUCUACACCAAAACCAAACGCCGAUAUGUCAUUAGUCCCUAAAUAUUUCAGAACCAGACUCCGUGAUCCAGGUCCACUGCCCUUUAAUUGAUUGGGUCCCACUAAUUCGAAGGUCGCACCCCACCCUUUUAAUUACUUUGGAUUUUCAAAAAUUUUUAGGACCGGCGAAGAGAUAAUAUGAAAAUCACAAGCAUGUUGUGCAUUUGAAAAUUGAAAUUGUGACGGGAUCAGCAUCCACCUAAGAGCAUUUAAUAUAAACAUAAAAAUUAUUAAGAAUCUCCACAAUAUAAUUAUAUAAAUAAUAAAAUAAAUAUAAUUUAAAAUUAUGUCUUAUAAAAUUAUAUGAAUAAAAUUAUAUUUUUAAUUUUUAAUUUCAAGUCGGGUCGGACAUGGUAGGACCAAAACUUUGACCCGAACUUUAAUCGGCCAUAAUGUUUUAGCCUGAACCCGACUUAAAAUCUUUAAAUUUAGGUUAAAGUCUGAAAAUUUUGGAUCACAUCAAUCAAGUUAAAAAUUAGGCCCGACCUUUUUAACCAUGCAUACCAUCUGCUGCAGAUUUAUUUCGUUUUUAUGAACAAACUUCGAAUGUUAUUGGUAAAUUUGUUAAUACGAAUCAAUAAAAAAUAGCCUAAAGAUUUGAGGAUUGGGCAUUUAAAUUCCGAAUAGUACAAAAACCAUUAAAUAUCCAAUUAGAAUAUGAGAUGCCGUACAAGUAAAAUCUGGACUCUGGCAUCGUCAAGGUAACAGGUUUCCUUUGUCCACCAAUCAAAAACACAAAUUAAAGUUUACCAGAGAAUUAGACAGACACCACCUCUGAUGCCAUUUAUAUUAAAGGUUACAAGCAACUUACCAUUUUUGUAACUUCAUUCCACUAUUGCAAGGAAUGGAGAAAAAUCCCCAUGGUAUACCCCGUAGGGGACCUAAUCCCUUGCGUUUUCAUAUUCUAAAUUAUAUUCAGUUAAAAUAUUAAAUAUUAAAUACAUUCUUAAUAUUAAUAUUCUUAGAUGAAAUUCUUUUGCUGACUUAAGAAUAAAAUAUUAAAUAAUGUUAUUUUUCUUUUAUUGUGUAACGUGGACCAAAAAAAAAAGGAAAAGAAUUUAAUAAAACCUUCAUUCCGCCAACAUGCAUGUUAAUUGUUUCCAAAUUCCAACCUCCGUACUCUCUUGAGGAGUUUCCCAUUCAUCAAUUAUUAUUUUUUUAUAAUCCAUACCAUCCUGAUAUAAUUAAACACCAUUAAUAAUGUACCAGCCUUUAAAUAGUAAUUAAUUUAUUUAUCUAAUUCACCAAAUGUCAUUUCCUGUACAUAUCUCCAUUGGUAUCAAGAAGAGGCAGAACCCAAAGAAACGUUUCUUGCAUCUUCAUAUUUGUGCGAAUUCAUCCUUUCAUUGAGAAUAACCAUUUCCAGGCAGCAGUUGGCAAUCAAUUCAUGCGCACGUCGAUGCUAUUCAUAGAUAUUAAAGACAAUGAUGAACCAAAGGUGAUAAAUCAUAAAUGCAUAAUUACCAAACCUCCAUCCUUCUCUCAUUAUGAUUUGAUUUUAAAUGAAUUAUUGCUUGGUAACAUUAUUUCCAACCAUUGCAAGACCCUUUUUUUUUUUUUUCUUUUGGGAGAAAUUUCAAUUGAAAGUGAAACCUUUAGACAUUUACCUAACGAAGUUAGUUAAUCGGGAGGGUUGGAAAAAAAAAAAGUUGACGCAAGUCAAUGCACAAUAAUUAAUUAAAUCCGGAGUGACUAAACAGAGCCACGACUUUUUCAAAAAUAUCUGCAUUCAUCACUUUCUCCAGCAGCUAGUCAGCUACACACGAAUCAAUUUCUCUCCUCGUUUGUUGUCAUCCAAAAUUGUUCACCAAUACCAUGGCUGAUGCAAUCGUUUCCACUAUCUUGGCGCAGCUGAUUUCCUUCGCUGCUGAAGAGAUAAAACAACAGGUGAUCGAAGUUACACCCCUCAUAUUACAAAUACUUCCAAUGACUUUAAUUGGUUUUUUUAUUAUCAAAAACAUUAUAAUUAUAAUUUUUUUAAAUUUGAAUUGAAUUUAAUUAAAAGGUGAUGUAGUAACCACUCAUUUUUAUUUUAUUUCAUUUAUAUUCUCGAUAACUAACCAUAUUUUGGUAACUUAAUAUAACUCUCGUACAUAAGAAAUGAUCAAAACCCACAAUUUUAACUCUGUAUAAAUAUUCAACGUUGAGUCAUUAAUUCUCAACUCAGCACUGAAUCCCAUAGCUAUUACUUAGACUCUAUGAAAAAUUUCAUAGUUUUCUUACAUUCUUUGAGUUGGGUAAGUGAUUUCCUAUAAUUUCUUUUCAAGUUAAAUUUUAAUUUGGUUUCUGAUAUAGUCUCUUUGCCGAAUUGUCUCUUUUAUGAUUCUUGGAUUUUGGACUUCAACUUUUUAGGAUUUGAUAGUCAUAUUUUAUGCCAUGCUCAGAUUGAUUUUCAUGAUUUUUAGUAGCUGUUGAGUGACUUACAAUUUGACGAAAGUUUGAAAGGAAAAAUGUUUCAGGAUUAUGUUUUAAUUGACCUUUUAGUGGAAAUAGGAUGCUUAUAACUUAAUGUGGAUGGUUCGUAAAAUCAUGAAAUUUGGAUAGGAUUCACUAGAAAUAUGUACAAGACUCUCCAUAAAAUUUCAUAAUUUUUCAUUCGGUAUGGGGUGGCACAGGUGAAACUUGUGUUUGGUGUUGAAAAAGAAGUGAAAAGCCUUACCAGCCACCUUCAAGUCAUUCAAGUUGUGCUCGAUGAUGCAGAGGAAAAGCAAGUGAAGGACAAAGCUGUUAGUCUUUGGCUGGGUAGGCUCAAGUACGCAUCCUACGACAUUGAAGAUGUGUUGGAUGAGUGGAUCACAGCAAGACGCAAAUUGCAAAUUGAGGAUGGCAUUGAUGAAAAUGCUCUUGUUGCUCCUCAUAAGAAAAAGAAGGUAUGUCUCUGCUUUCCCGCCUCUUGUUUUGGAUUCAAACAAGAAGAAUUUGGUUUCAAACAAGUCUUUCUCCGUCAUGACAUUGCCAACAAGAUCAAAGAAAUGAAUGAAGAGCUACAUGAUAUUGCCACCCAAAAAGACAUGUUUAAUCUUGUUAAGAGUGGCAAUAAAAGUAGUGAAAGACCAAGGCGUGUACAGAGUACCUCCUUGAUUGAUGAGGAAGAGAUUUGUGGUAGAGUUGGUGAGAAGAAUGAACUCAUAAGCAAGCUGUUGCGUGAGAGUAGCGAGCAACAAAAAGGCCUCCAUAUCAUCUCAAUUGUUGGUAUGGGAGGCAUAGGGAAAACUACUCUUGCACAACUAGCUUGUAAUCAUGACGAGGUGAAGAGAAAGUUCGACAAAAUUCUGUGGGUGUGUGUAUCAGAAACUUUUGAGGAGUUUAGGAUAGCCAAAGCGAUCGUUGAAGUUUUGGAUGGUCGUGAAUCUCAUUUAGCUGAAUUCCAUUCUCUUCUUCAACAUAUUUGUGAAUCAAUUGCAGGGAAGAGCUUUCUUCUUGUCUUAGAUGAUGUGUGGGAUGGAAAUUACUUGAAAUGGGAACCAUUCUACCGUUGUCUAAAGAAUGGUCUCCAUGGAAGUAAAAUUUUAGUUACCACACGUAAAGGGUCAGUCGCAUCCAUGAUGGGAUCCAUAGAUAUUAUCUCCGUGAAGGAGUUAGCUGAAGAGGAAUGUUGGUUGUUGUUUAACAAGAUAGCAUUUUUUGAUCGGUCCAUCGAGGAACGUGAAAAAUUAGAACAAAUUGGGCAAAGAAUUGCAGGCAAGUGCAAAGGUUUACCUCUUGCAGCAAAGACAAUAGGGAGUCUCAUGCGUUCUAAACAAACUGAAGAAGAGUGGAAAAGAAUUUUAAAUAGUGAUUUAUGGAAAGUAGAAGAGAUUGAGAAAGAUGUUUUGUCCUCUUUAUUGUUGAGUUAUAAUGAUUUGCCAUCUAGAGUAAAAAGAUGUUUUUCAUAUUGUGCUGUCUUUCCAAAAGACUACGAUAUAAAAAAAGACAAACUAAUCACAUUAUGGAUGGCUCAAGGUUAUCUUAGUGCAGAACAAGAUGAAGAGAUGGAGACAGUAGGUGAAAAGUAUUUUGGCAUCUUAGCUUCUCGCUCGUUUUUUCAAGAGUUUAAGAAAAGUUAUGAUAAUCGGAUUAUAGCGUGUAAGAUGCAUGAUAUGGUACAUGAUUUUGCCCGAUUUGUAAGUCAAAAUGAAUGUUUUUCGAUGGCAAUUAAUGAUAGUGAAGAACCAAAUGCUACAAACUCUCUUGAUGAGAAGGCCCGUCAUUUAAUGUUAAUCUUUAGUAUAGGGGCUUCAUUUCCUGUUUCCACUAGUAGAGUUAAAAGAAUGCGUAGCCUCUUAAUUAACUAUAGUGGAUCUGAUCAUUCAUCAUUAAAUGGUGAGAUCCUAGAAGAAUUAUUUGGGGAAUUGACAAGUUUAAGGGCAUUAGAUUUUGGCGAACCGUACGACACAAAUUUUUCUUUGACUCUGGAGAUUCCAAGAAAUAUAGAAAAGCUGGUACAUUUGAGAUACCUUAAUUUGUCUUAUCAGGGAAUAAAGAAACUACCGGAGACAUUGUGCGAGUUGUAUAAUCUAGAAAAGUUAGAUAUUAGUUGGUGUUUUAAUCUUAAAGAAUUACCUGAAGGGAUUGGGAAGUUAAUAAACAUGAAGCAUUUACGAAAUAGAGGUACUAAUUCUUUAAGGCACAUGCCAGUAGGGAUUGGGAGAUUAACGGGUCUUAGGACCUUGGGUGAGUUCCACGUGAGUGCAGGAGGAGGUGUUGAUGGUAGGAAAGCGUGUAGGCUUGAAUCUCUUAAAAACUUGGAACACCUUCAAGUAUGUGGUAUACGUAGACUGGGUGAUGUAUCAGAUGUGGGCGAGGCUAAGCGAUUAGAACUUGACAAAAGGAAAUACCUCUUCAGUUUGACCCUUGAGUUUGAUAAGAAGGAAAGAGGAGGAGAAAUGAGGAAGAACGAGGACGAUCAACUUCUUCUUGAAGCCCUGCGGCCACCUCUCAAUUUAAAGGAAUUAGAGAUACAGUACUACCGAGGCAACACUGUUUUCCCCAGCUGGAUGACGUCAUUAACCAACUUAAAGAGUUUAGAUCUCUCUUCCUGCGAAAAUUGCGAGCAGCUGCCUCCUUUGGGAAAAUUGCCAUCCCUUGAAGCACUCAGCCUAUUGAUUAUGCGGAGUGUGAAAAGAGUGGGUGAUGAAUUUUUGGGGAUAGAAAGUGAUCAUCAUGGCUCAUCUUCAUCUUCAUCGGUUAUUAUUGCCUUCCCCAAAUUGAAAUCACUUAGUAUUGAGGGAUUGAUGGAAUUGGAGGAGUGGGAUUAUGGGAUUACAAGAACGGGAAACACCGUCAUCAACAUCAUGCCACGUCUUUCUUCCUUGACAAUUGGGAGUUGUCCCGAAUUAAAGGCACUGCCUGACCACAUUCAUCAAACGACAACAUUGAAGGAAUUGCAUAUUUGGGAUUGCAGGCUUCUGGAAGAACGUUAUUGCAAGGGGGAAGGAGAAGACUGGCCUAAGAUAUCACACAUUCCCAACCUCCAUAUUGGGCUUUGACAAGUAAUUUCUUCUCUUACUCUGAUUUGCUUUGUUCUUGUUUUUAAUCUAAUUAAGAAGCGUAAAUAGCAUUUUGAAUCAAACUCUAUAUCAGAAAUCUGCAAUACUUACUUUCUAAUAUUCUGAUUUUCAUAUCCUAUGAAUAUACGAUUUUUAAUUUGUGAGAUGGGUAACGUUAUUGUAAAAGAUUAUUAAUGCAAUAUGAGUAAUUCUUUUACAGGACAAGUGACCUACAUUUAGUUUGGCUUUGGAGUUGAAUAAUAACGUUUUGAGGUCCCGACAUCCAAAAAACGAAGCUUAAUUUGCCACAGAUUGAACGUAUUGCCAUUAUUGACAAUUUUCUGCACAAGCGUGACUGAACUUAGGUUGAUGUCAAAAGAGGUAAAUUAUUGGCAUGCCUGACUAUUUUGACCAUUACAUGAUUCAUAAGUUUACAUUAAUUUUGAUUUUGAGUUGAGUGAUUAGUUUUCUAGGUUUGCUUACUUUAACUGGGUGACCAAUUUCUUGUAACUAAAUGUAUGAUGUGAUGCAGGAAGCAGGGUAGGAUAUGAAAGAGAAGCUUAUUAGAGGAAGGAUUGCCAGUAACAGAAUCCAAAGAAAAAGAAACCAUUUCGAGGCAGCAGUUGGCAGUUGGCAGUGAAUGGAGCCCCUUGAAAAAAUUCCCAAGCCGUUGCACUGCAAUUACGAUCAUCCUCGGCCUCAGGUAAUUUCUUCUCCUGCAUUUUUGUUAUUUGCUAUCAAGUGACUAUUUUAAGUAUGAUUGCAUUAAGCUGCUGCUGGGAAAUUUGAGGUUUUGAUGACUGCCCAUGCUAUUGUCAGAAGCUGCGGUUCUUUUCAUCAGCCUGAACCUGGACCUGCCGCUAUGGAUAACUCAGGUUUUUUUUUUUUUUAAUCAACUGCCAUCUUUUCCACUGUUUAGAAACUCUUAAGAUUAAACUUUAGUAAAGUUGUUUUAGUUAUCCAUGUAAUCGGGCUGAGGAUACUUAGCUGCCUAUUUAGGCAAAUGUCAGAAUGUUCGCUGGGAACUGGUGUGGACUGGCAAAGGAUGAUGAGAUAGUUUUUUGAGUGAGUAAAUUUUGGGAGCUUGAGUGUAUUGGGAUUUGCAAUUACAAUCAUCGUCUGCCUCAGGUGAUUUCUUCUCCUGCUCUGUCAUUGUUUGUUCUCUAAUUCAAAAGCAUAAAAUAUUUCAAUCAAUUUUAUGCCAGGAAUAUGCAAAAGUUUCUAAUAUUUUAUUUCCAUCUGUUACAAGAUCAAACUGAAGUAGAACUCAAACAAAAGUAUGCUACUUCUUGCGGAAAUCUUGCCUUUGUUCAGAUUAUGAAACCAUUUCCAUGCAGCAAAUUCAUCCAAAAGUUUGAAUAAGUUUCAUGGUUGGACACUGUUGGCUUCUUUUUCUUCUGGGGUGCAUUUAGGUGCUAUCAAGUGACAGCUGUAAGUAUGAUUGCACUAAGCUGCCGCUGGGAAAUUUGAGGUUUUGAUGGCUGCCCAUGUUAUUUUCAAGAAACUAUUGAUGUAAGAAGCUGUGGUUCUUUUCAUCAGCUUGAACCUGAAACUGUCGCUAUGGAUAACUCAGGUUUUUGUUAUCAACUAUAUCAUCUUUUUCACUAUUUUGAAACUCUUAAGAUUAAACUUUAGUAAAGUUGUUUCAGCUAUUCAAAUGAAAAACUCAUUGAUUUGAGACUUCCUUCAUUAUUGUUUCUAAUUACAAUGCUAACGAUCCAGAUAAAAUAAUAUUUAAUCGGCGAAGGUGUCCCUUGGAAGUACAUCCUUCUUUUUCUUUUAUUAUAUAAAUUCUUGCAAUGAGCUUAGUGAAGCUGUUGUGCUAAUCAUGCCACUGCAUAAUUUGGCCCCUAAUGUGGGUACUCUGUUACAUUGUUCUGCAAAUUCUCCGGAAGUUAAAAUCAAUAAAUUUUCUAUUAGCUCUAGUGCUUUGACCUAAAUGCUAUUCUAUAUUUUGAUUACAAUGUUUUAACCUUUAAAUUAACUACCCCUAGAUGUUGGAUUUUCUAGAACUUCAAAAUACAUAAACCGUCAGACAUUUAAGCAUCCAAAGAUACAUUAUAUAUUUCUGUGUCUCUAUUUGUAGAUGACAUUUAAGCAUCCAUAAACCGUCAGACAGAGGAAGGGCGUUCAGUGCAAAGAUUCUGUUGACCUAGGGUUGACUGCAUAAUGUCACUUGUUCGCAAUCUAUUAUUUAUUUCAUAUUUUGAAGAAUUUAAUGGGUAAUCCUAAUUGUUUGUUUUGGCAGGUAUGUGUUGUUAUCUCCUUCUAUCUAACAGUCGUACCUAAAUAGCAUAGUUCCAAAGAGGUAAAUUAUUGUCAUGCCUAGAUAAUUUGGCCAUUUCCUAAUUCAUAAGUCUACAUUAAUUUUGAUUUUGAGUUGACUGAUUUCUUUUCAAGGUCUGCUUCCUUAACGGAGUGACCAAUGUUUUUCAACUAAAUUUAUCAUAUGAUGCAGGAAACAGGGCAGGAUAUGAAAUGAGAAGCUCAUUGGUGGAAGUAUUGCCAGUAGCAGAACCCAAUGAAAAUGAAACUAUUUCAAGGCAGCAGUUGGCAGUUGCAAGUGAAUGGAGGCCCUUGACAAAAUUCUCAAGCGAUUGCAAUGCAAUUACGAUCAUCCUCAGCCUCAGGUAAUGUCUUUUAUUGGUACCCAACAAAAAUGCAAGGUCUGUGAGAAGACAGUUUGUCCAGUUGAGCAGUUAUCUACUGAUGGGGUUGUUUAUCACAAGUCUUGCUUCAAGUGCUCUCACUGCAAAGGCACACUCAAGCUAAGCAAUUACUCAUCCCUGGAAGGUGUUCUUUACUGUAAGCCUCACUUUGAGCAGCUUUUGAAGGAGUCGAGUAACUGCAACAAGAAUUUCCAAUUACCUGCAAAGUCAGCUGAGAAGUUAACUCCUGAGCUGAGAAGGUCGCCUAGCAAAGUUGCCAGCAUGUUCUCUGGGCCCAAUAAAAAUGUGCUUCUUGCAGUAAAACAGUGUGUCCGUGGGAGAAGGUAGCAGCGGAAAAUCAAGCCUCUCACAAGACAUGUUUCAAGUGCUCACAUGGUGGUUAUUCCAUUAGCCCGUCAAAUUACGCAGCCCUAGCAGGCAUCUUGUAUUGCAAACAUAAUUUCUCCCAAUUGUUCAAGGAAAAAGGCAGCUACAACCACCUUAUAUCAAAUCUGCUCCCAUGAAGCGUGCUGCAGUCUCUGUUCAAGAAGCUUGAACAUGUUAUGUUAUCUUCCAUAAAUCUUAUUUGGCGUGGGUUUUCUCUGGCUUGAGGGUGUGCUUUCUAUUUUGAUCCCUCUUGUUGUUUUUGCGGGGAACUACCAAACCUUCGGUUCCCUCUGCUUCUUUGGAUCAUCUUUGUUUGGACAAAUUUCAUGUAAUUAGAGAUACCGAUUUAUGGGAGGCAUAAUCCCAUGGUCGUAAAUUGACCAUUUUCUGGCAAGUUCUUUUUAAAAAGAUAUGAGCAGUUGUUUAAAAAAAAAAAAAUAGCUUGCCUUCAUCAUUGUAUGUUACCAAACUGCUAUGUAUAGCUGUUAACUAUGAGCAUCCGAAAAUAUGGUGCAUCGUGAUUCAUGUAGUGCAAUAUGGCUACCAACGCAUCCUAAAUGGAAUAUUACUCAGUUAGUCAGCAAAAUAAGACAACAUAACUGAUAUUAAAAAAAUAAAAACUACAUUAAUAAGUGGGCAAGAUCAUGCCAGUUUAACUUUUCGCGAGUCGCUGCUGGAGAUAAUCAAAUCGGGGCAGAGAAAAGGAGAAUGGAAUCAGAGGCUAAGAUUAAUAAGUGGGCUUCUGCUUGCUUUGCCCCUCUUUCUUAAACGAUUGGUAGACUGCUGCUUCCACCGAUUAACCGGGUCUUCAACCACUGCUUUUACUGCCUGCCAUCUUGUUGUUUGUCGAAGGGAUGAAUUCGAGUCGAAAAGAGAAAGCGCGCUGAAAAAGAUAAAUCACUAGUGGUUAACUGCUGACUCAGCCAAGUGUUGGCUUCACUUGAUUCACCGAUUGAGGUUAUUUUGUCUUCUAUCUAAUGCAGCGAAGAAGCUUUGCUGCUUAACAUGCUGCAAUGCAACUUUAUCCUUUGAAGUUCACACUUCAGGGCUGCGCACUUUAUGUAAUCCUAUGAGUAAAAAGAAUUUGUUUUCAAAUGUGAAAAAAGAAAAUGUAAGGUAGUAACUAAUAUAUUAUAGCAUCAAAGCAAGAUUUGAUAUGAAUUUAGUACAACAAAGAACAUCAAAUCUGUGAUUCCUUGUCUAAUGUCACCAUCGAGCAACAAAUUUAAAAGCCUACCUAUCAAAUACACGAGGCAAUAAACGGAGAAAAAGUUGAAUUACAAGAACAAGUUUACAAUUCUUGUCAAUGGUUAAUGAUUCGUGAACUGAGAUAGCAUUCAAGAAUCCAAUUUCAAUACAACAACGUAAAAGAUAAACAGAUGAUGAAUUUUAUGAGAUAAAGAAGGAGAUCGUGUUUUAUCGUAUCUCUAUUUUCUUUCUUUUUAAAUUUAAAAUAAGCUUUUCAACCGGUUUAUUAACCGGUUAUAAUAUUUUUUAAAAUAAUUAAAUAUUUUCAUUAUUAAAAAUAAUGUGUACCGUUGAUUACAUCUAACGGUACAUAUUUCUUACACUACUAAUACGGUAAAAAAAAAAAAAAGGGCAUCAUAAAGGGACCCUUAAAACAUUUUCAUUUGAAAUUAUUUGGUGUAGUCAAAAAGUUAAGAAAGAAAUAGUUGUCCCUUUGGUCAUUUCACAAAAAUGAAAGCCCCAUAUAACAUGGACUUGAAUGGAAACCCAAUUGUUUGUGUUUGAUUUCAAGCUUUAUCGGACCUUUGGACCUGGAUACUUUACUGCGGCCUCUAAGCGCUAUAAAUUUGUUUUUUGGGAUAAAAGGCGCUUCAAUGAAAAAGCACUUUAAAACUUUGGAUUUUGCCAAAACUUCAAAGCGGUUGGUCCAGUUACGGUGUUAUGCUAACGGGUUUAAAGGUUCCGAUCCAAUGAGUUAGGGUGGAAUAUGAAUAUAUAAAUUCCAUAGCAUGUAAGGACUAGGAUUUGUUUGUUCAUAUUAAGAAAAAAGAUCUAAAAAUUUGAUGAUCAGAAGAAAAUAGACUCUUCUCUGUCUGAAUAAGAAGAAAGCAUAAUGCGCCUCCAAUAGAGAGAAAAGGGACUUAAUUUCACUUGCGUCAAAUGUUCCUCAUUCUUUGAUGGAAGAAAAACUCUUAAUAGUCUAUUGUUUUUUUUUUUUUCAUUUUUAUUUAAGUUUCACAAUAUUUUAGUAGUUGAUCAAAUUAUUUAGAAUUAGACAUUUAAUCUAGGGACAAUGUGAACUUUUUAAAAAUCUAUCAGGUGAUUUCAUAAUUUUAUAAUUCAGUUGGGGUAAUUUCUCAAACUAUAAACAAAUUAUCGUGUUUUGUAAGUUGAGGUCCAAUGGCGUUUUGGCACAUCAUAUGAUAGACCACUAUAUUGAGUUGCUUUACAAAAGAUUAAUAUUUUUAAAAUUAUUAGGUAAGUUUAGGCUCAGUGGCACUUUAACUCAUGAUAUGAUAGUCCGGGUUUUCGAGGACCACUAUAUUGUAUUGAUUUAAAAAAAAAAUUAAUAUUUUUUAAUAUUAAUAUUCUAAAUUAUAUUCAGUUAAAAUAUUAAAUAUUAAAUACAUUCUUAAUAUUAAUAUUCUUAGAUGAAAUUCUUUUGCUGACUUAAGAAUAAAAUAUUAAAUAAUUUUAUUUUUCUUUUAUUGUGUAACGUGGACCCAAAAAAAAAAGGAAAUGAAUUUAAUAAAACCUUCAUUCCGCCAACAUGCAUGUUAAUUGUUUCCAAAUUCCAACCUCCGUACUCUCUUGAGGAGUUUCCCAUUCAUCAAUUAUUAUUUUUUAUAAUCCAUACCAUCCUGAUAUAAUUAAACACCAUUAAUAAUGUACCAGCCUUUAAAUAGUAAUUAAUUUAGUUCUGAGAAGGAAAAAAAAAACAAAAAAACUACUUUGACCAGAAAAAUUCCCCGUUCUAUUGCCUAUAUAUGAACUGAGCUGUGCAAUUGAUCAAUUUCAAAAACUUCCUCAGCUGACCAAUUUUGAGCAAUUACUACAUAACAUAAAACCAAAUGCUGGAUGAAUUGGCAUCUCUGAAAACCCCAGCUCACACGUACCGACAGAAAGAGACUCUAGAUGUAUUCAAACAUUAAAUAACUGCAUAUGCUCUUCAAAAGAUGGAAGGAACCAUGGAUUAAAAAGAAGCAACCAUCUAAACAAGAACUUAUAUUAAAAAGCAAAGGAAGUAACACAUUAAAUUGAGAAGUGUGAUCAUCACUAUGAAGCUUCUAUAAGUAAUUUAAGAAUAGUAAUAAAAAACUAUUCUAAUAUAAGUAAUAAAUAUGGGAGACAUCUUUGGCUAAUAUGUAAUAAUAAUCUCGAGCAGCAGACGGACUCUUAUUUGCUCCAAUUUGAAUGGUGGUGUUAAGCAAUUUAAAUGUGAAGCCACUCGAGGCUCUGAUUGUGACAGCGGAAGCUAUACAGGCACGGCAUCAGAACAAGAAGAAGGAGCCGAACAACAUAUUUCAGUUCUCAAGAGAAGAAUAGAUUCUCAAACAAACUUCAAUUUUGAGAAGAAGAAGAAGGAUUCAUUAUCAUGGCAAGCUCAAAAAUGCAUUGGUAGAUUUUUCUACGAAAUGGGUAUUGAUUUCAGUGUUGCUAAUUCUCCAAGCUUUCAAGACAUGAUAAAUGCUAGCCGUGGUAAGGAAAAGUGUGAGAUCCCCAGUUGUCAGGAUUUGAAGGGGUGGAUCCUUCAUGAAGAAGUGAUGGAAAUGCAAGAAUAUGUGAAGAGGAUAAGACAUUCGUGGGAAAGUACUGGGUGCAGCAUUUUGUUGGAUGGAUGGACUGAUGAAAAUGGUCGAAACUUGGUCAGUUUUAUUGUGGAUUGUCCUCAGGGACCUAUUUAUCUGCGAUCAUCAGAUAUUUCAGCCUUCGUUAGUAAUGUUGAUGCCCUGCAGUUAUUAUUGGAUGGAGUCAUUGAGGAGGUUGGAGUGAAUAAUGUUGUUCAAAUUGUUGCAUGUUCUACAUCAGGUUGGAUGGGGGAUGUGGGCAAGCAGUUUAUGGAAAGGCGAAGGACAGUGUUUUGGACUGUAAGUGUGUUUGAUUGCAUUGCUCUGAUGCUUGAGAAGAUUGGUACGAUUGAUUUUGCUAGGGAGAUAUUAGAAAAGGCCAAGACCAUUACAAAGUUCAUUCAUGGCCACACAACGGUCUUGAAACUCUUUGGAGAUUUUACUGGCAAGCGGAACCUUAUCAAGCCCUCUAAGUUGAGAUCAGCAAUGCCUUUCUUGACUUUAGAAAAUAUUGUGGCGGAAAAGAAAAACCUUAAGGCCAUGUUUGCCUCAUUUGAGUGGAAUAGAACUAAAUGGGCUUCAAGAACAGAGGGGAAGAGGAUAGUUAAUUUAGUGGAGGAUCGUUCUUUUUGGAGCACAGCCAGGAUGGUCCUAAAGGCAACUAUACCCCUUGUGCGUGUUCUGUGUUUGAUCAAUGGGGCUUAUAAACCACAAGUGGGUUACAUCUAUGAAACCAUGGAUCAAGCAAAGGAGACAAUUAAAGAGGAAUUUAAGAACAAGAAAACCCAAUAUUGGCCAAUUUGGGAAAUUAUUGAUGACAAAACGCUAUUUCCGCAUAUUAUUAUUAUCAGAUUGUGUCUAAUGUCAGAUAUUGCCGACCACCUACAAUGCCACACAGAGAACCGCUACAAAUUCCUGUAACUUCCUUCCUGUACUAAAAUUAAAGGAGUACCCCAUCCUCUGCAGUAAAUACAUAGUCCUACUUACGGUUCCUUGUUACUUCCUUUGCUUUUUCAUCUGCAGUAAAUAAGAUAAAGGUGUCUCCCACAGUUGAAGACGGACCCUUGUUGCCAAAGAAUAGUAAUAAAAAAUAAACCACUUUCAUCUUGUACUGAAGUCUAUACUUAAGCUUCUAUAAGUAAUUUAAAAAAGCAUUUACCAUUUUAAACAUCAUAAUGAUACAAUUAUCUUAGUUUUAUCAGUAUAUAAGAAUUACUUAUAGAAUAGUAAUAUAUGUUUAUAUUUAAAUUAGUACAAUUUUAUAUUGAUAAUAAUAAUAAUUUUCAAUUGAAAGUGAAACCUUUAGACAUUUACCUAAUGAAGUUAGUUAAUCGGGAGGGUUGGAAAAAAAAAAAGUUGACGCAAGUCAAUACACAAUAAUUAAUUAAAUCCGGAGUGACUAAAACAGAGCCACUACUUUUUCAAAAAUAUCUGCAUUCAUCACUUUCUCCAGCAGCUAGUCAGCUACACACGAAUCAAUUUCUCUCCUCGUUUGUUGUCAUCCAAAAUUGUUCACCAAUACCAUGGCUGAUGCAAUCGUUUCCACUAUCUUGGAGCAGCUGAUUUCCUUCGCUGCUGAAGAGAUAAAACAACAGGUGAUCGAAGUUACACCCCUCAUAUUACAAAUACUUCCAAUGAUUUUAAUUGGUUUUGUUUUUAUCAAAAACAUUAUAUAUUUUUGCUUUUUUUUAUUUAUCUGAUAAUUUUAUAUUUUGAAAUUUGAAUUGAAUUUAAUUAAAAGGUGAUGUAGUGACCACUUAUUUUUAUUUUAUUUCAUUUAUAUUCUCAAUAACUACUCAUAUUUUGGUAACUUACUAUAACUUCCAUAUCUAAGAAAUGAUCCAAACCCACAAUUUUAAUGAUAAGAUUGGUUGAAUUAAAUAUCACUUGGCCCACAUGAUUUGUUUUAAUUAUUUUAUAUUUUCAUUCAACCAAUGAAUUAGUGCCACGUCAGUUUGUACAAAAUAAGUUUGUACAAUAGUUUGUGGUUGUAUCAUUACUCUUUAGUAAAGAGUAAUGAUAUAGCCACAAACUCUUGUACAAACUUAUUUUGUACAAACUUAUGUGGCAUGAUAAGAUUGGUUGAAUUAAAUAUCACUUGGCCCACAUGAUUUGUUUUAAUUAUUUUAUAUUUUCAUUCAACCAAUGAAUUAGUGCCACGUCAGUUUGUACAAAAUAAGUUUGUACAAUAGUUUGUGGCUGUAUCAUUACUCUUUAGUAAAACCUCAACUCAUCACUGAAUCCCAUAGCUAUUACUUAGACUCUAUGAAAAAUUUCAUAGUUUUCUUACAUUCUUUCAGUUUGGUAAGUGAUUUCAUAUAAUUUCUUUUCAAGUUAAAUUUUAAUUUGGUUUCUGAUAUAGUCUCUUUGCCGAAUUGUAUCUUUUAUGAUUCUUGGAUUUUGGGCUCCAACUUUUUAGGAUUUGAUAGUCACAUUUUAUGCCAUGCUCAGAUUGAUUUUCAUGAUUUUUAGUACCCGUUAAGUGACGUACAAUUUGACAAAAGUUUGAAAGGAAAUAUGUUUCAGAAUUCUGUUUUAAUUGACCUUUUAGUGGAAAUAGGAUGCUUAUAACUUAAUGUGGAUGGUUCGUAAAAUCAUGAAAUUUGGAUAGGAUUCACUAGCAAUAUGUACAAGACUCUCCAUAAAGUUUCAUAAUUUUUCAUUCGGUCUGGGGUGGUACAGGUGAAACUUGUGGUUGGUGUUGAAAAAGAAGUGAAAAGCCUUACCAGCCAUCUUCAAGCCAUUCAAGUUGUGCUCGAUGAUGCAGAGGAAAAGCAAGUGAAGGAAAAAGCUGUUAGUCUUUGGCUGGGUAGGCUCAAGUAUGCAUCCUACAACAUUGAAGAUGUGUUGGAUGAGUGGAUAACAACAAGACGCAAAUUGCAAAUUGAGGGUGGCGUUGAUGAAAAUGCUCUUGUUGUUCCUCAUAAGAAAAAGAAGGUAUGUCUCUGCUUUCCCAGCUCUUGUUUUGGAUUCAAACAAGAAGAAUUUGGUUUCAAACAAGUCUUUCUCCGCCAUGACAUUGCCGACAAGAUCAAAGAAAUCAAUGAAGAGCUCCAUGAUAUUGCCGCUCAAAAAGACAUGUUUGAUCUUGUUAAGAGUGGCAAUAAAAGUAGUGAAAGACCAAGGCGUGUACAGAGUACCUCCUUGAUUGAUGAGGAAGAGAUUUGUGGCAGAGUUGGUGAGAGGAAUGAACUCUUAAGCAAGCUGUUGUGUGAGGGUAGCGAGCAACAAAAAGGCCUUCAUAUCAUCUCAAUCGUUGGUAUGGGAGGCAUAGGGAAAACAACUCUUGCACAACUAGCUUGUAAUCAUGACGAGGUGAAGAGAAAGUUCGACAAAAUUCUGUGGGUGUGUGUAUCAGAAACUUUUGAGGAGUUUAGGGUUGCCAAAGCGAUCGUUGAAGUUUUGGAUGGUCGUGAAUCUCAUUUAGCUGAAUUCCAUUCUCUUCUUCAACAUAUUUAUGAAUCCAUUGCAGGGAAGAGCUUUCUUCUUGUCUUAGAUGACGUGUGGGAUGGAAAUUACUUGAAAUGGGAACCAUUCUACCGUUGUCUAAAGAAUGGUCUCCAUGGAAGUAAAAUUUUAGUUACCACACGUAAAGGGUCAGUUGCAUCCAUGAUGGGAUCCAUAGAUAUUAUCUCCGUUAAGGAGUUAGCUGAAGAGGAAUGUUGGUUGUUGUUUAACAAGAUAGCAUUUUUUGAUCGGUCCAUCGAGGAACGUGAAAAAUUAGAACAAAUUGGGCAAAGAAUUGGAGGCAAGUGCAAAGGUUUACCUCUUGCAGCAAAGACAAUAGGGAGUCUCAUGUGUUCUAAACAAACUGAAGAAGAGUGGAAAAGAAUUUUAAAUAGUGAUUUAUGGAAAGUAGAAGAGAUUGAGAAAGAUGUUUUGUCCUCUUUAUUGUUGAGUUAUAAUGAUUUGCCAUCUAGAGUAAAAAGAUGUUUUUCAUAUUGUGAUGUCUUUCCAAAAGACUACAAUAUAGAAAAAGACAAACUAAUCACGUUAUGGAUGGCUCAAGGUUAUCUUAGUGCAGAAGAAGAUGAAGAGAUGGAGACAGUAGGUGAAGAGUAGUUUGGCAUCUUAGCUUCUCGCUCAUUUUUUCAAGAGUUUAAGAAAAGUUAUGAUAAUCGGAUUAUAGAGUGUAAGAUGCAUGAUAUGGUACAUGAUUUUGCCCGAUUUGUAAGUCAAAAUGAAUGUUUUUCGAUGGCAAUUAAUGGUAGUGAAGAACCAAACGCCACAAACUCUCUUGAUGAGAAGGUCCGUCAUUUAAUGUUAAUCUUUAGUAUAGAGGCUUCAUUACCUGUUUCCACUUGUAGAGUUAAAAGAAUUCGUAGCCUCUUAAUUAACGAUAGUAGAUCUGAUCAUUCAUUAUUAAAUGGUGAGAUCUUAGAAGAAUUAUUUAGGGAAUUGACAAGUUUAAGGGCAUUAGAUUUUUGCAAAUCGUAUAACGCAAGUUGGUCUUCGACUCUGGAGAUUCCGAGAAACAUAGAAAAGCUGGUACAUUUAAGAUACCUUAAUUUGUCUUAUCAGGGAAUAAAGAAACUACCGGAGACAUUAUGCGAGUUGUAUAAUCUAGAAAAGUUAGAUAUUAGUUAUUGUUAUAAGCUAGAAGAAUUACCUGAAGGGAUUGGGAAGUUAAUAAACAUGAAGCAUUUACGAAAUAGAGGUACUAGUUCUUUAAGGUACAUGCCAGUAGGGAUUGGGAGAUUAACGGGUCUUAGGACCUUGGGUGAGUUCCACGUGAGUGCAGGAGGAGGUGUUGAUGGUAGGAAAGCAUGUAGGCUUGAAUCUCUUAAAAACUUGGAACACCUUCAAGUAUGUGGUAUAUGUAGACUGGGUGAUGUAUCAGAUGUGGGCGAGGCUAAGCGAUUAGAACUUGACAAAAAGAAAUACCUCUUCAGUUUGACCCUUGAGUUUGAUAAGACGUAAAGAGGAGGAGAAAGGAGGAAGAACGAGGACGAUCAACUUCUUCUUGAAGCCUUGCGACCACCCCUGGAUUUAAAGGAAUUAGAGAUACGGUACUACCGAGGCAACACUGUUUUCUUCCAUGUUGGAAUUGGAGGAGUGGGAUUAUGGGAUUACAAGAACGGGAAACACCGUCAUCAACAUCAUGCCACGUCUUUCUUCCUUGGAAAUUGUUGCCUGCCCCAACUUAAAGGCGCUGCCCGACCACAUUCAUCAAACGACAACAUUGAAGGAAUUGCGCAUUGUGCAUUGUGGGCUUCUGGAAGAACGUUACCGCACGGGGGAAGGAGAAGAGUGGCCUAAGAUAUCACACAUUCCCAGCAUAGAUAUUGAUUAAGAAGGAGAAGAGUGACCUAAGAUAUCUCACAUUCCCAACCUUGAGAUUUGGCCUUGACAAGUAAUUCCUUCUCUCACUCUGAUUUGCUUUGUUGUUCUUUUUAAUCUAAUCAAGAAGCAUAAAUAGCAUUUUGAAUUAAACUCUAUAUCAGAAAUCUGCAAUACAUAUUUACUAAUAUUCUGAUUUUCAUAUCUUAUGAAUGUACGAUUCUAAUUUGCGAUAUUUAACGUUGCUGUAAAAUAUUAUUAAUGCAAUAUGAGAAAUUCUUUUGCAGGACAAGUGACCUACGUUUAGUUUGGCUUUGGAGUUGAGUAAUAACCUUUCGAGGUCGCCACUAUAAAAACGCGAAGCUCCAUUUGCCACAGAUUACAUGUAUUGCCAUCAUUGACAAUUUUCUGGAUAAGUGAUGAAGGGUGAGAAUGGUGCUAGAAUAUUGAAUAAAGCUGUCGUGACUGAACUUACGUUGAUGUCAAAAGGGGUAAAUUAUUGGCAUGCCUAGCUAAUUUGACCAAUACCUGAUUCAUAAGCCUACAUCAAUUUUGAUUUUGAGUUGAGUGAUUAAUUUUGAAGGUUUGCUUACUUAACUGGUAACCAAUUUCUUUUAACUAAAUGUAUCAUAUGAUGCAGGAAGCAGGGCAGGAUAUGAAAUGAGAAGCUUAUUAGUGGAAGGAUUAUCAGAAACAGAACCCAAAGAAAAUGAAAACAUUUCAAGGCAGCAGUUGGCAGUUGGCCGUGAAUGGAGCCCCUUGAAAAAAUUCCCAACCCAUUGCACUGCAAUUACGAUCGUGAGUAUGAUUGCACUGCAAUUUCGAAGCUUCUUCUCCUGCAUUUUUGUUAUUUGCUAUCAUCCUCUGCUUCAGGUGAUUUCUUCUCCUGCUCUGUCGUUGUUUGUAUCUCAAUCAAAUUCUAUAACUGGAAUAUGCAAAAGUUUCGAAUUUUUAUUUCUAUCUGCUUGCAUUGAUAACAUCGCGGCAUAUGCACUAGUUAAAGAUCAAACAGAAACAGAGCUCAGGAAAAAGUUUCUUCUGCCAUCAUAUUUGAAAAUUCAUGUAAAAUGUAGACAGUAAUCAGCAAAAAGGUGAUUCGCAAUUUGAUUUUUUUUAUGAAAUUAAUUGUUAGGUUGGAGUUGCCAAUUAACAAUUUUAACCCCCUUUGACUUUGAAGGAAUUAGAGAUAUGGUCAUACAGAGGCAACACUGUUUCUGCAAGUAGUCCUCUCUUUUCUUUUUAUUAUAUUUUAUUUAGUUAUUAUUUAUUAUUUAUUUUUUGGUUUACUCUGCUUCUUCUUUUUACGUUUCUCAAAUUUUGAAUUUCAUUGCUUUUGAACAUACGACAGUCUGUUAUGUGGCGACCCUGGUUCUUAAUUAAGGUUGUGAAAUAUUAUUGUAAAAGAUGAUUUAUUCAAUUUGAGUAAUUCGUUUGCUUUGAUAAUGAUAGUAAUUUUUUAUUUUGACAAUUUGCAAGGUGAGAAUGGUGCUGAUUGGUGAUUCAGGAUAUGGUUCAAACACCAUUGAAUAAAGCUAUGGACAUGGUGGCUCAACUUAGCUAGAUUGCUAUCAAAAUUGGUAAGUUGGCUUGUCAAUGUACCGAUGCUUUUGUUUUCUCUCAACCCUAAUUACCUUAACUUCAUUUAGUUUGGCUUUGGAGUUGAGUAAUAACUUAUUGUUCAAAUGUUAUUUCCUUAUUGUUCUAAUUCAUCAAAUGUUAUUUCCUUGUUGUUCCAUUGAUAUAUUGGUUGCAUAUCAAGCAGAAACAGAAUCCAAAGAAAAUGAAACCAUUUCCAGGCAGCAGUUGGCAGUGAAUUCAUGCAAAUGUUGAUGCCAUUCAUAGAUGUUGAAGACAAUGUUGAGCCAAAGGCGAUAAAUCAUUAAUGCAUAAUUCCCAAAACCUCUAUCCUUCUCUCAUUGUAAUUUGAUUUGAAAUGAAUAAUUGCUAGGUAAUUGAAGCCAAUGUUGUUAAAGACCGUGUUGAGCUACCCAAGCUAAGAAGUUAGUUGCCAAAAAAUGCAGGGGAUCAAAAGAAGCAUUGCAUUUGAAAAGGCAUGAGAUUCUGGUGGCUACAUGUCAACUCAUAUAUGUUUGAAUAAGUUUGAUGGUUCAAGAUUGUUAGCUUCUGUUUAAAUUUGUGCUACUGCAGUGCUACAAUGCUGCUACUGGGAAAUUUGAAUCCCAUAUUAGACUUUCCUCACAUCAGAAGCUGUGGAUCUUCGGACAUCAGGUUUUUUCACAGUUCUGAAACACUCAGGAUUAAACUCUAUUAAAGUGUUGUAGUUAUCUUGUUGUCAGAAUUCCCAUAUUAUUAUCUUUUUCAUGUAAAAUUAUCUUGUUGUCUUCGCCCAUGAAUCUAAGCUAAAAUUUGAACCAAUUGUUUGCUAUUAUAAAUUUCGUUGUUAAAUGUUAAUUGUGAUGUUGGUGUUGAGUUUCUUUUAAAGUCAGAGAAGCCUGACGAUUGAGUUCCAUGGGAUUCUGAGAAGCAGUAAUAUUUUGAACAAGUGAAGGUUCUUCGUUUUUAAUUACGUUCUGCACUUUUACAGUAUGUGCAGAUGUCUAAGAGGCAGGAUUUUAAUUUCUGUAAUGCUAAAUUUCGCAAAACAAUAAAUAAAUAAAUGCAUGACAGUGACUUCAAGAAUUUAGAUUAUUGAAUUUGGUCAUUUUAAAAUUGUUGGAAUAUUGAACUUAAGUAAUUUUGAUAAACCAGAGCUCAGAAAUGUAGAAUAUAAAUAUUGGAGAUUUGGACUUCAAUCAUUAGAUUUGAAGCUAAAGAGGUAAGCCAUUAAUUACAUCAAAGGAUUUGGAAAAUGGAGGGAUUGGAAAAAGGAAACUUUUUCAUAAACUACAAGCAUUGGGCAGUUUCAUUUGUCCGAUUCAAGAGGAACGUCACAGAAAGGGGUAAAGAAAAGAGUAGCCUAAGAUAUUUAAGACAAUGUUGAGCCAAAGGAAACAUAAAUCCCAACCAUUGCAUGCGAACAUGAUCACAAUAAGGUCAAGAACCUACCAAACCAUUUUUUUGAGAAUUUUCAAUUGAAAGUGAAACCUUUGGACAUUUACCUAGUAAAGUUAGUUAAACGAGAGAAAUAAAGGGGAAAAGAAAAGUUGACUCAAGUCAAUACAGAAUAAUUAGUUCAAUCUGGAGUAACUAAAACAGAGCCACUAUAUUUUCAAAAAUAUCUGCAUUCAUCACCUUCUCCUACAGCUAGUGAGCUAAACACGAAUCAUUUCCUUUUAGCAUUUUUGCAGCAUCAACUUCUCUCCUCGUUUGUCAUCCAAAAUUAUUCACCAAUACCAUGGCUGAUGCAAUCGUUUCCCUUCUCUUGGAGCAGCUGAUUAUCUUUGCUGCUGAAGAGUCGAAACAACAGGGGAAGCUGGUGAGUGUUGGAUGAGUGGAUCACAGCAUGCGCCAAAUCGCAAAUUGAUCAAUGCUCUUGUUGCUCCUUAUCUGAAGAAGAAGGUGCAAAUUGAGAGCUGCAUUGCACUGUCAUAACAUUUAUUGUAAUUUCAUUUGGAGAUUUUAUGGAUAAUGAUUUGGUAGACUUUAUAUGCCGUCUUCUUUCUUUUUGCAGUGAUAUGUUUGUAUUCAAUGUGCUUGUGCUUAUUCUGUGGUUUUUAAAGUAGGUGUUUUUAUGAUAAACUAGGUCUUGUGUAUUGUAUGUACUAUCUAGAGAAGAAUAUUGACUGGUUGCAGUCGAAAUUGGAACCACUUUUGAAAGGUAAGAAGAGGCCAUUUUCCUUCAUUCUAAUGCCAAUAAUGCUGUCAUGAGACUCAUAAAAAAUGUUAAAACAUUAAUGUUUUUGGUAUUUUGCAGAUCAUUAUCUUCUGUUUGAUUUUCCUGGCCAAGUUGAAUUAUUUUUUCUUCAUUCCAAUGCCAAGAAUGUUAUCAUGAGACUCAUAAAGAAGUUAAAUCUCAGGGUAUUGUUACAUCUUGCAUCUAUGAAGGGACUCAAAGAGUUGACAUGAAUUCAUCUUUGUUAUUUUGAUGCCAGAAUUGUGCAAUUCUCAGUUGGUUCCUUUCACAUGCAGUUGACUGCAGUGCAUCUAGUUGAUGCGCAUCUUUGCAGUGACACUGGAAAGUAUGUUAGUGCUUUGCUUCUCUCGUUGUCUACGAUGCUACAUCUGGAACUUCCCCACGUCAAUGUCUUGUCUAAGAUCGACUUGAUUGAGAAUUAUGGAAAGCUAGGUGUGGUUUUAAGUGUCUCCCUCCUACUUGUUUGUUUAGUUUGAAAUAUCAGAUAUUAUCACGAGCUCCUAUCUGCUACGUUUCCUCACCAAUCAAUUACUUUGGGUAUGUUGCAGCUUUUAAUCUCGAGUACUAUACGGAUGUGCAAGAUUUGUCAUAUUUACAGCAUGCUCUGGGUCAGGACCCUCGUUCUGCUAAGUACAGGUUUGAAUUCUAGCUGAAUCAAUGAUGCAAAUUAUGUCCAUUGCUAUUUUUGACUGUCGUUUCUAUCAUUUUCAAUUGUUACCUCCCCUUGCCAUCUACUGCCACACUGCAAUGCCUACACAAAUGUUAUGAAAUUUGUCAAUGGCAAUGCCAUCCUGUUUGUCCAGAGACAGCUCUUAGAUGCAAGUGAACAAUUUUUGGCUUUGGCCGUUGUACAGCCUUAGAUUUCAACUUGCCAUAUCUUGUCUCGGAAGUCAAAAGAAAGCGUAUAUGUUAGCCAAAUUUUAUUUGAAUUUAUUGAGUAACAAUGAAUGGUUCGGAAAAACAGUUCCUCUUUUGUUUUGAUCAGACUCAAUGAAUAAGUGUUUAAAAUGUGCCUGUCCUAGAAAUAUAGAUGUGUGGUUUCGCAAAAUUUUCUUGAUCUUAAGAAAGAGUUAUCUUGAAAAGAAGAUAACAUGGAGAAUUCAGCAACUAUACAGUCAUAUUGCGUCUGUCAACUUGGGUCAGAUGGUGUCGUUUGGAUGGAGAUGUUAGGUCCCAGAUGGUAUGCUUGUUAUCAAAUUCCAGUCUAAUUCAUUCAUGCUUUGAUGACAUAUGCGGUGCAGCUUCUUAUCUAAGACCUGCAUAUGUUCAGUCAUCAUUCAGUUCUGUAUUUGGCUGUCAUUCUUUCAAUGAAUUCAAACCACUUUCUGAAUACUUGCAAAUUCAUCCAGUGUUGUCAUUGAGAUUCCAAUAUGUAAAGGAGCAAUAGUUGCCCUUGAUAGUAUGCUUAUUGAUUGCCUCUUGCCUCACUCAGCCUAAGGAGUCUGGUUGUAUGGUGUUCUUGUAAUUUCAUUUGGAGAUAAGUAAUAUCUGUUGUUCAAAUGUAUUUUAUAUACAAGCAGUUAAUAAUUCUGCUUGCAGAAAGCUUACAAAGGAGCUGUGUGAUGUAAUAGAAGACUACAGUCUGGUCAAUUUUUCAACCUUAGAUAUUCAGGUCAUCAGUUUCUCUUGAAUUCUUUCUUGAGUUUCUUUGAAUUAUUUGUGAAUAAGAUCUUAGUUGGCUGCUCCUCUUCAGGAUAAGGAAAGUUUGGCAAAACUCGUGAAGCUGAUAGAUAAAAGCAAUGGGUACAUCUUUGCUGGCAUGGAUGCCAGGGCAGUUGAAUUCAGCAAGAUUGCCGUUCGCGAUGUGGAUUGGGAUUAUUACAGGUAUCCUUCUUUUCACCUAUUUUCAAUCUUGUGAUUCUCAUAUUCAUAAAACUUUCAUGGUUCAUUGUAUGCAUCUGCAUCUUCUAAUUUGUACGUUUGAGAGACUAAUUUUGCUGUUAGGUAGGCGUCAAAUUUGAUUCAUGCGUUUUUCAUAAAUUUACCAAAAUCAUGGAAACUUCUUUUUCCCAGAUAUUGUAUCCACACUUUUCCCAUGUAAUUCAGUCAGACAAGUUCUGCUUAACAAAGAUAUCUACAGUAGCUGAAGUGCAGGAAAAGUACAUUAAGGAUGAUGACGAUGUUAACUAAAAUGGGACACGAAGAUAUGUGGUGUGCAAACCGUAAGCAUGCCUCUUACUUUUGUGCAUGUUUACUUGCUUGUGAUUCAUGUUUGUUAAUCUAUUAUGCUCUUUUGUUGGGUUUAUAAAGUUUUCAAUCAAUCAAACAUUUGACUGAUUCAGACAGGACAAGCGGGGAAGAGGUGGUUUUAAUCAAACCACUACUAAUUAUGAUGUAUCUCGGACCUUUGUACAAUAUCAAGCGAUUUUUUUAGUUGAAUCAGCUGGUGUACACAAAUGUCGUUUAUUGAUUUUUCUCUAGUAUAGUUCGUAAUUUUGGUAACACAUCUACUCUAGUAUCGUUUGUAAUUACAAGAAACAAAGUAAUGAAAUUUAUCACUGCAUUCAUAGUUAUGCUUAAGCUCAAAGAUCACUGUGAAUAUCAUUUUGGGGCCUCUAUUUGUUCUAUAACAUGAUGUUGACACGUGUCAAAUUUUGAAGCUUGUGAUUAAAAUACUAUUCACAUAUAUAUUUUAAGUACCACUAAUAAUUAAAUAUAUUAAUAAAUAUGGGCAAUGGGGAUAAAAUAAAAUGGUUUUAUUUUUUGAAUUACUCAACUGCUUCAAACUUCUAAGAAGUAGAUUUACGAUGAGUGGAAUCUUAAAUUGAGUACGAGUUAGGGAUAACUUAUAAAAUUGGGAUACAAGCUUCAAAGAAAGUGUAUUACUAUUCAUAUGUAGAUUUCGAAUUAAGAAGAUAUGCCAGCUAAUUGUAUAAGAAUGUAAAAAUUGAUCACAGGCAUAAUCGCAAAUGAUGAAAUGAGCUACCUUGAUCAAAAGGUCAAGAACCUACCUUACUUCUCUUAGGGAUAAGUUGCAUCAACCGUUGUGAUAUUGAUAUUUAUCUUGAGCCAGUAAAAGUGAAAGCUUCCCAAUUGAAGGAAAGUGAAGAGAAGAUUCUAUGCUCUAAUUAUUAUUAUUAUUAUUAUUUGUUAGAAUGAAGUGCGAAGUGAGCACAUCAUGCAAGCUCAGCAGAUGUGAUAAGGUGACUUGUAACUCAGCUGGCACAAGAGACAAAGUGUAGUGGAGAAAAGUUUCCCAAUUGAUGGAAAGUGAAGGGAAGAUUCUAUGCUCUAAUUAUUAUUAUUUGACAAUGAAUUGGCAAAUAAAAACAAAAUAGCAGGCCUGUAAAGUAAUGAAGUGGAGACAAUGACCAUGUGAUUGAUUGGUAAAUAAAAACAAAAGAGCAAGCCUGUAAAGUAAUAUAAAUUAUAGUGUAUAUUCAAGUUAAAGUAAUGGAAACAGUGUGCAUCCACAAAAAAUUCUUUUAUCUCUCGUUGUCUUAUUCUUUUCUUUAUUUACGUUUUCCAGAAGUAAAGCCAUACAUGUGAUGAAGCAUAGAUAAGAAAGCUAUCGCCCGAAAUUCAUUUUGCACAAACACUUCAAUAUCCUUUUGAUCACUUUUGCAAACAUCAAUUUGUCUCCUAUUGUAUUCACCAUGGCUGAUGCAAUCGUUUCCACUAUCUUGGAGCAGCUGAUUUCCUUCGCUGCUGAAGAGAUAAAACAACAGGUGAUCGAAGUUACACCCCUCCUAUUACAAAUACUUCCAAUGAUUUUAAUUGGUUUUGUUUUUAUCAAAAACAUUAUAUAUUUUUGCUUUAUUUUAUUUAUCUGAUAGUUUUAUAUUUUGAAAUUUGAAUUGAAAUCAUGAAAUUUGGAUAGGAUUCACUAGAAAUAUGUACAAGACUCUCCAUAAAGUUUCAUAAUUUUCAUUCGGUAUGGGGUGGUGCAGGUGAAACUUGUGGUUGGUGUUGAAGAAGAAGUGAAAAGCCUUACCAGCCACCUUGAAGCCAUUCAAGUUGUGCUCGAUGAUGCAGAGGAAAAGCAAGUGAAGGAAAAAGCUGUUAGUCUUUGGCUGGGUAGGCUCAAGUAUGCAUCCUACGACAUUGAAGAUGUGUUGGAUGAGUGGAUCACAGCAAGACGCAAAUUGCAAAUUGAGGAUGGCGUUGAUGAAAAUGCUCUUGUUGUUCCUCAUAAGAAAAAGAAGGUAUGUCUCUGCUUUCCCGGCUCUUGUUUUGGAUUCAAACAAGAAGAAUUUGGUUUCAAACAAGUCUUUUUCCGUCAUGACAUUGCCAACAAGAUCAAAGAAAUGAAUGAAGAGCUACAUGAUAUUGCCACUCAGAAAGACAUGUUUAAUCUUGUUAAGAGUGGCAAUAAAAGUAGUGAAAGACCAAGGCGUGUACAGAGUACCUCCUUGAUUGAUGAGGAAGAGAUUUGUGGUAGAGUUGGUGAGAAGAAUGAACUCUUAAGCAAGCUGUUGUGUGAGAGUAGCGAGCAACAAAAAGGCCUCCAUAUCAUCUCAAUUGUUGGUAUGGGAGGCAUAGGGAAAACUACUCUUGCACAACUAGCUUGUAAUCAUGACGAGGUGAAGAGAAAGUUUGACAAAAUUCUGUGGGUGUGUGUAUCAGAAACUUUUGAGGAGUUUAGGGUAGCCAAAGCGAUCGUUGAAGCUUUGGAUGGUCGUGAAUCUCAUUUAGGUGAAUUCCAAUCUCUUCUUAAACAUAUUUAUGAAUCAAUUGCAGGGAAGAGCUUUCUUCUUGUCUUAGAUGACGUGUGGGAUGGAAAUUACUUGAAAUGGGAACCAUUCUACCGUUGUCUAAAGAAUGGUCUCCAUGGAAGUAAAAUUUUAGUUACUACACGUAAAGGGUCAGCCGCAUCCAUGAUGGGAUCCACAGAUAUUAUCUCCGUUAAGGAGUUAGCUGAAGAAGAAUGUUGGUUGUUGUUUAACAAGAUAGCAUUUUUUGAUCGGUCCAUCGAGGAACGUGAAAAAUUAGAACAAAUUGGGCAAAGAAUUGCAGGCAAGUGCAAAGGUUUACCUCUUGCAGCAAAGACAAUCGGGAGUCUCAUGCGUUCUAAACAAACUGAAGAAGAGUGGAAAAGAAUUUUAAAUAGUGAUUUAUGGAAAGUAGAAGAGAUUGAGAAAGAUGUUUUGUCCUCUUUAUUGUUGAGUUAUAAUGAUUUGCCAUCUAGAGUAAAAAGAUGUUUUUCAUAUUGUGCUGUCUUUCCAAAAGACUACGAUAUAAAAAAAGACAAACUAAUCACAUUAUGGAUGGCUCAAGGUUAUCUUAGUGUAGAACAAGACGAAGAGAUAGAGACAAUAGGUGAAGAGUAUUUUGGCAUCUUAGCUUCUCGCUCGUUUUUUCAAGAGUUUAAGAAAAGUUAUGAUAAUCGGAUUAUAGCGUGUAAGAUGCAUGAUAUGGUACAUGAUUUUGCCCGAUUUGUAAGUCAAAAUGAAUGUUUUUCGAUGGAAAUUAACGGUAGUGAGGAACCAAACGCCACAAACUCUCUUGAUGAGAAGGUCCGUCAUUUAAUGUUAAUCUUUAGUAAAGGGGCUUCAUUACCUGCUUCCACUCGUAGAGUUAAAAGAAUGCGUACCCUCUUAAUUAACUAUAGUAGAUCUGAAUCAUCUGAUCAUUCAUUAUUAAAUGGUGAGAUCCUAGAAGAAUUAUUUAGGGAAUUGAAAAGUUUAAGGGCAUUAGAUUUUGGCGGAUCGUACGACACACAUUUUUCUUUGACUCUGGAGAUUCCAAGAAACAUAGAAAAGCUGGUACAUUUAAGAUACCUUAAUUUGUCUCUUCAGAAAAUAGUGGAGCUACCGGAGACAUUAUGCGAGUUGUAUAAUCUAGAAAAGUUAGAUAUUAGUUAUUGUUAUAAGCUAGAAGAAUUACCUGAAGGGAUUGGGAAGUUAAUAAACAUGAAGCAUUUACUAAAUAAAAAUACUAGUUCUUUAACGUACAUGCCAGUAGGGAUUGGGAGAUUAACGGGUCUUAGGACCUUGGGUGAGUUCCACGUGAGUGCAGGAGGAGGUGUUGAUGGUAGGAAAGCAUGUAGGCUUGAAUCUCUUAAAAACUUGGAACGCCUUCAAGUAUGUGGUAUACGUAGACUGGGUGAUGUAUCAGAUGUGGGCGAGGCUAAGCGAUUAGAACUUGACAAAAAGAAAUACCUCUCUUGUUUGACCCUUGAGUUUGAUAAGAAGGAAAGAGGAGGAGAAAGGAGGAAGAACGAGGACGAUCAACUUCUUCUUGAAGCUCUACAACCACCUCUGGAUUUAAAGGAAUUAGAGAUAUGGUACUACCGAGGCAACACUGCUUUCCCUAGCUGGAUGACGUCAUUAACCAACUUAAAAAGUUUAGAUCUCUCUUUGUGCGAAAAUUGCGAGCAGCUGCCUCCUUUGGGAAAAUUGCAGUCCCUUGAAAAUCUCCACAUAUGGCGCAUGGCGAGUGUGAAGAGAGUGGGUGAUGAAUUUUUGGGGAUAGAAAGUGAUCAUCAUGACUCAUCUUCUUCUUCAUCAGUUAUUAUUGCCUUCCCCAAAUUGAAAUCACUUUCAAUUAACGAAAUGGAGGAAUUAGAGGAGUGGGAUUAUGGGAUUACAAGAACGGGAAACACCGUCAUCGACAUCAUGCCACGUCUUUCAUCCUUAACAAUAAUUCUUAGCCACAAAUUAAAGGCACUGCCCGACUACAUUCAUCAAACGACAACAUUGAAGGAAUUGCACAUUUUGGGGUGUGACCUUCUGGAAGAACGUUACCGCAAGGGGGAAGGAGAAGACUGGCCUAAGAUAUCUCACAUUCCCAACUUCGAGAUUUGGCGUUGACAAGUAAUUUCUUCUCUCACUCUGAUUUGAAUCAAACUCUAUAUCAGAAAUCUGCAAUACUUACUUUCUAAUAUUCUGAUUUUCAUAUCCUAUGAAUAUACGAUUUUUAAUUUGUGAGAUGGGUAACGUUACUGUAAAAGAUUAUUAAUGCAAUAUGAGUAAUUCUUUUGCAGAACAAGUGACCUACAUUUAGUUUGGCUUUGGAGUUGAAUAAUAACCUUUCAAGGUCCCGACAACCAAAAAACGAAGCUUAAUUUGCCACAGAUGGCACGUAUUGCCAUUAUUGACAAUUUUCUGCACAAGCUUAGGUUGAUGUCAAAACAGGUAAAUUACUGGCAUGCCUGACUAUUUUGACCAUUACAUGAUUCAUAAGUUUACAUUAAUUUUGAUUUUGAGUUGAGUGAUUAAUUUUCUAGGUUUGCUUACUUUAACUGGGUGACCAAUUUCUUGUAACUAAAUGUAUGAUGUGAUGCAGGAAGCAGGGCAGGGCAUGAAGAGAGAAGCUUAUUAGAGGAAGGAUUGCCAGUAACAGAAUCCAAAGAAAAAAGAAACCAUUUCGAGGCAGCAGUUGGCAGUUGGCAGUGAAUGGAGCCCCUUGAAAAAUUCCCCAAGCCGUUGCACUGCAAUUACGAUCAUCCUCGGCCUCAGGUAAUUUCUUCUCCUGCAUUUUUGUUAUUUGCUAUCAAGUGACUAUUUUAAGUAUGAUUGCAUUAAGCUGCUGCUGGGAAAUUUGAGGUUUUGAUGACUGCCCAUGCUAUUGUCAGAAGCUGCGGUUCUUUUCAUCAGCCUGAACCUGGACCUGCCGCUAUGGAUAACUCAGGUUUUUUUUUUUUAAUCAACAGCCAUCUUUUCCACUGUUUAGAAACUCUUAAGAUUAAACUUUAGUAAAGUUGUUUUAGUUAUCCAUGUAAUCAGGCUGAGGAUACUUAGCUGCCUAUUUAGGCAAAUGUUAGAAUUUAGUUUGUUUGCUGGGAACUGGUGUGGACUGGCAAAGGAUGAUGAGAUAGUUUUUUGAGUGAGUAAAUUUUGGGAGCUUGAGUGUAUUGGGAUUUGCAAUUACAAUCAUCGUCUGCCUCAGGUGAUUUCUUCUCCUGCUCUGUCAUUGUUUGUUCUCUAAUUCAAAAGCAUAAAAUAUUUCAAUCAAUUUUUAUGCCAGGAAUAUGCAAAAGUUUCUAAUAUUUUAUUUCCAUCUGUUACAAGAUCAAACUGAAGCAGAACUCAAACAAAAGUAUGCUACUUCUUGCGGAAAUCUUGCCUUUGUUCAGAUUAUGAAACCAUUUCCAGGCAGCAAAUUCAUCCAAAAGUUUGAAUAAGUUUCAUGGUUGGACACUGUUGCCUUCUUUUUCUUCUGGGGUGCAUUUAGGUGCUAUCAAGUGACAGCUGUAAGUAUGAUUGCACUAAGCUGCUGCUGGGAAAUUUGAGGUUUUGAUGGCUGCCCAUGUUAUUUUCAAGAAACUAUUGAUGUAAGAAGCUGUGGUUCUUUUCAUCAGCUUGAACCUGAAACUGUCGCUAUGGAUAACUCAGGUUUUUGUUAUCAACUAUAUCAUCUUUUUCACUAUUUUGAAACUCUUAAGAUUAAACUUUAGUAAAGUUGUUUCAGCUAUUCAAAUGAAAAACUCAUUGAUUUGAGACUGACUUCAUUAUUGUUUCUAAUUACAAUGCUAACGAUCCAGAUAAAAUAAUAUUUAAUCGGCGAAGGUGUCCCUUGGAAGUACAUCCUUCUUUUUCUUUUAUUAUAUAAAUUCUUGCAAUGAGCUUAGUGAAGCUGUUGUGCUAAUCAUGCCACUGCAUAAUUUGGCCCCUAAUGUGGGUACUCUGUUACAUUGUUCUGCAAAUUCUCCAGAAGUUAAAAUCAAUAAAUUUUCUAUUAGCUCUAGUGCUUUGACCUAAAUGCCAUUCUAUAUUUUGAUUACAAUGUUUUAACCUUUAAAUUAACUACCCCUAGAUGUUGGAUUUUCUAGAACUUCAAAAUGAUUAAUGGAGAAAGAUCCCAUUAUCGUUAUUGCUAUAAGAAAUUGAUUUAUGCAUCCAAAGAUACAUUAUAUAUUUCUGUGUCUCUAUUUGUAGAUGACAUUUAAGCAUCCAUAAACCGUCAGACAGAGGAAGGGGGUUCAGUGCAAAGAUUCUGUUGACCUAGGGUUGACUGCAUAAUGUCACUUGUUCGCAAUCUAUUAUUUAUUUUAUAUUUUGAAGAAUUUAAUGGGUAAUCCUAAUUGUUUGUUUUGGCAGGUAUGUGUUGUUAUCUCCUUCUAUCUAACAGUCGUACCUAAAUAGCAUAGUUUCAUCUGCGUUACCAUGUGAUGUACAUAAUUUCACAUUUGCCUCAGAUUAAGCUUAAUUUCCCACAGAAUAGAGCUGUCGCGACUGGACUUUUUGAUGUCCAAAGAGGUAAAUUAUUGGCAUGCCUAGAUAAUUUGGCCAUUUCCUAAUUCAUAAGUCUACAUUAAUUUUGAUUUUGAGUUGACUGAUUUCUUUUCAAGGUCUGCUUCCUUAACGGAGUGACCAAUGUUUUUCAACUAAAUUUAUCAUAUGAUGCAGGAAGCAGGGCAGGAUAUGAAAUGAGAAGCUCAUUGGUGGAAGUAUUGCCAGUAGCAGAACCCAAUGAAAAUGAAACUAUUUCAAGGCAGCAGUCGGCAGUUGCAAGUGAAUGGAGGCCCUUGACAAAAUUCUCAAGCGAUUGCAAUGCAAUUACGAUCAUCCUCAGCCUCAGGUAAUGUCUUUUAUUGGUACCCAACAAAAAUGCAAGGUCUGUGAGAAGACAGUUUGUCCAGUUGAGCAGUUAUCUACUGAUGGGGUUGUUUAUCACAAGUCUUGCUUCAAGUGCUCUCACUGCAAAGGCACACUCAAGCUAAGCAAUUACUCAUCCCUGGAAGGUGUUCUUUACUGUAAGCCUCACUUUGAGCAGCUUUUGAAGGAGUCGAGUAACUUCAACAAGAAUUUCCAAUUACCUGCAAAGUCAGCUGAGAAGUUAACUCCUGAGCUGAGAAGGUCGCCUAGCAAAGUUGCCAGCAUGUUCUCUGGGCCCAAUAAAAAUGUGCUUCUUGCAGUAAAACAGUGUGUCCGUGGGAGAAGGUAGCAGCGGAAAACCAAGCCUCUCACAAGACAUGUUUCAAGUGCUCACAUGGUGGUUAUUCCAUUAGCCCGUCAAAUUACGCAGCCCUAGAAGGCAUCUUGUAUUGCAAACAUAAUUUCUCCCAAUUGUUCAAGGAAAAAGGCAGCUACAACCACCUUAUAUCAAAUCUGCUUCCAUGAAGCGUGCUGCAGUCUCUGUUCAAGAAGCUUGAACAUGUUAUGUUAUCUUCCAUAAAUCUUAUUUGGCGUGGGUUUUCUCUGGCUUGAGGGUGUGCUGCUUUCUAUUUUGAUCCCUCUUGUUUUUUUUGCGGGGAACUACCAAACCUUCGGUUCCCUCUGCUUCUUUGGAUCAUCUUUGUUGGGACAAAUUUCAUGUAAUUAGAGAUACUGAUUUAUGGGAGGCAUAAUCCCAUGGUCGUAAAUUGACCAUUUUCUGGCAAUGUUCUUUUUAAAAAGAGAUGAGCAGUUGUUUAACAAAAAAAAUAUUCGGCCUUCAUCAUUGUAUGUUACCAAACUGCUAUGUAUAGCUGCUAACUAUGAGCAUCCGAAAAUAUGGUGCAUCGUGAUUCAUGUAGUGCAAUAUGGCUACCAACGCAUCCUAAAUGGAGUAUUACUCAGUUAGUCAGCAAAAUAAGACAACAUAACAGAUAUUAAAAAAAAAACUACAUUAAUAAGUGGGCAAGAUCAUGCCAGUUUAACUUUUCGCGCGUCGCUGCUGGAGAUAAUCAAAUCGGGGCAGAGAAAAGGAGAAUGGAAUCAGAGGCUAAGAUUAAUAAGUGGGCUUCUGCUUGCUUUGCGCCUCUUUCUUAAACGAUUGGUAGACUGCUGCUUCCACCGAUUAACCGGGACUUCAACCACUGCUUUUACUGCCUGCCAUCUUGUUGUUUGUCGAAGGGAUGAAUUCAAGUCGAAAAGAGAAAGCGCGCUGAAAAAGAUAAAUCACUAGUGGUUAACUGCUGACUCAGCCAAGUGUUGGCUUCACUUGAUUCACCGAUUGAGGUUAUUUUGUCUUCUAUCUAAUGCAGCGAAGAAGCUUUGCUGCUUAACAUGCUGCAAUGCAACUUUAUCCUUUGAAGUUCACACUCCAGGGCUGCGCACUUUAUGUAAUCCUAUGAGUAAAAAGAAUUUGUUUUCAAAUGUGAAAAAAGAAAAUGUAAGGUAGUAACUAAAUAUAUUAUAGCAUCAAAGCAAGAUUUGAUAUGAAUUUAGUACAACAAAGAACAUCAAAUCUGUGAUUCCUUGUCUAAUGUCACCAUCGAGCAACAAAUUUAAAAGCCUACCUAUCAAAUACACGAGGCAAUAAACGGAGAAAAAGUUGAAUUACAAGAACAAGUUUACAAUUCUUGUCAAUGGUUAAUGAUUUGUGAACUGCAUAGCAUUCAAGAAUCCAAUUUCAAUACAACAACCUAAAAGAUAAACAGAUGAUGAAUUUUAUGAGAUAAAGAAGGAGAUCGUGUUUUAUCGUAUCUCUAUUUUCUUUCUUUUUAAAUUUAAAAUAAGCUUUUCAACCGGUUUGGUAACUGGUUAUAAUAUUUUUUAAAAUAAUUAAAUAUUUUCAUUAUUAAAAAUAAUGUGUACCGUUGAUUACAUCUAACGGUACAUAUUUCUUACACUACUAAUACCGUAAAAAAAAAAAGGCAUCAUAGAAGGACCCUUAAAACAUUUUCAUUUGAAAUUAUUUGGUGUAGUCAAAAAGUUAAGAAAGAAAUAGUUGUCCCUUUGGUCAUUUCACAAAAAUGAAAGCCCCAUAUAACAUGGACUUGAAUGGAAGCCCAAUUGUUUGUGUUUGAUUUCAAGCUUUAUCGGACCUUUGGACCUGGAUACUUUACUGCGGCCUCUAAGCCCUAUAAAUUUUUUUUUGGGAUAAAAGGUGCUUCAAUGAAAAAGCACUUUAAAACUUUGGAUUUUGCCAAAACUUCAAAGCGGUUGGUCCAGUUACGGUGUGUUAUGCUAACGGGUUUAAAGGUUCCGAUCCAAUGAGUUAGGGUGGAAUAUGAAUAUAUAAAUUCCAUAGCAUGUAAGGACUAGGAUUUGUUUGUUCAUAUCAAGAAAAAAAAUCUGAAAAUUUGAUGAUCAGAAGAUAAAAACACUUAAACACGUUUAUUACAGAGAAACAAACGACAACAUGAUACUAGUAGUAGUUAUUCUUUUCAUCCGAUAUAUUACAUGGUAAUAUCACUACUCGUUCCACUGGUUUCAUAUACACCAUCGAUCAGCAACAUGAUAAUUUUGUGUCAGUUCAUUUUGUUUGUAGGAAAGAGCAGUGUAUUUAUAAUAAAAAGAUUUUAAAAUAUAAAUUGCAUAUUUGUUUAUUACUGUUGUUUGGUCUAAUUUCUUAUGUAGAAUUGCUUGUCAUUCUUUGGACGUUAUUGGUUAUAUUUUUGUCAGACUUGGCGUAUAUAUUCACAUACAUUUUAUUUUGUCAUUUUUUAGAACAUUUUUACACGCCAUAUUAUCACUACUCUUCUCUGUCUGAAUAAGAAGAAAGCAUCAACGGAGGUGUAUUACCACUGUUUCUUACUCAGUUAUCAUCAACGGAGUACCAAGAGGCUUGAUUUUUCCUGAAAGAGGACUUAGGCAAGGGUGUCCACUCUCCCCAUACCUGUUCCUUUUAUGUGCUGAGGUCUUUUCCAGCUUGCUGUCCCAGGCAGAAAGAAAUUAGCAAAUUAAGGGCUUGAGAUUCACUAAAGAUGUUACUAUCUCCCAUCUCCUCUUUGCGAAUGAUAGUCUAAUUUUCACAAGAGCUGCAGUGGCUAAUUGCAAGCAUCUAAAAGGUCUAUUUGAUACUUAUGCGAAGGCAUCGGGGCAUAUUUUUAACUUUGAAAAGUCAUCUAUGUUUUUCAGUGGUAAAAUUUUUUAGGGGCAGAUUUCAGCGAUCAAGAGUAUCUUCAAGCUUAAGGUGGUUCCUGUUGUGCAAAUUUUAAUGAACUCGCAAGCGCACGAAUCUAUUGUAGUAUAGAUCAAUGGUGACGAGUGUCGAUCCCACGAGGAGGUGGAUUUUAAUUAUAUGUAGAAUUAAUUUUGUAAAUGGGUGGUUGGAAUUGUAGUGGAAAUGAUUUGGAAUAUGCUAAAACUUAAAUUAAAAUGGCGAGAAUAAAUUAUGAAAUUGGAAUUGCAAUGGCGAGAAUAAAUUGAAGUGAAAUCUAUUGAAAUAACGUACUUGGGUAUCCGGAUCCGUAUCAACAUGCAUCAUGGGCUAAAUAAUCCGUAUUAAUGCCAAUUAAAUCAUGAGGGGGGAAUCCACACCUCAUGAACCACGCUCUAAUCAAUAUGGUGCUAAGGGCUUAUCGUGCCAAAUAAUAAUAACCUUAUACUAGAGAGCCGGUGUAACCAAGGCGGUAUCUAGACAAGAUUACUAUUAUUUGUCGACGAAAAGUCAAAACAUCCACAAAAACUAGAGGGGAAGAGAAAAUAAAUUUACCAAAUUAAGCCCAUGAAAAUAAUCCUGUGUGAUGCAUGCACCGUACGCGAAAUUUUUCGUCCACUGAUAUGCUGCCACGUCACCAUCAACAGUACAUAAGAAUUUUAGUCCAACAGGAUCGUGACACCUCAUCAGUCAAUGCCACAUCAUCGGUCAAUGCCACGUCAUCGAUCCGUCUAUGUGAACAGUGUCGUGAACAGUAACGUAGACAGUACCGUAUACGUGAAUAGUACCGUACAUGUGAAUAGUGCCAUUUUUCCUUUUAUGCUCCUCCUAAGGUUUUCGACCGUCCUGAGUUCAAAAGUGAUGUCCGUUUUGCUGUCUGAUCUCUCCUUUAUUGUGAAAUGACUAUAAUGCCCCUAAAAUACAUAAAAUACUUAAUUAAAAUAACACACACGUAAUUACAUCACAAAAAGGUUAAAUACAUAAAAGUAAGGGUUGUUAGUAAGACUUGAAAUGUAAAAUGAUGGUUUUCUCCUUUAUAAAUAUGCAUUUUCUAAUACUCAACACACCCCCCAACCAGCUUAUUGCUAGUCCCUAGUAAAUAAAGCGAAAACAAAAUUCAAAUUCAAAAUAUUUUUUUAGAAACACUCGUGUUUAUUCAAUCAGAUUAAUGAUAGCAAUCAAAUAAAAGUAUAAGCAUUAUCUCCAGUCUAAAGCAAUAUCACACCCAUAUCAACCAUCCACAUGAAUCGGCCCAGUAGACUUUGUUAUAGCUACUUUCAAGAAUGACAUGUUAAACCCCAAAAUCUCACUGGAAGUAGUGACACUCUCACAAAGAAAUUAAAACCCAAUAAACAUAGUCACUCCAAUGAAUAGUAAUUGAGAGAGAAAAUAAUAAAGAAAUGAUAUCACAUGCUCUCACCAAGAUGAAAUAAAUAUGCCCUCAGCUUAGAAAUAAUACGAUCUCAAGUCAAAUAAAAUGUUAGUCAACCCACUUUAUUUAUCUUCUUUUUUUUUUUAUUAUUAUGCAUCACUACAUCUUUUUAGCCCAUAUAACUAGCUUCUACUUCAAACUAUAGUUCCCUAAAAUCAAGAAGGACUUUUAUUAGGACGUAACGUAGGCUAGGGAUAUGGCUAACAAAGAAAGGAAAUAAGGAAAACAAAGUGUAUGUUUGAGAAAAAUGCAGAAAUAUAUAUAUAUAUAUAUAUAUAUUUUUUUUUUUUUUUGAAGUUGCAAGGUGGAUUUCACCUAUUAUUGUUAUUUUAUUCUUUUGAAACAACAACUUUUGUUUUUUUGUUUUUUUUUUAUUUUUUGUUUUUUUUUUUGCUUUUAUUUGGCAUAACUUCACUGAACAACAUAAUUAUUUACAUUUUCUCAAACAUAAAUAGGUGAUGGAACUUAUAAGACAUCGAGUAAUACUCCAAAUCGGAGUGAGUCAAGAUGAUAAGUUGACAAAGAAAAGGUUUUAUUUAUUUAUUUUUUUUUAAAGGCUCAAAAGGGGUAACUAUGGAUAUUUAAUAAAAGGGAUGGCUAGAAAGGCUCAAACGGAUCAAAGAUGGCCUUUCCAUCGUCUUUUAGGGCUCUAAAUAAUUAUCCAUAUCUACUAGUUAGAUGGGCCUCCCAAUGUAGCAACACACAUUUUUUUUUUUUUUUUUUAAUUUUACCAUUUUUUUUAAAGGGUUAACUCAAAAGAAAUCUAGAGAUCGUGUAUAAAAUAAUAAACUGCUAAGCUGUAUAGAAAAUGGGCAAAAGGGUUACUCUCCAAGAAAAUGAUAGGCUCAACAACUCACUUGACACUUAUUUAUGACAUGUUCAUUCCUUCAAGCAACUCAUAUUUGUCUCCGACAUCAACAUGUAAAGUAGCAAACAUAGCGUAACAUCACUUAAGACCAAAGAUAAUACAAAUACUAAAAUUUGAAAUUAAUCAUGUCAUCCAAUGUUAAAACAAAUAACACAAAUUUUUUUUUUUUUAAACAACAUUCUACCCCCCAACCUAUUCUAAACAUGAAAAGAAAAUAUGCAUGCAGAAAUGUGAAAAUGAUGUAGAAAAAUUAAUUAGAAAAAGAUUUUUUUUUUUUAAAACUAAGAAGAUGCGUUUCUAGAGGCACUACACUCCAUAUUCAGCCAUCUUCGACUCAAAAGUUGGAAAAUGUAUAUUUAUAGAGGAGAAAAUAAAAAGAAGAAGAAAAAUGAAGUAGAAAAAUUAAUUAGAAAAAGAAUUUUUUUUUUCGAACAAUGAAGAUGCGUUUCUAGAGUAACUACACUCCAUAUUCAGCCAUCUUCAACACAAAAAGUUAGCAACAGUUAGUUUCUACAACAAAAAAUUAGUAAAAACUUAACCAAGAUUCCACAAUUGUCGACUAUUCCCUCCCCCCAACCAGAACGAAACAUUGUCCUCAAUGUUUGAAAGGAAAGAAGUAGAGUUUAGAAGACAUCACCUGGGUGGUGCAACACAGAAGAAUAUAUUUACAGGCGGAGAGUUAAAUCUAAUUUGUACUUCUUACUGCGGCUACUGUUACCAUCAUUAGUUGGUCGCUCCAACACAAAGGUCCAGGGGUCUGGCUCCGGUUUAUAAGCUUGUAACAUAUCAAGUAGCUCAUUAGCAGUGUGAGCACAAAUAAAGAGUUUUUUCACAUUAGAAUGCGAUAAAGUCAUCAUAAAAGUUAUUGACAUUUAACAAACCAAUAGGUUUCUGGUGGAUGUGCAGAUGGGCCCAAGAUGCUAGUGUCAUAAAUGCUUCUAGUGUUGCAAGAUCUCCUGGAAGGAAAAUAAAAGCAUCAGCAUGAUUAAGCAUUUCAGUUAUUCUUUCUUGCAUACCUGAGACGACUAACUCUUCUCCAGUUGAUGAGUCAGACGAACUGCCCAAUGGUUUUAGGACUCUUGGGAUGAUGCCUAACACUUGACUUCCUCUGAUAAAAGCUGCUUCUGAGACCAUUUUUGAUAACCCUCGGUUACCUCCUCCAUACACCAAGUGUAAUUUUCUCGCUGCUAUGCUUCGACCAAGAUCUAUGGCUGCCUCCACAAACUCUUUAUGUUUGCCACAGGUAAAUCCAGAAAGCACACAAAUGUUCUUGAAUUGUCUAAUGGGAGUAGCUGCCAUUGUGAUACUUCUCAAAAACAAUUUGUGAGUGCUUGACAAAAGAUAAAUCACAUUUAAGAAUCUUGGUGACAGUGGAUCACAACUGUGAAUGAGGUAACAUGUCAGUGUCAAAUAACGCGUAAAGCACGUGGCUCGCGAGUCAAAAAGGAAACAAUAAAAAAAAGAAAAAGCAAACAGUAACAAAAUUAUUAAAGACAAAAAUAAAACAACAGUGAAAUGAAAUAAAAUAACAGUAAAGUAAAAGGAUAUUUACACGUAGUUGCGACUGUGGCUCACAUCUUCCUCUGGUUUUACGUCCAGAAACGGCUUGAACGCCCUCUAUGGGUCGAGGAUAGGCUUCCUAUCCAGUUUUCUUAUAAACUGGCAAACAGGGUCGUUUAUAGUCAGAUUCCCGAGACUAUAUCGUGCAUGCUCUUUCUGGAAUAAUGGCCAUAACUGGAGAACCGCUCCUUGCACAUAUCCACUAGGAUGCGUUUCAAGAGACAAAAGGAUAUCAUCCAAUGACUCCUUAUUCAAGCCAUCCCUAAUGAAUUGAAUCUUAUAUUCCCUGUUAUCAGACACCAUUCCUAAAGAACAUGGGUUUCUAUCGCAACUCAUUCUGGCACACUUAUGACAAGCAACAGAAAUUCUUCGAGCUCGUCGUUUUCUUCCAUAAUUUCCUUUACCACAACCAGGCAUGAAUGCAAUAAAUUUUGGAGGAAACUCACCUGCCGAUCGUACUUUAGCCUCGAUUAACCAACGGAUGUCAGCAGGUAUGUUAUUCCUCAUGAGUAAUCGCAUGCGUUCGGAUCGAGCUUUAUAGAUCGUAAGGAGGGCAUUCUGAGGAAGUGAAGGGAAUCGCUUGUGAAGCUUCGCUAGAAUCUCGUUUCUGUUCAUACUUUCACCUCAGAAUGUCAGUUAUUAUGGGAAACUGAAGUAACCGACUUGAUUGUCACGGAGUACCGUUAUCCGCCACUUCACCGGGGUAACAAACUAAAGCACAUAAACAGAAAAACAAAUCAAAACACACAAAGAAAAUUAAAAUCGUCCUCUUAUUGAAUUUACCUCAAGCUCCAACUGGAUGUCGUAAACACUUCUCUCAAUGUCUCUGAGUUGGCGUUCUAAACCCUCAACAUAGGCUACUAACUCUGGUGGUUGUAGAGCCCAAAUGCGUUGUGUUUUACAAAAUUGAAUCUGCCUUUUGAGAUGAGUUUUGAUACGUUGAAGUGGUUUAAGAAUGUUCAGGAGGAACGGUCUAAGUAUGAGACUCAUGAUUAAAAAUGAUAAGAGAAAACUUAAUGGUAAAAUAAACACACUUAUGCAAAAACAAUUUCAAUUAGCAAAAGAAUAAUAAUAAAAAGAAAGAAAGAAAAAUCAAAUCAACGAAAAGAAAAAAAAUCAAUUCAAAUUUGGUGGGUCACUCAAAUUUAUUUCGGUGUCUUCUCUAUGUGGUUGGUACUCAAGAUAUGGCUUUAAUCUUUGACCAUUAACUUUAAACGUGACACCGUUCUUUGGGUCCUUAAUUUCAAUUGCCCCAUGUGGAAAAACAGUAUGAACAAUAAAGGGACCAGACCAUCGAGAGCGUAACUUACCUGGGAAUAGGUGCAAGCGAGAAUUGAAUAAAAGCACUUUCUGACCUGGAGUGAAAGAUUUUCUCAUAAUGUGCUUGUCAUGAAAGACUUUCAUUCGUUGCUUGUAAAUUUUGGCAUUUUCGUAUGCAUCAUUGCGAAUUUCUUCAAGUUCUGCCAGCUGUAAUAUUCUUUCUGAGCUGGCUUGUUGCAUGUCAAAAUUGAAUUUCUUGAUGGCCCAAUACGCACGAUGCUCGAGUUCCACAGGUAGGUGGCAAGCUUUUCCAUACACUAGCCUGUAGGGUGACAUCCCAAUCGGGGUCUUGAAAGCCGUUCUAUAUGCCCAUAAUGCAUCAUCAAGUCUUAAUGACCAAUCUUUCCUGUCUGGCCUCACCGUUUUUUCUAAUAUGUGCUUUAUUUCUCGAUUGGAUAUCUCAACUUGGCCACUGGUUUGCGGAUGAUACGGGGUCGCCACUUUGUGUGUGAUUGAAUACUUUGUCAAAAGAGCCUUGAAUGCUUUGUUACAAAAGUGGGCACCACCAUCACUGAUUAUCGCUCGAGGGAAUCCAAAGCGUGAAACAAUGUUGCUUUUCAAAAAUCCUAUCACCACUUUGUGAUCAUUGGUUCUGCAUGGAAUUGCUUCCACCCAUUUCGAUACGUAGUCAACACCAACCAAUAUGUAUUGAUGGCCAAAAGAAGGGGGAAAGGGUCCCAUGAAGUCGAUACCCCAUACGUCAAAAAUCUCAACCACUAAAAUUGGAUUUAGUGGCAUCAUGUUCCUUCGUGUAAUGCUCCUCAUUCGUUGACACCUAUCACAUGAAGAACAAAAAGUGUAAGCAUCUCGAAAUAUAGUUGGCCAAUAAAAACCACAUUGUAAAACUUUAGUCACGGUUUUCUUAGCACUGAAGUGGCCUCCACAAGCUUGUUCAUGGCAGAAUGAAAGGAUAUUCUGAAUUUCACUUUCUGGGACACAUCGUCUAACAAUUUGGUCUGCACAAUACUUGAACAAAUACGGGUCAUUGUUGAGUGUUAGAAAAUGCAUAUUUAUAAAGGAGAAAACUGUCAUUUUAUGUUUCAAGUCUUACUAACAACCCUUACUUUUAUGUAUUUAACCUUCUUGUAAUGUAAUUACGUGUGUGUUAUUUUAAUUAAGUAUUUUAUGUAUUUUAGGGGCAUUAUAGUCAUUUCACAAUAAAGGAGAGAUCAGACGGCAAAACGGACAUCACUUUUGAACUCAGGACGGUCGAAAACCUUAGGAGGAGCAUAAAAGGAAAAAUGGCACUAUUCACAUAUACGGUAGUAUUCACGUAUACGGUACUGUCUACGUUACUGUUCACGACACUGUUCACAUAGACGGAUCGAUGACGUGGCAUUGACCGAUGAUGUGGCAUUGACUGAUGAGGUGUCACGAUCCUGUUGGACUAAAAUUCUAAUGUACUGUUGAUGGUGACGUGGCAGCAUAUCAGUGGACGAAAAAUCUCGCGUACGGUGCAUGCAUCACACAUGAUUAUUUUCAACCAAACCGCGUUACUGUUCAUCCGGGUCAAACCGUGUUACUGUUCAUCCGCGUGGUCAAACCGUGGACUGUUGACUGAUGACGUGGCGCAAUCCUGAGCGUCCAAACUGUUUUUAAUCCGAUGGCCAUGAUUUACUCCAUGUAUCUAUAAAAAGGGGGCCUCCCCCCCAUAAUUUGAUAUCUCUGAAUCCAUUUUUGGGAUCCAUUUUCUGUAAUUCCUUCUCCAUCUUGUAUUUUCUUUGUAUUUUAAUAAAUUCCCUUUUUGCCCCUAGUUCAAUUAUGAGUAGCUAAUUUCUUUUCAAGCUUGGGUUGAAGGUGAAGUCUCAACAUGUGUCAUGGGCUUUAUUUGGUAAAUUUAUUUUCUUUUCCCCUCUAGUUUUUGUGGAUGAUUUGACUUAUCGUCGAUAAAUAAUAAUGAUCUUGUCUAGAUACCGCCUUGGUUACACCGGCUCUCUAGUAUAAGGUUAUUAUUAUUUGGCACGAUAAGCCCUUAGCACCAUAUUGAUUAGAGCGUGGUUCAUGAGGUGUGGAUUCCCCCCUCAUGAUUUAAUUGGCAUUAAUAUGGAUUAUUUAGCCCAUGAUGCAUGUUGAUACGGAUCCAGAUACCCAAGUACGUCAUUUCAAUAGAUUUCGCUUCAACUUAUUCUCGCCAUUGCAAUUCCAAUUUUAGAAUUUAUUAUCGCAAUUUCAAUUCCAAUUUUAGGAUAAUUUAAAUCACUUCCACCACAAUUCCAACCACCCAUUUUGCAAAAUUAAUUCUAUACACAAUUAAAAUCCACCUCCUCGUGGGAUCGACACUCGUCACCAUUGAUCUACACUACAAUAGAUUCGUGCGCUUGCGAGUUCAUUAAAAUUUGCACAACAGUCAUCCCAAAAGAAAUUCUUUAUUUCUACAAAGAAUUUAGCCUUGUCUUGCUUGGUCCAAUGCUCUGGAAAUUUACCUGUAACAAGAUAAUUAACUAUAUCAGCAUACCAAGGUAAUACUUCCACAUUCAUCAAUUGUUCAUCUGGAAAUGACUCAUUCAAUAUUAAUGGCUCUGUAAUUGUGUCAAAAUGGAGACGAGAGAGGUGGUCCGCCACAACAUUCUCUGUGCCUUUCUUAUCUUUGAAUUCCAAGUCAAACUCCUGCAAAAGUAACACCCAACGAAUUAGUCUAGCUUUUGCAUCUUUCUUUGUGAGAAGAUAUUUAAGAGCAGCAUAAUCUGUGAAUACAAUUAUUUUACAACCAAUGAGAUAAGAUCGAAAUUUUUCUAAUGCAAACACUACUGCUAGCAUUUCUUUUUCAGUAGUUGAAUAAUUCAACUGUGCAUCAUUGAAUGUCAUACUAGCAUAGUAAAUAACAUGGGGAAUUCGAUCAACUCUUUGUCCUAAUACUGCUCCUACGGCAUAAUCAGAUGCAUCACACAUUAGCUCAAAUGGUAAGCUCCAGUUUGGGGCCUGAAUGAUGGGUGAUGAUGUCAACAACUGUUUUAAUUUUUCAAAUGCAACAAGACAUGAAUCAUUAAAGACAAAAGGUACAUCCUUAGCAAGUAGAUUGCAUAAGGGUCUAGAAACUUUGCUAAAAUCUUUAAUGAAACAUCUAUAAAAACCAGCAUGCCUAAGGAAAGAUCUUACUUCUCUGAUUGUUUUGGGUGGAGGAAGAUUAGAAAUGAGAUCCACCUUGGCUUUGUCAACCUCAAUACCUUUGCUCGAAAUGAUGUGACCGAGAACAAUACCUUGUUUUACCAUAAAAUGGCACUUCUCCCAAUUUAAGACUAAGCUCUUCGCGGUACAUCUCUGCAGAACUAGCGUUAGAUGAUGUAAACAUUGAUCAAACGAGUCACCAAAGAUAGAAAAAUCAUCCAUAAAGACUUCAAGGAAUCGUUCAACCAUAUCAGAAAAAAUGCUCAACAUGCAUCGUUGAAAUGUAGCAGGUGCAUUACAUAAUCCAAAUGGCAUUCUCCUAUAUGCAAAAGUGCCAAAAGGGCAAGUAAAAGUAGUUUUCUCUUGAUCUUUUGGUGCUAUGGGAAUCUGAUUAUAUCCUGAGUAGCCAUCUAGAAAGCAAUAAAAUUCAUGGCCUGCUAAUCUAUCAAGCAUUUGAUCAAUAAAUGGUAAAGGAAAAUGGUCUUUACGUGUGACAGAAUUCAACUUUCUAUAAUCAAUGCAUACACGCCAUCCUGUAGUUACUCUAGUUGGUAUCAAUUCAUUAUCAGCAUUGGUAACUACUGUGACUCCUGACUUUUUGGGGACAACUUGUACAGGACUGACCCAUGAACUAUCAGAAAUUGGGUAAAUGAUACCUGCGUCUAAUAGCUUAAGGACUUCUGUUCUAACAACUUCUUUCAUAUUAGGAUUUAACCGACGUUGCAUUUCCCUAGUAGAUUUAGCAUUUUCAUCAAGGUGAAUGUAAUGCAUGCAGUCUACUGGAUUUAUACCUUUUAUGUUCGCUAUGGUCCAUCUUAAUGCUCCUUUGUGCUAUUUAAAACAUCCAACAACUUACCUUUUUGUUCGUCAUUUAGGGAUGAUGAGAUGAUUACCGGCAGAGUACUUUCUUCUCCCAAAAACGCAUAUUCCAAUGUGUUGGGUAAUGGUUUGAGCUCGAGUUUCGGUGGUGAUUCUGAUGAUGGGAUGAGUUUCUUCUCUGAUGGUGCUAGUUGUUCAACUCUUGACUUCCAUUUAUUAGUGUCCAUGGAUGGUGCUGAGUCAAGUAGGGCGUUGACCUCAUCAACUGAUCUGUCAAUAUCAAAAUCCAAACCAAAGUGAGUUAAACAUGUUUAUAAAGGAUCAUCACUAAGGUUUGAAAGAAAAGUAUUAUCAACUAUUGUUUCUAUUAAAUCCACAUCAACAAUUCCAUCAUCUGCACUGUGAGGUUGUUUGGCAAUGUUGAAGAUGUUCAGCUCCAUAGUCAUGCUGCCGAAGGACAACUGCAUAUUUCCAGUCCUGCAUUGAAUGUGAGCAUCCGCAGUUGCCAAGAAAGGUCGACCUAGAAUAAUAGGGAUGUGCUUCCUUGAAUCCUGUAUUGGUUGAGUGUCAAUUACAAUGAAAUCAACAGGAAAAUAAAACUUGUCUACCUGGAUAAGCACGUCCUCCACAAUACCACGAGGUAUUUUCGUGGACCGAUCUGCAAGCUGUAACACCACUGGAGUUGGGUGUAAUUCUCCCAGUCCAAGUUUCACGAAUACAGAGUAAGACAAAAGAUUUACACUAGCUCCUAAAUCCAACAAAGCAUUCUCAAUUGUGUGGUUCCCUAUACUACAUGAGAUAGUGGGGGAGCCUGGGUCUUUGCAUUUUAAAGGAAUUUUAUGUUGGAGUAUAGAACUAACAUUUACUGUUAAAAAUGCCUUCUUUUGAACAUGCAUAUUUCUCUUUUUAGUACAAAGGUCUUUAAGAAACUUGGCAUAAGAUGGAACUUGCUUUAUAGCAUCAAGUAAAGGGAUGUUAACACUUACCUGUUUGAAGAUUUCGAGAAUCUCACCUGUGGAUUUUCCCUUCUUUCCUUUCGCUAACCUCUGAGGAAAUGGAGCUUUGGGAACGUAUUCUCGUGGGUUGGUUUCUUCUUUUUCCUCCGGUGGUGAGUCCUCAACAUUCACAGGUACAAUUUGAUUUUCUUUUGUCACCGGCAUCUCCACUUUGUUGUCGACUUCCUUUCCUUUUCGCAAGGUCAUGACUGCUUUGACCUCUCCAUGCUGUUGUGGUGAACUGGUACUUGCUUCAUGUACUCCUUUAGGAUUAGGCACUGGUUGACUUGGAAAUUUACUUUUCUCAACAGUAAUUGCCAAGGUCUGAACUGAAGAAGCAAGUUGUCCCACCAUCUUCUCGAGGCUUGAAACUGAUUGGGCUUGUGAGUUGAAGCCCGCUCUCAACUCAUUUCGUAGUCCAUCAAUAGUGCGGUUCUGUUGCUCAAUCGUAGAGUGAGUAACAUUCUUGAGAUUUUGGAAUGAAUCCUCCCAUGGUCUGGGUUGAGAGUAGUUCUUGUUCUGAUUGUAUGGUCUGAAUGGUGGCUGAGAGGCUUGAGGAUUUUGAGGAAUUUGUUGCAUUGGUGGAGCUGGAGCUGCUGGUCCAUUCUGUUGGAAUCCUUGAGACCAUGAAAAAUUGGGGUGGUCUCUCCAUCCAGGGUUAUAUGUGUUGGAGUAUGGGUUGUAAUUAGAUGGCUUUCUCAUUACACCUAUGGCAUUGGCUUGAUCUGGAUAUGAGUCAGGGUCACGUGAUUCUGUUGAUUUAGCAGUCGAUAACGAUGUUAUUUGUCGAGCAAGACCUUCAACCAUCUCCUUGACUUCUUUGAUUCCCGAAGUUGACUCGCCAAUGUGAACCUCAUUCACUCCUUUAAUCCUUCUAGUAUUCCUGAGUGAUCGACUCCGUUGUUGGGAAUUGUCCGCUUGUCGCUGGAAAAACUCCCAAAUUUCUGAUGCACUUUUUGACAUUAGCUCUCCUCCACUUGUUGCCAUUAGCCAUUCUUGCACAUUCGGCAAUAAUCCCUUCAAAAAGUAUUGGUAUUGGUGCCAUUUCUCGUACCCAUGAUGUGGACACUUCAAGAGUAGUCCAUUGAAUCGCUCCCAAGUUUCGAAAAACUGCUCGUCCUCUCUUUGUGUAAACUCUGAGAUUUCCCUGCGAAUAGAAUUGGUUUUAUGCACUGGGAAAUAUUUAUUUAGAAAUUUUGUAACCAUUUGUUCCCAUGAUGCAAUGCUAUUAGCAGGCAAAGUAUUUAACCAUGAACGAGCUCUAUCCUUUAAAGAAAAUGGGAAUAAUCUAAGUUUAACAUCAUCGUCUGAAAAAUUUUCAUAUUUAAAAGUUUGACAAAUGGCAUGAAAAUCAUUCAGAUGAUUAUAUGGGUCCUCAUUUUCUAGGCCAUAGAAUGUGGGGAGACAAUUUAGCACACUAGGUUUUAAUUCAAAACUCCUAGCAGCUACAUUUGGGUAUCUUAUGCAUGAUGUGCUCAAAUUAGCUAAGGGACUAAAAUAAUCCUUAAAUGGCCUCUCCUGUGGUGCUUGUAAAUCCAUUUUAUUUUUAAAUUGUUUGUGUGUGCGAAGUGUUUUUUCUAAUUCAAGGUCUAUAGGUUCAAGAUUUGGUAAUAAUGACCUACGACCAUGCAUGCAAAACAAAUAAAAUAAAAAUAAAGAUGGGAAUAAAACGAAUAAAAAUAAAGAAAAAUGAGAAAUUACGAUACUAACCUUAUUGCGCUGUUACAACUUUUCUAUAAAAACACACUAAAACAAAUACGUGAAAUAAAUUAACUAAAAAUAAAUUAAUUAAAAAAAAUUACAAAGAAAAAUAACUUAAAAAUUAAAUUGCAGAAUUGUAAAGAAUAGAGAAAGAAAAGAAAUUAUUACCUCUAAUUGCAGAUUCACUUUUUUUUUUCUCUUUUUUUUUAUAAAAAAAUACAAGAAAACAAAUAAAAGAAAUUAUUCACAAAAAUUAAUUCUAUGAAUUAAAAUUACUUACCUCCCCGGCAACGGCGCCAAAAACUUGUUGUGCAAAUUUUAAUGAACUCGCAAGCGCACGAAUCUAUUGUAGUAUAGAUCAAUGGUGACGAGUGUCGAUCCCACGAGGAGGUGGAUUUUAAUUAUAUGUAGAAUUAAUUUUGUAAAUGGGUGGUUGGAAUUGUGGUGGAAAUGAUUUGGAAUAUGCUAAAACUUAAAUUAAAAUGGCGAGAAUAAAUUCUGAAAUUGGAAUUGCAAUGGCGAGAAUAAAUUGAAGUGAAAUCUAUUGAAAUAACGUACUUGGGUAUCCGGAUCCGUAUCAACAUGCAUCAUGGGCUAAAUAAUCCGUAUUAAUGCCAAUUAAAUCAUGAGGGGAGAAUCCACAUCUCAUGAACCACGCUCUAAUCAAUAUGGUGCUAAGGGCUUAUCGUGCCAAAUAAUAAUAACCUUAUACUAGAGAGCCGGUGUAACCAAGACGGUAUCUAGACAAGAUUACUAUUAUUUGUUGACGAGAAGUCAAAACAUCCACAAAAACUAGAGGGGAAGAGAAAAUAAAUUUACCAAAUUAAGCCCAUGACACAUGUUGAGACUUCACCUUCAACCCAAGCUUGAAAGAAAAUUAGCCACUCAUAAUUGAACUAGGGGCAAAAUGGGAAUUUAUUAAAAUACAAAGAAAAUACAAGAUGGAGAAGGAAUUACAGAAAAUGGAUCUCAAAAAUGGAUUCAGAGCUAUCAAAUUAGGGGGGGGAGGCCCCCUUUUUAUAGAUACAUGGAGUAAAUCAUGGCCAUCGGAUUAAAAACAGUUUGGACGCUCAGGAUUGCCCCACGUCAUCAGUCAACAGUCCACGGUUUGACCACGCGGAUGAACAGUAACACAGUUUGACCCGGAUAAACAGUAACACGGUUUGGUUGAAAAUAAUCCUGUGUGAUGCAUGCACCGUACGCGAGAUUUUUCGUCCACUGAUAUGCUGCCACGUCACCAUCAACAGUACAUAAGAAUUUUAGUCCAACAGGAUCGUGACACCUCAUCAGUCAAUGCCACAUCAUCGGUCAAUGCCACGUCAUCGAUCCGUCUAUGUGAACAGUGUCGUGAACAGUAACGUAGACAGUACCGUAUACGUGAAUAGUACCGUACAUGUGAAUAGUGCCAUUUUUCCUUUUAUGCUCCUCCUAAGGUUUUCGACCGUCCUGAGUUCAAAAGUGAUGUCCGUUUUGCUGUCUGAUCUCUCCUUUAUUGUGAAAUGACUAUAAUGCCCCUAAAAUACAUAAAAUACUUAAUUAAAAUAACACACACGUAAUUACAUCACAAAAAGGUUAAAUACAUAAAAGUAAGGGUUGUUAGUAAGACUUGAAAUGUAAAAUGAUGGUUUUCUCCUUUAUAAAUAUGCAUUUUCUAAUACUCAACAGUUCCCAAAUAUGAAAGAUGCUUAGGCCUCCCAUCCAUGAUAGGCCGGAAGAAGAUGAGUUUUUUCAAGGAUGUCAAAUUAAAGGUUUUAAGAAAAAUUUCCAACUGGCACCAUAAAAUGUUCUCUAGUGGUGGAAAGGAAGUUCUUUUUAAAGCAGUCGCUCAAGCCAUCCCAGCAUAUGCCAUGAGCGUUUUCAAGCUCCUGAAGGGGCUAUGUGAAGACAUCCAAAGAGUUAUAGCCAAAUUUUGGUGGGGUUCGAAUCAAGAUAAGCAAGCAAUACACUGGUCGAGAUGGGAAAAAUUAAGUUGUGCAAAGAGUAGAUGGGGGCUGGGAUUCAGAGAUUUUACCAGCUUCAAUCAAGCAAUGGUGGCUAAACAAGGUUGGAGGCUGCUUCAGUUCCCGGAUUCCCUGGUAUCCAAGUUACUGCAGGCCAAAUACUACAGGAACUCCUCAUUCUUGAAUGCAAAGGAAGGUUCUAAUCCUUCUUUUAUCUGGAAAAGCAUCCUUUGGGGUAGGCUAGUUAUAAAAAAAAGGGCAAGAUGGCGAAUUGGGAAUGAGAGCAAUAUUCGGGUGUACAAAGACAAUUGGCUGCCAAGAUUGGAUACUUUCAAACCGAUAUCCCCUCCAACAUUGCCCAUGGAAACAACAGUGGCCAAGUUGAUAACUGAGGACAGCCACUGGAAUGAAGCUAAGCUAAAGCACCACUUUUUCGAGGAGGACACAGAAGCAAUACUCAAAAUUUCCCUCCCCCCAAGCCAUAAAGAGGAUUCCUUACUAUGGCAUUUUGACAAAAGAGAGGCAUACACUGUAAAAAGUGGCUACCAGGUGGCUCUCAAGCUUAAAUUCCCAAAUCAGGCCAGCAGCUCAGCCAGCCCCCCCCCCAAGAUGGAAUAAUCUGUGGUCUCUUAACUGGCCUGAAAAAAUCAAAAUCUUCAUGUGGAGAGCAUCCAAAAACCUUUUUCCAACAGCUGAAAACUUGUGGAAAAGAAAAUGUCUCCAAGAUCCAAUUUGCAAAAGAUGCUGCAGAAGUGUAGAAACCACUUACCAUGCUCUGCUAGAGUGUAAAGCAACGAAGAAGAUCUGGAAUCAUGCUCCUCUCCAGCUGAUAAGAAGCUACGCAGAACUAAUCGUGUAGCCAAACCCAACAGCAAGUACAUGGAAUAUGCAUGGGCACGUCAUUAGCCAUGCAACGUUUGAGAUGAUGAUCUGGAGCUGACUUCUUCAAAUUAACCGUUGCUUAUUUGGAGGAGAUCUUUCAUGCAAGUAUUUGUUUUGGUAUAUUUUGGAAUAAUAGUCAGGUUGUUGAGAUGUUGUUAACGACUUGAUUUAGUUAGCUUUGUUCAAGCCUUGUUUCACGGCUAAGGAAAUUAGUUUUGUAUUAGACUAUAAAUAAGCUCUUUUAUUCAAUAAGAAGAUCAUCAGAUUUUUAUUCCAAAAACAUUAUUUGUGGUAGUUCUCGCCCAAAGAAGAACAAGCAAUUUACUUUGUCAAUUCUGCUAGUUUUGACUGGGACCUCUAUUAGUGGUAUCAGAGCUAGGUUAGGAUGGCAACCAACAAAGAGCGUAUCGAGCGAAUAGAAACAGAGGUCGGAGAUAUACAAGACAAGAUGCAACAGUUGGAGUUGGGGAUCAAUGACAAAUUGGCACACAUUGAGGCAACAUUAAGCAAGCUUGCGGACUCAAUCAAUACUUCAAGAGGGUUGCCAAGUAUCAACAACAAUACUGCAUCUUCACGACUGGGCCGAGAAGUCAGUACAGGAGGGCCUCAACAUUUCCAAUCCAAGGUAGCAAAACUAGAAUUCCCUCACUAUUCGGGCGACGACCCCACCGAAUGGUUCAAUCGUGCAAGUUAGUUCUUCGAAUAACAGGAAUCAACAGACGAUCAGAAAGUGGUUCUAGCGUCAUUCCACUUGGAGGGGGAAGCAAAUCAGUGGUGGCAGUGGCUUCGAAGGUCUUAUCAAGAUGAAGGCAAAGUCGUGACUUGGGAGGUGUUUAUGGAGGAGUUAUGGGCAAGGUUUGGACCGACAGACUGUGAAGAUUUCAACGAGGCUCUCUCACGGGUUAAACAAACCGGUACUCUCCGUGACUACCAGAAGGAAUUUGAACGACUCGGAAACCGUGUUCAAGGCUGGACACAGAAGGCACUUGUUGGAACAUUCAUGGGAGGGCUUAAACCAGAGAUAUCUGAAGAAAUUCGGCUGUUUCGACCGAGGACUCUUAAGGAAGCAAUAAGCUUGGCAAGAAUGAGAGAUGAGCAACUGACCCGACAACGGAGACUGUUGAGAUCACCAAUCCUCACUCGUUCACCAACGGCUCAAGUCACCAACCAACGUGCUUCACCAACAGUACCCUUUAAGAGACUUUCUUGGGAGGAGAUGCAAAAACGCAGGUCACAAGGAUUAUGUUUUAACUGUAAUGAAAAAUUCUCUGCAGGUCAUAAGUGCAUAAAGGCGCAAUUGUUAAUCUUAGAAGCAGAUGAUAACGAAGAGUCCACGGAAACAACGCAACAUGAGUAUGAGACGGAAGAGCACGACAAACCUAAAAUAACAUUCUAUGCUUUGGCGGGUUAGGCUGCUCCUCAGACAAUGCGAGUGAAAGCUAAGAUUGGGCCACACGAGAUUAUUGUACUAGUGGACAGCGGCUCAACGCACAAUUUUAUCAACUCGCGUUUGGCUAAUAUGCUUCAGCUCCCAGUUCAACCGACAUCAGCAUUUCCAGUAAAAGUGGCCAAUGGAGAGAAAGUUAUUUGCCAGGGGAAACAUGACAAGGUACAUGUUUUAAUUCAGGACAUCCCUUUUGAACUUACUCUCUACUCAUUGCCGAUUACAGGACUCGACGUGGUGCUUGGUGUCCAAUGGCUUGAAAGCUUAGGGUCGGUGGUUUGUAAUUGGAAACAAUUAACAAUGGACUUCGAUUGGGAUAAUGCUAAGCGAAGGUUGCAAGGGCUGGAUCCACAAACAAUUCAAGCUACAACAUUAUCUGAAGUUGCCAAAGAUAUGAAACAAGGGCACAACGUGUUUGCUAUAUGUCUCUAUUUAAACAAUGAGGAAUCAUAUACAGUAGCACCGGCCAGCAUGAGGAGUUUGCUAGAGGAAUAUUCCGAGCUGUUCGUGGAACCCAAACAACUCCCACCAACACGGGAAAUCGACCACCAAAUCACUCUUAAAGAAGGAACAGAACCAAUUAAUGUGAGACCCUACCGGUACGCUUAUUUCCAAAAAGCGGAGAUUGAGAGACAAGUGAACGAAAUGCUGUCUUCCGGGCUCAUUCGACCAAGCACCAGCCCCUUCUCAUCACCGGUACUCCUAGUAAAAAAAAAGAUGGCAGUUGGAGGUUUUGUACUGACUACAGAGCACUCAACAAGGCCACAGUAAAAGACAGAUUUCCAAUACCAACAGUAGAAGACAUGUUAGAUGAAUUGCACGGUGCAACAUUCUUCACCAAACUAGACCUCAGAGCCGGCUACCAUCAGGUACGGCUAAACUCAUCAGAUAUACAUAAGACGGCUUUUCGCACACACAAUGGCCAUUAUGAAUAUCUGGUCAUGCCAUUCGGCUUAUGCAAUGCUCCCUCUACUUUUCAAGCAAUUAUGAAUGCUAUUUUUCGGCCCCAUCUUCGGAAAUUUAUAUUGGUAUUUUUUAACGACAUCUUGAUUUAUAGUCCCACGUGGGAAUGUCAUUUGAAACACGUUAGACAGACCUUGGAAAUUCUUAAACAACAUCAAUUUUUUGUCAAGGCUAGCAAGUGCAAUUUUGGCCAGCAAGAACUUGAAUAUUUGGGACACAUCGUCACUUGCCAUGGUGUGAAGGUGGAUGAACAGAAAAUUGCAGCAAUGGUGUCAUGGCCAAAGCCACGGAAUAUUACAGAGCUAAGGGGAUUUUUAGGCCUAACAGGGUAUUAUCGCAAGUUCGUUCGUGGGUAUGGCCUGUUAGCCCGGGCCCUAACCAAUCUUCUUAAGAAAGGACAAUUCGGGUGGAAUACUGAAGCUGCAACAGCAUUUGAGCAAUUGAAACUUGCCAUGACUCAAACUCCAGUACUUUCUAUGCCUAAUUUUAACGAUGUUUUUGUUAUUGAAACUGAUGCGUCCGGUGAUGGCAUAGGAGCAGUACUGCAGCAAAACGGAAAACCAAUAGCUUACAUGAGUCGAGCGUUGGGUAUAACAAAAAAGACUUGGUCGACAUAUGCGAAAGAGAUGUUGGCAGUGGUAGAGGCGGUCAGAUUUUGGAGGCCUUAUUUACUGGGACAACGAUUUGUGAUACAAACAGAUCAAAAAAGCUUAAAAUAUCUCUUGGAGCAGAAGAUAGCAACUCCUGAUCAACAGCAAUGGAUGGUCAAACUCAUGGGUUACGAUUACGAAAUCCGAUACCGCCCCGGCAAGGAAAACGCUGCUGCCGAUGCACUCUCUAGAAGAACUGACAGCCCAACUCUUAAUCAUCUUUUUGUACCGCAGGUGUCACUAUGGGGAGAAAUUAAAAAGGCUAUGCAUGAAGAUGAUUAUCUAAAGAAGAUUGCACAGCAAGUUGAGACUCAACCCGACGGCCCUUACACGGCAAAAAACGGCCUCAUAUUCUUCAAAGGCAGGGUAAUAGUUCCGCGAAAGAUGCGUGACUUAUUAUUAUUUGAGGCCCACAAUACGAAAAUAGGAGGGCAUUCCGGAGUCCUUCGCACUUACAAACGCUUAGCGCAGCAAUUUUAUUGGCCCUCAAUGUUUCAAUCUGUUCAUGAUUAUGUAAGUAAGUGUGUUGUUUGCCAGAAGACGAAGAGUGAAACGCUACAACCAGCAGGGCUUCUUCAACCGUUGCCUGUUCCUUGCCAAGUGUGGGAGGAUAUUUCUUUAGAUUUUAUUGAAGGGCUGCCUAAUUCACAAGGAAGAGAUACAAUAUUUGUGAUAGUCGACAGGCUCAGUAAAUAUGCAUUCUUCCUUUCCUUAUCUCACCCAUUUACCGCUAAAUCUGUUGCUGAAAGAUUUGUUGACGGAGUGGUAAAACUACACGGCAUGCCCAAGAGUAUUGUAAGUGAUCGGGAUCCAAUAUUUAUUAGCAAAUUUUGGAGUGAAUUUUUUACACUGUCAGGCACACAAUUAACGAUGAGUUCAGCCUAUCAUCCGCAAACGGACGGCCAAACAGAGGUUGUUAACAGAUGUCUGGAGCAAUAUUUACGCUGCUUUGUCCACCAGUGGCCACGCAAGUGGAACAUGUAUCUGUCGUGGGCUGAGUUUUGGUACAAUACCACUUUUCAUGUAUCCACCGGAAUGACCCCUUUUCAAGCUCUCUAUGGCCGGCCUCCACCUUCUGUCCCCAUGGAUUCGAUCGGGUCUUCACCGGUUCACGAAGUCGAUCACGCCUUACAGACCAGAGAUGAGUUAUUGCGGCAACUAAAAUCUAACCUUGCUGCAGCGGCUAAUCGAAUGAAACAAACGGCCGACAAGAAAAGGAGGGAUGUCGAAUUCAAAGAAGGAGACAUGGUGUACUUGCGCUUGCAUCCGUACCGGCAAUCUUCAGUUUUUAAACGUGCACAUCAAAAAUUAUGCAACAGGUAUUUUGGACCAUAUCAAAUAAUUCAAAAAGUGGGGCCUGUCGCUUUUAAGCUCCAGUUGCCAGAAGGUGCCAAGGUCCAUUCUACAUUUCAUGUUUCAGUACUAAAAAAAGCAGUGGGAGAUUCGACAGAGAGCAGCACGGAGUUACCUCCUAUAGAUGAUGAAGGUGUGCUGGUUUUGGAGCCUAAAUCAGUUCUGGACACUCGGUGGCUUAAAAGAGGUGGUACUGUUAUUGAGCAAAGUCUGAUUCACUGGAACAAUCAACCAAUGGAAGAGGCCACUUGGGAAGAUACUGUCGUCAUUAAGCAGCGGUUUCCUUCGCUGACCCUUGAGGACAAGGGUCCUCUUUCAUGGGGGAGUGAUGAUAAGAAGCUACGCAGAACUAAUCGUGUAGCCAAACCCAACAGCAAGUACAUGGAAUAUGCAUGGGCACGUCAUUAGCCAUGCAACGUUUGAGAUGAUGAUCUGGAGCUGACUUCUUCAAAUUAACCGUUGCUUAUUUGGAGGAGAUCUUUCAUGCAAGUAUUUGUUUUGGUAUAUUUUGGAAUAAUAGUCAGGUUGUUGAGAUGUUGUUAACGACUUGAUUUAGUUAGCUUUGUUCAAGCCUUGUUUCACGGCUAAGGAAAUUAGUUUUGUAUUAGACUAUAAAUAAGCUCUUUUAUUCAAUAAGAAGAUCAUCAGAUUUUUAUUCCAAAAACAUUAUUUGUGGUAGUUCUCGCCCAAAGAAGAACAAGCAAUUUACUUUGUCAAUUCUGCUAGUUUUGACUGGGACCUCUAUUACCAGCCCAAUUUUCAGAAUUCUCCAAACCAGAGCAUCCUCAGCAUCAUCCAAAAUAUGCCCUCCAAUAUGCGGAAGUCUAAUUUCGAUCUCUUGAUCUCUCUAUGUUGGGUGGCUUGGUAUGCUCGAAACAAGUUUAUUUUCGAAGGUAAGAAGAUAGACCCAAGGCUCUCUGUAGCUAAAGCUGAAGCAGUGAUUGAUGCUUUCCAAAGAGCUAGGAAGCCUGGAGCCACUCAUAUCCAUAACAGCAGCAAAGUACCUCAGCAUAAGUGGAAUCCCCCUCCGAAGAAUGUUGUCAAGGUUAACGUGGAUGCAGCCAUCAACAGCAAGAGUCAAAUGGCAGGCUUAGGAGCUGUAAUUAGAGACUCAAAGAACAAAUUUGUAGCUGCAGGCAUCAUGCAAACUGGUUUGAAGGAGCAUGUCAACUAUGCAGAAGCUGAAGCCAUUGUAUAGGGUUUAAAGCUAGCUAGAAGGGCAGCUCUUUCCACUUUGAUCAUAGAGUCAGAUUGCCUAGAAGUGGUUGAGUUAGUAAACAACAUAAAGAGCAACAAAACAGGACAAUGGUGGAUAAUUGAAGAGAUCCAGAACUAAAAAAGUGAGUUUUGUAAUGUAAUUAUCAAUCAUAUCCCUAGAACCUAUAAUGUUUGUGCUCAUUCCCUAACAAAACUUACUGUGGGAGCAAAUACGCCUGCUGUCUGGUUAGACCAUAUUCCAACAGAGGUGAUGAAUGUUCUGAUUUAGUGUUGUUUUUAAUGGAAAGGAUUACUUUCUUCAAAAAAAAAAAAAGAAUAAGAAGAAAGCAUAAUGCGACCCUCCAACAGCUUAAUCUAUGGAAUUAUCGUGUUUUGUAAGUUAGGGUCCAAUGGCGUUUUGGCACAUCAUAUGAUAGACCACUAUAUUGCGUUGCUUUACAAAAGAUUAAUAUUUUUAAAAUUAUUAGGUAAGUUUAGGCUCAGUGGCACUUUAACUCAUGAUAUGAUAGUCCAGGUUUUCGAGGACCACUAUAUUGUAUUGAUUUAAAAAAAAAUUAAUAUUUUUUAAUAUUAAUAUUCUAAAUUAUAUUCAGUUAAAAUAUUAAAUAUUAAAUACAUUCUUAAUAUUAAUAUUCUUAGACGAAAUUCUUUUGCUGGCUUAAGAAUAAAAUAUUAAAUAAUUUUAUUUUUCUUUUAUUGUGUAACGUGGACCCAAAAAAAAAAAGGAAAUGAAUUUAAUAAAACCUUCAUUCCGCCACCAUCCAUGUUAAUUGUUUCCAAAUUCCAACCUCCGUACUCUCUUGAGGAGUUUCCCAUUCAUCAAUUAUUAUUUUUUAUAAUCCAUACCAUCCUGAUAUAAUUAAACACCAUUAAUAAUGUACCAGCCUUUAAAUAGUAAUUAAUUUAUUUAUCUAAUUCACCAAAUGUUUUUUCCGGUACAUAUCUCCAUUGGUAUCAAGAAGAAGCAGAACCCAAACAAAUGUUUCUUGCAUCUUCAUAUUUGUGCAAAUUCAUCCUUUCAUUGAGAAUAACCAUUUCCAGGCAGCAGUUGGCAAUCAAUUCAUGCGCACGUCGAUGCUAUUCAUAGAUAUUAAAGACAAUGAUGAACCAAAGGUGAUAAAUCAUAAAUGCAUAAUUACCAAACCUCCAUCCUUCUCUCAUUAUGAUUUGAUUUUAAAUGAAUUAUUGCUUGGUAACAUUAUUUCCAACCAUUGCAAGCCCUUUUUUUUUUUUGGGAGAAAUUUCAAUUGAAAGUGAAACCUUUAGACAUUUACCUAAUGAAGUUAGUUAAUCGGGAGGGUGGAAAAAAAAAAGGUUGACGCAAGUCAAUACACAAUAAUUAAUUAAAUCCGGAGUGACUAAAACAGAGCCACGACUUUUUCAAAAAUAUCUGCAUUCAUCACUUUCUCCUCGUUUGUUGUCAUCCAAAAUUAUUCACCAAUACCAUGGCUGAUGCAAUCGUUUCCACUAUCUUGGAGCAGCUGAUUUCCUUCGCUGCUGAAGAGAUAAAACAACAGGUGAUCGAAGUUACACCCCUCAUAUUACAAAUACUUCCAAUGAUUUUAAUUGGUUUUGUUUUUAUCAAAAACAUUAUAUAUUUUUGCUUUAUUUUAUUUAUCUGGUAAUUUUAGAUUUUGAAAUUUGAAUUGAAUUUAAUUAAAAGGUCAUGUAGUAACCACUUAUUUUUAUUUUAUUUCAUUUAUAUUCUCAAUAACUAACCAUAUUUUGGUAACUUAAUAUAACUCUCGUACAUAAGAAAUGAUCAAAACCCACAAUUUUAACUCUGUAUAAAUAUUCAACGUUGAGUCAUUAAUUCUCAACUCAGCACUGAAUCCCAAAGCUAUUACUUAGACUCUAUGAAAAAAUUCAUAGUUUUCUUACAUUCUUUGAGUUUGGUAAGUGAUUUCGUAUAAUUUCUUUUCAAGUUAAAUUUUAAUUUGGUUUAUGAUAUAGUCUCUGUGCCGAAUUGUAUCUUUUAUGAUUCUUGGAUUUUGGGCUCCAACUUUUUAGGAUUUGAUAGUCAUAUUUUAUGCCAUGCUCAGAUUGAUUUUCAUGAUUUUUAGUAGCCGUUAAGUGACUUACAAUUUGACGAAAGUUUGAAAGGAAAAAUGUUUCAGGAUUAUGUUUUAAUUGACCUUUUAGUAGAAAUAGGAUGCUUAUAACUUAAUGUGGAUGGUUCGUAAAAUCAUGAAAUUUGGAUAGGAUUCACUAGAAAUAUGUACAAGACUCUCCAUAAAGUUUCAUAAUUUUUCAUUCGGUAUGGGGUGGCACAGGUGAAACUUGUGUUUGGUGUUGAAAAAGAAGUGAAAAGCCUUACCAGCCACCUUCAAGCCAUUCAAGUUGUGCUCGAUGAUGCAGAGGAAAAGCAAGUGAAGGACAAAGCUGUUAGUCUUUGGCUGGGUAGGCUCAAGUACGCAUCCUACGACAUUGAAGAUGUGUUGGAUGAGUGGAUCACAGCAAGACGCAAAUUGCAAAUUGAGGGUGGCGUUGAUGAAAAUGCUCUUGUUGUUCCUCAUAAGAAAAAGAAGGUAUGUCUCUGCUUUCCCAGCUCUUGUUUUGGAUUCAAACAAGAAGAAUUUGGUUUCAAACAAGUCUUUCUCCGUCAUGACAUUGCCGACAAGAUCAAAGAAAUCAAUGAAGAGCUACAUGAUAUUGCCGCUCAAAAAGACAUGUUUGAUCUUGUUAAGAGUGGCAAUAAAAGUAGUGAAAGACCAAGGCGUGUACAGAGUACCUCCUUGAUUGAUGAGGAAGAGAUUUGUGGUAGAGUUGGUGAGAGGAAUGAACUCAUAAGCAAGCUGUUGCGUGAGAGUAGCGAGCAACAAAAAGGCCUCCAUAUCAUCUCAAUUGUUGGUAUGGGAGGCAUAGGGAAAACUACUCUUGCACAACUAGCUUGUAAUCAUGACGAGGUGAAGAGAAAGUUCGACAAAAUUCUGUGGGUGUGUGUAUCAGAAACUUUUGAGGAGUUUAGGGUAGCCAAAGCGAUCGUUGAAGUUUUGGAUGGUCGUGAAUCUCAUUUAGCUGAAUUCCAUUCUCUUCUUCAACAUAUUUAUGAAUCAAUUGCAGGGAAGAGCUUUCUUCUUGUCUUAGAUGAUGUGUGGGAUGGAAAUUACUUGAAAUGGGAACCAUUCUACCGUUGUCUAAAGAAUGGUCUCCAUGGAAGUAAAAUUUUAGUUACCACACGCAAAGGGUCAGUCGCAUCCAUGAUGGGAUCCACAGAUAUUAUCUCUGUCAAGGAGUUAGCUGAAGAGGAAUGUUGGUUGUUGUUUAAAAAGAUAGCAUUUUUUGAUCGGUCCAUCGAGGAACGUGAAAAAUUAGAACAAAUUGGGCAAAGAAUUGCAGGCAAGUGCAAAGGUUUACCUCUUGCAGCAAAGACAAUAGGGAGUCUCAUGCGUUCUAAACAAACUGAAGAAGAGUGGAAAAGAAUUUUAAAUAGUGAUUUAUGGAAAGUAGAAGAGAUUGAGAAAGAUGUUUUGUCCUCUUUAUUGUUGAGUUAUAAUGAUUUGCCAUCUAGAGUAAAAAGAUGUUUUUCAUAUUGUGCUGUCUUUCCAAAAGACUACGAUAUAAAAAAAGACGAACUAAUCACAUUAUGGAUGGCUCAAGGUUAUCUUAGUGCAGAACAAGAUGAAGAGAUGGAGACAAUAGGUGAAGAGUAUUUUGGCAUCUUAGCUUCUCGCUCGUUUUUUCAAGAGUUUAAGAAAAGUUAUGAUAAUCGGAUUAUAGCGUGUAAGAUGCAUGAUAUGGUACAUGAUUUUGCCCGAUUUGUAAGUCAAAAUGAAUGUUUUUCGAUGGCAAUUAAUGGUAGUGAAGAACCAAACGCCACAAACUCUCUUGAUGAAAAGGUCUGUCAUUUAAUGUUAAUCUUUAGUAAAGGGGCUUCAUUACCUGUUUCCACUCGUAGAGUUAAAAGAAUGCGUACCCUCUUAAUUAGCGCUAGUGGAUCUGAUCAUUCAUCAUUAAAUGCUGAGAUCGUAGAAGAAUUAUUUAGGGAAUCGACAAGUUUAAGGGCAUUAGAUGUUAGCCAGGUGUCUUUGCCUACAGAGAUUUUAAGAAAUAUAAAAAAGCUGGUACAUUUAAGAUACCUUAAUUUGCGUUUUCCGAAAAUAGUGAAACUACCGGAGACAUUGUGCGAGUUAUAUAAUCUAGAAAAGUUAGAUAUUAGUUAUUGUUUUAAUCUUAAAGAAUUACCUGAAGGGAUUGGGAAGUUAAUAAACAUGAAGCAUUUACUAAAUAGAGGUACUAAUUCUUUAAGGUACAUGCCAGUAGGGAUUGGGAGAUUAACGGGUCUUAGGACCUUGGGUGAGUUCCGCGUGAGUGCAGGAGGAGAUGUUGAUGGUAGGAAAGCAUGUAGGCUUGAAUCUCUUAAAAACUUGGAACACCUUCAAGUAUGUGGUAUACGUAGACUGGGUGAUGUAUCAGAUGUGGGCGAGGCUAAGCGAUUAGAACUUGACAAAAAGAAAUACCUCUCUUGUUUGAGACUUCGGUUUGAUAAGAAGAAAGAAGGAGGAGAAAGGAGGAAGAACGAAGACGAUCAACUACUUCUUGAAGCCCUGCGACCAUCUCUGGAUUUAAAGGAAUUAGAGAUACAGUUCAACCGAGGCAACACUGUUUUCCCCAGCUGGAUGACGUCAUUAACCAACUUAAAGAGUUUAGGUCUCUCUUUGUGCGAAAAUUGCGAGCAGUUGCCUCCUUUGGGAAAAUUGCCAUCCCUCGAACAGCUCUUCAUAUCGUACAUGUCGAGUGUGAAAAGAGUGGGUGAUGAAUUUCUGGGGGUAGAAAGUGAUCGUCAUGACUCAUCGUCAUCUUCAUUAGUUAUUAUUGCCUUCCCCAAAUUGAAAUCACUUAGAAUUGAGGGAUUGAUGGAAUUGGAGGAGUGGGAUUAUGGGAUUACAAGAACGGGAAACACCGUCAUCAACAUCAUGCCCCAUCUUUCUUCCUUGGUAAUUGAUAGUUGCUACGAAUUAAAGGCACUGCCCGAUCACAUUCAUCAAACGACGACAUUGAAGCGAUUGUGGAUUUUGAAUUGUGGGCCUCUGGGAGAACGUUACCGCACGGGGGAAGGAGAAGACUGGCCUAAUAUAUCACACAUUCCCAACAUACAUAUUCGUUAAGAAGGAUUUGCGCAUUUGAGAUUUGGCGUUGACAAGUAAUUUCUUCUCUUACUCUGAUUUGCUUUUGUUGUUGUUUUUAAUCUAGUUAAGAAGUGUAAAUAGCAUUUUGAAUCAAACUCUAUAUCAGAAAUCUGCAAUACAUACUUUCUAAUAUUCUGAUUUUCAUAUCCUAUGAAUAUACGAUUUUUAAUUUGUGAGAUGGGUAACGUUACUGUAAAAGAUUAUUAAUGCAAUAUGAGUAAUUCUUUUGCAGGACAAGUGACCUACAUUUAGUUUGGCUUUGGAGUUGAAUAAUAACCUUUCGAGGUCCCGACAAACAAAAAACGAAGCUUAAUUUGCCACAGAUUGCACGUAUUGCCAUUAUUGACAAUUUUCUGCACAAGUGAUCGAGGGUGAGGUCCUGUCCUGAAUAAAGCUCUCGUGACUGAACUUAGGUUGAUGUCAAAAGAGGUAAAUUAUCGGCAUGCCUGACUAUUUUGACCAUUACAUGAUUCAUAAAUUGAGUGAUUACUUUUCAAGGUUUGCUUACUUAACCGGGUGACCAAUUUCUUGUAACUAAAUGUAUGAUAUGAAAUGAGAAGCUUAUUAGUGGAAGGAUUGCCUGUAACAGAACCCAAAGAAAAUGAAACCAUUUCAAGGCAGCAGCCGGCAGUUGGGAGUGAAUGGAGGGCCUUCACAAAAUUCUCAAGCAGUUGCAAUGCAAUUACGAUCAUCCUCAGCCUCAGGUAAUUUCUUCUCCUGCUUUGUUUUUAUUUGUUACCUAAUUAAGAAGCAUUAUUUGUUUUUAUUUGUUACCUAAUUGAAGGACAAGUGCUGAAGAGUGGGAAUGGUGCUAUAUUGGGGAAUAAUGCAGGAGGAGGUAAAUUAUUGGGAGUUUCUUCAACCUUGUUUUCUUUGAACCAGCGCCUGAUCCACAAGACUCCGUUAAUUUGGCUUUUGAUCGGCUGAUUGAUAAAUUUUCAAUUUCUUUUGUGAUAAAUGUAUAUGUGAAGCAGGCAGCAGGACAUGACUGUGGAAAAGAGAAGAUCUUAGUGAAAGCUGAGACUCAGAUAUUUCUACAAAGUAUGUGUUUUGGCUGAUUUAUCUAAUUCAUGAAAUUUUAUUUCCAUCUGUUACAAGAUCAAACUGAAGCAGAACUCAAAGAAAAGUAUUCUACUUCUUACGGCAAUCUUGCCUUCGUUCAGAUUAUGGAACCAUUUCCAUGCAGCAAAUUCAUCCAAAAGUUUGAAUAAGUUUCAUGGUUGGACACUGUUGGCUUCUUUUUCUUUUGGGGUGCAUUUAGGUGCUAUCAAGUGACAGCCGUAAGUAUGAUUGCACUAAGCUGCUGCUGGGAAAUUCGAGGUUUUGAUGGCUGCCCACGUUAUUGUCAAGAAACUCCUCAUGUAAGAAGUUGUAGUUCUUUUCAUCAGCUUGAACCUAAAACUGUCGCUAUUGAUAACUCAGGUUUUUGUUAUCAACUAUAUCAUCUUUUUCACUGUUUUGAAACUCUUUAAGAUUAAACUUCAGUAAAGUUCUUUCAGUUAUCCACAUAAUCAGGCUGAGGAUACUUUAGUAAAGUUGCUUCAGCUAUUCAAAUGAAAAAUCUCAUUGAUUUGAGACUUCCUUCAUUAUUGUUUUUGAUUAAAAUGCUAAGGGUCCAGAUAAAAUAAUAUUUAAUUGGUGGAAGGUGUCCCUUGGAAGUACAUCAUGAUUAGCUGUUGUGCUAAUCAUGCCAAUGCAUAAUUCGGCCCCUAAUGUGGGUACUCUGUUACAUUGUUCUGCAAAUUCUCCAAAAAAGUUAAAUCAAUAAAUUUUGUAUUAGCUAGAUUAGCUCUAGGUUGUGAGGAGUCUGUCAUAUGGGAGAACCCAUUUCCAGAAAAUAUCUGGUAUUUGUUCCAGUCUUCUAAUGAAUGAAAGUUAUGAUUCCUUUUCAAAAAAAAAAAAGAAUUUUGUAUUAGUUCUAGUGCGUUGACCUAAAUGCUAUUCUAUAUUUUAGUGCCUUAAUUCUAGAACCUUGGCUCCUGCCAGAGCAUGCGGAGAUAAUGGUAGGGAGAGUGUUUGUGUAUUUUAACCAUGAUAAAGCUAAUGUUCCCAAUGAUUUCUGCUGGUGAGACUUGUGAAGAGGGUGAAUGAGGCAACUGCUAAUAUUCCUGGGUGGGAUACAGUAACUAGAGGCUGAGAUCAGGUGGUGGAAUUUUUUGUUUGAUCGAUGAUACCAGAAUUGUCCACAAAAAGUUUGUUGAUACAAAUUACAGGUGAUAGAAAGAGGUAUAGGUGGAGAAGAGAAAUCUGCGAGUCAAAUUAGGGAUAAUUGAUUUGCUGAUGCAAGUUACAUUGAAUAAUAAUAAUAACAAUUGCAUGAAGAUCCCUUAUUAAUCUUGUGUUCUCCUAUCUUUUACAUUCAGCUGGUAUACUUAAGCCUUGCUUGUGGAAUGUUUUAACCUUUAAAUUCACUACCCCUGGAUGUUGGAUUUUCUAGAACUUCAAAAUGAUUAAUGGAGAAAGAUCCCAUUAUCGAUAUCGCUAUAAGAAAUUUUAUUUAUACUUCCAAAGAUACAUUAUAUAUUUAUGUGUAUCUCUUUAUACAUGACAUUUAAGCAUCCAUAAACUGUCAGACAGAGGAAGGGGGUUGAGUGUAAAGAUUCUGUUGACCUAGGGGUUGCCUGCUUAAUGUCACUUGUUAGUGAUCUAUUAUUUAUUUCAUAUUUUGAAGAAUUUAAAGGGCAAUCCUGCUUGUUUGUGUUGUUAUCUCCUUCUAACUUACGGUCGUACCUAAAGAGCAUAGUUUCAUAUGUGUUACCCUGAGAUGUACAGAAUUUCACAUUUGCCUCAGAUUAAGCUUAAUUUCCCACAGAAUAGAGCUGUUGUGACUGAACUUAGGUUGAUGUCAAAAGAGGUAAAUUAUUGGCAUGCCUAGAUAAUUUGACCAUUUCCUAAUUCAUAAGUCUACAUUAAUUUUGAUUUUGAGUUGACUGAUUUCUUUUCAAGGUCUGCUUACUUAACGGAGUGACCAAUGUUUUUCAACUAAAUUUAUCAUAUGAUGCAGGAAGCAGGGCAGGAUAUGAAAUGAGAAGCUCAUUGGUGGAAGUAUUGCCUGUAACAGAACCCAAAGAAAAUGAAACUAUUUCAAGGCAGCAGUUGGCAGUUGCAAGUGAAUGGAGGCCCUUGCCAAAAUUCUCAAGCGGUUGCAAUGCAAUUACGAUCAUCCUCAGCCUCAGGUAAUUUCUUCUCCUGCUUUGUUUUUAUUUGUUCUCUAAUUAGGAAGCAUAAAGUAUCUUGAAUCAUUUUCUGUAUCUGGAAUAUAUGCAAGAGUUUCUAAAAUUUUGAUAUGAGUGUAAUGAUGGUAAUUUCUGUUUUCUGUCUGUCAUCAAAUGUUAGAAAACUUUCAUUGAGACCCUUGAACCGAGUCAUUUUUGACAAGUGAAGUGCUGAAGAGUGAGGAGUAAGAAUGGUGCUAGAUUGGGGAAUAAAGCAAAAGGAGGUAAAUUAUUGGCAGCUUCUUCAGCCUUAUUUUCUUUGGACCAGUGCCUAAUUCACAAGUCUCCGUAAUUUGGCUUUUGACCAGUUGAUAGAUAAAAUUUUAAUUUCAUUGGUGCUAAUGUACCCGUGAAGCAGGCAGAGAAGGACUGUGGAAAAGAGAAGGUUUUUAGUGAAAGCUUAAACUCAGGUAAUUCUAAAAAUUAUAUGUUUUGGCUGAUUUAUCUAAUCAGGAAAUUUUAUUUCCAUCUGUUACAAUAAAACAGAAACAGAACACAAAGAAAAAUAGUCUACCUCUUGUGGCAAUCUUGCCUUCAUUCAGACUAUGAAACCAUUUCCUUUCACCAAUUUCUUCCAAAAGUUUGAACACGUUUCAUGGUUGGACAUAGUUAGCUUCUUUCUCUUUUGGUGCAUUUAGGUGCUAUCAAGUGACAGCCAUAAGUAUGAUUGCAUUAUUGGGAAAUUUUAGGUUUUGAUGGCUCCCCAUGUUAUUGCCAAGAAAUUUUAAGUCCUCAUGUCAGAAGCUGCGUUUCUUUUCAUCAGCCUGAACCCGAACCUGUCACUAUGGAUAACUGAGGUUUUUGUCAUCAACUAUAUCAUCUUUUUCACUGUUUUGAAACUGUUAAGAUUAAACUUCAGUAAAGUUGUUUCAGUUAUCCAUGUAAUCAGGCUAAGGAUAUUUAGCAGCUUAUUUAGGCAACUGCCAGAAUUUAGUUUGUUCGCUCGAAACUUGUAUGGUGACAAGGAUACUGGCAAGGAUAGUGAGAUAGUUUUUUGUGUGAGUGAAUUUUGAAAGCUUGGGUGUUCUGGGAUUUGCAAUUGCAAUCAUCCUCUGCUUUAGGUGAUUUCUUCUCCUGUUCUGUCUUUAUUUUCUCUCUAAUUGAAAGCAUUUCAAUCAAAUUCUGUACCAGGAAUACGAAAAAUUUACUAAUAUUUUAUUUCCAUCUGUUUGCAUUGAUAACUUGGCCGCAUAUGUACUAGUUAAAGAACAAACAGAAGCAGAGUUCAGGAAAAAGUUUCUUCGGCCACCAUAUUUGAAAAUGAAACCAAUUCCAGGAAGCAGUUGGCAGCAAAUUCAUACAAAGUAUAGACAAUGAUGUGCAAAAAGGUGAUUCGCAAUUUCAUUUUUUUAAAAUGAAAUUAUUUGUUAAGUUGGAGCUGAUAUUGUUAGAAGGCCAUUGAGCUAACCUAUGACACUGCUUGCCUAGAUUGCAGGAGGUCAAGGCUCAAAAGAUGCACUGAAUUUUAAAAGGCAUGCAAUAAUUCUUAUGGCCAUUUGUCAAUGGUGGAAUGCUUUUAGCUUCUUUUCCUUUCGUGCAUUUUGGGGUUCUAUCAAGCGACAGCCGUAUGUAUGGAUGGAUAUAGCUGCUGCGUUGAUUUCUAAUGCGGUGGAGUAAUCGUCGUUAGAAUCUGAAUGAUAUGUCUAAGACGUUGCAUGCAUCAAGAAAAUUGCAGAUGAUUAAACCUUGCCAUCUAUGCGUUGUAUGAGGUUAUAGCAACUAUCUAUCUGGUCACCGUUUUAAAAGAAUAAGACAAAGGGAAAAAGAGAAAGAAAAGAAUGAUUCGACAAUGGCAUUAAAGUUCAACAUACCCCAAGAUCUUGUAAUAAUGCCAUUAAUCAUUUCUAGCUAGGCUAGCCUUAGAGAAAAGUGAAACUGUUGCACAGGUAGAAUCACACCCCUCAGAGAUAAUGUGUUUUUAUUCAGCUCUUCGAAUGAAUGAAGUUUAUUUUCUCGUCAAAAAAAAAACUGCUCGUUCCGCUGGUUUCAUACAAUGUCAACUAGAAACAUCAUACUUUCGUAUAAGUUCAUUAUUGUUUCUUGGAAAUAUCAGAAUAUUUCUUAGAGUUUGUAUAAAAUGAAAAGAUUUUAAAAUAUAAAUUUAAUAUUUGUUUAUUACCGUUGUUUGGUCUAAUUUCCUCGGGAGAAUUUUCAGAAUUUAUAGGACAUUAGUUUAUAAUUUGCGCAUUGACAUAUAUCUUAUUUUAUCAUUUUGAAUGAAUUGCACGGCGAGGCUUAUCAACUUUGGAUGAAUCCUCCAAUUGUCGCAGUCCAAGACUGGCUGCAGUGAGUGAAAAUUUACCCAUAUAUAUGCUGGCUAUUUUUAUUGGCGACGAAUUCGUUGUAGUUGGUCCAUCUUGCUAUUCUCGGACAAUAUUAGAGAAAAUAAUCAUAUUAUUUCGCGUGAUGUGACCUUCCAUAACUUAUCAAUUGAAUUACUGUAAAAUUAUUGUGUAAGUUUAGGCCCAAUGGCACUUUAGUUCGAUAGCCUGGAUUUAAAAGGAAAACUAUAUUGCAUUGCUUCAAAAAAAAAAAAUUAAUGUUUUUAAUAUGAAUAUUCUUAACUAUAUUCAGUUAAAAUAAUAUAUUCUUAAUAUUAAUAUUCAUAGAUGAAAUUCUUUUGUGGAUUUAAGAAUAAAAUAUCAAAUAGUUUUAUUUUUCUUUUGUUGUGUAACUUGGACCGAAAAAGAAAAUGAGCUUAACAUGACCCUCCUUCCGGCACUAUGCAUGUUUUUCUUUUAUUGAUGACAGUGCUCUUGGUGCUUCUCAUCUGCUUCUUGCUUUGGUUUCAAACAAGUCUUUCUCCGUCGAGACAUUUAUUGUAAUUUGAUUUGGAGACAUCUGUCGUUCAAAUAUAUUUCAUAUGCAAGCUGUUGAUAAUUCUGCUUGAGAAAGCCUACAAAGCAGCUGUGUGAUGUAAUAGAAGACUAUAUAUGCAAACGGUCAUCAGUUUCUCUUGAAUUCUUUCUUGAGUUUCUUUGAAUUAUUUGUGAAUGAGUUCUUAAUCGGCUGCUGCUCUUCAGGAAAAGGAAAGUGUUGCAAACUGGUGAAGCUGAUCGAUAAAAGCAAUGUACCAUCUUUGCUGGCAUGGAUCGAUGCCAGUGAGUUUUUUUAUUUGUCAACCUUUUUAAUAAUGCAUAUGUUUUUCUUCAACUUGAAGCGGCAUAUAAGACGAAAGAAGUGAUCUUUAAAGCAUUCUAUGGCAUUAUCCUUUCCUAUUAUAUAUAUCCAAUUGCUCCAAAUUAUUUGUAAAUUACUGAACACGAAUGCUGAUGAAUAAACUGAUGGCUCUAUGUAUGUAUGCACAUGCAUGGAGAAAUUUUAAGUCAGACAUUCUCAUAUAUAACUCGUGGGACCAAAUCAUUAAAUAAUCUUGAAAUCAAAGUAAUAAUUAAAUACAAAUAAAUUGCUCGAAUUGUACAUAUAUCUGAAUCAUGUAGUGAAGAAAAUACAACAACAACAACCAAUGGCUCAAAUUCCCCAUCAACUUCUAGUCUCAACACUUUUGAGUGUCAGAAGCAUUACUCUGCUACCAGUUAACAAACAUAUAAUUAGUAAUUUGCCAUUCACUUCCCUUUUAGGCCUAACACAUUUUCUAUAAAGGAGCCACAGAGUGAACUCAGCAGGAAACACUCAAUUUCAACCUACGUAGGACCAGGAAUUUCAACAAAAAAAAAAGUGUGCAAUUGCUUAUCCUAUCCUAUUGCUACUAGAAAGAAAGUGAACAAUUAAUUUCAGUGAAUAAAUUAAAAAAAAUUACUUCUGCAGAUACUCAAGCUAAGAACACAUUAACCCAUUAAAGACUCCAAAUUGCAUCAAACAAAUUGUUGUUAAACAAGUAAAACAAAGAAAGAGAGUUAAGGAAGCUGACCUAGUAGUAGGGGAGCUGAAGAAAGACUGCCAGUGAAUGUAAGAGAAAAUAAAAUGCAAGAAAUGGUGAAGUGCAGCUUUUCAUGUCAACUUGAAAUUGUUUCUUCUGUUUUUUGUAAUCUUUUGGAUUUUUCAAACAAAGAAAAUGAGGAGCAACCAGGGAGAUAAAAAGGGCGCCAAGGCAACUGUGUGUUGGGUUUAGAGCCAAAAAAAAAAAAGAAUAAGACAUCGUGUUCUUGUGGAGACCAGACCUAUUACGUAUAGGGAUGGCAAUGGGGCGGGGUGGGGGUGGGGAUGCCUACCCCAUUCCCCACCCCAUUAAAAAUUUUUGCCUCCAUUCCCCACCCCAUUCCCCAAUAAAUUUAGUGGGUUGGGGAUGGGGAAUCCCCACGUGGGGAAUGAUUCUCCCAUCCCCACCCCAUUCCCCAUUUACAUAUUUUAUAGUAGAUAUAAAAAUAUGAUUUCAGUAAAUUAAAAAUUAGAGACUUAAGAUAAAAUCAUCACAAUAUUAUAAAGUAUUUAAUUUUAAAAAAAAAUCUCUAAAAAUUUGAAACAAUAUCUUAAAAUGAUAUUAAAAGUGAAAAAUAUUUAAAGAAAGCAGCACCUUAAAAGAGAAAAGAAAAUAUAUUAAUGUUUUAAAGUUGAAAAAUAUUGUAGAAUUUUCUUUUAUUCAUAUUCUAUUUAUAUUACAUAAAAAUUAAAAAAAAUUAUUAAUUGACAUUAUAGUUGAUAAAAUAUAAAUUAUUAAAUAAGAAUUAAAAACAUAUUUAUAUAUAAUGGGGAUUGGGGUGGGAGUGGGGUGGGGAGUGCAAUACCAAACCCCACCCCGUUAACAAUUUGGGGAUUAUUUUUUCCCCACUCCCCACCCCAUUCCCCAAAAAUUAUUAAAAAAUUUCCCCAUUUGGGGUGGGGCUCCAUGGGGCCCCAAACCCGUGGAGGAUUUUGCCAUCCCUAAUUACGUAACGUCCCCUUCAAUACCACUUGUUCCGUAUCUGGUUUUUUCUUCGUCUUUUACAUAUUUAUCCUGUGAUUUUACAAUAACUAAAUAAUCCCCGCAUAGUUUGCAAUUUUAUUCAUUUGGGCCCUACAGAUUUCAGUAAUAGGAAUUAUUAAGGGACAAGAGCGCAAAACAGAAACUCUGUCCACUACUGAUGAUAUAACAACGAACCUUUGUAGUUUCUGCCUGUUAAUAUGAAUUGAUCAGGAGUGUUUCCUCACUUACAAAUUACGAAUUUACAAAAUAUGUAUGUAAGUAUGUGUGUACGUACGUGUGUAUGUAUGUACAUAUAUGCAUACACCUAUGUAACAUUUACUUAUACAUUCUUUUGAGUUUAAAUCUUAAUACACAUUUUCAUGAAAUUUUUAUUUUAUUAAGUAUACAACUACAUACAACUACAUUAAUGUAUAUAUUUUUUAUAUAAGACAUGCCGUCCUAUUAUUCAUAAGUAAACAAUGUGUUGUAAAUAGUAUUCUGUGUUUUCUCAAAGUUGACUUUUCGUCUUUUAUUUUCAGACGCAGACGCUAUGUCAUUUUGUAAUCUUCAAAACAUAUGCAGAGCAGAAUUGGUGUUAUAUGAUUUUGUGAUGCAAUAAGAUUUGCACUUCCUGUGCACUCAAUGGAAUCAUUUCUUUGUAACUAAUUGGGUGGUGGAAUGGUGGUCAAAUAUCGAACGAAGACAGAUCUAUCAAACUCCAGAAACAGGGAAACCAUGCCACGCUAGUAGACAAUAUGCUAGUAUGAACAAACUUGUUUGAAUGGCAAAAACGACAUGACCUGCUGUAGUAUUAGUUCUUUCCCGAACCAAAGGGUGAUUUGCUACGUUAGAUCAUGAAAAUUGAAAAAAAAAAUUAACCAAAAUAAAAAUUCUUACGGUAAGAAUAAAAAUUCUUAAGGAAUUAGUUAGUUAAUUGAUUGAUCGAAUUUAAUCUAAAUUGGAAAAUGAUAAGAUAAUUUUGAAUUUUUUAUUAUAAUUAUUAUUUUAAAGUGGGGUGGGUUUAUACAAUUUGAGGCUUUGAGCGGUGUAAAUAUCACUGCUGAAUUAUUAAAUAUACAGUGUAAAAUUUUGACCUUUAAAAUAUUCCUUUUUUUCAUUUAGCACUAUAAGUUUAAAAAUUUAACAUUUUACCUCAAUAAUUAAAUACUUUUAACUUUAAUCUUCAAAUAUUUACCCUACAACAUUCGGACCUAAAUUUUUAAUCCGACUCGGCCCCUGACCCAAGUGGGAAGAAGAUCAGGCUUAUAAGUUAUAACUAUCACCAACAUAACAUCUUCUGGAAAAUAAUAAGAUUACUCACCUGCAAUUAUGUGAUCAAACUAAUGGUAAGCAAAAUAGAACAGCGUUAUUUCAGUCCCCUUUCAGUUUCUUUAUCAUUUUUCUUUUCCUAUUUAUAAGCUUAAUUCGGUCCAAUAUCGGCUAAUUCACUUUGAUUUCACUUUUCUUUCUUUCGGUUCAAAAAAAUUGAACCCAUUGGCUGUCAAUUCAAUUUUGUUGAAAACCAACUUUGCCUGAAUUUGAGUAAUAAUAGAGGAAAAAAAAAGUGUACUUAGCAGAAGAGAUUUCUCAUUUUUUUCUCAUUCAAACUUCUAAAAUAAAGGGAAAAAAAAAACAAGAGUAAUUGUUAAUUAUCAAAAAUUUGUUUAUACUAUUCCACCAAGAAAAUUAUAAAAAAAAAAUUUAAAAAUUGGAGAAGAAAUAUGAGGUGAAAUACGUGGAUGGCUUAGACUAAUAAUGUGAACAAAUUCCUCUCGGAAACAUGUCAUUGUUCAUCCGGACAACACGCGGCAAUGAGAUUCAAGAAUUAAAUGAUAGGAAUCAACUGUAACCUCAUAAACAAAUGGCCUUGGAGUUGUAAACACCAAGCUCGGCAGAUUAAUUAAACAAGAAUAUCCGAAUUUUCUAUGAUAAUCUCUAGGAAACGAUCAGCUAUAAUAUACGAAAUUAAAAUAUUGCAUAUAUUUUUGAACUCAUGCAUUAAUUUCAAAAAUUAUAUCGUAUUAUAAUUUAUUCACAAAAGAAAGAAAAAUUCACUAAUCAAUUGAAUAAAUAUAAGUAUUUCAUCCAGUGUAAUACUUAUAUCAAUUGAAUAAAUAUAAGAAAAAUCACCAAAAUUCACUAAUCAAUUGGAUAAAUAUAAGUAUUUCUUCCAGUGUAAUUUUUGUUUAAUAGAAAAUCUAUUUGAGAUUUUGUGAGAAGAAACUCAACAAUAAAGUGUGAUAGACUUUGUGGGUAUUAAGAGUUUGACAAGUAUUUGAAAUCUGAAGUUUACGAGCAAACAAACUGAAAUCCGAAGUUUACUGAAGUUUACUAUCAAGAGUUUCAAAACAGUGAAAAAGAUGAUAUAGUUGAUGACAAAAACCUGAGUUAUCCAUAGCGACAAGUAACAUACUGAAGUAAGCCGUUGGGAGCUGGCCUGUUCAUGGGCUAUUUUUCUCUGAUGAUCUGCAUUUUUCUUCCUUUUAAGUGAACCUUGACUCGUAUCAAACCUGUCAAAAGAACAGUUCAUCAACUGAGCUGAGAUUUGCUUUCCUUUUUCAAAACCCACCUGAGAUAUUGUAAUUCCCAAAUUUCUCUCUCUCAGCUACACGAGCAAGCAGCCGCUUUUUCACUUCAUCGAAGAAGGUAAGCGAUAUAUCUAUUUCGUCCGAUUGAUUUCUUGUUUCCUUUUCAGUGUUCCGGUAAAUUAUUGGCAUGCCUGACUUUUUGACCAUUACACGAUUCAUAAAUUUAUAUUAAUUUUGAUUUUGAGUUGACCGUUUACUUUUACAGGUUUGCUUACUUUGACUAGGUGACCAAUUUCUUGUAACUAAAUUUAUGACGUGGGCAGGAUAUGAAAUGAGAAUCUUAUUAGUGGAAGGAUUGCCAGUAACAGAACCCAAAGAAAAUGAAACCAUUUCAAGGCAGCAGUUGGCAGUUGGCAGUGAAUGGAGGCCCCUGACAAAACUUCAGUAAACUUCAGAUUUCAGUUUGUUUGCCCGAAAAUUGCAUGGUGACAAGGAUACUGGCAAGGAUAAUGAGAUAGUUUUUGUGUGAAUGAAAUUACGAUCAUCCUCAGCCUCGGGUAAUUUCUUCUCCUGCUUAGUUGUUAUUUGUUACCUAAUUAAGAAGCAUAAAGUAUCUUGAAUCAUUUUCGUUGUCCGGAAUAUAUGCAACAGUUUUUUACGAUCAUCCUGAAUGACUACUAGAGACAGUCAAGCUAAUGACUAUAAAUUAAGCGCUUCUUGGGAGGUAACCCAAGCUUUCUAAACUUUAUUAUUGUCAAUUUUUUUUCAUAUUUUUUUCUUUUCUUUUACUUAUUUUAUUUUGUUUUAUCUAGAUUUUGCACGAGUUCGAGGGUCGAUGAACAUCAACUUUCCACAUGUCUUUCAACGGCUUAGCUACAACUUUACAUCUUCAAGUGCAAAACCGGGGGAGUUUCUCUUUUCCUUUUCUUUUUCUUUACAUUGAGGACAAUGUUUAUUUUAAGUUUGGGGGUGGGAAUAUUUGCUUUUCAUUUUUUUCCCAAAAAAAAAAGAUUUUAAUGCCUAUGAUGAGUUUAUGAUUGAAAAUGAAUAUGGUUCUUAGAAAGGGAUGAAUAUUAUCUUAGUUUAUACUUGAUUCUUGUGUUAGUUUCGUCUUGAUUGAGAUUCUUUAAAGCGAUUCUUUUAGAAUUUUGACUUGAGAUUUGAGAUUGAUACAGCCUAAGUUGAGAAUUUUAGAUUGAGUAAAUGAUUGUUUGCCUCGAUUCUACAUUACUUAAGUUUACCCAGGCACCAUAGUCAGAAAUAGCUACCUACAACCCUUAAGAGUGAAGCUAUCCUCGAGUAAUUUGGGCCUAUGUAUCACCAGUAUGUAGAGGAUAAUCUACCAUGAGAAGAAGGUUACCUUAAGGGGUAGAGUGAAAGCUCCUGACUAUGGACAAAGAAAUGAAAAAAAAAAAGAAAAAAAAAAGAGCACGAGCUUCAAGAAAAAUCAAAAGAAAAUGCUAAUUUAUGCCUGAGAAAAAAAAAAAAAGAUCAAGAUGAUGAGGUUAGUUUGACCUACCCUGUUUAUUAUUCGAGACAAGGGCUGUUGAUGUUGAAGAUCUUGAGAAUGAGUUUUGAUUGAAUUGAUUCACACACAACACAUGAAUCCAAUAUGAGAUGAGGCUGACCAUUGAAUUAAAGUUAGAACUUUGCUAGUAUUUUUAAUUUUCUUUGAGCUAUAUACUUUAUGCAAUCUUUGAGGCAUUUUUUAUGAUGUUUGUGGGUAUCAUCGCUGGAAACCCUCACGAGACUAUAACUCGUCCACUAGGGCCGCCUAGGGGUUUAAAGGCUUGUUGCAUACGCUAAAUGCAAUCGCGAUCACCUGCGAAAGUGGUUUAGUUAGAAUUUUCUUUUCGUAGUUUUUAUUUUAGUUUUUGCUCGAGGACUAGCAAAAUGUUAAGUUUGGGGGUAUUUGAUGUGCUCAUAAUUUAUCUAUUAUUUUAAUGCUUCCAUAACUUAAUUUUAUGUUAAAUUAUAUUUUAUUAUAUUAAUUUUUAUCUUAAUUUUUAUAUUUUGUCAUUGUAGGAAUAUUGAGAAUAUUCAUGAGAAAAGAAGCUUAAAGAGGAAACAAGUUGGAGUAUAAUGGAAAUAAUGUGGAAGCAAGAGGGAAAGAAAUAAAAAGCCAAAUCAAAGAAAAUUUAAUUUAAGCAUCAUGCAUGCAGUCACGUGAUGAAUAAAGGAAGAGAAGAAAAGGUCAAUAGGCUUUUAAUUUCAAGCUAGUUACGUAGAGCCCAUUUGACAAUUUAAAUGGCAAGCUUACAAUAUAUUAAAGGAAGCAAAUAUUUUGGCAUUGUUUGAAAAGGCUAUUCACGUGGAUGGGCUUUGGUUUCAAUUUUGAUUGGCUUAGGAAUGAAAUAGGCGGCUGGGCUUUUGUUUUUAAUUCCUUUCAUAAGAGGAUUUGACAAGCCACAACAUUAUAAAAAGGGAAAAGCCAAGCGGAAGCCAAAAAAAAAAAAAAAAUAAUAGAGCAGCAGCCGCAAGUUUUGAGCAAAACCGAGAGCAGCAUGAAUAAUUUGGAGCAGAAGGAAGACACAUUAAUUCUUGAGUUUUUCUUUCUCUCUUCUCUAUUAUCUUAUUUGAAUGUUUCCCAUUAAAUUCAUGGAUUAUCUUUAUAUUCCCAUGAACUAAUUUAUUUUACUAGAGCUACGAUGUCCUAGUGUUUUAAUCUCUUGGUGAUUUCUAUUACUGCUUGCAUCUUUAUUUGAUUUUUAGUUAUUUUAAUUUUUAAUUUAAAUUCGCUUAUUUGAUUGUUCAAAUAAAUUAGGGUUAGGAUAAUUUCGGUAACUAAUAGGAUAUUCAAUCUCAGUGGGAUGAUACUCUACUCUUCACUAUAUUACUUGUGCCGACUAGUACACUUGCUAAUUUAUGCAAUAGUUGACAGUUGGGAGUGAAUGGAGGCCCUUGACGAAACUUCAGUAAACUUCAGAUUUCAGUUUGUUUGCUCGAAACUUGCAUGGUGACAAGGAUACUGGCAAGGAUAAUGAGAUAGUUUUUGUGUGAAUGAAAUUAUGAUUAUCCUCAGCCUCAGGUAAUUUCUUCUCCUGCUUAGUUGUUAUUUGUUACCUAAUUAAGAAGCAUAAAGUAUCUUGAAUCAUUUUCGUUGUCUGGAAUAUAUGCAACAAUUUUUAAAAUUUUGAUAUGAGUGCAAUGAUUGUAAUUUCUGUUUUCUGUCUGUCAUCGAAUGUAAGACAACUUUAUUAAGAUUCUUGAACCGAGUCAUUUUUGACAAUUGAAGGACAAGUGCUGAAGAGUGGGAAUGCAAAAAGUUUUGUUGUUUUUAGCCUUGUUUUCUUUGAACCAGCGCCUGAUUCACAAGACUCCAUUAAUUUGGCUUUUGAUCAGCUGAUUGAUAAAUGUUCAAUUUCUUUGGUGAUAAAUGUAAUUGUGAAGCAGGCAGCAGGGCAUGACUGUGGAAAAGAGAAGAUUUUAGUGAAAGCCGAGACUCAGAUAAUUCUACGCGUUUUGGUUGAUUUAUAUAAUUCGUGAAAUUUUAUUUCCAUCUGUUACAAGAUCAAACUGCAAUUAGCAAUUUAACAUUCCCUUAAAACCACUAGCUACAUUUCAUCUUUGCACAAUUACACUUAAAAUUCCACUAAAAGAAACUCUUGAGUUGCUCGCAAGCUAUAUAUCAUUAUUCAUUGAAUUCUUACUGUUGAUGCGAGAUUCUGGUUACACUCUUCCGGCUACCAGGAUAUCUGCUCGAUCAACCUCACCUCGACUAGGAUCUCUCCUCGUAUGCUUUCUUCUCCAAGUACUCAUGCGUUCACAGAAACAAGUCAGAGCACGCCGGUUGUUUUCCCGGCGUAAACCCUCCGACGCUCAAGUCAGAUAUGAAGGCUUUGGGAACGCUUGCCACAGAUCUUAUGGCUUUGUAAAUAGUUUUCUCUUCUUUUCAAUUUCCUUAAUCUCUCUUCUAAUCUCGAAAUUGCUAACCCUUUUACCUUCGCUGGCUACCUUUUUAUAGGCCACUUCUGAGCCCAGGCCUUUUUCCCUUUGCGCUCGUCAUCCUCCCACUUCUCGAAAGUGGAUGCUCCAUUUCCGUAGUCGUGGGUGGUUGCGUGGCCCUCGUGCCUAGAUUCUCGGACUGGAAAGCAUGCCACGCCAACUGUCGUUGACCGGGUCUUCUCGAAUCAACCCUUAGCAGGAAUACAGCAGGAAUGGCUUCAGGCUUCUUAUAGGAGAUUGGCCUCGCGGAUGACGUGCUCGUGGACGAGCAGGGUAUUCCUGCUCCUGCUCCUGCUCCCCCGGAUGCCAGGCUCUUACGGGACCCAUCGGCUCGCAGAACUCUACCAUCAGAUAUCUGCUCAUCAUGCCUGGUCUCGUCGACGUAUUUCUCCUAAACACCGGUCCCCCAGUUUCUGGUGUUGGGUAAUGUAGUGGACCAGCAGUAGAAACUCGACAGUACUUGCUCGCGUGGGGUUGGAAAAGGCUUCCAAGAGUCAUGUCGCAUUUAAUUGCGGACGAGGUGAUGUGGCAGAGAUCUAACCCUCCAUUUGAAUUUCAAACCAACGGUUACGAGACCCUUGGGAUUUGGUGCCGUUAAAUGCUGGCAACCCAAGAUUUCGUCCCCAUUAGGAAACCCAAAUCCUUUCGAACGACAAAUUCAUCAUUCACUCCGUCUCCAUCUCUGUCUCUCCGGCAAAGAAGUUCCAGCAUAAAGGCCUCCAUCUCUGUCUUUCACCGACUGAACCAUUACUUCAGGUAUUUCUUCUAUUUCCUUAGUCUCGGAUAGUUGUAGAUAAUUUCUCUUCUCUUUUGCUUGGGUAGUAGUUGGUGGUGGUGUUGUGGUUAGAGCUUAGGGAAUGUCGAAAGGCAAAGAGAAUGUCAUUGAGGUUGACGACGAUGAGUUGGACUUCCUGCCUAGUUUGCUCACCGAUCCUGCUUUUGACCCCGGGAUCCCCUUAGAGCUCAUUAGAUCUAGUGUUGGCACUAGCGCUAGGAGGAUGUCCCCCCAAACAACCUCCACGAGUGGAAGUAGUGGUGAGGAGAGACCCUCUGGCUCGGAAGACACCCUAAGUGAGGAUCAAUGAGGUGACUCUGGGGAGGGGUCUUCACCAGGAACACCGCGACCAGAAGGGUGUAGUACAGUAGGAGGUAGAGCCUUGUCGCGGGAUUAUGCCAUUGAUUACAUGACCUGUACGACCACAUUCAACGAGCUGGAUGACCUCCGGCUCAGGUAUAGCAUUCCUGGUGAAAUUCCUCUCAAGAUCCCAGGAAAGAAGGAUACACCUAGCCGGCCUCCUCGGGGAUACGUUACCCUAUUUUUGGAGAGUUUUAGGCAUGGGCUGAGGUGUCCCUUGCAACCCUACUUUGCCCGGAUUCUUAACGGGCUAAACCUAGCUCCUGGUCAGCUGAACCCCAACGGGUGGAGAGUGCUCUCUGGUCUGUUCAUACUGUGGGACAGAUGUUGUCAAAGCGAGCCCACGGUCGACGAGGUGAAGCACCUGUACCAACUGAAAAGCAGCCCCAAAGACGUCGGCUGGUAUUACUUCCAAUCAAGUACCAAGAUCAGAAAACCCAUAACCGAUCUUCUUACUGGUGAUGGUGGGAAUUGGAAGAGGAAGUUCUUCUUCGCAGGGGGUCCCUUGUUGUUUGCACUUCACUGGUUUGUCUCUAAUCAAAUGUUUGUUUGUGUUGCAGGUUCUUGGGGUGUCCACUUCCCGCUUAAACCUGACCAGCUCAAACGAGUCGAGGCUGUACUAGCCAAUUCCUGCUCGAACCGAGAGCUGUUAACUAUAUACAACUUGCUCGAGUCUCGCUUGAUGCUUCCUGGCCAUAGGAUGGAGGACGCUGUGAUUGGGGCUCUGACCAGGAAACGUUCUCGACCUCCAACCACGAAGAGGGACCAGAGUAAGGACGCCCCUACUGCAAAGCGGGCCAACGUCGUGCAGCAGGUCUCUCCCUUGAAGACUUUACCUCCUGCUCCUGUCAAAGUCGGGGAAACUAGUGGAGCAGCCACAGAUCCUGCUUCCUCUUCUUCUCCUGUCGGCACUCGGUCUCGCUUACCUGACAGCCGAUCAGAACAAUUGGUCCCCUAUCUCAAUGAGUUAUCUAACCUCGUGAGCAAGAAUGACAUGGAGGACUUCGAUGGCUGCACCUUGGGUGAGCUGGUGGGGGCCAUGCAGUAUAGCGCUUUUCACCUCAGCUGCAUGACCACCUAUUACAAGGCCAAGGUUGGGCGCUACGACCGAAAGAUGAAGGAGGACAUUCAAUCGGCGACGACUAGAGCUGGCGUUGCCGAGAAAAAGGCAGGGGAGCUGAAUGUUGAGAACCUCAAGCUGAUGGAGCAGGAAUCUCUUGCUCAAGCAAAAGCCAUUACCCUCGAGGAGGAGCUGACCAAGGUCAAGGGGGAUCUGCAAAGGCAGAAGGCCACGUAUGAGGCUCAGCUCGAAUCCCUCCGCGACUCCCACCGGGCUCACGUCGAGAACUUGGAGAGGGAGGCCAAGAACCAGUAUGACCAGGGACUUCGGCAUUCCUAUCGUUGCAUCAUGGCCGUCCUCGGGAAGCAGCACCCUGAUCUGAAGAUGGAUGAUCUUGCAGUUGGUGUUGCUCAACAUAUGGACGAGGAAGCGGCCAAGGAAGAUGCCGAAGGGGUAGAGCCGAUCGUGAUUGAGGGGGAAAACUCUCCUCCUCGCACAAUCCCUGCUGACGUUGGCGAGGCGAGCACCGCUACUGAUGUUGGCGAGGCGCGCACCCCCCCGGACGCAACUGGUGAUACCCCCCCCCCGCACCUGAGGAGGUCCAGCCAACCAAUGCUGCUCGGCUUACUGAUCCGCCAUCUUCUUGAUAUAUUUCUUGUAUUGUAAUGAACAACGUUGAUGGAGAUUAUCUCCUCUGUUAAUUAUUAACACAUAAAUAAAGAUGUUUUUGAUUAUUUUCGUGUUGUAAUCAUGAGUUAUUUUUCGUUUAAUAAUCUGCCCGUCAUCGUCUGGUUGAGCAGGUUCUGGCCUGGCAUAUGGUUUUACCACAUGCCCUAGAAAAUUCUUCAAUGAUUGAGAUUCUGCUCGCCUUCGCGUGGUCGAGCAGAUCCUGGCACGCUUGGCUUCUGUCUCGCCAUAAACAGGCUUUGAGACUCGACGAGCCUUUGCAUGCCUUAGAAAUAUUUUUUUUUUUCGAUGCUUGGGGGUUCUGCUCGCCUUCGCGUGGUCGAGCAGACCCUGGCACGCUUGGCUUCUGUCUCGCCAUAAACAGGCUUUGAGACUUGACGAGCCUUUGCAUGCCUUAGAGAUUUUUUCGAUGCUUGGGGAUUCUGCUCGCCGUCACGUGGUCGAGCAGAUCUUGGCACGCUUGGCUUCUGUCUCGUCAUAAACAGGCUUUGAGACUUGACGAGCCUUUGCAUGCCUUGGAGAUUUUUUCGAUGCUUGGGGAUUCUGCUCGCCGUCACGUGGUCGAGCAGAUCCUGGCACGCUUGGCUUCUGUCUCGCCAUAAACAGGCUUUGAGACUUGACGAGCCUUUGCAUGCCUUAGAGAUUUUUUCGAUGCUUGGGGAUUCUGCUCGCCGUCACGUGGUCGAGCAGAUCCUGGCACGCUUGGCUUCUGUCUCGCCAUAAACAGGCUUUGAGACUUGACGAGCCUUUGCAUGCCUUGGAGAUUUUUUCGAUGCUUGGGGAUUCUGCUCGCCGUCACGUGGUCGAGCAGAUCCUGGCACGCUUGGCUUCUGUCUCGCCAUAAACAGGCUUUGAGACUUGACGAGCCUUUGCAUGCCUUAGAGAUUUUUUCGAUGCUUGGGGAUUCUGCUCGCCGUCACGUGGUCGAGCAGAUCCUGGCACGCUUGGCUUCUGUCUCGCCAUAAACAGGUUUUGAGACUUGACGAGCCUUUGCAUGCCUUGGAGAUUUUUUCGAUGCUUGGGGAUUCUGCUCGCCGUCACGUGGUCGAGCAGAUCCUGGCACGCUUGGCUUCUGUCUCGCCAUAAACAGGCUUUGAGACUUGACGAGCCUUUGCAUGCCUUGGAGAUUUUUUCGAUGCUUGGGGAUUCUGCUCGCCGUCACGUGGUCGAGCAGAUCCUGGCACGCUUGGCUUCUGUCUCGCCAUAAACAGGCUUUGAGACUUGACGAGCCUUUGCAUGCCUUAGAAAUUUUUCACAGUUUCAAGUGAAUGAAAUUCCUCGACGUUCCAUUAAUUGUAGGAUUCAACUUACAUGAAAAUGUUUGGUCGUAAAAUAAAUAACAGCAAAUACGAACAGAAAGAUCUUGAAAAUAUUAACGACUCUUACUGGAAAUAUUUCCUGAGAUGUGCUGCGUUCCAUGGGCGCUUCACCUCGUGGCCAUCCAUGCGAACCAGCUUGUAAGCUCCUGGUCCCACUAGCUGCUUGACUCUAUAUGGCCCCUCCCAAUUUGGACCGAGCACUCUUUGAGUCGAGUCUUUGGUGUUCUGAUUCACUCUCCUUAACACCCAAUCUCCGACCUUGAACUGCCGUAUGUUCACCUUCUGGUUAUAAUACCGGGCAACCCUCUGCUGGUAAAUGACUGAUCGCUCGGCUGCUUGCUCCCUCUUUUCCGUUAGCAGAUCAAGAUUCAAACAUAUCUGCUCGUCGUUCUCCUGUUCAUUGAAAUGAUAUGUCCGGUGCGUGGUCGUUCCUAUCUCAGUUGGCACGACCGCUUCAUGUCCAAAAGCCAAGGCGAACGGUGUCUCCCCAGUUGCUGUUUUGUGGGUUGUUCUGUAUGCCCAUAGCACACCUGACAGCUCAUCAACCCAUGCACCCUUUUUUGCUCCCAGCCUGGUUUUCAAAAGCCUCUUGAUGGUCUUGUUGGCUGCUUCUACUUGUCCAUUCGAUUGGGGGUGAGCAGGCGAGCAAUACUUCAGCUCUAUUCCGAGGUUCUGGCAGAAAUCCCUGAAGCUGUGAUUAUCGAAUUGUCUGCCAUUAUCCGUUACCAGGGCAUAAGGGAUCCCGUAUCGACAGACCAGGUUUCUCCACACAAAGUCUGUUGUUUUCUUCUCUGUGAUCUUGCUAAGGGCUUCUACCUCUAUCCAUUUCGUGAAGUAGUCUAUAGCAACUAUUGCAUGUGUUGCUGCUCCUCGUCCCUUUGGCAGCGGGCCGAUCAGAUCAAUUCCCCAUUGAGCAAAUGGCCAAGGGGAGGCCAUAGAGGUGAGCUUUUCUGGUGGUUGGUUGGAGAAACUUGCAAAACUCUGGCAACUUACACAGCUCCUGGUCUUCUCCUGUGCAUCCUGGUGCAUUGUCGGCCAGAAAUAUCCCUGCCUUAGAACCUUGUGGGCCAGGGACCUCCCACCAGAAUGAUUCCCGCAAAUUCCUUCAUGUACUUCUCUCAGUACGUAAUCUGCGUCGUCCUCAUCCAAACAUCGGAGGAAAGGUAGUAUAUAUCCUCGCCGAUACAGUACCCCAUCAAUCAUCGUGUAUCUUGAGGCCUGGGCUCUAACCUUCCGAGCUCGCAGCUUAUCUGGUGGUAAUACCCCGUCUCUGAGGUAUGAAAUUAUCGGGUCCAUGCACGAGCAUUUUUGUUCUAUCCGCAACACCCCCAAAUUCUGCUCGAUACUUGGGCUGGACUUCACCUCCAGAGGGACCGACUUUGGCAUUUUUGGGUCGGCUACUGCUGCCAUCCUGGCCAAAGUGUCUGCUCGACUAUUCUGCUCCCUGGGGAUCUGUAUCACCUCCACUGCUUCAAAUUUCCCCAUCAUCUGCCUGACUAUCUUCAGGUACUGCUCCAUCUUCUUCUCUCUUGGUUGGAAUCUUUCGCUGACAUGAUUCGCAACCAGCUGGGAAUAAGUUCUGAUCUUCACUCUGUCUGCUUUCACGGCCUUAGCCAAUUCCAAACCUGCUAUCAAGGCUUCAUACUCUGCCUGGUUAUUUGUGGCUCCAAAUUCCAACUUCACAACAUAAGAGAUCUCCUCCCCCUCCGGGCCUUCCAAGACAAUCCCUGCUCCAGAACCCUGCUCCCCUGAUGACCCAUCCACAUACAUCUGCCAUACUUGAGCUUCGCCACUGUCUGUGACUACAUCUGGUCCAUCUAAACAUACUUCGGGCUCUGUGAAUUCAGCUACGAAAUCGGCCAUUGCCUGAGCCUUUAUCGCUGCUCGGGGUUUGUAGUCUAUGUCGAACUCGCUCAGCUCUAUAGCCCACUUGACGAGCCGACCAGAAGCAUCUGGCUUGUGCACAGUUUGACGCAAUGACUGGUUUGUUAUUACCGAGACCGGGAAUGCUUGGAAAUAUGGCCUCAACUUCCGAGCCGCAACCACAAGGGCAAGUGCCCAUUUCUCCAACGGUGGGUAUCUGGUCUCAGCGUCGAGCAGGGCCUUGCUUGUGUAGUAUAUCGGAUACUGAACUCCUUCUUCCUCUCUCACCAGAACAGAACUGGCGGCCCGAUCCGAUACCGCCAAAUACAGAUAUAACUUGUCCCCAUCCCUCGGUGUGGACAGUAGUGGAGCUUGCUGCAAGUAUUGCUUCAAGUUCUGGAAGGCUUCCUCGCAUUCUGGUGUCCAUUCUGUUUUCUUUCCCCUCCUUAUCACUUAAAAGAAUGGCUGACACUUGUCUGUAACCUUGGAUAUGAAUCUGCUCAACGCAGCCAACCUCCCCGUGAGGCUCUGCAUCUCCUUCAGGUUACGAGGAGACCUCAUCUGCACAAUUGCCUGGAUUUUCUCCGGAUUUGCUUCAAUCCCCCUAUGGCUCACCAUGAAUCCAAGGAAUUUCCCUGACUCGACCCCAAAAGCACACUUCUCCGGGUUGAGCUUCAUCUUAUACUUCCUCAAAAGCCCGAAUGUCUCCUCGAGGUGCCUGACAUGUUCCUUCGAGAUUUUGGAUUUGGUGAUCAUGUCGUCCACGUACACCUCCAUGGUUUUCCCAAUCAACGGCUUAAAGACUUUGUUCACCAGCCUCUGAUAGGUGGCCCCAGCAUUUUUUAGACCAAAUGGUAUUACCCUGUAACAGAACAAACCCUGGUUAGUGAUGAAAGCCGUGCUCUCCUCAUCCUGCUCGUACAUGGGGAUUUGGUUGUAUCCCGAGAACGCGUCCAUGAAACUAAGCAGACCGUGUCCAGCCGUUGAAUCUACUAGUUGAUCGAUCUUUGGUAAAGGGAAGCUGUCUUUUGGGCACGCCUUAUUAAGGUCUGUGAAAUCCACACACAUCCUCCACUUGCCAUUUGCCUUCUUUACCAACACCACAUUCGAUAUCCAUUCAGGGUAAUUGACUUCCCGAAUGAACCCUGCUCUCAAGAGCUUCUCCACCUCGACAUUUAUAGCCUCAUACCUCUCCUGAUUGAAGCACCUCCUCUUCUGCCUUACUGCCCGAGCACCUUUCUUUAUUGCCAGCUUAUGACAUGCUACCUCAGGGUCAAUCCCUGGCAUAUCUUCAUGUGUCCAAGCAAACACAUCUGCAUGAGCCUGUAAGCAUUUCACUAACUCCUGCUUUUGCUCUCCCUUAAGUCUCGACCCGAUUCUGAUUGUUUUUCCCGGAUUCUCUGGUCCCAGGCUUACUGUUUCCAGAUCCUCUACAGGUUCUUGUCUGCCAUUCUUGUUUUCCACUCGGGUAUCGAGGGAUGUUAUCUGCAUUGCUUCCCUUGCUGCUGAGGAGUAGCAGCUUCUUGCGAUCCUCUGAUCUCCUCGUACCACUCCAACUACCCCAUUCACCCGGUACUUCAGAGCCAGAUAAUGGUUGGACAGCAUCGCUUUGCUCAUCCUCAGAAAUGGCCGACCUAGGAUCAUCUGGUAAGGACCUUCCUCAUCCACUACCAUAAAGUCCAGUAUCAUUGUCCUUUCUGUCGGGGAGCUCCCAAUCGUGAUAGGCAGCUCGACCAUGCCCAGAGGGACCAGCCUUCCUCCUCCAAACCCCUUCAAGGAGGUAUUGGUGUAAUCCAACUUCAGGUCUGCUAUUCUCAUCUCCUUCAGGGUUGACUUAAACAACACAUCAACUGAACUCCCUGUGUCAACCAGUAUCCUGUCAAACUUCUUGCUAGCAACAGUGGCCUUGAUGACCAAAGCAUCCUCGUGGGGGUAUAUGAUCCCUUCUUCAUCCUCAUCUGUCCACAUGAUUGGCACUUGCCUGACUCUUGCACGUUUGGCUGCUGGGGUGUUGAAGAAUACCUUUUUGCUGGUCAUGGCGUAUCUAGCAUAAUUUUUCCUCGAUCUGUUAGAAUCUCCGGCCAAUGUUGGGCCCUCAGCUAUAACCCUUACUGCAGGCUGCUCGCGCCUCAAGUUCCUGUCACUCUGCUCCCCUUCACUUGUUGAGGCUACCAUUGGGAAGGUCCCAUCUACGAACUCGUCCAGAUACCGAUUUCUCACUAAAUCUUCAACCUGGGUCUUAAGAUCUCUGCAAUCUGCUGUGGUGUGGCCAUGAGUGCCAUGGAACUUACAAUAGCGUCCCCUAUCCCUCAUGCUGGGUAGCUUGGUUAUUGGAGCAGGGAGGUAUAGCAACCCCCGAUCCUUUAUGGCCUCGUACACCUCGUCCAGGGACAUCUUCAAGGAAGUGUACCGCCCAUAGUCCUAGUUCUGGUCGAUCAGGUGUACUGCUCUUUCUCUGUUUGCUCCGUUCUGGGUUGGGGGCGGUGGCAGUACUUCUGGUCUGCUCCCUCUGCUACCGUGGGAGUGUUGAUGAGCACCAUAUGAUGAAUCAUGCCUUCUCCAAGGCUCCCUAGCUGUGGAACGAGGAGGCUGCGCCCUGCUGCGCUGAUACUGUGGUGGGCUCUGAUGAGGCUGGUAAGCAAUUACCCGACCUCCUGCUCCAUUACCCGAGGCCUGGUGGUCCCUCCUCCUGAUCGGCCCAUUCCCCGGUAAUGCUUUCUUCUCUUUCCUCCCCAACCCUUCUAACUGGUCUAUCUUAAUUCGUGCUGCCUUCUCCUCUUCAAUCUCAAUGUCUCUCUUAGCCUGCUCGUAUGCGGCCGCAUACGUCUGGAUAGCUGGGCUUCUCAAAUUGUACCACAGCCUUCCUAUCUUCACCCUUUCUUUCAAUCCCCUUAACGCCUGAGGGUGGUUGAAGGCUCCCAAGUCGAGGACAGCCCGAUGAAACCUCUUGAUGAAUUCCCGAAGGGUUUCUUGCUCCCCCUGUUUCAUGCUUUUCAGCUCCAUCAUGUCAUCUUCUGGGGCCAUUGCCCCACUAAACUGCUCUGCGAAUUCCUGGCACAUCUGCUCGAAGGUUUUAAUGCUGCCCCGAGGAAGUUUCCUGUACCACUCGCGUGCACGUCCCUCCAGGGAUAGUGGAAACACCCUGCACCUUUGGGGCUGAGAUAAUCCUUGUACCCCCGUUAUGUCAUUGAAGCGUUCUAUGUGCACCAGCGGAUCAGUUCGUCCCGAAUAUCUAAGGUCCGGGAGACGGAAAUCCCUCGGAAUAAUUGCCCUCAUGAUCUCUGCUGCGAGCAGUGAUUCUCCGUCCAGCAUUAUCCUCCAACCAGGAGCUCUGCUCCUUCCUUGCAUAUCGUCAAUUAUCUGCGCUAGUCUGCGCACUUCCUCCUCCAGCUGUACUGCACGACCAGGGUCACGUGCUGCAACUUGAUCCCUCUCUUGCUCUACAUCAUGCAAGUGUUGCCUCAACUCUGUUUCUUCUGCAUUCGCCACCCCGUCGUCCUCGUAAAAAAUCUGUCUUGCCGGGGAUUGCUCUUCUUCUCUAUGAAAUUCUCCCCGUAGAGGUAUGUUACCUCUCUCACCACUAAAUCUCCCGGUGGUUUGACUUCUCCUCGUACCAUCGGGACCUGGUGUCACUCCACCACCUCUCACCAUUUCCUCCUGGGUUACCCUUCGUUCACUCCGCAACUCAUGCAGGAUGGUUGUCAGGGUCUCCAUCUGCUUUUCCAUCCGUUCCAUCCGGUCGAACAUGGCUUUUUCCCGUGCUUCGCUGGCUAUCUCCCUCAGCGUUACAGAAUCGUUAAGCCUCAUAUCACCCCCUUGUGCACUACUUCCUCCUGCCUCCAUUGCUUUUCACUUGCUUCACUCCUCUUCUUGCUAUCAACAGAAGCUUUUUGCUCAGCUCCCCACAGACGGCGCCAAAAUGUUGAUGCGAGAUUCUGGUUACACUCUUCCGGCUACCAGGACAUCUGCUCAAUCAACCUCACCUCGACCAGGAUCUCUCCUCGUAUGCUUUCUUCUCCAAGUACUCCUGCGUUCACAGAAACAAGUCAGAGCACGCCGGUUGUUUUCCCGGCGUAAACCCUCCGACGCUCAAGUCAGAUAUGAAGGCUUUGGGAACGCUUGCCACAGAUCUUAUGGCUUUGGAAAUAGUUUUCUCUUCUUUUCAAUUUCCUUAAUCUCUAUUCUAAUCUCGAAAUUGCUAACCCUUUUACCUUCGCUGGCUACCUUUUUAUAGGCCACUUCUGAGCCCAAGCCUUUUUCCCUUUGCGCUCGUCAUCCUCCCACUUCUCGAAAGUGGAUGCUCCAUUUCUGUAGUCGUGGGUGGUUGCGUGGCCCUCGUGCCUAGAUUCUCAGACUGGAAAGCAUGCCACGCCAACUGUCGUUGACCGGGUCUUCUCGAAUCAACCCUUAGCAGGAAUACAGCAGGAAUGGCUUCAGGCUUCUUACAGGAGAUUGGCCUCGCGGAUGACGUGCUCGUGGACGAGCAGGGUAUUCCUGCUCCUGCUCCUGCUCCCCCGGAUGCCAGGCUCUUACGGGACCCAUCGGCUCGCAGAACUCUACCAUCAGAUAUCUGCUCAUCAUGCCUGGUCUCGUCGACGUAUUUCUCCCAAACACUUACCACAUAUAUGUCACCUUUCAAUCAAUUGUUGAAAAAUUCAAAUUUGGAAUUCAAAUACAUGCAUUCAAAUUUGGAACACUUUGAACGGUCCGAUUCAAAACUUCAUAUUCCAAUUAUAUUCAUAAGACAAAUGGAACACUUUGAACGGCUUGUGUCCGAGCAUUGUAGUUUGAUUUAUUUUGAUGACAUUACCUUUUGACAUUGAGAUUCUUUCAGGAUUUAAACAUUCUUUUUAAAACCAAAUUAUUAAAAAAAAAUAACUAACAUAUAUUAUUUUAUUAGUGCUUUUUAAAUCAAAUAUACAUAGGAGAACUGUAAUUCUUAGCAAUCAAUUUUCCACUAAAUACACCUGCAACAAACUAUUAAUAACAAAGUGAUAGAAAAUACCUGAUUUUUCAUACUUUCUAAUUUCUUUUGGUCCUAAAAUAUGGGCAUUUGUGUAAUAAUAAGCCCAUGUGGAUCUCUAUGCCAUGAGUUUGAUAAAUAGCUAUCAAGGAUCACUUAUUAAGCUAAAAAUAUUUGGAGGACAAAAUUGUAAAACUAAAAGGGUGGAGCAAAUAUGGCUAUCUAGGAUUAAAUAGUAAGUCAACUAUAUUUAAAGGAUAAAAUAUUAAAACUUGAAUUGUGAUAUUAAAAAUAUCUCAACUAUUAUAUUAUUAAACCAUAUGUUCUAAUAGUUUUUUUUUUAAGCUUCAAAAUGUUCAGGAUUUUAGAUUGAAACAUUUUCAAUUGAAAUAAUUUGGUGCAGUCACAAGUUAAGAAAGAAAAAGUUGUCCCAUUGGUCAUUUCACAAAAAUGAAAGCCCUGUAUAACAUGGACGUGAAUGGAAACCCAAUUGUUUGUGUUUGAUUAAUUGAUUUCAAGCUUUAUCUAACCUUUGGACCUGGAUACUUUACUGCGGCCUCUAAGCGCUAUAAAUUUUUUUGGGGAUAAACGGCGCUUCAAUGAGGGCAUCUCCAAUGCUUAACACCAUUUUGGUGUAACACCAACAUUAAAAAUAUACAUUUUUCACACUAAAUUACUAUUUCAUCUCCAACCCAUUUACACCAAAUUUUACACCAAAAAUAAUAUUUUUUUUAUUCUUUUAAUUCUCAAGAAUUAAUUCAAUUAACACAAUAAAUACUACUAUUAACAUAGAUAAUUAAGUAAUAAGUAAUUUUAUCAAUUAACAAAAAAAAUAGAAAAUUAUUAAAUUUGCAUUUAAUUAACUAAAUUAGUACAUUAUGAAAAUUAAACAUUACAUUAAUAUAGAAAAAUACAAUAAAAAUAAUAAUAAUUUUAUAUCUAAUAUUUUGAUGAUAUUGGAGGAUCUAAUAAUGAUCUUCCAGAUUAUUAAAUAAUUGUUCUAAUUUAUACUAGUAGUAGUAGCUUUUUUAAUUUGUGUUAAUUUAAUUUUGUAAUAUGUAAUAUAGUAAUUAAUGUUAUUGGCAUUUUAUUUUUAUUAUUAAUUUUUGUGUUGAAUUUUUUUAUUUAAAAUAUUAGUAUAAUAUUAAAAAAUUAAAAAUGAAAUAAAUAAUAACAAAAAUAAUAAUAAUAACUUAAAAUAUUAUAUAAAAAAGGACAUAUAUGUAAAUAAGAAAAAGUAAUAAAGAUAUUUAGGACUCUUUUUUCCUAGCACCAAAUGAAUAGUGUUACACCAUAUUUGGUGCAAUACUAUUCAUAACACCAAUUUGCUGUUCGUUUUGAUGUUACAUUGGAGAAGCAUUUUACACAAAAAAUGGUGUAAAAGGUAGUUUGGUGUUAGUUUUGGUGUCACAUUGGAGAUGGCCUGGAAAAACACUUGAAAACUUUGGAUUUUUGGUUCGUCCAGUUACGGUGUUAUGCUAAUGGGGUUAAAAGUUCCGAUCCAAUGAGUUAGGAUGGAAUAUGAAUAUAUAAAUUCCAUAGCAUGUAAGGACUAGGAUUUGUUUGUUCAUAUCAAGAAAAAAAAGAUCCGAAAAUUUGAUGAUCAGAAGAUGAAGACACGUUUAUUACAGAGAAACAAACGACAACAUGAUACUAGUAGUAGUUAUUCUUUUCAUCCGAUAUAUUACAUGGUAAUAUCACUACUCGUUCCACUGGUUUCAUAUACACCAUCGAUCAGCAACAUGAUAAUUUUGUGUCAGUUCAUUUUGUUUGUAGGAAAGAGCAGUGUAUUUCUUAGAGCUUGAAAAUAAUAAAAAGAUUUUAAAAUAUAAAUUGCAUAUUUGUUUAUUACAGUUGUUUGGUCUAAUUUCUUAUGUAGAAUUGCUUGUCAUUCUUUGGACGUUAUUGAUUAUAUUUUUGUCAGACUUGGCGUAUAUAUUCACACAUACGUUUUAUUUUGUCAUUUUGUAGAACAUUUUUACACGCCAUAUUAUCACGACUCUUCUCUGUCUGAAUAAGAAGAAAGCAUAAUGCGACCCUCCAAUAGCUUAAUCUAUGGAAUUAUCGUGUUUUGUAAGUUGAGGUCCAAUGGCGUUUUGGCACAUCAUAUGAUAGCCCACUAUAUUGCGUUGCUUUACAAAAGAUUAAUAUUUUGAAAAUUAUUAGGUAAGUUUAGGCUCAGUGGCACUUUAACUCAUGAUAUGAUUGUCCAGGUUUUCGAGGACCACUAUAUUCUAUUGAUUUAAAAAAAAUUAAUAUUUUUUAAUAUUAAUAUUCUAAAUUAUAUUCAGUUCAAAUAUUAAAUAUUAAAUACAUUCUUAAUAUUAAUAUUCUUAGAUGAAAUUCUUUUGCUGACUUAAGAAUAAAAUAUUAAAUAAUUUUAUUUUUCUUUUAUUCUGUAACGUGGACCCAAUAAAAAAAGGAAAUGAAUUUAAUAAAACCUUCAUUCAAAAUCUUCAUUCCGCCACCAUGCAUGUUAAUUGUUUCCAAAUUCCAACCUCCGUACUCUCUUGAGGAGUUUCCCAUUCAUCAAUUAUUAUUUUUUAUAAUCCAUACCAUCCUGAUAUAAUUAAACACCAUUAAUAAUGUACCAACCUUUAAAUAGUAAUUAAUUUAUUUAUCUAAUUCACCAAAUGUUUUUUCCGGUACAUAUCUCCAUUGGUAUCAAGAAGAAGCAGAACCCAAAGAAAUGUUUCUUGCAUCUUCAUAUUUGUGCGAAUUCAUCCUUUCAUUGAGAAUAACCAUUUCCAGGCAGCAGUUGGCAAUCAAUUCAUGCGCACGUCGAUGCUAUUCAUAGAUACUAAAGACAAUGAUGAACCAAAGGUGAUAAAUCAUAAAUGCAUAAUUACCAAACCUCCAUCCUUCUCUCAUUAUGAUUUGAUUUUAAAUGAAUUAUUGCUUGGUAACAUUAUUUCCAACCAUUGCAAGACCUUUUUUUUGGAGAAAUUUCAAUUGAAAGUGAAACCUUUAGACAUUUACCUAAUGAAGUUAGUUAAUCGGGAGGGUCGGAAAAAAAAAGUUGACGCAAGUCAAUACACAAUAAUCAAUUAAAUCCGGAGUGACUAAAACAGAGCCACUACUUUUUAAAAAAUAUCUGCAUUAAUCACUUUCUCCAGCAACUAGUCAGCUACACACGAAUCAAUUUCUCUCCUCGUUUGUCAUCCAAAAUUAUUCACCAAUACCAUGGCUGAUGCAAUCGUUUCCACUAUCUUGGAGCAGCUGAUUUCCUUCGCUGCUGAAGAGAUAAAACAACAGGUGAUCGAAGUUUCACCCCUCAUAUUACAAAUACUUCCAAUGAUUUUAAUUGGCUUUGUUUUUAUCAAAAACAUUAUAUAUUUUUGCUUUUUUUUUAUUUAUCUGAUAAUUUUAUAUUUUGAAAUUUGAAUUGAAUUUAAUUAAAAGGUGAUGUAGUAACCACUCAUUUUUAUUUUAUUUCAUUUCUAUUCUCGAUAACUAACCAUAUUUUGGUAACUUAAUAUGACUCUCGUACAUAAGAAAUGAUCAAAACCCACAAUUUUAACUAUGUAUAAAUAUUCAACGUUGAGCUAAGGUUUUGCAGAACAUUCAAGUUUAUCAAAUAGUCAUUAAUUUAAUGUUUUAGUAAAACCUCAACUCAUCACUGAAUCCCAUAGCUAUUACUUAGACUCUAUGAAAAAUUUCAUAGUUUUCUUACAUUCUUUCAGUUUGGUAAGUGAUUUCAUAUAAUUUCUGUUCAAUAUAAAUUUUAAUUUGGUUUCUUAUAUACUCUCUUUGCUGAAUUUGUAUCUUUUAUGAUUCUUAGAUUUUGGGCUCUAACAUUUUAGGAUUUGAUAGUCACAUUUUAUGCCAUGCUUAGAUUGAUUUUCAUGAUUUUUACUACCCAUUAAGUGACUUAGAAUUUGACAAAAGUUUGAAAGGAAAUCUGCUUCAGGAUUCUGUUUUAAUUGACCUUUUAGUGGAAAUAGGAUGCUUAUAACUUAAUGUGGAUGGUUCGUAAAAUCAUGAAAUUUGGAUAGAAUUAACUAGAAAUAUGUACAAGACUCUCCAUGAAGUCUCAUAAUUUUUCAUUCGGUCUGGGGUGGUACAGGUGAAACUUGUGGUUGGUGUUGAAAAAGAAGUGAAAAGCCUUACCAGCCAUCUUCAAGCCAUUCAAGUUGUGCUCGAUGAUGCAGAGGAAAAGCAAGUGAAGGAAAAAGCUGUUAGUCUUUGGCUGGGUAGGCUCAAGUAUGCAUCCUACGACAUUGAAGAUGUGUUGGAUGAGUGGAUCACAACAAGACGCAAAUUGCAAAUUGAGGGUGGCAUUGGUGAAAAUGCUCUUGUUGUUCCUCAUAAGAAAAAGAAGGUAUGUCUCUGCUUUCCCGGCUCUUGUUUUGGAUUCAAACAAGAAGAAUUUGGUUUCAAACAAGUCUUUCUCCGUCAUGACAUUGCCGACAAGAUCAAAGAAAUCAAUGAAGAGCUACAUGAUAUUGCCGCUCAAAAAGACAUGUUUGAUCUUGUUAAGAGUGGCAAUAAAAGUAGUGAAAGACCAAGGCGUGUACAGAGUACCUUCUUGAUUGAUGAGGAAGAGAUUUGUGGCAGAGUUGGUGAGAGGAAUGAACUCUUAAGCAAGCUGUUGUGUGAGAGUAGCGAGCAACAAAAAGGCCUUCAUAUCAUCUCAAUCGUUGGUAUGGGAGGCAUAGGGAAAACAACUCUUGCACAACUAGCUUGUAAUCAUGACGAGGUGAAGAGAAAGUUCGACAAAAUUCUGUGGGUGUGUGUAUCAGAAACUUUUGAGGAGUUUAGGGUUGCCAAAGCGAUCGUUGAAGUUUUGGAUGGUCGUGAAUCUCAUUUAGCUGAAUUCCAUUCUCUUCUUCAACAUAUUUAUGAAUCCAUUGCAGGGAAGAGCUUUCUUCUUGUCUUAGAUGACGUGUGGGAUGGAAAUUACUUGAAAUGGGAACCAUUCUACCGUUGUCUAAAGAAUGGUCUCCAUGGAAGUAAAAUUUUAGUUACCACACGUAAAGGGUCAGUCGCAUCCAUGAUGGGAUCCAUAGAUAUUAUCUCCGUUAAGGAGUUAGCUGAAGAGGAAUGUUGGUUGUUGUUUAACAAGAUAGCAUUUUUUGAUCGGUCCAUCGAGGAACGUGAAAAAUUAGAACAAAUUGGGCAAAGAAUUGCAGGCAAGUGCAAAGGUUUACCUCUUGCAGCAAAGACAAUAGGGAGUCUCAUGCGUUCUAAACAAACUGAAGAAGAGUGGAAAAGAAUUUUAAAUAGUGAUUUAUGGAAAGUAGAAGAGAUUGAGAAAGAUGUUUUGUCCUCUUUAUUGUUGAGUUAUAAUGAUUUGCCAUCUAGAGUAAAAAGAUGUUUUUCAUAUUGUGCUGUCUUUCCAAAAGACUACAAUAUAGAAAAAGACAAACUAAUCACGUUAUGGAUGGCUCAAGGUUAUCUUAGUGCAGAAGAAGAUGAAGAGAUGGAGACAGUAGGUGAAGAGUAUUUUGGCAUCUUAGCUUCUCGCUCAUUUUUUCAAGAGUUUAAGAAAAGUUAUGAUAAUCGGAUUAUAGAGUGUAAGAUGCAUGAUAUGGUACAUGAUUUUGCCCGAUUUGUAAGUCAAAAUGAAUGUUUUUCGAUGGCAAUCAAUGGUAGUGAAGAACCAAACGCCACAAACUCUCUUGAUGAGAAGGUCCGUCAUUUAAUGUUAAUCUUUAGUAUAGAGGCUUCAUUACCUGUUUCCACUUGUAGAGUUAAAAGAAUUCGUAGCCUCUUAAUUAACGAUAGUAGAUCUGAUCAUUCAUUAUUAAAUGGUGAGAUCCUAGAAGAAUUAUUUAGGGAAUUGACAAGUUUAAGGGCAUUAGAUUUUUGCAAAUCGUAUAACGCAAGUUGGUCUUCGACUCUGGAGAUUCCGAGAAACAUAGAAAAGCUGGUACAUUUAAGAUACCUUAAUUUGUCUUAUCAGGGAAUAAAGAAACUACCGGAGACAUUAUGCGAGUUGUAUAAUCUAGAAAAGUUAGAUAUUAGUUAUUGUUAUAAGCUAGAAGAAUUACCUGAAGGGAUUGGGAAGUUAAUAAACAUGAAGCAUUUACGAAAUAGAGGUACUAGUUCUUUAAGGUACAUGCCAGUAGGGAUUGGGAGAUUAACGGGUCUUAGGACCUUGGGUGAGUUCCACGUGAGUGCAGGAGGAGGUGUUGAUGGUAGGAAAGCAUGUAGGCUUGAAUCUCUUAAAAACUUGGAACACCUUCAAGUAUGUGGUAUAUGUAGACUGGGUGAUGUAUCAGAUGUGGGCGAGGCUAAGCGAUUAGAACUUGACAAAAAGAAAUACCUCUUCAGUUUGACCCUCGAGUUUGAUAAGACGGAAAGAGGAGGAGAAAGGAGGAAGAACGAGGACGAUCAACUUCUUCUUGAAGCCUUGCGACCACCCCUGGAUUUAAAGGAAUUAGAGAUACGGUACUACCGAGGCAACACUGUUUUCCCCAGCUGGAUGGCGUCAUUAACCAACUUAAAGAGUUUACAUCUCCAUAGGUGCGAAAAUUGCGAGCAGCUGCCUCCUUUGGGAAAAUUGCCGUCCCUUGAAAAUCUCUACAUAUGGCGCAUGGAGAGUGUGAAGAGAGUGGGUGAUGAAUUUUUGGGGAUAGAAAGUGAUCAUCAUGACUCAUCGUCAUCUUCAUCAGUUACUAUUGCCUUCCCCAAAUUGAAAUCACUCACAAUUUAUUCGAUGCUGGAAUUGGAGGAGUGGGAUUAUGAGAUUACAAGAACAGGAAACACCGUCAUCAACAUCAUGCCACGUCUUUCUUCCUUGACAAUUGUUGAUUGCACCACAUUAAAGGCACUGCCCGACCACAUUCAUCAAACGACAACGUUGAAGGAAUUGAGCAUUUUUAUGUGUUGGCUUCUGAACAAACGUUACCGCAAGGGGAAAGGAGAAGACUGGCCUAAAAUAUCACACAUUCCCAACCUCCGUAUUGGGCUUUGACAAGUAAUUUCUUCUCUCACUCUGAUUUGCUUUGUUGUUGUUUUUAAUCUAAUUAAGAAGCGAAAAUAGCAUUUUGAAUCAAACUCUAUAUCAGAAAUCUGCAAUACUUACUUUCUAAUAUUCUGAUUUUCAUAUCCUAUGAAUAUACGAUUUUUAAUUUGUGAGAUGGGUAACGUUACUGUAAAAGAUUAUUAAUGCAAUAUGAGUAAUUCUUUUGCAGGACAAGUGACCUACAUUUAGUUUGGCUUUGGAGUUGAAUAAUAACCUUUCGUGGUCCCGACAACCAAAAAACAAAGCUUAAUUUGCCACAGAUUGAACGUAUUGCCAUUAUUGACAAUUUUCUGCACAAGCGUGACUGAACUUAGGUUGAUGUCAAAAGAGGUAAAUUAUUGGCAUGCCUGACUAUUUUGACCAUUACAUGAUUCAUAAGUUUACAUUAAUUUUGAUUUUGAGUUGAGUGAUUAGUUUUCUAGGUUUGCUUACUUUAACUGGGUGACCAAUUUCUUGUAACUAAAUGUAUGAUGUGAUGCAGGAAGCAGGGCAGGAUAUGAAAAGAGAAGCUUAUUAGAGGAAGGAUUGCCAGUAACAGAAUCCAAAGAAAAAGAAACCAUUUCGAGGCAGCUGUUGGCAGUUGGCAGUGAAUGGAGCCCCUUGAAAAAAUUCCCAGGCCGUUGCACUGCAAUUACGAUCAUCCUCGGCCUCAGGUAAUUUCUUCUCCUGCAUUUUUGUUAUUUGCUAUCAAGUGACUAUUUUAAGUAUGAUUGCAUUAAGCUUCUGCUGGGAAAUUUGAGGUUUUGAUGACUGCCCAUGCUAUUGUCAGAAGCUGCGGUUCUUUUCAUCAGCCUGAACCUGGACCUGCCGCUAUGGAUAACUCAGGUUUUUUUUUUUUUUUUAAUCAACUGCCAUCUUUUCCACUGUUUAGAAACUCUUAAGAUUAAACUUUAGUAAAGUUGUUUUAGUUAUCCAUGUAAUCAGGCUGAGGAUACUUAGCUGCCUAUUUAGGCAAAUGUCAGAAUUUAGUUUGUUCGCUGGGAACUGGUGUGGACUGGCAAAGGAUGAUGAGAUAGUUUUUUGAGUGAGUAAAUUUUGGGAGCUUGAGUGUAUUGGGAUUUGCAAUUACAAUCAUCGUCUGCCUCAGGUGAUUUCUUCUCCUGCUCUGUCAUUGUUUGUUCUCUAAUUCAAAAGCAUAAAAUAUUUCAAUCAAUUUUUAUGCCAGGAAUAUGCAAAAGUUUCUAAUAUUUUAUUUCCAUCUGUUACAAGAUCAAACUGAAGCAGAACUCAAACAAAAGUAUGCUACUUCUUGCGGAAAUCUUGCCUUUGUUCAGAUUAUGAAACCAUUUCCAUGCAGCAAAUUCAUCCAAAAGUUUGAAUAAGUUUCAUGGUUGGACACUGUUGGCUUCUUUUUCUUCUGGGGUGCAUUUAGGUGCUAUCAAGUGACAGCUGUAAGUAUGAUUGCACUAAGCUGCCGCUGGGAAAUUUGAGGUUUUGAUGGCUGCCCAUGUUAUUUUCAAGAAACUAUUGAUGUAAGAAGCUGUGGUUCUUUUCAUCAGCUUGAACCUGAAACUGUCGCUAUGGAUAACUCAGGUUUUUGUUAUCAACUAUAUCAUCUUUUUCACUAUUUUGAAACUCUUAAGAUUAAACUUUAGUAAAGUUGUUUCAGCUAUUCAAAUGAAAAACUCAUUGAUUUGAGACUUCCUUCAUUAUUGUUUCUAAUUACAAUGCUAACGAUCCAGAUAAAAUAAUAUUUAAUCGGCGAAGGUGUCCCUUGGAAGUACAUCCUUCUUUUUCUUUUAUUAUAUAAAUUCUUGCAAUGAGCUUAGUGAAGCUGUUGUGCUAAUCAUGCCACUGCAUAAUUUGGCCCCUAAUGUGGGUACUCUGUUACAUUGUUCUGCAAAUUCUCCAGAAGUUAAAAUCAAUAAAUUUUCUAUUAGCUCUAGUGCUUUGACCUAAAUGCCAUUCUAUAUUUUGAUUACAAUGUUUUAACCUUUAAAUUAACUACCCCUAGAUGUUGGAUUUUCUAGAACUUCAAAAUGAUUAAUGGAGAAAGAUCCCAUUAUCGUUAUUGCUAUAAGAAAUUGAUUUAUGCAUCCAAAGAUACAUUAUAUAUUUCUGUGUCUCUAUUUGUAGAUGACAUUUAAGCAUCCAUAAACCGUCAGACAGAGGAAGGGGGUUCAGUGCAAAGAUUCUGUUGACCUAGGGUUGACUGCAUAAUGUCACUUGUUCGCAAUCUAUUAUUUAUUUUAUAUUUUGAAGAAUUUAAUGGGUAAUCCUAAUUGUUUGUUUUGGCAGGUAUGUGUUGUUAUCUCCUUCUAUCUAACAGUCGUACCUAAAUAGCAUAGUUUCAUCUGUGUUACCAUGUGAUGUACAUAAUUUCACAUUUGCCUCAGAUUAAGCUUAAUUUCCCACAGAAUAGAGCUGUCGCGACUGGACUUAGGUUGAUGUCCAAAGAGGUAAAUUAUUGGCAUGCCUAGAUAAUUUGGCCAUUUCCUAAUUCAUAAGUCUACAUUAAUUUUGAUUUUGAGUUGACUGAUUUCUUUUCAAGGUCUGCUUCCUUAACGGAGUGACCAAUGUUUUUCAACUAAAUUUAUCAUAUGAUGCAGGAAGCAGGGCAGGAUAUGAAAUGAGAAGCUCAUUGGUGGAAGUAUUGCCAGUAACAGAACCCAAAGAAAAUGAAACUAUUUCAAGGCAGCAGUUGGCAGUUGCAAGUGAAUGGAGGCCCUGACAAAAUUCUCAAGCGGUUGCAAUGCAAUUACGAUCAUCCUCAGCCUCAGGUAAUUUCUUCUCCUGCUCUGUUUUUAUUUGUUAUCUAAUUAAAAAGCAUAAAGUAUCUUGAAUCACUUUCUGUAUCUGGAACAUAUGCAGCAGUUUCUAAAAUCUUCAUAUGAGUGUAAUGAUGGUAAUUUCUGUUUUUUGUCUGUCAUUGAAUGUUAGACAACUUUCAGUGAGACUCUUGAACCGAGACAUUUUUGACAAAUGAAGGACAAUUGCUGAAGAGUGGGAAUGGUGCUAGAUUGGGGAAUAAAGACAAAGGAGGUAAAUUAUUUGCAGUUUAUUCAGCAUUAUUUGCUUUGGACCAGCGCCUGAUUCACAAGUCUCCAUAAUUUGGCUUUUGACCAGUUGUUAAUAAAUUUUUUAUUCCAUUGGUGCUAAAUGUACACGUGAAGCAGGCAGAGCAGGACUGUGGAAAUGAGAAGGUUUUUAGUGAAAGCUUAAACUCAGGUAAUUCUAAAAAGUACAUGUUUUUGCUGAUUUAUCUAAAUCAGGAAAUUUUAUUUCCAUCUGUUACAAGAUAAAACAGAAACAGAACACAAAGAAAAAUAUUCUACUUCUUGUGGCAAUCUUGCCUUCAUUCAGACAAUGAAACCAUUUCCUUUCACCAAUUUCUUCCAAAAGUUUGAAUAAGUUUCAUGGUUGGACAUAGUUAGCUUCUUUUUCUUUUGGUGCAUUUAGGUCCUAUCAAGUGACAGCCAUAAGUAUGAUUGCAUUAUUGGGAAAUUUUAGGUUUUGAUGGCUCCCCACGUUAUUGCCAAGAAAGUCCUCAUGUCAAAAGCUGCGGUUCUUUUCAUCAGCCUGAACCCGAACCUGUCGUUAUGGAUAACUCAGGUUUUUGUCAUCAACUAUAUCAUCUUUUUUACUGUUUUGAAACUCUUAAGAUUAAACUUCAGUAAAGUUGUUUCAGUUAUCCAUGUAAUCAGGCCAAGGAUAUUUAGCAGCUUAUUUAGGCAACUGCCAGAAUUCAGUUUGUUUGCUCGAAACUUGUAUGGUGACAAGGAUACUGGCAAGGAUAGUGAGAUAGUUUUUUGUGUGAGUGAAAUUUGAAAGCUUGGGUGUUCUGGGAUUUGCAAUUGCAAUCAUCCUCUGAGUCAGGUGAUUUCUUCUCCUGCUCUGUCUUGAUUUUCUCUCUAAUUGAAAGCAUAAAGUAUUUCAAUCAAAUUCUGUACCAGGAGUACAUAAAAGUUACUAAUAUUUUAUUUCCAUCUGUUUGCAUUGAUAACUCGGCAUAUGUUCUAGUUAAAGAACAAACAGAAACAGAGUUCAGGAAAAAGUUUCUUCGGCCACCAUAUUUGAAAAUGAAACCAUUUCCAGGAAGCAGUUGGCAGCAAAUUCAUAUGGAGUGUAGACAAUGAUGAGCAAAAAGGUGAUUCGCAAUUUCUUUUUUUUUUAAGUGAAAUUAUUUGUUAGAUUGAAGCUGAUAUUGUAAGAAGGCCAUUGAGCUAACCUAUGUCGUCACUUGCCUAGAUUGCAGGGGGUCAAGACUCAAAAGAAGCACUGAAAUUUAAAAAGCAUGGAAUAGUUCUUUUGCCAUGUGUCAAUUAAUGCAAGUUUGAAUAAGUUUAUUGGCUGAACGAUGUUAGCUUCUUUUCCUUUCGUGCACUUUGGUAUGCUAUCAAGUGACAGCCGUAUGUAUGGCUUGCAUAUAGCUGCUGCUGGGAAAAUUGACGAUUUCAUGGCUGGCCGUGUUAUUGUCUUAAAUUAGUUGUGAUAAGCUGUUGCUUGGAGAUUCUGUUGCCAAGACUUUGCUCACAUCAGAAGCUGUGGAAUCUGAACCCUUCGUUAUGUAUCAUCUUUUUCAUUGUUUUAAAACUCUCAGGAUUAAACUUGAGCGAAUUUGUUCGGUUGUCUAUAUAAUCAUGUAUUGAGUAAACUCUCAGGAUACUGAGGGUGAGAGAAAUUAGAGGGUGUAUAGGGAUUUGGAUUUGUUAGGAAGUUAUCAUUUUUAUUUUUAUUUUUAUUUUUUUCCCAGAAAAUCUUCUGGUGGUGCUAUAUUUUCAAACGACAGUCCGAUUCAAAACUUGAUAUUCCAAUUAUAUUCAUAAGCUUCUACAGUUAUCUUCAAAAAGACAAAUGGAAGGCUUUGAACGGCUUGGGUCUGAGUAUUGUAGUUUGAUUUAUUUUGAUGAAAGUACCUUUUGACAUUGAGAUUCUUUCAUGAGUUAAACAUUCUUUUUAAAACCAACUUAUUAAAAAAAAAAAGUAACUAACAUAUAUUAUUUUGUUAGUGCUUUUUAAAUCAAAUAUAAAAAAGAGAACUGUAAUUCUUAGCAACCAAUUUUUCACUGAGUACACCUACAACAAACUAUUAAAAAAUAAAGUGAUAGAAAAUGCCUGAUUUUUCGUACUUUCUAAUUACUUUUGGUCCUAAAAUAUGGCAAUUUGUGUAAUAAUAAGCCCAUGUAUAUCUUUAUGCCAUUAGUUUGAUAAAUAGCUAUCAAGGAUAACUUAUUAAGCUAAAAAUAUUUGAAGGAUAAAUUGAUUUAUGCAUCCAAAGAUACAUUAUAUAUUUCUGUGUCUCUAUUUAUAGAUGACAUUUAAGCAUCCAUAAACCGUCAGACAGAGGAAGGGGGUUCAGUGCAAAGAUUCUGUUGACCUAGGGUUGACUGCAUAAUGUCACUUGUUCGCAAUCUAUUAUUUAUUUUAUAUUUUGAAGAAUUUAAUGGGUAAUCCUAAUUGUUUGUUUUGGCAGGUAUGUGUUGUUAUCUCCUUCUAUCUAACAGUCGUACCUAAAUAGCAUAGUUUCAUCUGUGUUACCAUGUGAUGUACAUAAUUUCACAUUUGCCUCAGAUUAAGCUUAAUUUCCCACAGAAUAGAGCUGUCGUGACUGGACUUAGGUUGAUGUCCAAAGAGGUAAAUUAUUGGCAUGCCUAGAUAAUUUGGCCAUUUCCUAAUUCAUAAGUCUACAUUAAUUUUGAUUUUGAGUUGACUGAUUUCUUUUCAAGGUCUGCUUCCUUAACGGAGUGACCAAUGUUUUUCAACUAAAUUUAUCAUAUGAUGCAGGAAGCAGGGCAGGAUAUGAAAUGAGAUCUCAUUGGUGGAAGUAUUGCCAGUAGCAGAACCCAAUGAAAAUGAAACUAUUUCAAGGCAGCAGUUGGCAGUUGCAAGUGAAUGGAGGCCCUUGACAAAAUUCUCAAGCGGUUGCAAUGAUGGUAAUUUCUUCUCCUGCUUUGUAUUUAUUUGUUAUCUAAUUAGGAAGCGUGAAGUAUCUUGAAUCAUUUUCUGUAUCUGGAAUAUAUGCAAGAGUUUCUAAAAUUUUGAUAUGAGUGUAAUGAUGGUAAUUUCUGUUUUCUGUCUGUCAUCAAAUGUUAGAAAACUUUCAUUGAGACCCUUGAACCGAGUCAUUUUUGACAAGUGAAGGACAAUUGCUGAAGAGUGGGAAUGGUGCUAGAUUGGGGAAUAAAGACAAAGGAGGUAAAUUAUUUGCAGUUUAUUCAGCAUUAUUUGCUUUGGACCACCGCCUGAUUCACAAGUCUCCAUAAUUUGGCUUUUGACCAGUUAAUAAAUUUUUAAUUCCAUUGGUGCUAAAUGUACACGUGAAGCAGGCAGAGCAGGACUGUGGAAAUGAGAAGGUUUUUAGUGAAAGCUUAAACUCAGGUAAUUCUAAAAAGUACAUGUUUUUGCUGAUUUAUCUAAAUCAGGAAAUUUUAUUUCCAUCUGUUACAAGAUAAAACAGAAACAGAACACAAAGAAAAAUAUUCUACUUCUUGUGGCAAUCUUGCCUUCAUUCAGACAAUGAAACCAUUUCCUUUCACCAAUUUCUUCCAAAAGUUUGAAUAAGUUUCAUGGUUGGACAUAGUUAGCUUCUUUUUCUUUUUGGUGCAUUUAGGUCCUAUCAAGUGACAGCCAUAAGUAUGAUUGCAUUAUUGGGAAAUUUUAGGUUUGGAUGGCUCCCCAUGUUAUUGCCAAGAAAGUCCUCAUGUCAGAAGCUGCGGUUCUUUUCAUCAGCCUGAACCCGAACCUGUCGUUAUGGAUAACUCAGGUUUUUGUCAUCAACUAUAUCAUCUUUUUUACUGUUUUGAAACUCUUAAGAUUAAACUUCAGUAAAGUUGUUUCAGUUAUCCAUGUAAUCAGGCUAAGGAUAUUUAGCAGCUUAUUUAGGCAACUGCCAGAAUUCAGUUUGUUUGCUCGAAACUUGUAUGGUGACAAGGAUACUGGCAAGGAUAGUGAGAUAGUUUUUUGUGUGAGUGAAAUUUGAAAGCUUGGGUGUUCUGGGAUUUGCAAUUGCAAUCAUCCUCUGAGUCAGGUGAUUUCUUCUCCUGCUCUGUCUUGAUUUUCUCUCUAAUUGAAAGCAUAAAGUAUUUCAAUCAAAUUCUGUACCAGGAAUACGUAAAAGUUACUAAUAUUUUAUUUCCAUCUGUUUGCAUUGAUAACUCGGCGGCAUAUGUUCUAGUUAAAGAACAAACAGAAACAGAGUUCAGGAAAAAGUUUCUUCGGCCACCAUAUUUGAAAAUGAAACCAUUUCCAGGAAGCAGUUGGCAGCAAAUUCAUAUGGAGUGUAGACAAUGAUGAGCGAAAAGGUGAUACGCAAUUUCUUUUUUUUUUUUUUUAAGUGAAAUUAUUUGUUAGAUUGAAGCUGAUAUUGUAAGAAGGCCAUUGAGCUAACCUAUGUCGCCACUUGCCUAGAUUGCAGGGGGUCAAGACUCAAAAGAAGCACUGAAAUUUAAAAAAGCAUGCAAUAGUUCUUUUGCCAUGUGUCAAUUAAUGCAAGUUUGAAUAAGUUUAUUGGCUGAACGAUGUUAGCUUCUUUUCCUUUCGUGCACUUUGGUAUGCUAUCAAGUGACAGCCGUAUGUAUGGCUUGCGUAUAGCUGCUGCUGGGAAAAUUGACGAUUUCAUGGCUGGCCGUGUUAUUGUCUUAAAUUAGUUGUGAUAAGCUGUUGCUUGGAGAUUCUGUUGCCAAGACUUUGCUCACAUCAGAAGCUGUGGAAUCUGAACCCUUCGUUAUGUAUCAUCUUUUUCAUUGUUUUAAAACUCUCAGGAUUAAACUUGAGCGAAUUUGUUCGGUUGUCUAUAUAAUCAUGUAUUGAGUAACCUCUCAGGAUACUGAGCAGGCAAAUGUUAUAACUCGGUUUGUUAGCCAAAAACUUGUUGAAGAUUCUUGACAAAGCUGCAUCAAGUGAAUUGUCGGAGCUCUGAGGGUGAGAGAAAUUAGAGGGUGUAUAGGGAUUUGGAUUUGUUAGGAAGUUAUCAUUUUUAUUUUUAUUUUUAUUUUUUUCACAGAAAAUCUUCUGGUGGUGCUAUAUUUUCAAACGACAGUCCGAUUCAAAACUUGAUAUUCCAAUUAUAUUCAUAAGCUUCUACAGUUAUCUUCAAAAAGACAAAUGGAAGGCUUUGAACGGCUUGGGUCUGAGUAUUGUAGUUUGAUUUAUUUUGAUGAAAGUACCUUUUGACAUUGAGAUUCUUUCAUGAGUUAAACAUUCUUUUUAAAACCAACUUAUUAAAAAAAAAAAGUAACUAACAUAUAUUAUUUUGUUAGUGCUUUUUAAAUCAAAUAUAAAAAAGAGAACUGUAAUUCUUAGCAACCAAUUUUUCACUGAGUACACCUACAACAAACUAUUAAAAAAUAAAGUGAUAGAAAAUGCCUGAUUUUUCGUACUUUCUAAUUACUUUUGGUCCUAAAAUAUGGCGAUUUGUGUAAUAAUAAGCCCAUGUAUAUCUUUAUGCCAUUAGUUUGAUAAAUAGCUAUCAAGGAUAACUUAUUAAGCUAAAAAUAUUUGAAGGAUAAAAUGGUAAAACUAAAAGGGUGGAGUAAUAUAGUUAUUUAAGAUUACAUAGUAAGUCAACUAUAUUCGAGGGAUAAAAUAUUAAAACUUGAAUAGUGAUAUUAAAAAUAUCUCAGCUAUUAUACUAUUAAACCAUAUGCCGUAAUAAUAUUUUUUUUCAAACUUUAAAAAAUUCAGGAUUUUAAAUUAAAACAUGGAUUUCUUUAAGAUGCUAUAUGUGUUUUUACAGUAUUGAUAGUGGGAUUAGUGUGGACCUUUAGAUGAAAGAGUUUUAAUCUGAAUCAUUCAUUUAAUAUAAUAGAUAAUUAAAUAAUUAAUUAAAAUAUAUCAGGUAACUUAUAGGUUGCAGGUAAAAAAUUAAUUUUUUAAUUUUAAAUUAAAAUUAAUUUGGAACAAAACCAUCCACACCCCUAAGGUUUACUUAAAUGAUCAUAUAAAUCCCUUUAGUUUCUACAUAGUUAUACAAACCCUCUUAAUUUCAUAAAUUAUUAUUAUACUUUUAAUUAAAACAACCUAAAUGAAUAUAAAUAUAGUAAUAGGAUAGAAAUAAUAAAUAAAUAUCAGAUGAAACAAAUAAAAUAUUACAAUAAAUACAAUUAAUUAAAUAACAUGUAGGAUGAAAAUUUUAUUCAUAUUAAGUUAUUAUUAGUCGAUCUCGAUGGAUUUACUCAAAUUAAUUAAUCCAAAAUUUAAUUUUAAGAUUGAUAUUAAUAUGGACAUAAUUAAAUAAGAUGUUGUAAUAUAUAUUACUUUGAAUGUUAAGUAUAAUUAUCUAAUAUUAUUAGUAUGUGAAAUAGAUUUUAAUAUUAUUAAAAGAAUAUGACAAUAUAUAAUUUUGACAUAAAUUUUUUAGUAUUCAUAAUAUUUUAUAAAUUUUAUCUUAUUUUAUAUAUUAUAUUUUUUAAUUUUAAUGUAUUAUAUAUGAUCAUUUAAGCAAAUUUUGGAGGUGCGGUGGUCUUUUCCCUAUUAAUUUUGUAGCAUAUUUAAAGUGUUAUAUCAUACAUCAUACAUCGCACUUUUGUUAAAGUAUUAUGUUAUUAAAAAUUAAACUUUGCAUUUAUAAUAUACUACCAUUUUAAUGUAAAUGUAACAAAAAAUAUGAAGAUAUUUUUAAGUAGUCAAUUGUAGCUUUCUAUUACAAAAUAGCAGUAUAGAAAUACAAUUGGUAAAAUGUAAUAAAAAUGGUAUGGAAAAAAGUUAGUAGAGGCAAUUAUUUUUGUAGUUGCUAAAACAUAUGAAGUGACACACACACACACACACACACACAUCAAGUACUUGUAUGUUCCCCUAACUUUUAUUAAUAGGAAGGAAAUUAAAUUCGUAAUUUUCCCGGUGAAUUAUGAAUUGAUAAAUGAAAUAUAAAUAUUAGUAAAAAUUAAUUUGUCGACUAAAGAAGUAAACCAUAUUUUAUGGGCAUUUAAUACAUUACUUUAAGGUCAAAUGAGAUAUAUCACAUGAUAUUUGAUACAGUAGUCCAAUUUUCAACAUUUGCAUAUAGUUUCUAAGCUAGUAAUCUAAUAAAAUAUACCAAAUGAGAAAUUCAAGGCUAUUAUUUAUAUUUCACAAUUGGACAAACACCAUACAUUAGAAUAAAAAAAUCUCACAGUACAGACGACAUCUGUUUGCAUGUUUUGAAAAUAGAUUUUGAAAAUAGUUUAAUUACAUGAUAAUUAAAUUAUAUUAUAAAACUAAGAAUAUGAUUUAAGUACUAUUUUAGCAAUUUUGAGUCUCACAUUGAGUAUUCAAGUUAAUUAAAUGUUGAAACUCUUUUCUAUUUGGCUUGAAAUCACUACUUAAUUAAAUUACAAAAAGUCGAUAAUGAAUGAUGUAGGACACAUAUGUAAAAUAAAUUUUAAAGUGUAAUUAAACAUUCCUAUCAAUAUUAGUUUCGUAUACAUGUUCAUAUAUUUUAUUGAAACCAUAUAUAAUUAAAUUUUGUGUAAUUAAGUAAAAUAUAUUAUUCAAGUGAAUUUAUGAGAAUAUUUAAAAUUAUAGGGGUGGUCACUGAAAUUUGCCAAACUUGAGCCAACCGUGCAUGAUCCAAACAAUUUAUUUUAAUAAUUCUCAAUAUGUUAGUCUGUUUGACUGUUGGCAAAAUAAAUUCCUAUCAGCAAUGCAACACAAUUCAAAAUCAUAUCUGCAUACAACGAACAAUAUCUCAUCAAAGAUCAAAUUAUACAUUUUUUACACCAAAGCAUAAAUAUCUAAAUUAUCCCUCUUCAACUCACCAAGCUCAUACCUAACAACAGCAAGAUUAAAUGUCAUUUGAUCCAUCUUUUUUAGUAAGCUUUAUCAAUUCUUCUCAUGGUUGCAAUUUUGAAAGCUCGCUUCGCUAUUUCCAUUUGCUUUUAUGCUUUGUUUGAGCUCCAUCUUUUCUCUCCAUCUACAUUUUACACUGUAAAAAAAAUUUUAAAAAAAUUACAAAGCUUCUUAUACUAGAAUAUGAGCAACAAUAUAAAUAAUAAACAAUAAAGUUAUGAUAGCACAACAUACUCAUUAAAGUGCUUCUUUUUUUUUUUCAACAAGAAAUUACUACUGAAUUAAAGAAUUGGCUUUGCAUUAAGGUUUGCCUUCAAUAACUCAACUCCCCACUUGGGUUUUGUCGUUUUCUUAAAAUCUCUGCUCAAUCAAUUUAAAGAUCCAUUUUUUUUUUCUUUCCAAAGAUCUAAAAGCAAUGUCUUUUAUUGGUACCCAACAAAAAUGCAAGGUCUGUGAGAAGACAGUUUGUCCAGUUGAGCAGUUAUCUGCUGAUGGGGUUGUUUAUCACAAGUCUUGCUUCAAGUGCUAUCACGGCAAAGGCACACUCAAGCUAAGCAAUUACUCAUCCCUGGAAGGUGUUCUUUACUGUAAGCCUCACUUUGAGCAGCUUUUGAAGGAGUCGAGUAACUUCAACCAGAAUUUCCAAUUACCUGCAAAGUCAGCUGAGAAGUUAACUCCUGAGCUGAGAAGGUCGCCUAGCAAAGUUGCCAGCAUGUUCUCUGGGCCCAAUAAAAAUGUGCUUCUUGCAGUAAAACAGUGUGUCCGUGGGAGAAGGUAGCAGUGGAAAACCAAGCCUCUCACAAGACAUGUUUCAAGUGCUCACAUGGUGGUUAUUCCAUUAGCCCGUCAAAUUACGCAGCCCUAGAAGGCAUCUUGUAUUGCAAACAUAAUUUCUCCCAAUUGUUCAAGGAAAAAGGCAGCUACAACCACCUUAUAUCAAAUCUGCUCCCAUGAAGCGUGCUGCAGUCUCUGUUCAAGAAGCUUGAACACGUUAUGUUAUCUUCCAUAAAUCUUAUUUGGCGUGGGUUUUCUCUGGCUUGAGGGUGUGCUUUCUAUUUUGAUCCCUCUUGUUGUUUUUGCGGGGAACUACCAAACCUUCGGUUCCCUCUGCUUCUUUGGAUCAUCUUUGUUUGGACAAAUUUCAUGUAAUUAGAGAUACCGAUUUAUGGGAGGCAUAAUCCCAUGGUCGUAAAUUGACCAUUUUCUGGCAAUGUUCUUUUUAAAAAGAGAUGAGCAGUUGUUUAAAAAAAAAAAAAAUUGCUUGCCUUCAUCAUUGUAUAUUACCAAACUGCUAUGUAUAGCUGCUAACUAUGAGCAUCCGAAAAUAUGGUGCAUCGUGAUUCAUGUAGUGCAAUAUGGCUACCAACGCAUCCUAAAUGGAGUAUUACUCAGUUAGUCAGCAAAAUAAGACAACAUAACUGAUAUUAAAAAAAAAAAAAAACUACAUUAAUAAGUGGGCAAGAUCAUGCCAGUUUAACUUUUCGCGCGUCGCUGCUGGAGAUGAUCAAAUCGGGGCAUAGAAAAGGAGAAUGGAAUCAGAGGCUAAGAUUAAUAAGUGGGCUUCUGCUUGCUUUGCCCUCUUUCUUAAACGAUUGGUAGACUGCUGCUUCCGCCGAUUAACCGGGUCUUCAACCACUGCUUUUACUGCCUGCCAUCUUGUUGUUUGUCGAAGGGAUGAAUUCGAGUCGAAAAGAGAAAGCGCGCUGAAAAAGAUAAAUCACUAGUGGUUAACUGCUGACUCAGCCAAGUGUUGGCUUCACUUGAUUCACCGAUUGAGGUUAUUUUGUCUUCUAUCUAAUGCAGCGAAGAAGCUUUGCUGCUUAACAUGCUGCAAUGCAACUUUAUCCUUUGAAGUUCACACUCCAGGGCUGCGCACUUUAUGUAAUCCUAUGAGUAAAAAGAAUUUGUUUUCAAAUGUGAAAAAAGAAAAUGUAAGGUAGUAACUAAAUAUAUUAUAGCAUCAAAGCAAGAUUUGAUAUGAAUUUAGUACAACAAAGAACAUCAAAUCUGUGAUUCCUUGUCUAAUGUCACCAUCGAGCAACAAAUUUAAAAGCCUACCUAUCAAAUACACGAGGCAAUAAACGGAGAAAAAGUUGAAUUACAAGAACAAGUUUACAAUUCUUGUCAAUGGUUAAUGAUUUGUGAACUGAGAUAUCAUUCAAGAAUCCAAUUUCAAUACAACAACCUAAAAGAUAAACAGAUGAUGAAUUUUAUGAGAUAAAAAAGGAGAUCGUGUUUUAUCGUAUCUCUAUUUUCUUUCUUUUUAAAUUUAUGAGAUAAAGCGGUUGGUCCAGUUACGGUGUUAUGCUAACGGGUUUAAAGGUUCCGAUCCAAUGAGUUAGGGUGGAAUAUGAAUAUAUAAAUUCCAUAGCAUGUAAGGACUAGGAUUUGUUUGUUCAUAUCAAGAAAAAAAAUCUGAAAAUUUGAUGAUCAGAAGAUAAAAACACUUAAACACGUUUAAGUAUCAAUAAAUACUUGCUGCUGUAGUUUGAAAAUAAAAUGAGUUUAUCUUGUUGCUGUUUGAUAAAAAUUUAUACUAUUUUUAUUAAUUUUGUCAAAAUCAAUAUUUAGACAUUAUAUUUACCAAGCAUUAUCAUUUUUUUAAUCUCAUAAUUAAUUAAAAUUUUCAUUUCAUUCAAUACAGUAAUUAAUUAGAAUUGUAGCAUAAGCCCAUUUUAAUUUUCUUUCUUUAGGCUAUAUACGCUACUUAUAAGAAAAACUUAUGGACCAUUGACCUAGGCUUAUACAAUAAGCCAAUUUAGAAAUUGUAGACUCACUCUAUGGAUUACUCAUGAGUUGUGGAUGAUGAGUUCUUCACUAACGAAGUGCAUUGGAUAUCAUAUAACGUAAAAACACACAUUGUCAUUAGUCUAUUGCAAGCAUUCCCAUUUGGCACCGAAUCUUUCUCAUUAGCCUAUUGCAAGCGAUCCCAGCCACUUGGAAUCAAAAUUUAGUGAAUUUACAUAUGUUGUCUCGAAGUGGUGUCUCUUAUGGUUGGGUGUUUUUAUAAAUUUCUUAAUUGCUUCGAAUACCAUGGCUGAUGCAACCGUUUCUACUAUCUUGGAGCAGCUGAUUUCCUUCGCUGCUGAAGAGAUAAAACAACAGGUGAUCGAAGUUGCACCCCUCAUAUUACAAAUGCUUCCAAUGAUUUUAAUUGGUUUUGUUUUUAUCAAAAACAUUAUAUAUUUUUUCUUUAUUUUAUUUAUCUGGUAAUUUUAGAUUUUGAAAUUUGAAUUGAAUUUAAUUAAAAGGUGAUGUAGUAACCACUUAUUUUUAUUUUUUUUUAUUUAUAUUCUCAAUAACUACUCAUAGUUUGGUAACUUACUAUAACUUCCAUAUCUAAGAAAUGAUCCAAACCCACAAUUUUAACUCAAGUUUGUCAAACAGUCAUUAAUUCAAUGUUUAGUAAAAAAAACACUUCUCAGCACAGAAUUCCAUGUCCAUUACUUAGACUCUAUGAAAAAUUUCAUAAUUUUCUUACAUUCUUUGAGUUUGGUAAGUGAUUUCAUAUAUUUUCUAUUCAAUAUAAAUUUUAAUUUGUUUUCUUAUAUACUCUCUUUGCUGAAUUUGUAUCUUUUAUGAUUCUUAGAUUUUGGGCUCUAACUUUUUAGGAUUUGAUAGUCACAUUUUAUGCCAUGCUUAGAUUGAUUUUCAUGAUUUUUACUACCCGUUAAGUGACUUAGAAUUUGACAAAAGUUUGAAAGGAAAUCUGCUUCAGGAUUCUGUUUUAAUUGACCCUUUAGUGGAAAUAAAAUGCUUAUAACUUAAUGUGGAUGCUAUGUAAAAUCAUGAAAUUUGGAUAGAAUUAACUAGAAAUAUGUACAAGACUCUCCAUGAAGUCUCAUAAUUUUUCAUUCGGUCUGGGGUGUUACAGGUGAAGCUUGUGGUUGGUGUCGAAAAAGAAGUGAAAAGCCUUACCAGCCACCUUCAAGCCAUUCAAGCUGUGCUCGAUGAUGCAGAGGAAAAGCAAGUGAAGGACAAAGCUGUUAGACAUUGGCUGGGUAGGCUCAAGUAUGCAUCCUACGACAUUGAAGAUGUGUUGGAUGAGUGGAUCACAGGAAGACGCAAAUUGCAAAUUGAGGGUGGCAUUGGUGAAAAUGCUCUUAUUGCUCCUCAUAAGAAAAAGAAGGUACGUUUCUGCUUUCGUGCCUCUUGUCUUGGAUUCAAAACAGAAGAAUUUGGCUUCAAACAAGUCUUUCUACGUCAUGACAUUGCCAACAAGAUCAAAGAAAUGAAUGAAGAGCUACAUGAUAUUGCUACUCAAAAAGACAUGUUUAAUCUUGUUAAGAGUGGCAAUAACAGUAGUGAAAGACCAAGGCGUGUACAGAGUACCUCCUUGAUUGAUGAGGAAGAGAUUUGUGGUAGAGUUGGUGAGAAGAAUGAACUCAUAAGCAAGCUGUUGUGUGAGAGUAGCGAGCAACAAAAAGGCCUCCAUAUCAUCUCAAUUGUUGGUAUGGGAGGCAUAGGGAAAACUACUCUUGCACAACUAGCUUGUAAUCAUGACGAGGUGAAGAGAAAGUUCGACAAAAUUCUGUGGGUGUGUGUAUCAGAAACUUUUGAGGAGUUUAGGGUUGCCAAAGCAAUCGUUGAAGCUUUGGAUGGUCGUGAAUCUCAUUUAGGUGAAUUCCAAUCUCUUCUUCAACAUAUUGAUGAAUCCAUUGCAGGGAAGACCUUUCUUCUUGUCUUAGAUGACGUGUGGGAUGGAAAUUACUUGAAAUGGGAACCAUUCUACCGUUGUCUAAAGAAUGGUCUCCAUGGAAGUAAAAUUAUAGUUACCACACGUAGUGGGUCCGUUGCAUCCAUGAUGGGAUCCAUAGAUAUUAUUCCCAUUAAGGAAUUAGCUGAAGAGGAAUGUUGGUUGUUGUUUAACAAGAUAGCAUUUUUUGGUAGGCCUAUUGAGGAACGUGAAAAAUUAGAACAAAUUGGGCAAAGAAUUGCAGGCAAGUGCAAAGGUUUACCUCUUGCAGCAAAGACAAUAGGGAGUCUCAUGCGUUCUAAACAAACUGAAGAAGAGUGGAAAAGAAUUUUAAAUAGUGAUUUAUGGAAAGUAGAAGAGAUUGAGAAAGAUGUUUUGUCCUCUUUAUUGUUGAGUUAUAAUGAUUUGCCAUCUAGAGUAAAAAGAUGUUUUUCAUAUUGUGCUGUCUUUCCAAAAGACUACAAUAUAAAAAAAGACGAACUAAUCACAUUAUGGAUGGCUCAAGGUUAUCUUAGUGCAGAAGCAGCAGAACAAGAUGAGGAGUUGGAGACUAUAGGUGAAGAGUAUUUUGGCAUCUUAGCUUCUCGCUCUUUCUUUCAAGAGUUUGAGAAAAGUUAUGAUAAUCGUAUUAUAGAGUGCAAGAUGCAUGAUAUGGUACAUGAUUUUGCCCGCUUUGUAAGUCAAAAUGAAUGUUUUUCGAUGGCAAUUAAUGGUAGUGAAGAACCAAACGCCACAAACGCUCUUGAUGAGAAGGUCCGUCAUUUAAUGUUAAUAUUUAGUAAAGCGGCUUCAUUACCUAUUUCCACUCUUAGAGUUAAAAGAAUGCGUACCCUCUUAAUUAACGAUCAUUCAUUAUUAAAUGCUGCGAUCCUAGAAGAAUUAUUUAGGGAAUUGACAAGUUUAAGGGCAUUAGAUUUUGGCGGAUCGUACCACUCAACGCGGUUGUUGACUCCGGAGGUUCCGAGAAACAUAGAAAAGCUGGUACUACCGGAGACAUUGUGUGAGUUAUAUAAUCUAGAAAAGUUAGAUAUUAGUGAUUGUUUUAAUCUUAAAGAAUUACCUGAAGGGAUUGGGAAGUUAAUAAACGUGAAGCAUUUACUAAAUAGAGGUACUAAUUCUUUAAGGUACAUGCCAGUAGGGAUUGGGAGAUUAACAGGUCUUAGGACCUUGGGUGAGUUCCACGUGAGUGCAGGAGGAGGUGUUGAUGGUAGGAAAGCAUGUAGGCUUGAAUCUCUUAAAAACUUGGAACACCUUCAAGUAUGUGGUAUAAGUAGACUGGGUGAUGUAUCAGAUGUGGGCGAGGCUAAGCGAUUAGAACUUGACAAAAAGAAAUACCUCUCCAGUUUGACCCUUUGGUUUGAUAAGGAGGAGGAAGAAGAAGGAGAAAGAAGGAAGAACGAGGACAAUCAACUUCUUCUUGAAGCCCUGCGACCACCUCUCAAUUUAAAGGAAUUAGAGAUUGAGUACUACCGAGGCAACACUGUUUUCCCCAGCUGGAUGACGUCAUUAACCAACUUGAAGAGUUUAGAUCUCUCUUCCUGCGAAAAUUGCGAGCAGCUGCCUCCUUUGGGAAAAUUGCAGUCCCUUGAAAAUCUCCACAUAUGGCGCAUGGAGAGUGUGAAGAGAGUGGGUGAUGAAUUUUUGGGGAUAGAAAGUGAUCAUCAUGGCUCAUCUUCAUCUUCAUCGGUUAUUAUUGCCUUCCCCAAAUUGAAAUCACUUUCAAUUGAGGUUCUGCGCGAAUUGGAGGAGUGGGAUUAUGGGAUUACAAGAACGGGAAACACCGUCAUCAACAUCAUGCCACGUCUUUCUUCAUUGACAAUUAAUUACUGCUCCAAAUUAAAGGCACUGCCCGACCACUUUCAUCAAACGACAACAUUGAAGGAAUUGCACAUUUGGAAGUGCAGGCUUCUGGAAGAACGUUAUUGCAAUGGGGAAGGAGAAGACUGGUCUAAGAUAUCACACAUUCCCAACCUCCAUAUUGGGCUUUGACAAGUAAUUUCUUCUCUUACUCUGAUUUGCUUUGUUGUUGUUUUUAAUCUAAUUAAGAAGCGUAAAUAGCAUUUUGAAUCAAACUCUAUAUCAGAAAUCUGCAAUACUUACUUUCUAAUAUUCUGAUUUUCAUAUCCUAUGAAUAUACGAUUUUUAAUUUGUGAGAUGGGUAACGUUACUGUAAAAGAUUAUUAAUGCAAUAUGAGUAAUUCUUUUGCAGGACAAGUGACCUACAUUUAGUUUGGCUUUGGAGUUGAAUAAUAACCUUUCGAGGUCCCGACAACCAAAAAACGAAGCUUAAUUUGCCACAGAUUGCACGUAUUGCCAUUAUUGACAAUUUUCUGCACAAGCGUGACUGAACUUAGGUUGAUGUCAAAAGAGGUAAAUUAUUGGCAUGCCUGACUAUUUUGACCAUUACAUGAUUCAUAAGUUUACAUUAAUUUUGAUUUUGAGUUGAGUGAUUAAUUUUCUAUGUUUGCUUACUUUAACUGGGUGACCAAUUUCUUGUAACUAAAUGUAUGAUGUGAUGCAGGAAGCAGGGCAGGAUAUGAAAAGAGAAGCUUAUUAGAGGAAGGAUUGCCAGUAACAGAAUCCAAAGAAAAAGAAACCAUUUCGAGGCAGCAGUUGGCAGUUGGCAGUGAAUGGAGCCCCUUGAAAAAGUUCCCAAGCCGUUGCACUGCAAUUACGAUCAUCCUCGGCCUCAGGUAAUUUCUUCUCCUGCAUUUUUGUUAUUUGCUAUCAAGUGACUAUUUUAAGUAUGAUUGCAUUAAGCUGCUACUGGGAAAUUUGAGGUUUUGAGGACUGCCCAUGCUAUUGUCAGAAGCUGCGGUUCUUUUCAUCAGCCUGAACCUGGACCUGCCGCUAUGGAUAACUCAGGUUUUUUUUUUUUUUAAUCAACUGCCAUCUUUUCCACUGUUUAGAAACUCUUAAGAUUAAACUUUAGUAAAGAUGUUUUAGUUAUCCAUGUAAUCAGGCUGAGGAUACUUAGCUGCCUAUUUAGGCAAAUGUCAGAAUUUAGUUUGUUCGCUGGGAACUGGUGUGGACUGGCAAAGGAUGAUGAGAUAGUUUUUUGAGUGAGUAAAUUUUGGGAGCUUGAGUGUAUUGGGAUUUGCAAUUACAAUCAUCCUCUGCCUCAGGUGAUUUCUUCUCCUGCUCUGUCAUUGUUUGUUCUCUAAUUCAAAAGCAUAAAAUAUUUCAAUCAAUUUUUAUACCAGGAAUAUGCAAAAGUUUCUAAUAUUUUAUUUCCAUCUGUUACAAGAUCAAACUGAAGCAGAACUCAAUCAAAAGUAUGCUGCUUCUUGCGGAAAUCUUGCCUUUGUUCAGAUUAUGAAACCAUUUCCAUGCAGCAAAUUCAUCCAAAAAUUUGAAUAAGUUUCACGGUUGGACACUGUUGGCUUCUUUUUCUUCCGGGGUGCAUUUAGGUGCUAUCAAGUGACAGCUGUAAGUAUGAUUGCACUAAGCUGCCGCUGGGAAAUUUGAGGUUUUGAUGGCUGCCCAUGUUAUUUUCAAUAAACUAUUGAUGUAAGAAGCUGUGGUUCUUUUCAUCAGCUUGAACCUGAAACUGUCGCUAUGGAUAACUCAGGUUUUUGUUAUCAACUAUAUCAUCUUUUUCACUAUUUUGAAACUCUUAAGAUUAAACUUUAGUAAAGUUGUUUCAGCUAUUCAAAUGAAAAACUCAUUGAUUUGAGACUUCCUUCAUUAUUGUUUCUAAUUACAAUGCUAACGAUCCAGAUAAAAUAAUAUUUAAUCAACGAAGGUGUUGAUUGAUUUGAGACUUCCUUCAUUAAUGUAGACUUCCUUCAUUAUUGUUUCUUUUUCUUUUAUUCUAUAAAAUCUUGCAAUGAGCUUAGUGAAGCUGUUGUGCUAAUCAUGCCACUGCAUAAUUUGGCCCCUAAUGUGAGUACUCUGUUACAUUGUUCUGCAAAUUCUCCAGAAGUUAAAAUCAAUAAAUUUUCUAUUAGCUCUAGUGCUUUGACCUAAAUGCUAUUCUAUAUUCUGAUUACAAUGUUUUAACCUUUAAAUUAACUACCCCUAGAUGUUGGAUUUUCUAGAACUUCAAAAUGAUUAAUGGAGAAAGAUCCCAUUAUCGUUAUUGCUAUAAGAAAUUGAUUUAUGCAUCCAAAGAUACAUUAUAUGUUUCUGUGUCUCUAUUUAUAGAUGACACCUAAGCAUCCCAUUAUCUAUUAUUUAUUUUAUAUUUUGAAGAAUUUAAUGGGUAAUCCUAAUUGUUUGUUUAGGCAGGUAUGUGUUGUUAUCUCCUUCUAUCUUACAGUCGUACCUAAAUAGCAUAGUUUCAUCUGUGUUACCAUGUGAUGUACAUAAUUUCACAUUUGCCUCAGAUUAAGCUUAAUUUCCCACAGAAUAGAGCUGCCGCGACUGGACUUAGGUUGAUGUCCAAAGAGGUAAAUUAUUGGCAUGCCUAGAUAAUUUGGCCAUUUCCUAAUUCAUAAGUCUACAUUAAUUUUGAUUUUGAGUUGACUGAUUUCUUUUCAAGGUCUGCUUCCUUAACAGAGUGACCAAUGUUUUUCAACUAAAUUUAUCAUAUGAUGCAGGAAGCAAGGCAGGAUAUGAAAUGAGAAGCUCAUUGGUGGAAGUAUUGCCAGUAAGAGAACCCAAAGAAAAUGAAUCUAUUUCAAGGCAGCAGUUGGCAGUUGCAAGUGAAUGGAGGCCCUUGACAAAAUUCUCAAGCGGUUGCAAUGCAAUUACGAUCAUCCUCAGCCUCAGGUAAUUUCUUCUCCUGCUCUGUUUUUAUUUGUUAUCUAAUUAAGAAGCAUAAAGUAUCUUGAAUCACUUUAUGUAUCUGGAAUAUAUGCAGCAGUUUCUAAAAUUUUGAUAUGAGUGUAAUGAUGGUAAUUUCUGUUUUUUGUCUGUCAUUGAAUGUUAGACAACUUUCAGUGAGACUCUUGAACCGAGACAUUUUGGACAAAUGAAGGACAAGUGCUGAAGAGUGGGAAUGGUGCUAGAUUGGGGAAUAAAGACAAAGGUGGUAAAUUAUUUGCAGUUUAUUCAGCAUUAUUUGCUUUCGACCAGCGCCUGAUUCACAAGUCUACAUAAUUUGGCUUUUGACCAGUUGUUAAUAAAUUUUUAAUUCCAUUGGUGCUAAAUGUACACGUGAAGCAGGCAGAGCAGGACUGUGGAAAUGAGAAGCUUUUUAGGGAAAGCUUAAACUCAGGUAAUUCUAAAAAUUAAUUCUGAUUGUUCCGAUUUAUCUAAAUCAGGAAAUUUUAUUUCCAUCUGUUACAAUAAAACAGAAACAGAACACAGAGAAAAAUAUUCUACUUCUUGUGGCAAUCUUGCCUUCAUUCAGACUAUGAAACCAUUUCCUUUCACCAAUUUCUUCCGAAAGUUUGAACACGUUUCAUGGUUGGACAUAGUUAGCUUCUUUUUCUUUUGGUGCAUUUAGGUGCUAUCAAGUGACAACCAUAAGUAUGAUUGCAUUAUUGGGAAAUUUUAGGUUUUGAUGGCUCCCCAUGUUAUUGCCAAGAAAUUUUAAGUCCUCAUGUCAGAAGCUGCGUUUCUUUUCAUCAGACUGAACCCGAACCUGUCACUAUGGAUAACUGAGGUUUUUGUCAUCAACUCUAUCAUGUUUUUCACUGUUUUGAAACUCUUAAGAUUAAACUUCAGUAAAGUUGUUUCAGUUACCCAUGUAAUCAGGCUAAGGAUAUUUAGCAGCUUAUUUAGGCAACUGCCAGAAUUCAGUUUGUUCGCUCGAAACUUGUAUGGUGACAAGGAUACUGGCAAGGAUAGUGAGAUAGUUUUUUGUGUGAGUGAAAUUUGAAAGCUUGGGUGUUCUGGGAUUUGCAAUUGCAAUCAUCCUCUGCUUUAGGUGAUUUCUUCUCCUGUUCUGUCUUUAUUUUCUCUCUAAUUGAAAGCAUAAAGUAUUUCAAUCAAAUUCUGUACCAGGAAUACGAAAAAUUUACUAAUAUUUUAUUUCCAUCUGUUUGCAUUGAUAACUUGGCCGCAUAUGUACUAGUUAAAGAACAAACAGAAGCAGAGUUCAGGAAAAAGUUUCUUCGGCCACCAUAUUUGAAAAUGAAACCAUUUCCAGGAAGCAGUUGGCAGCAAAUUCAUACAAAGUAUAGACAAUGAUGAGCAAAAAGGUGAUUUGCAAUUUCAUUUUUUUAAAAUGAAAUUAUUUGUUAAGUUGGAGCUGAUAUUGUUAGAAGGCCACUGAGCUAACCUAUGACACUGCUUGCCUAGAUUGCAGGAGGUCAAGACUCAAAAGAUGCACUGAAUUUUAAAAGGCAUGCAAUAAUUCUUAUGGCCAUUUGUCAAUGGUGGAAGGCUUUUAGCUUCUUUUCCUUUCGUGCAUUUUGGGGUUCUAUCAAGCGACAGCCGUAUGUAUGGAUGGAUAUAGCUGAAGGACAACAUUUGUCCAUGAGGUUCCUAAAAUCGCAACUUUUGUGCAGUAAAAUUAAAACGGACGGCGGAAGCUCUAGAAACCUCGGAUCGGCUUCAUUCAAAAACUAAAAUCAAGAGGAAAGAUUGAAGUUUAAUUACCUCACUUGCAGUUUCGAAAAAGACUUCUUGAGGUAGGAGAAAACGACUGAAAACAGCAAGCUACGAACACUGUCCAGAAAAUACAGCUCUGCACGAACAGCUUCUGUUUUGCCACGAUCUGAGAUCCUUAAGCACCCCAAUUGUGAUGCCUCUAAUUAUUCCACACUUAUAAAUGUUCUAGGAGUUCAGAGGAUUUUGAAUCACGAAAUUUCGUUUAGAAAUGAGAGAGAUAAUGAUGAAACAUGAAUGCUAGUUCAUGAUGAUUCCCCUUCCACCAAAUAAAGCACCAUUAUGUCUAAUAAUGGCACCAAACAUUAUCAUGUGCUAGACCCAUCCACUUAGCUAUAAUUUAUUGAAAGUGAUCUUAUCACUUAAAUAAAUUAUUUAAUCAAAUUAAUAAAUAGCUAAAUUAAUUAAUUUCGUAAUUAAUUAAUUAACCCCAUUUUGAUCAAAUCAAAUGGUUAAAUGUGGGCUCAUUUUGUGACAUGUUCUAAUGCUUUCUCUUAAUCCAUAUUAGAUCCAAUAAAAGCCCAAAAUUCUAAACCCAAAAAUGGUCUAGAAGUCCAUAAUCAUAUAUGAACCCGAACAUGUCCAAAAUGGUCAUUUUACGUGCUCGAUAUUACAUAAUGUUUAAUGGAGGAUUUACGAAAUUUAUUUUGUUCCUUAAACUAUUUAUGGAACAUCUAAAUUUCUAUCUUAAAUCAUAUUUAAGAUAUAUUUAUAUAUAUAUGUAUAUUCAUUCUCAAUGAAUUAUAAUAUAAAUAUUGAUUUUCCUAAAAAUAGGAAAUUUAACUUCUCAUUUUCUAGUAACUCCUUUUUCAUUUCUAUUUAAUGUGUGACCUUUUAGGUUCUUAGUUAUAAGGUAGUAGAACUAUUUUAAUGAUAACUCUUUAUUCAUUAAAUGAUGCUAAACUCUUUAGUCAUCAAUUAGAACUCUUCUAAUGACCUUAAGAUGCAUUGAUAAUACGCUUUACCAAUAUUGAUCUUAAGGUUUCUACAAGUCAUGAGUGACACCUAGCAGUAUAUCACAACUAUCCAAAUAACAAGAAUUGUUGGAUCUAUAGAACCUAUUCCAUUGUACCUCUAUGUCUUGGUCUCUUCAUCAUCCAUGUCCAAAGAAAAGCACGGCUUAUGGUUUAUUAUGUUAAGCACUUAUGCUUUAUCUCAAAACAAAUCUAAAUGAACUUGACAUGAAAAUAUAAUUUGAACUCCUUCAAAUAUAUUUCACCUUGGCCAAGGAUUUCUCAUGCCAAUUCAUAUUAUCUCAUAGGGACAUCCUUUUUGUAUAUUACAAAGUGAUGAAUUCCAUAUUGGCCAUGCACUAGUCUUCAUACAUAUCCAACCAUGACAGUUAUUGCUAGAUCUCUUCCGUGAUUAGGAAUCAAUCAUUAUGCAUUCACAUAUCAGAGAUGUCUAUGUAUAAGACAUCUGUUAUGCCUCAGGUCUAAAAACCAUUACUAAACAUAGUGUUUAAUACAAUGUAUAAUAAGCCAUUAACACUCAAGACCAUAUAGCUUACUAUAUUUGGUCAAGUUUAGUAAACUUGUUCUCUCAACAAGUAUCUAUGUGUUUGACUUGACAUCUCAUGUCAAUGAUAUGAAACUCACCAUCUAUUUUAGUAUCACAUACCAUAAGGAGUCAUAACACAUACUAGUGUUUAUAGAAAUUUAUAAUGUCCAAUCAUAAAUCCACCACUAGGAACUAUUUUAGAAGUAUAGUACAAAGGAUACACGUUUCAUAUUCUCGACAAACUCGAGAAUGUGUUCCUUAACUAUUUUACAUCUUGGACUAUAUUCAUUAAAUUAAUUAAUGAAUAUUGAUAACUUUGCCAUUUUAUAAAUAUCAAAAUGCUAUUCAAAUACGAUAAUUCCCUAAACAAACAAACACCAUUUGAUUGGCCUUUAGGGCAUAUUACUAACAAUCUCCCACUUGCACUAAAGCCAAUCGCUAUGGUAUCUCAUACCCAUCUUCUCAAGAUGACGAUCUAACUCUUGUUGAGUAAGUGCUUUAGUCAGAGGAUCCGCAGUGUUAUCAGCGGAGGCUACUUUCUGCAUAGUGAUAUCACUCCUUCCAAUGAUUUCUUUGAUAAUGUGAUAUCUUUUUUCUAUGUGUUUGGACUUCUAGUGAGACCUUGGUUCCUUAGCUUGUGCUAUAGCUCCAUUGUUGUCACAAUAUAAAGAGAUUGACAACGCAAUGGUUGGAACCACUUCAAGUUGUUGAAUAAACUUCCGUGUCCAAACAGCUUCUUUUGCUGCAUCUGAUGCAACUAUAUAUUUCGCUUCAGUGGUAGAAUCUGCAGUAAUUGUUUGCUUAGAACUUUUCCAGCUUACUGCUCCACCAUUGAUAGUGAAUAAAAUCCUGAUGUAGAUUUUCUAUCAUCUACAUCUGACUGGAAAUCUGAAUAUGUGAAGCCUUCAAUUUUUAGCUUACUUUCUCCAUAUGUUAAGAACAAAUCUUUAGUUCUUCUGAAGUACUUAAAGAUAUUCUUAACUGCGGUCCAAUAUUCCUCACCCGGAUUACUCUGGUAUCUGCUAGUGACACUCACUGCAUUGAGCUAUAUCCGGUCUAGUACAUAGCAUAGCAUACAUAAGACUUCCAAUUGCAGAAGCAUAUGGAAUCUUAUUCAUUCGCUCUAUCUCAUCAUAAGUUUUAGGACUCAUGCUUUUAGAGAGAUGAAUUCCAUGUCUGAAGGGUAUAAAACCCCUUUUGGAAUCCCACAUAUUAAAUUUCUUUAAUAUCUUUUCUAUGUACUUAGCUUGACAUAGACCUAUUAAUUUUCUGGAUCUAUCUCUAUAAAUCCUGAUUCCCAAGAUAUACAUUGCAUCUCCUAGGUCUUUCAUGGAGAAGUUUUGAGAAAGCCAAAUUUUGACAGAAGACAUUUGUCCAAUGUCAUUUCCUAUAAGUAAUAUGUCAUCUACAUAUAGCACAAGGAAAGAUAUUGCACUCCCACUAACCCUUUUGUAAACACAUGGUUCAUCCUCAUUCUUGAUGAAACCAAAUGAUUUGAUUGCAUCAUCAAAUCGGAUGUUCCAGCUCCUGGAGGCUUGUUUUAGCCCAUAAAUGGACUUUCUUAGCUUGCAUACUUUAUGAGGAUUUGUCUUAGAUUCAAAACCACAAGGUUGUAUCAUAUAGAUAUCUUCCUCAAUGUACCCAUUAAGAAAUGCAGUUUUGACAUCCAUUUGCCAAAUCUCAUAGUCAUAAUAUGCUGCUAUAGCCAAUAAGAUUCUGAUGGACUUUAGCAUGGCUACUGUUGAAAAGGUUUCCUCAUAGUCGAUACUUUGUAUUUGACGAUAACCUUUAGCUACCAACCUUGCUUUAUAGGUCUCUACCUUUCCAUCUAAGCCGAUCUUCCUCUUGAAGAUCCACUUGCAUCCAAUAGGUAUAAUACCUUCGGGUGGAUCCACUAGAGUCCAGACUUGAUUGGUUCUCAUAGAGUCCAUCUCUAAAUCCAUGGCUUCAAGCCAUUUCUUAGAGUCAAUAUCUGAUAUUGCCUCUUCGUAACUAGUAGGAUCAUCUCUAUGAUUUGUAUCACCCAAUAAAAAAUAUAUCGUUCAUCUGAUGAAGAAAACCAUAUCUUUCUGGUGGGUGAAUUAUUCUAUUAGAUCUACGGAGCUGCUGUGUUCCUUGUGUUUGUACUUGAACAAGUUCUUCAUUGGAUUUAUCCUCAUUAGAAUUCUCAAUAAAUUCUAUUUUUCUUCCUUGUCCACCUUCUUGAAUAAACUCUUUUUCAAGAAAUAUGACAUUUCUACUGACCAAUACCCUUUGAUCAGAUUGGAUGUAAAAGUAAUAACCCAAAGUUUCCUUUGGGUAUCCAAUGAACCUCCCACUAUCCGCUUUAGCUUCAAGUUUCUCACUCUUGAGUCUCUUGAUAAAAGCAGGACAUCCCCAAAUCCUAAGAUGAUUUAGGCUUGGUUGUUUACCAUACCACAUCUCAUACGGUAUUUUAGGUACAGACUUGGAAGGUACUCUGUUUAGUACAUAUGUUGCAGUAAGGAGAGCAUAUCCCAAAGAGAAAUUGGUAAGUCUAUAUAACUCACCAUUUAUCGCACCAUGUCUAACAGUGUGCGAUUUCUCCUCUCAGAUACUCCAUUAAGCUCUGGUGUACCUGGAGGUGUCCAUUGUGAAACAAUACCAUUUUCUUUAAGGUAAGACUGGAAUUCUCCACUGAGAUAUUCACCACCUCGAUCUGAUCGUAGGGUUUUAAUAACUUUUCCAGUCUGUUUCUCUACUUCAUUUCGGUAUUCUUUGAACUUUUCAAAGGCUUCAGAUUUAUAUUUCAUUAAGUAUACUGAACUAUACCUUGAGUGAUCGUCGAUAAAAGUUAUGAAGUAGUAAUAUCCACCCCUUGCCAUUUCAUUAAAUGGUCCACAUACAUCAGUAUGUAUAAGUUCAAGUAAAUCAGUGGCCCUUGUACUUCGUCCAACGAAGGGUGCCCUGGUCAUUUUUCCUUGAAGGCAUGAUUCACAAGUUGGAUAAGGUUCUAAACCAAAUGGACCUAUUAGUCCAUCUUUAGCCAAUUUUGUGACUCUAUCUUCUCCAAUAUGACCUAGCCUUAAAUGCCACUUAUAUUUGGGGCUUAUUUCUUCUCUUUCACGUUUAUGUGUUAUGGUAUUUACAUUCACAACAUGCUCAUUAUUUUCUUUCAUGUUUAGUACAUAUAGAUCAUUAUCUAAAGUACCAUGUGCAACAUAUUUAUUCUCAUGAUAAAUAUUACAAAUUUUAUUUCUGAAAUAAAAUUCAUAAUUGUCUUUGCAUAAACAUGAAAUUGAAACUAUGUUCCUUACAGCAGAAGGAACAAAUAAACAAUCAUUCAAACUUAUUACAUGCCCAGAUGUCAUUUUUAAGAAAAAUGUCCCUAUAGCUGAGGCAGCAACUAUUGCUCCAUUUCCCACUCUAAGAGACACUUCUCCUUGUUUAAGUCUUCUACUUCUUUUCAGAUCCUGCAUUGACAUACAAAUAUGUGCGGUCGCAGCAGAAUCUAAAAUCCAAGAAGUAGAAUGAAUGAUUGAAAUAUUAGUUUCAAUAAUGAGCAUACCUUCAGAAGGAUUCUCUUUAGGCUUGACUUUCAAGCUGUUGAGGUAAGAUUUGCAAUUCCUCUUCCAAUGCCCAUUCUUACCGCAAUGGAAACAUUUUCCCUUGUCAUUGGGCUUAUUAGCUUUCCCCUUCUUAAUCCCACCUUUAGCCUUGGGUUGAAACUUUUUCUUUUUACCCUUUUUAGUUGAGGGCCCUUCUAUAGCCAUAACAUCUUUUGGCUUCUUUAUGCAAGUUUCAGCAGUAUUAAGCAUCUUUAGCAGUUCAGCAAGACUGCACUCCAUUUUAUUCAUGUUAAAAUUCAUGAUAAAUUGAGAGCAUGAGUCUGGCAAGGACUGUAGGAUAAGGUCGAUAGCUAAUUCCCCAUCCAUUGAGAAAUUAAGAGCUUCCAGCUGCUCUAUGUAGUCAAUCAUUUUGAGUACAUGAUCAUUGACCGAUCCUUCAGUCAUUCUCAUUCUGAACAGUUUCUUAGAUAUCUCAUACCUAACUGUUCUGCUUUGUUCACCAUACAACUCUUGUAAAUGAAGUAUCAUGGAACUUGCAUCAGGCAUAUUUUCAUGUUGCCUUUGUAGUUCAUUGGACAUCGAUGCCAAUAUAUAGCUUUUAGCACUUAGGUCAUCAUCUUGCCACUUCUGAUAAGUGACACGAUCUGCCUCACUUGCUCCCUCAGGAAUUUCAUUUAGAUUAGAUGUAUCAAGAACAUAGCUAAUUCUCUCAUAAUUAAGAACAAUUCUUAAAUUUCUGAACAAAUCAACGUAAUUAGGUCCCGUCAAACGGUAGUUUUCCAGAAUUCGUGCUAACAGAUUAUUCAUUAUUAAGUAUUUCUGCAGAAAGUAUAAAUUAAAUUAUUAGCAUUUUAUUUUAUUAUAAUCUAUUUGAUUUUGGUCUUUAAACCAAAUAGUGCCUCCUGUUGAGUGUUAGAAAAUGCAUAUUUAUAAAGGAGAAAACCGUCAUUUUACAUUUCAAGUCUUAUUAACAACCCUUACUUUUAUGUAUUUAACAUUCUUGUGAUUUAAUUACAUGUGUUUAUUUUAAUUAAGUAAUUUAUGUAUUUUAGGGGCAUUAUAGUCAUUUCACAAUAAAAGAGAGAUCAGACGGCAAAACGGACAUCACUUUUGAACUCAGGACGGUCGAAAACCUUAGGAGGAGCAUAAAAGGAAAAAUGACACUAUUCACAUGUACGGUACUAUUCACGGGUACGGUAUUGUCUACGUUACUGUUCACGACAAUGUUCACAUAGACGGAUCAAUGACGUGGCAUUGAUUGAUGACGUGGCAUUGACUGAUGAGGUGUCACGAUCCUGUUGGACUAAAAUUCUUAUAUACUGUUGAUGGUGACGUGGCAGCAUAUUAGUGGACGAAAAAUCUCGCGUACGGUGCAUGCAUCACACAGGAUUAUUUUCAACCAAACCGCGUUACUGUUCAUCCGGGUCAAACCGUGUUACUGUUCAUCCGCGUGGUCAAACCGUGGACUCUUGACUGAUGACGUGGCGCAAUCUUGAGCGUCCAAACUGUUUUUAAUCCGAUGGCCAUGAUUUACUCCAUGUAUCUAUAAAAAGGGGGCCUCUCCCCCCUAAUUUGAUAUCUCUGAAUCCAUUUUUGGGAUCCAUUUUCUGUAAUUCCUUCUCCAUCUUGUAUUUUCUUCAUAUUUUAAUAAAUUUCCAUUUUGCCCCUAGUUCAAUUAUGAGUGGCUAAUUUUCUUUCAAGCUUGGGUUGAAGGUGAAGUCUCAACAUGUGUCAUGGGCUUUAUUUGGUAAAUUUAUUUUCUCUUCCCCUCUAGUUUUUGUGGAUGUUUUGACUUCUCGUCGACAAAUAAUACUAAUCUUGUCUAGUACCGCCUUGGUUUCACCGGCCUUCUAGUACAAGGUUAUUAUUAUUUGGCACGAUAAGCCCUUAGCACCAUAUUGAUUAGAGCGUGGUUCAUGAGGUGUGGAUUCCCCCUUCAUGAUUUAAUUGGCAUUAAUACGGAUUAUAUAGCCCAUGAUGCAUGUUGAUACGGAUCCAGAUACCCAAGUACGUCAAUUUAAUAGAUUUCAUUUUCAAGUUAUUCUUGCCAUUUCAAUUCCAAUUUUAGAAUUUAUUCUCGCCAUUUUAAUUUAAGUUUUAGCAUAUUCCAAAUCAUUUCAACCACAAAUCCCACCACCCAUUUCCAAAAUUAAUUCUACACAUAAUUAAAAUCCACCUCCUCGUGGGAUCGACACUCGUCACCAUUAGUCUAUACUACAAUAGAUUCGUGCGCUUGCGAGUACAUUAAAAUUUGCACAACACGUCCCACUAUUUUAUCAUUUCCUUACACUCCCAUAUGUAAGAAACGGAAACUCUCAUUGGUAAAAGUUUCUAGUAGGAAUCAGAUUCUCAUUAGCCUAAGUUUACCUCACCUAACAGUUCUUGGCUUACUUAUUAUAAUGAGUAGGUAACUCUUACCAAAUGCAUCUCAUGCAUGUACCGAUUAUCCUUCGGCCUCUAAAUCAUUAAUACCUCACCUGACAGUUCUUAGUAUAAAUGAUUUAGUUAAGUUUACCCUAAUACCCUUGCAUAUUUUCAUAACGUCUUACUAACUUCACCUAACAGUUCUUGGUAGCUUAAUGUAUGAAUUACGCAUCAUCGCAUGAUAUAUGGUUUAUUUUCAACAUUUUAAUGAAUGAGUAGCCCAUGUAUCUAUGACAACUAGCCCAAGCAUAAAAUAUUUUAAAUAUUCCAUUGGUAUUAGUAGGCCAUGAUGGAUAUUCUCAAUAUUCAUCAUUACAACUUAACAAUAAUUAUGUUUAUUUAAUUAGGGAGUAUUUGGUCAUUAUUAUGGUCUCACUUUUUAGCAUGUUAUUCCAUUUUCAAUAUUCAAAUAUGUCUAAGCACCCUAAUAUACAUCUCAUGCAUAUUAUAGACAAGCCAACUAAGGAUGAUCAUGGAAUUUUCUAAUAAAACCAAUUUGAGCCAAAAUUAGUUUUAAGGUCCACCUAGGUAUCAAGCAAACAAUAAUAAUUAUGAGACAUCCCAUGCCUCAAAUUAUCAAGCAAACAAUAAUGAUUAUGAGACAUCUUAUGCCUCAAAUUAUUACAAUUAUUAAUUUCUAUUUGAAUGGCCAAAAUAUCAUUGGAAGUGAUGCAACGAUCCACAAAGACUUCUUACUCCAACCUCCAAGGCAUCGCAACGUCCCUCCUUUGACAAUCAUCUUGUAGAAAUUACAUAUUUAGAAGAAUUGGAGUACAAAUUUAGGGGUAAUGGGAUACAAUCAGAUCUUAAUAGAAGGAGAGACAUGCAAGUCCCUAUUUAAAAAUAUAACAACCAUUUAAGCCUUUAGAAAUCGGCCAAAUCAACAAAUAAAUCAAUAGAUCAUUCAAUCACACAUAUAUUCAUUCAUCACAUGACAUAAAUAUAUCAUAAAAUAUCUAGGUCUUUCCAUGAUCGUCCUUCAUGCUAUUAUAAAUGGAAAUAACAUAAAUCAUGCUUCAAAAAUGCGAAAUUGAAUGAAGAUGGCUCUGAUACCACUUGAAGGACAACAUUUGUCCAUGAGGUUCCUAAAAUCGCAACUUUUGUGCAGUAAUAUUAAAACGGACGGCGGAAGCUCUAGAAACCUCGGAUCGGCUUCAUUCAAAAACGAAAAUCAAGAGGAAAGAUUGAAGUUUAAUUACCUCACUUGAAGUUUCGAAAAAGACUUCUUGAGGUAGGAGAAAACGACUGAAAACAGCAAGCUACGAACACUGUCCAGAAAAUACAGCUCUGCACGAACAGCUUCUGUUUUGCCACGAUCUGAGAUCCUUAAGCACCCCAAUUGUGAUGCCUCUAAUUAUUCCACACUUAGAAAUGUUCUAGGAGUUCAGAGGAUUUGGAAUCACGAAAUUUCGUUUAGAAAUGAGAGAGAUAAUGAUGAAACAUGAAUGCUAGUCCAUGAUGAUUCCCCUUCCACCAAAUAAAGCACCAUUAUGUCUAAUAAUGGCACCAAACAUUAUCAUGUGCUAGACCCACCCACUUAGCUAUAAUUUAUUGAAAGUGAUCUUAUCACUUAAAUAAAUUAUUUAAUCAAAUUAAUAAAUAGCUAAAUUAAUUAAUUUCGUAAUUAAUUAAUUAACCCCAUUUUGAUCAAAUCAAAUGGUUAAAUGUGGGCUCAUUUUGUGACAUGUUCUAAUGCUUUCUCUUAAUCCAUAUUAGAUCCAAUAAAAGCCCAAAAUUAUAAACCCAAAAAUGGUCUAGAAGUCCAUAAUCAUAUAUGAACCCGAACAUGUCCAAAAUGGUCAUUUUACGUGCUCGAUAUUACAUAAUGUUUAAUGGAGGAUUUACGAAAUUUAUUUUGUUCCUUAAACUAUUUAUGGAACAUCUAAAUUUCUAUCUUAAAUCAUAUUUAAGAUAUAUUUAUAUAUAUAUGUAUAUUCAUUCUCAAUGAAUUAUAAUAUAAAUAUUGAUUUUCCUAAAAAUAGGAAAUUUAACUUCUCAUUUUCUAGUAACUCCUUUUUCAUUUCUAUUUAAUGUGUGACCUUUUAGGUUCUUAGUUAUAAGGUAGUAGAACUAUUUUAAUGAUAACUCUUUAUUCAUUAAAUGAUGCUAAACUCUUUAGUCAUCAAUUAGAACUCUUCUAAUGACCUUAAGAUGCAUUGAUAAUACGCUUUACCAAUAUUGAUCUUAAGGUUUCUACAAGUCAUGAGUGACACCUAGCAGUAUAUCACAACCAUCCAAAUAACAAGAAUUGUUGGAUCUAUAGAACCUAUUCCAUUGUGUCUCUAUGUCUUGGUCUCUUCAUCAUCCAUGUCCAAAGAAAAGCACGGCUUAUGGUUUAUUAUGUUAAGCACUUAUGCUUUAUCUCAAAACAAAUCUAAAUGAACUUGACAUGAAAAUAUAAUUUGAACUCCUUCAAAUAUAUUUCACCUUGGCCAAGGAUUUCUCAUGCCAAUUCAUAUUAUCUUAUAGGGACAUCCUUUUUGUAUAUUACAAAGUGAUGAAUUCCAUAUUGGCCAUGCACUAGUCUUCAUACAUAUCCAACCAUGACAGUUAUUGCUAGAUCUCUUCCGUGAUUAGGAAUCAAUCAUUAUGCAUUCACAUAUCAGAGAUGUCUAUGUAUAAGACAUCUGUUAUGCCUCAGGUCUAAAGACCAUUACUAAACAUAGUGUCUAAUACAAUGUAUAAUAAGCCAUUAACACUCAAGACCAUAUGGCUUACUAUAUUUGGUCAAGUUCAGUAAACUUGUUCUCUCAACAAGUACCUAUGUGUUUGACUUGACAUCUCAUGUCAAUGAUAUGAAACUCACCAUCCAUUUUAGUAUCACAUACCAUAAGAAGUCAUAACACAUACUAGUGUUUAUAGGAAUUUAUAAUGUCCAAUCAUAAAUCCACCACUAGGAACUAUUUUAGAAGUAUAGUACAAAGGAUACACGUUUCAUAUUCUCGACAAACUCGAGAAUGUGUUCCUUAACUAUUUUACAUCUUGGACUAUAUUCAUUAAAUUAAUUAAUGAAUAUUGAUAACUUUGCCAUUUUAUAAAUAUCAAAAUGCUAUUCAAAUACGAUAAUUCCCUAAACAAACAAACACCAUUUGAUUGGCCUUUAGGGCAUAUUACUAACAAUAGCUGCUGCGUUGAUUUCUA